GAAGCUGCCAUGGAUGAUGAGUGGGUUGCUCUGUUUCUGUGGGUUUCAAUUCUUUAUCCGAAUAAUUGUUAAAUUUUGGGGAAAUUGGAGAAUGCGUUGAGGUGGUUGUUGAAACUGCCGAGAAAUCGGGGUUUUGAGAAUUUAGAAUACCGUAAUUUGUGGUGAAAUUUUCGCAUUCCGCCCAAUUGCUUGACGACGGUGGGGAAAAAAUUAGCCCCUGAUACAGAGGAAGGUUUUGAAAAUGAUGAACGUCCAUUUGGGGAUUGAUCAAGUCGGCGGCAGUGGUGGCAGCAGUGGAUGAGGAAGAUUUUUUGGAGUUGGUGGUUGGUUUCUUUUUGAGACGCUUGUUUUUACGGCCGCCACCAACAGGGACGUUUCGAAGAGUUCCACCUUUGGUCCAGUGGCGUUUACAAGCUCUGCAAAAAUGGCGAGGUUGAGAUUUGUUGUAAUUGUUGUAGUAACAGAACUUCGUGUUGGUUGAAUCACAUCUGGGGCACUUCAAUUGCUCUAUCUGUGGCUGAAUUUGAAUCUGAUUCUGAUGUUGUGAUCGUUUCACGCCAGAGCUUGGAGCCAAUUUUGGAAGCUCCAGUUUCUGUGCUUGCAUUAGCGCUUUGCUCCAAUCAAAUCCAUCAAUUGAAACCUGUUUUGAACUCAAACCCAUCUCUUAAAAUCACUCAAAGAUCAAAACCCAGAAGGGAAUUCACAGAGAAAAGGAGAAAAGAAAUCUCAACAAAUCAGAUGUUAUAAACGAGCUGAAAAACAGAGAAACAGAGAGCUUUGAGGUUAUAACUAACAAUGGAGGAAGAAGAAGAAGGAAAUGAGAAGGAAGGUGAAAGGCUGUGUAUAAUGGAGAAUAAUUUUGAACGGAAAAACAAGAGAAAAUGGUUUGACUGAGGAUUCAAAGAGAGUGUAAAUAAAAGUGGGGGAAAUUUUCCAUUGGCAUGGCGGAAUUUGGGUGCAAUGCAACUGUGUUCUUGAGGCAACCUUUUUAUUUAUUGCUUUUUAUUUAAUUUAUUUAUUUAUAGAGAGAGAAACUUCAAGACUAAGGUGAAAGUGGGAGAAGACACGUGGAUCAAUCUAGACCGUUUAUAGUGCGUUUGCAAUUUUUGGUUCUGUGUUAAAAUAAAAGAACCAAAGAAAGGUUUGAUAGCCAUAGCCAUGCAUGGCAAAUGCCAAAUGCCAAAUGCCAAUCACAUAUAUUAAAUUAUGUAACGAUCAUUUUAUUUGGUUCAAUUUACAAAUUUUGUCUAUGAAUUAAAGUAACCAUUGUGCCUCAAUCUCCACCAUACCAAUAUGUCUCUUUCGGAAUGGUUCCCUCAUCGAGAAAUAUGAACAUUGAUGUUAGGUUGGAUGCAUUUUUUCAUAAAUAAGGUGAGAAUUUGAACGAGAAGUUCUACGUCGGAUUGAUUUAUAAUGCAACCCAAGUUGUCAAACUUAUGUCCAUCUACGAUGGCAUGGAUGACAUUCACUUUAUCAUAAUGAUGAACAAAUCUAAGAGAUUGUUCAUGGACGAUCUCCUACUUCAUUGAGAGAUAAAUUCAUUGCAGUUGUUAAUUUAAAGUUUGUCUCAUUUCCCCAUAUGAAGCAGUGUCAUUGUUUUUAGCUCAUUAACUAGCAAGAAGGACGUUAGAAAAGCACAAUUUCUCAUCUUCUUUCUCCUUACACAUAUAAUUUGUUUUUAUCUUUUUGAAGUAAUUCUAUCGAUGGAUUGUGGUUUUUCCAAUUGGACAGUUAAAAAAAAUAGAACUCUUUAUUUUAUAUUCAACCAAAAUCUGAAAGAGUAUAUUUAUACGUGUGUGUAUAUACAUUUUAAAAAGAAAUAAGAAUUCAAGAAUCAAAUCUACAAAAUCUGGACAAAAUUUGUAAUUUAAUCUCACCAUGAAAUUAAGAGUUAAAAUAUCAUACCUCUGCUUAUGCACCAUUGGGGAUAUUUUCUAAUCUCACCCUCUAUUUUCCCUCUCGGAAUUUUUAUCUAAACUACAACAAUAAUAAUUAAAUAAUUUUGGUAUGUUAUGAAAAUUAAAUAAUGUUGAUUCACAUUUAAUUUGUUUAUUUGAUAAUAAAGAAUAAUGUAAAAUUAGAUUUGAAUGAAAAAUGAUAAUAAAAUGAAAAAAAGAAAAGAAAAGAAGAAUUGAAUUUGGAGAUGAAAAAUGAGGGGAUGGGUAAAAUAGUGAUAAAAUGAAUGAGAUGAGGAAAAAGGGAAUAGGGAAAAGAAUAAUUUCCAAAACCAUGAAACGAAGUUAGGAACGUAGGUGUGGGGUCCCACAAAUGGGAUGUUGGCGUCACGUGCUCCUCCAAUUUCAGGCCUUUGCUUCCUCUCCCAUGGACCCAUCCGCAUGUGAUUACAUGUUCCACGUUGGCUGUCUUUCAACUCUCAUUAUUCUGCACGUGUGGGCUCCUCCACCCGCACCGUGUCACUCUUAAACCAACUAUAUAUAACAUAUUAUAUUGUUUUUGUUAAUUCUCUCUCACUCACUAACACUCCUACUACCACAGCCCAAUAAGCCCUACAUGAUUAUGUGACAAAUUCAUGUCCCAUUCACAUUUUUUAUUUUCUCUAUUUAUUUAUCUACAUAUAGUUUUUUUUUAAAAAAAUAAUUAUAACCAUGUUUGGGUUGAGAACUUAAUUUAGUGAUACAAUACUAAAUUGACUUUCACCCUUCAAAUAAUUAACCGUAUAAACAGAUGGAUAGGGAGGACUUGAAUUUGAAUUUCACGGUUUUGAUUAUAAGAUGCGGAAACAAAUGAUCACAAAGUAAUAGGAGUGCAUGGAUAGGAUAUUAUAUUUAGAAUGUGAUAGGUGGCCGUGGGAGAAAUAGGGAGAGAAAGGGACCGGGAAAGGCACAUGCUCUAUGAAAUUUAAAUAAUGGAAGAUUAAUAAUAUUAGAAGGAAUGAAAUGAUGAUAACAAUAAUAAUAGAUUAAUGUUGAAAAGAAACAAAUAAAUUAAUAAGGAAUGGAAGAAUGAUACAAUAUAUAUGAUUUGAUUAAGAUAUCAUCCAUCCAACGAAGCAAAGAGCAUAAUAAUGUGAAAAAUCCCAAAUCCAACGUUCUCCCUCAACCACAAAAUCUUAAUUUCAAUUUCCCUCUUGUUUUAUGUUUACUUUUAGAGGUUAAAAUACUAUUUGCAUCGUUGAAUUUUUAAUUAAUUACUGUAAAAUUAAUUAAUAGAUACAACAUUUUAAAAAAGUAAAUUAACAAUCACACAUUGGAAUAAUUAAGGAGGGAUCGCCUACAGAAAUUGCAUCAUAAGAGGAACAUAUAUGGGACACUUUAAAUUAAAAAACAACACAAGUUUGUGAAAUGAGAAUGAGAAUGAAAAUAAAUAAAAUAAACUACAAAGUAAUGAUACCGUACCACCACUUUGGAAUAUGAUAAAAUCAGUUUAAUUAUUAUAAUAAAGUCAUAUCAUAUACAGAUAUUCUCAUAUAUUCCUGUCACAACAUUAAUUGUGGAAAUUGUGCGUACCAAAUAAAAAUAAUUAAACUACAAGAAUGUUUAAUUGGGUAGCAAAAAGCCAUCAAAAUAGAAUGAUGGCGGCAUAUAUAAUAUUUCAUCCUAUUUUAAUUGACCUAAGUUUUGAAUACACAUGCAAGUCAAUGAUGCAUCCACUUUGGGUUUGGGUUGGCUAUAUGGAAUAAAACAUAUUAUUUCAAAUAUAAUUAAUAAUUGAUUCAAAUUUAUCAAAUAUAAAGUAUAUAGACACUAAUAUUGAAAUUAAGAAUAUUAAAAUUAAAUAUAAUAUUUUUAAUUAUAUAAAGUGCAAAUGUAAUUGACACAAUAACCAUAUAGUUGUGUAGCUGUUCUACAUUUUUCUAAUAGAAAAUCCAUAUCAAAUCAAACUCAACCUUUUAGUUUUAUUUUUCACAAUGUGGGGGCUAUCAUGUUAUAUACUUUAAUUAAAAUUUAAGACUUUAUACUAAUAAACAUGUUAGUCAUUUCCUUAUUUGUAUGUUUUCAAUGUUGUCUUCCUCUAGAUUGUGUAAUUAGUUGUAAUUAUAUUUACAUUCUCAAAAAGAAAUAUAGUUGGGUUGUGCAUUUAUAACUCAUUCUUCUUUUUCUUUUCAUUUUUUUCAUUUUCUGUUCACUUUGUUUUAAAAUCUAUUUCAACCAACAUCAAGUUUAAUUUAAAAUUUAUACUAUUAUUGUUAUUUGUCCUAAAAUUGGGAAUUAACAAUGAAUUUCAAUAUACGAAUAAACAUAGUAAUUAGAUAAAAACAUAUAUUUGAGCCACACAAAUGAAUUAAGACUAGAAAUAAAAAAUUUUAAAAAAAAGAAAAUUGAAAGUAAAGUAAGAGUGAUCAUAAAAGGAGAAUGAAGAGUUGGUUGGUAAAUGUGGAAGAAAAUAAAAGAGUGUGUAUGCAAAGAAAGAAAGGGUAAGGAAGAAGUAAGGAAUCUUAAAUAUAAAAAAAGUGUCAAAUGGCUGAAAACUCCCUAUUUCCUAAUUUAGUUUGUGAUGUGUCUUUUGAUGAUGGUGACACCGUCACAUUAUUCAAUAUCAACUCAUACAAUUUGAUAUUAUUUUGUCUUUGCUUUUCUAGUUUUCAUGUAAAGACAAUGUCAAUUUGAAUAUGGAUUCUGCUUUGGGUUUUUAGUUUCUAAAAUUAACUAUUGUAAUUUUAAAGAUUUAACAGGAUUUUGAUUACAUAAUUUAUUUCCUAAACUUGAAAAAAAAUAAUUUGAAUGGAUCGUUCUUAAUAUGUAUUAGUUAUCGAUGGUCAAAAGAGAGGGGUUGUAAUAUGGGUUUCUUAAGGUGGAAGAAGGCAGCAGGCAACACAACAAAAAGUACGACUUUGCUUUUGCCUCUCCCUCUCUCUCUUUUUAACCCCCCUUUUCCUUUUUAAAUUGUUCAUUCAGCCUUGCAAUUUGGGUAUUUAGCUUCAUUCGUAAGAUUGUUUUUUCUGUUAAAAAUACUGCAGAAUUAGUUUCAUCCUUAUAAUUAAAAAGAAAAAAAAGAACAAUCAAUUUUAGUUCUUUGGCCUCUGCAAUGGGAGUUAAUUAAUAGUAGAUAGGGAGAAAUAAAUUUUAAUGAUACCAAAGAUUUUGAAAAAGCAAAUUUGUAAUUUUUAUUUGGUUAGUUGUUUUGAGUUUGUAUGUUGGAAAGAUAUUUGUUUUUGAGAUUUGGGGUUUUCUUUCUUUUUCACAUCAAUUUGAGAUAUGUUUUAAUUACUUCAUAGGGUUAGGAAUUAGGAAUGAGAGAGAGAUGGUAGCAGUCUUUUUAUGACGGUGGUUAUUUAAAAUAUUUGUUUUAAAUUUGAUGAAUCAUAAUUAAUAUUCCAAUAGUGUGUUUUCCAAUUUUUAUAUGGUAAUAAAUAAUCAUUUAACCAUACUUUAAAAUGCACAAUUAAAAUGGAUAAUAGUCCAAACAAAAAGUCUAACUAGCAAAUGAAUCCAAACUCACUUCAUAAAAAUUUAGAGGUGUUUUCUUUCAAGAAUUGACAACGCAGCUAUAGAGUCUAUUACUUUUUUUUGUAAAGUAAAAGACUUGGAAGGUUAGCUCAAAGUUUUGAAAUUGAUAGCCAAACUUGGGAAUAUAUAGAGAGUGUGUAUGUUAGAUUGUUUUUUAAAUUCUUUUAAAAAAUUAAAAAUAGAACAAAGAUAGUUAGGAAAUAAGAUUUAAGCUGUUGGUACAAGGCAAUGCAGUCUUAAAUGACUUAAAUUUUUUCUCUUUUUCUAUUCUAAAUUAAAGGAUUAGAGUGUUGUUGUUGAUAACGAAACCAAUAUCUGAAGUUUACGAAUACAUUGAUAAAAUAUGGCUAACAAAGUAAGAAAAAAAUGUAUAACAAAAUUAAUAAUUAAGUUUUUUACUUCUAGUAGUAAUCUUAUUCAUGUAGGAACUACAUAGAUGACUUUUAUAUGUUUUACGAUCAUUUAGAAAAUGAUAACAGAGAUAUGAAUAGAUCUUACCGAUAUCUGAUCUGAAUCCUCCAGUUAACUGAUGUUUCCAUUAUUGGGUGAAAAUGUAAUCAAUUAUAUGAUAUGUAACUAUUUUCCUUUUACUCCAACCUUUUCAUCCACGUCGUCAACUUUCAAAACUUUGUAUAUCAUAAUAAAUAAAUAAAGCAACAAGCACCGUACAAAAGAGCAACGGUCAAGAGCGUUCAAUGGCUAAUUGCUUUUCUUCUCCUUAUUGUGUUCAUGGUAGAGUCAAAUUUGCUAAUUGUCAUGAAAUGGAAACAAAAUCUACAAUUUCAAUAGGAAUUAGAGGAUGAAAAUUGGUGUAAAAAUUUAACAUUUUUUUUUAUUUUUAAGCAAUUUUAUUAAUCAAUCUGUUCCUGGUUUCUGCUUGGAAUUGUAAUUCCAAGGAGAUGGGUAUGGUGAAGUUCCAAGAACAUGGGGACUCGGACAAAGAGGAACGUGUUUCAUUGUCUCAUCACAGAAUUCCUAAAACCAAUAAUGAUUUUAAUGAAACGCGAAGAUAUGUUUUGACAUGUGCAAUCUUUGCUUCCCUUAAUUCUGUGCUUUUAGGAUAUGGUAUUUGCUCCGUUUUUCUUUAUAAAUAUCCUUCUAUAUGAUUUUCCUGUUCUGUUUUUGUUGAAUUCUAAUUUUUUAUAUGCAGAUGUUGGAGUUAUGAGUGGAGCAAUAAUCUUCAUUCAAGAAGAUCUCAAAAUAACAGAGGUUCAAGAAGAAGUUUUAGUGGGAAUUUUGAGCAUAAUUUCAUUAUUAGGAAGUUUAGCUGGUGGAAAAACAUCAGAUGCCGUUGGAAGAAAAUGGACCAUUGCUUUUGCCGCUAUUGUUUUCCAAGCAGGGGCUGCCAUUAUGGCUUUUGCCCCUUCUUUCGGUUUUCUAGUUGUAGGUCGGCUCUUGGCUGGUAUUGGUGUUGGUUUCGGUGUCAUGAUUGCGCCUGUAUACAUCGCUGAGAUAUCGCCCACAGCUGCUAGAGGAUCUCUUACUUCUUUCCCGGAGAUCUUUAUAAACUUUGGAAUCCUUCUUGGUUACAUUUCAAACUAUGCCUUUUCAGGACUUCCUGUUCAUAUAAGUUGGAGGGUUAUGCUUGGUGUGGGAAUAAUCCCUUCAGUUUUGCUUGGUUUUGCACUUUCUAUGAUUCCUGAAUCACCUCGGUGGCUAGUGAUGCAAAAUAGGAUCGACGAAGCGAGAAUUGUGUUGUCGAAAACAAAUGAGCCUGGUGUCGAUAUAGAGGAGAGAUUGAUGGAUAUUAAGAAAGCUGCAGGGAUUGCUAAUAAUGUGAAUAAGUAUGAAUCUAAGGCUAUUUGGCAAGAUAUAGUGCGGCCAACACCUUCGGUUAAGCGAAUGCUAAUAGCUGGUUGUGGGAUUCAAUGCUUUCAGCAGAUAACAGGCAUUGAUGCAACUGUUUAUUAUAGUCCUACGAUCUUUAAAGAAGCUGGGAUUGAAAGUAACUCAAGACUUCUUGCAGCAACAGUUUGUGUUGGAUUCACAAAAACUUUGUUCAUUUUAGUAGCUAUUUUUCUUAUUGACAAAGUGGGAAGGAAGCCACUGCUCUAUUUCAGCACAAUUGGGAUGACAGCCUGCUUGUUUUGUCUAAGUAUCACUUUAGUUUUUUUGGCUCAUGGAAAACUUGGGAUUGUUUUGUCAAUCUUAGCAGUAUGUGGAAAUGUAGCUUUCUUUUCAGUUGGGAUUGGUCCAGUAUGUUGGGUGUUAUCAUCUGAAAUCUUCCCGUUGAGGCUUCGAGCACAGGCAUCAGCAAUCGGGGCAGUUGGAAGCCGAGUCAGUAGCGGUUUGAUCACAAUGUCAUUUCUCUCGGUCUCCCACACAAUCACAGUUGCAGGAACAUUCUUUCUAUUCUCAUUGAUUUCUAUGGUGUCUGUUGUUUUCAUUCACAAGUUUGUCCCUGAGACAAAAGGGAAGUCCUUGGAACAAAUUGAAAUGGUUUUCCAAGGAGAUGAACAAGGAAUCAGAAUACUAGAAAUGAGUGAUACUGAUCGAUUAGUCCACAAAUAACCUCCUUUUCCUUUCCAAACAAGUCAUUCUUAGUUUGUAUAUUUACUCCAAAUAUAGGGAAGUUUUGUCAAUAUAUUACUUCACGUAUUUUGAUAAGUAAAAAUUAGAACUUUACUUUUACAUGGGGCGGAGAAAUUCAACCUCUACAAUGUUGAACGUACAAAUACCAAUUAAAAUUAAAACUUUGAAGUUUGUAAACUGAUUCUAUACGGUUACGUUGGGAUUUUCUUUUCUUUUCUCGAGAACAGAAACAAACAAACAUGCAUGAAAAUCCAAGAACCAAAAAUGGUAUUUUAACCUAAAAUUUAAAGAGUUUUGGUUGUUAGCAAAAAAGAAUAAACACAUGGGAAUCAUGCAAACAGGGGUCUACUAAAAGCUUAUCUGUGGAUUGGACAAACACAAAAGAAACGAACUGUAGUGUACUGGAGUGGAUUGUAUUCAAAAGGGCUUGAUUAUUGACGCUUCAUUUGAAAGAACUCUGACCUUUUGCGAAUCAAGAAGCUCUGGAUGGAUAAAUUUGAGCACAAAUUCGUAGAAGUCAAAGGCGGAUUGAAAAUCCACGUAGCGGAGAUCGGAACUGGUGAUCAGUUUCUCCGCCGGAUCGGAACUUGCUUUUUCUUUUACUAUUGAAACAUUUUCUCAAUUUCUCCGAUUGUUUGUUUGUUACAGGGUCGAAUGUCGUGGUUUUUCUGCACGGUUUUCCGGAGAUUUGGUACUCAUGGCGCCAUCAGAUGAUUGCUGUGGCUAACGCCGGAUUCCGAGCAAUUGGUCUCGAUUACAGAGGAUACGGACUCUCCGAUCCUCCAGCCGACCCCUCCAAGGCUACUUACAGCGAUCUCAUCACCGACCUCCUUGAAGUUCUUGACUCUCUCGAUAUCUCCAAGGUACUAACCCUUCACUCAAAUUCAAACCCAUGUCCUGUAAUUUUAAUCCACUGUAGAAAUUGGUUUGAAUGUCAGAUGGAUGUUGUAUCCAGAUGACCCAAAUUUACUUUCGCUGAUGCCAAAUGAACUGAAUUCUAAAAAACGAUGAAAACUGACAUUUUACUCGCAUCACAAAGCAUUGGUCAACAUUAGAAUCUGCAAGCAAAUUUGGGUCAGCUAGAGUGAAUUUAGGUAAUUUAAACAGAAUAUAACGUUGGUUGGUGCUUGUGAGAUAAGCCAAAAGUUAGAUUUCAUUGCUUUUCAAAGUUUGAAUCAUUUGACACUAGUGUAAGUAAAUUUUCCAUAGGAUAGUGAUGAUCUAGAAGGAAAAUUAUGGCCGUUGUACCAUUUCAGGACACCGCUGCAUGGUUUCAUUGCAUCCCAUAUGUUUUUCUGGGUUCUGGUGUGAAAUAAGAAUAGUCUAAUAGUAUCAGUGGGAAAUUGGGAACAGGUGUUUCUUGUGGGGAAAGAUUUUGGAGCAAUGCCAGCUUAUUACUUUGCUCUCAAACACCCAGAGAGGGCAUUAGGAGUUGUGACAUUGGGAGUGCCCUUCAUGCCUCCUGCAAGACCUAUCAACUUUAUAGACCACCUCCCUGAAGGCUUCUACAUAUCAAGAUGGCAGGUAUUAAACUCAAGCAUAUGUACAAAUCUUUAUCACGAUGGUUUGGUUGUUUUGAAGUUCAUUUUGUAUGAUUUCUUAUUUAGAAACCUGGGCGAGCCGAGGCCGAUUUUAGUCGUUUUGAUGCAAAAACAGUUGUUAGAAACGUCUACAUACUUUUCUCUAGAAGUGAAAUCCCAAUAGCUCAAGAAAAUCAGGAGAUAAUGGACUUGGUGGAUUCAUCUACUCCUCUGCCUCCUUGGUUUACUGAGGAAGAUCUUGCAGCUUAUGGAGAGCUCUAUGAGAAGUCUGGAUUUCAAACUGCAUUAAAAGUUCCUUACAGGUAAUGUAAUAUCUUUUAUCUUUCUGUUAAUGAAUGUAAUGUAAAAUCUAUUAUCUCUCAUUAAACUUGGAUGGAUGAAUUUACAUGAUAGGUCACUGGGUGAAGAUUGGGGAGUGAAAGAUCCAAAAGUGGAAAUUCCAGCUCUUCUUGUAAUGGGUGAAAAAGAUUAUGUUCUCAAAUUUCCAGGAAUAGAGGAGUAUGUAAGAAGUGAAAUGGUGAAGUAUUAUGUUCCAAAAUUGGAGGUCAUCUUUCUACCAGAAGGAUCUCACUUUGUUCAAGAGCAAUCCCCUGAAGAAAUUAAUCAGUUGCUACUGAAUUUUCUUGCCAAGCAUACAUGAUUAGAAUAUCCCAACACAGAGGUUAAAUCUAAAUAAAGCCUUGUACUAUUAUGUACUUCUGUUGGUUUUCCAAUAUGUGUGGUUGUACUUCGUCUUGUCUUUGUGAGGGAAUCGCGCUUACUUUUAAAUUAACAAUAACUAUUUGUGAGACUGUGCUAAAUUUGAAGUAAAGAAAUAGCAAAUUAUUAGUAUCUCAUCGUCAUUUCAAUACAAUUGUUGUAAGAAAAAGUCGUGUAGUUACGAUCUUUUAUUCUAUGUCAUAAGUUUAUUUGUGAGAUUUUUUUUCUUUCAAAUGCUUCUAAUGUCUUUCAUUAUUAUUUUUUCUAGUAAAAUUAUGUGUUCUUUCAUUACUAAAAUAUGAUAAUUUAUGAUAGAAAACUAACCAUUUAAUUAAAAAUAUAUAUCUAACAAAAUUAAUUUCGUUUAAUUUUCUCCUAAAAGAAUAAACAAUAAAUAAUUAUACGUAUAGAAAUUAAAUCAACUACUACGGACUCGUAUUUUCAUUAUAUUAGUUAGGAAAAAACUUGAAUUUAGUUGCACAUCUUUUGUGUAGUUCGGUUAGCAUCCAAUAAAAAUGUGUCAGAUUAUUUUAUUUUACUUUUGUAGUAAAAUAUACAGCAACAUGUGAUUAGUGUUCACGACGUUUUUGAAGAGCUAAAAUCGUCAUUUUCUAAAAUCAAAUUAUUUAUUUUGGUUUUUGCGGAGACCACGAAAGUCACCCGCCCUCAAAUAACGACUUUUAUUUAUUGUUAUUUUGCUUUAGAAACAGCAAGCAGAAGUUGGUUGGAAAUUUGAAGCAGAGCAGAGUCCGAAAUCUCUUCAUCUUUCACUCACUCAUUUCCCUUACUUCUCAAGAUGGAUCGAAUUCACCAUAAUUUCAUCGAGGUUGGAGCCCUGAAGCUCCAUGUAGCCGAGAUCGGAACUGGUAAUCACUCUUCUCAUCCUCAAUUUCUUCACCGGAACUUGUUUUCCUUACAAAAACAACCUAUUCUCUCUCUCCCCCUCUACUUCUCCUUCUCCUUUUUCCCAUUUUUCUUUCAGGUUCCAAUGUCGUCGUCUUCCUGCACGGAUUUCCGGAGAUAUGGUACUCAUGGCGGUACCAGAUGAUCGCUCUUGCUGACGCCGGAUUCCGAGUACUCGCUCCCGAUUACAGAGGAUAUGGACUCUCCGAUUCCCCCGCCGAGCCGUCCAAAGCUUCAUUCAGCGACCUCAUCAGCGAUCUCCUUGGGAUUCUUGACGCUCUCAAUAUCCCCAAGGUACUACCUUUGAUUUGGUUGUAAUCAUAUUGAAGUCAAUAGAGUUCCACUUAAGAUUGCGUUACAUUGACUGCAAGGUGUUUGAUAAAAUGAACUGAUGGAUGAGUUGAUUAAAUGGGGGAGAAUUUAAAAGUAAAACAUACCGAUGUUCAUUGUAUCAAACCAGGGAUAUUAGCGAUUUAAAGUCAAAGUCAUUCCAAUAUAGCUAGUGGCAAUGAUAAAGCUAACUAAGGAAUCUUCUAACAAUACUUUGUAUAGGUGUUUGUUGUUGCGAAAGAUUUUGGAGCAUGGCCAGCUUAUUACUUUGCUUUGAAACAUCCUGAAAGGGCAUUGGGAAUUGUCACAUUGGGAGUGCCAUUCCUUCCUCCUGAAUCUUUGAAGCAUUCCCAAAGCAACAUCCCUGAAGGCGUGUAUACUUUAAGAUGGCGGGUAUGCAAAUGCUCUAUCAUACAUUGCCUUACACUCUUCCCUUUCAAAAGAAAACUGAAUGGAAAUAUUACAAUCCCGUGUUGUUUCAAUGCUCUGUCUUGACAUGUAUAUAACAAUUGAUGAAAGAAAUAUUUAUUUUGAAGUUGUUUUUGUUGGAGAGUUGAUAUAAUAUCAAAUCUACCCUAGUCUAUCGGUUUAGACUUUUGUGUCAACAGGUGAUUUAACAUGGCAUAUCAUAGCGGAACGUCCAAUUAUGUCUCAUCUAUUCCUCAACUAAUAUUGAUUUUUACUAUUAAGCCUACGAACAAGCUUUUAUGUGUGAAUGAUUUAAUAGUUUUUACUUUUUCUUUUUUAUCAAAUGGACCUUUCCUCUAUUGGUAUUGAUUCUGGAUAGAGAUUUCUGUCUCAUAGCUAAUAAGUAAAUACAUGGUUCUUCUACGAAUAAAUGAAUCUCCUAUAAUGUUAGGUUGUUCGAGUUUUGUAACUUUUUUGUGUCUGUUUGUUCUGUUUUCACCCCUUUAUUAACUUGUUGCUUCAACUUUCACUCUAAUCAAGGAACCAGGGCGAGCUGAGGCAGAUUUCGGUCGCUUUGAUGCGAAAACUGUUGUCAGGAAUGUUUAUAUCCUCUUCUCCAAAAGUGAAAUACCAACAGCUCAAGAAAAUCAAGAAGUAAUGGACUUAGUAGAGCCAUCCACCCCUCUUCCACCUUGGUUCACCGAAGAAGAUCUAGCAACUUACGGAACUCUCUAUGAGAAAUCUGGAUUUGAUACUGCAUUGAAAGUUCCUUAUAGGUAUGUCAUUUGAGUUUUGAAAUGAGCACAUCUUGUUUUACUACGUACUUGGAUAAUUCUAUUACGUUUGAUAUAUGCUGGAUUGAUGCACAUUCAUGAUAGGUCAUUCAAUGAAGAUUGGGGAAUAAAAGAUCCAAAAGUUGAAAUUCCAGCACUGUUUAUAAUGGGUGAAAAGGACUAUGUUUUCAAAUUCCCUGAAAUUGAGGAAUACGUAAGAAGCGAAAGAGUUAAAGAUUUUGUUCCAAAUUUAGAGAUCGUCUACUUACCAGAAGGAUCUCAUUUUGUUCAGGAGCAAUCUCCCGAAGAAGUUAAUCACCUACUACUUACUUUCCUUGCCAAGCAUAUUCGACAAUGAACUCAUAAUUAGUCAAAACUAGCAUGACUACGAAGGAAUCUCUCUACUUUUAUUGUACUUAAAAAAAAAAUCUGAAUAAAUAAAACUGUGACUAGUUUCUGAUCCUCAUGACUCUUUGAGUGUGCUGUUGUUCUUAAAUUCAAUCAGUGGCUACAUAGUUAAGUUUACCAAAUAACAUCAACAAUGUGCUUUUGCAAUGUGUCAACUACACCAUCUAAAUGUUGAGUUGUGAGAUAAAUACAUUCAUAAUGUUUAAUUAUAUUUAGUGUAGUAUUAACCUAGUAAUUUUAAGCCUUUGCUAUUUAUUUUUUAAACUCAAAUUAAAAGUUUUGAUCAUUCAACGUGAACGUUUAUGUCUAUUUGGUCUUGAACUUUAAAAAAAUUUCAAAUAUAUCCUUAACUUUUAAUAUGUAUUUAAACUUAAAUUUUGUUAUUGAAAUAUAAUUUAAACAUAUAUAGAAUUUAAUAUUUAAAAACAUCCAUACCUAGAUUACAACCAACAAAUAAACAAAAUUUGAAAUUGGUUAAUCUUAAAGCAUAUUUUAUAGCUAACUUUUCUAAAAGCAUAAUAAUUAAUAUGAUUAAGCUUAAUAAUAUAGAAUAUGAUUAGUCAAUCAUUGAUCAAAUGUGUUACAGUAUUGUAGAGUAGUGAAUGUUGUAGUAGACUUAUCUAUCACAACAAUACUUCGAUAAGUAGAUCUACGCCAAAAUUAUCAAUCAAUAAAGAGACAAAUUAAUUUAUCAAAUAAUCAUGGUUUGGUUAUUUAAUAUAAUUUAUUCACUUCGUCAACGAGCCUCGCAAAUAAAUACGUACUCCCUAUGUUUGAGGUUGGAUAUUUAAAUAUGAAACAAUAAUUAUAAUAAAAUAAUCUUAAAAGUCUUUUUUUAUAUAUAUAUAUAGAACAUUGUUUUUCUUAAAUAGUACUAUAGUAGCACUUUUUUUUCACAAUAUUGUACAUUUUCUUAAAUUAUUUGUAGACAUUUUCUAACUUAUCAUGUUCGUCUACUUAUUUAUUGUUUCUAGAAAAACAUAAAUUAGAAACUAUAAUGUAAAUAUACAUUUCAUAAAAGAUUUUUUUUUUUUUUGUUAUCUAUUUUUAAAAUGAUAAUUAAAAAUGUUGGUAAGAACCUGUUGUAAUGUUUUGCCUUAAAAAUAAAAAAAGCAAUCGAUCGAGUCAAUCAAUUGGAAGUUAAAUACUUGACAUUUCGAAACUUAACGUCGAAGUGUAAUGUUUCAUUUGGAGGGUAAAUAGAUCAGUCUCUCCUUCCCUCAGCCACAGCUCUCCGAUUCAGAUCUCUACCUCGUCGCUCAAUUAACUCAUCAAUUCCACAAAUUCCUGGUUUGAAUCACUCUCUCUCUCUCUCUCUCUAUCUGCUGUUUGUUUAUCUCCCUACCAAUCUUGCAAUUUUGUACUGCUUUGUUUCUUUUCUUUUUUAAUUUUGUGAGAUGGAUUUGGAUUCUGCAUGCAAUUUCCGUUGUUUCGUUGCCGAUAUGAUCUGUACAUUAUAAUGCUUGCAAAUUUGGAUUUUCUGUAAUUUGUGAAUUUUUGACAGUGUCUGGAUUGCCUACAUGACUUUGAUUGUUGAUUUAUAAUUGAUGUAGUUUGUGGGAAUUAAUAACGGGAGUUUCUGCUUCGGAUCCCUUACUUUUCUUCUUCGUCCUUUCCCCUCCCCGCGAAUGUCGGCCUGAUCUCAAAGACCUUCCGUGGUCUAAGGUCUUUCGUAGUAAUGUAGUUUUAAGUGAAGUUUGAUUUAUAGCAUGGCUAUACAUAAAUAAUUAGGGCAAAGAAUGUAGAAAAGAAACUUUGUGUAUGCAUUUUAUUUCAAGGUGAUUGAUGUUGAUAGUUUCAUAUUUCACGCACUUUAAUUGAUAUUUCAUAUUCAAACAUUCUUUAUCAAGCUCUUGAGGUUUUAUUUUUCUUUUUUUUCCUUACAAGUAUUAUUUCAUUCCUAGGUGCGGAAGACAAAAUCUCUCCUAUCUGAAGUUACUGAUUGUUGGUUUGCAUUCUCAUACAGUUAAAAAUGGUAAAGGAAUUUAUGUUAUUGAACCAUUUAUUGUCUCUUUUUGUCCGCGUUCUUUUGUAAAUUUAUUGAAAUUAUCAACAAUAUUUUAUUUUAUUUUAUUUUUUAAUUGCCUCCCCAUUAAUUAAUUUAUUAGUGCUUUCUUGUUAUAACGAGUUGAAGUUUAUGAACGUUGAGGGGUGAAUUCAGCAAUGCUAUUAUAUGAAAUUUUGUAUGGAUACAAUGUUAUAUACUAUCAGAAUUAUUCAUUACUGUAAAUAAUCAAGAUGCUGGAUACUUCCUAACUUUGACUGUGUCAUUCAGAAACUCUUGUGAAAGCGUUUGAGAUUAAUGGAUCGGGCUACAUAUAUAUUUUGUUUGGUGUCACUGAAAUAUCAUGCACACUUUAGUUUACUUUAGAAUUGUGAUGGGAAUUAGCUUGAGCAUCUUGCUCGUGAAGAUUAUUAGUGAUUUCUCUUUUUUUUAAGCUGGAUUUUAUCGUGUAUUUGAUUGCAUAUUGUUUCUUGUUCUUGCUCUUUCUCUCUCCCGGUGGCAUACUUUUGACUCUGGGUUUCAUGAAUUUAUCUUUUCCCCCCUUUAUUUUGACAAAUGUUAUAUAUGUUGCAUAGGUUGUUCUUGCUGCAUCCAUUGUUAGCAAGUCUGGGAAAGGUGAGAUACUUCCUUUACCCAUUCUUCAACAAUACUCUUUAUUUUUAUUUUUAUUUUUCAUAAUGAUGGUUUUCAUAGUUAGCUUCUUACACUUUAUACUCGUUAGCCCCUCUCACAUGGGCACAAACACACACCUUUUCUCCCUUAAAAUUUUAUUUUCAAGUCUUUGAUAAAUUUUAGCUACUAUUUACAAGGCUGCCCUUUUGGAUGCAUUCUUUUUGCAGUUCUUAUUUCCAGACAGUUUGUUGAUAUGUCUAGAAUCAGAAUUGAGGGCCUUCUUGCUGCUUUCCCAAAGUUGGUUGGAACUGGAAAACAACAUACAUAUGUGGAGACAGAAAAUGUUCGCUAUGUUUACCAUCCAAUAGAAGCUCUGUACUUGCUUCUUGUUACAAAUAAACAGAGCAACAUCCUUGAAGAUUUGGACACCUUAAGGCUCCUUUCUAAGCUUGUAUCCUUUUUUGAGCUGGCCUAUGCUUAUUUUUAUUGUUGUUAAUGUUGAUCUUGUGUUGAAUUUGGGUAUGUUGGCUCGUGAUCUUUCAUGGGGACUAGCAAAGUUUGCAUACGUUAGAACAAAGCAAACGCUUAUUGACGAUGUAUUGUAUAAUGAAGAGAUGAACUCUAGACUGCAAAGGAAAAUAAAAUGUUAUAUAGUUCAUCUUAUAUGAAACAAAAUCAAGUCUUUUCUGGUAAGAUCAUAUGUUUUUCUUUUAAGAAUAAGAAUAUUUUUUCAGGUCUGCUAAUAGGGGUACCCUCCAUCAUGUGUAUGUGUAUACUCUCUUAGGUGUGUAUGUGUGGGAUUUUUGUUUGCAUGGUAAGAUGGUGCUUUACAAAUGUUUGUGUUAAACGCUCUGAGAAUGGAGUUAUGUUGGAGUCCUUAAGUGAUUCUAGGUGCCUGAAUAUUCACUCUCUAUGGAUGAAGAGGGAAUCUGCAAGACAGCUUUUGAUUUGAUUUUUGCUUUCGAUGAAGUUAUUUCUCUUGGGCACAAGGAAAACGUGACUGUUGCCCAGGUUAAGCAGUACUGUGAGAUGGAGAGCCACGAAGAGAAGUUGCACAAGUUGGUACUGCAGAGCAAGAUCAAUGAAACUAAGGAUGUCAUGAAGCGGAAAGCAAGUGAGAUUGACAAAAGCAAGGUCUUCUUUACGUGCCCUUCAUCAUUUUUUUUCCGCAACUAAUUUUUUUUUUUGAAAACAACAAUUUGUUUUCUCAAAAAUAACAUAAAAUUUGAUCAUUUGUCAUAUGUAUUGCAGAUUGAAAAGAAUAGGGGUGACAAAGGAGGCUUUAUGUCUUUACAGUCUAUGGGAUCAGGAAAGAUUGAUAAUGGCCUCAGUGACAUGGGCAUAUCAUCAGGUGGUGGAGGUGGUUUUGGUAGCAGUUCUGGUUUUGGAUUGGGUGCAGAUGUUGAGUCCUUUUCUAGCAAGCCUAAAGGUUGCUCUUUGUUUAAAUGCACAUUUUAUGAAUGUUAUCUAUGAUGAGUUGUUGGUUUGUUACACAUAUUUGUAAGCAGUCACUUGUCCUUGCAUCAACGUCAUAUACGCUACCAACGUUCUCUCAGUAAUUUGUCAUAUAUUUUAUGGCCAAUGAAUAUUGUCACGUAUUAAGUGGACGCUUACCGUUCUACCUUUUAUGUUUGUUAUUAGGCCGUCCACCUUCAUCUGCUACUGCUCCCCCCAAAGGCCUUGGCAUGCAGCUUGGUAAAUCCCAAAGGACAAAUCAAUUCUUGGAAUCUUUGAAGGCAGAAGGUGAAGUAAUAGUUGAAGAUGUACAGCCAAGUGUUGGUCCGUCUAAAUCAGCUGUCCCACCCCCAACUGAUCCUGUUACUCUAUCUGUUGAGGAGAAACUCAAUGUGUCCCUGAAACGAGAUGGUGGAGUUAGUAACUUUGACCUUCAGGGAACAUUGUCCCUUCAAAUUCUCAACCAAGAAGAUUCCCACAUUCAAGUUCAGGUACUUUGGUUCACUUUACAUCAAGGAUGCUGUAUAAUAAACACUACAACUUCUCUAGGUGAUUGGUAUCCCCAACACAUAUCCUACAAUUUCCACUGUUUGACUACUUAUAUUAAUUGAUUUCUUGCACACCUUAUAAACUUUCCUUCAAAUGUGUAUGAAGCUAAAAGAUUUUCAUCGUUGGAUUGUUCACAAAUUUGGCACUUGGGACAAUUUUGAUUUUAAGGUUGUUCCUAUAGGAUUUUGAACCAUCUCUCGGGCACUGCCUUUUGUCUCAUCUUUUUCUUGUAGUGUUAUUUUGAUUUGAUUUACAUUGCUGAUCUUGUUAUUUGUUUCACGAUCUUGAUUCGUUACCUUGUUUUCAGAUUGAGACUGGUGGAAACCCUGGCAUCCUUUUCAAAACUCAUCCUAACAUGAACAAAGAGUUAUUUUCCAAUGAAAACAUUCUAGGCCUGAAGGAUCCCAACAGGCCAUUUCCUACGGGUCAAGGCAGUGAUGCUGGAGUUGGUCUCUUGAAGUGGAGAAUGCAAAGCAAUGAUGAAUCAAUGGUACCAUUAACAAGUGAGUCUGAAUCUUUUUCAUACAGUUUUCUAUUAUAUAUAUUUUUAAAAAGUUAUACUAUACUUAUGAUGAGGCUUCCGUUGUUGCAGUCAACUGCUGGCCCUCUGUUUCUGGAAAUGAAACCUAUGUUAGCAUUGAAUAUGAAGCUUCAUCAAUGUUUGACCUGCGGAAUGUCGUCGUCUCAGUGCCUCUUCCCGCUCUUCGUGAGGCACCCAGUGUAAGGCAGAUUGAUGGAGAGUGGAGGUAUAGAUUGAUCUCUAGUCUCUUAAUUUUCACCUGAUUUAUAUUCUUUCGUUACAUCAAUUCUUUGAUCGAAAUGGGACUGUCCUUGUUGAACUAUGAAAUACGUUUUACUAAAGUAAUAAAGUAACUUUUUAAAGCUCGCUUGUGUUCAUUAAAAUGGGACAUGGAAAAAAGAAACAAUUUCGUAAAAUUUUAUUUAACAAGUCUCAAUGUUGAGAACCUUCUGAAAGGCAAAACUUGUAACGAUUUUUUGAAUAUAUCAAUUACAUGACCCUAAUGAAGCGGAUCCAAACAGAUAUCCUUUUGAAUUCAAAGACCCAUUUAACACCUGUUUUUCCUCAACCUGCAGGUUCGAUUCCAGAAAUUCUGUCUUGGAAUGGUCUAUAGUUCUCAUUGAUAACUCAAACCGCAGGUAUGUUGUGUUUGGAUUCUCUCUUCGCUAGACGUUGUUACCCUAUUAUAAUUGCAUGCUUGUGUUUAUUAAUCUGCUCCAUCAUCUUGACAGUGGAUCCAUGGAGUUUGUUGUUCCUCCAGCCGAUUCAUCAGUAUUUUUCCCCAUUUCUGUUCGGUUUUCAGCAGCUAGCACAUUUAGCGACCUGAAGGUUUUUUCUUGUUCUGUCCUCUACUUGAAAUCGGAUAUUAAUUACAAACCUCUCAAUAACCGUUAUAUCCUGUCCUUGUGUGUGGAAUAAUCUCAUUAAUAAUUGCACUGACACCUAGAUUUUAAGUGGUAAUCACAACUAAAUUGACAGUUGCAUUAGAGUGGAAAUAACAGUGAAUUUGAGAGUUCCCGUAAGAACUAGUGUCGAUGGAACUGGAUGUGAUUUAAUUAGAACAGAAAGUUUAUUAGACUAACCAAACACUUCUACGAUCUAGAAACCCGUCGAACUAAACUGACUUCUUCUCUCAUUCACUCGCAUCAUUUUAUUCUGUAGAGAGAAAAUGAGAUUUUAACUACGCUUAUUCUCAUUCUUGAUUCGAUAUUUCCAGCAUUUACUAAAGCAUUGGUUUGUAAACUCCCUUGUUUCAGGUUGUCAACAUUUUGCCUCUUAGGGGCGGGGCUCCUCCCAAAUAUGUUCAGAGGACACAGUUGAUUGCGGAAAAUUACCAAGUUGUUUGAUUGAUGAGGUCUUCUUUAUUGAAUUUUUCCUUACAUUUUGCACUGAUAAUUUUUUUAGUGAUUUGGCCUGAUAAAUUACUAGUUCGAAACAACUAAGGACUAAAAUAAUCCAUUUCAAGCCAUGGUUACAAGUCUUGGUCUAACAAACGAUAAAAUUUGUUAAAGAAAUUAAUUUUUUUGGUACAUAUUUACCCAAAUUUGUGGGUAAAUCAUCAUAUUCCGAAUUUAGUGAAAUUGUAUCGUUUGUGUUAAUAUUUCGUGGUCUUUUAUUAUACUUGAAAAGACCCAACAGAAACAAGAAAAAAAAAGAAAACCUAAAUACGUCAAAGACAUGCAUGGUGAAGAAACUAAUAUAUAAAAUCAUUUGAUUUUGUUUCAAUGUCUUCUUCCACGUGAAUUCAUAAUCUUCGUAAUUAUAUUAAAAUUACAAGUUGAUUUUCAAAAUUAAAAGAUUGUAUAAAUCACUUUCCAAAAAAUAUCACGUGAAUGAACCACUUAGGAUAUAUAGAAGGAAUAAAGGACGACCAUAGAUUUCUCGGUUGAAAAGUUUGUGAUGGGUUGAAUAAGUCACAUCGAUUAUAGUGACAACAUCAUAUUAUUUUCAGAUAAUCGAAUAUACGUACACUUGUUUUAACAAUUUGGAAGGCAAUUCAUGCAAAUUGGGCAGAUUUGGUAUUUUCCAUUUGAUUCUCGUCGGGUAAUUAUUUGAUUUUCGGCUUUUUUUUAUUUAUAAAAUUAAAUUCCAUAAACAGCACUUUCAUGUGAAGCUAAAUUUUGAAAAAUAAAAAAAUUAGUUUUUAUUUUUGGAAAUUCAUAAUCUGAAACCAAUGAAUAUGAAUUGUAAGAAAAUAAAGACAAUUUUAAAAACAAAAUAGUUAUUGAGCAUGUGUUGAUUUUUUGUUUUAAGUUUGUAAAAACUAAAUCAAUAAACACUCAUCGUUAUAUACUUUCUAAUUUCUACAUGUUUUUACAGAAACAAGCCAACUUUUUAAAACUAACAAACUAGUUUUUUAAAUAAAGAAAUUGGAUGAAAAUUCAACUGUUUAAGCUAAUACAUUUGAACGAAAUAAUCAGAAAUUGAUGAUUUUAAAACAUAAAAUCUAAAAAUUAAAUAAUUACUGAACGAAGUCUACACGUUUUAACUAUACAUUAAAAAUAAUUACAACUUUUUACCAUUUAUGCCAAAACAAUUAAAAACUGAUAAACCAAAAUUAGAAAACUCAUUUUUAGAAAACAGAAAAAAAAAAGUUUAAAAAAAGAAUAGUAAAUUUUGGUUAUAAAAACAAAAAUGAGAGAAAAGAAAUGCGAUGUUCCAAUUUAGGCAUUGAGAAAAUCGAUUAAUUUACUUCCUCCGACUGCUAAACUAUAUAAUAAAUCCAUAAACUUCCAAUGUUCUAGAUAAUACAACUUUUCUUCACUUUUAAGUUUACACUAAUUAUUUGCAAUUUGUACCUAAUUUAAAGAUAAUCUCGUUCAAAAUCACCAAAAUAAUUUUAAAUAAAAAGUAAAUUUAACCGUAAAUUAGAUUAGAGAUAUUAAAUUUAAAAUUGAUUGAAGGGUAUUUUCAACAUAGGAAAUACUUUAAUUUGGAUAUGGUUUUUAUAAAAAUGCGUAAAAUACCAAUACACAAUCCGAAGGUAAAUUGAUAAGAAUCAAGAUGGUUGAUUUAGAUUGGAUUAACUUCAUUGUAUUUACUCCUAAUUAAUAAAUAAAUAAAUAAUCAAACCAUUAGUAUCCAAUAAAUAAAGGAGUAAUGAAAUUAAAUGAAUUAAACGUAAAAGUAGAAAAAGGAAGAGUAUGAUUCUCCCCUGGGCGUAAAAGCAAGCAAAUGGACAAAAUACAAAUUCCGGCCCCCAAAACAAUAAUUUGGGUUUACAUUUAGACCACGAAUAAGCUAAUUAAUUACAAGACUUACCCCUUAAAAAAUGUAAAGAAACCAAAGGCAAAGCCUCAAACAAUUAUAGUUAAGGGUAGAAAAUAGAAAAUUAUAGAGAGGAAAAAGAAAAAGAAAGGUUAUAAAAAGGAAUUAAUGAAAGAGGAGGAAGAGGAAGAGGAAGAAGAAGAGGGAGGCAUAUUAAUUAGGUCUAAUGGAUUUAAUUAAUUAAUAGAUUAAAUUAUUUAAAGAGUCUAAUCUUCGGGAAGUGGAAGUGUGAAAUUUUGACCUUUCGCUUUCUCGAUCUAGGGUUUCAUGUCAUUGACAGAGUCCUUCGUUAUCGCCAAAAAUACGAGCCCUAGCAGCAGAUAAAAUAAGAGUUUUCCCAAACCACAGAUCGAGUUCAUUGGAAACAAAAUUUUCGUUUUUUCUUUUUGGUUCAUCAUCUUCAUCAUCAUCAUCAUCAUCAUCAAUCAGGAUCUUAAAUUUUUUUCCUAUCAUGGGAAAAAGAAGAACCCAAAUCUUGUUUUGUUCUGUUGUUUCUUGACGGAUCGAUGUUUUAAAUUUGGAAAAAAGAAAAAGAGUAAGAAAACUGGAUCAAAUCUAAAGCAUUCAGGACGAUUCAUGAUCUUUUUUUUUUAAUUUCUUAUUGUCUGGAAAGGAAAUCAUUGAAACCCCAUGGGAUUAUAUAGAAACUUGAUGAAAUUUCUGGAGGCAUAAAGCGAAACAGUGAAAUAUUGAGAGGAAGGAGAUUGGUGGGGAAGAAUGUAUAAAUCGGUGGUUUACCAUGGGGAUGAGCUACUGGGAGAUGUAGAGAUUUACCCAGAAGAAAAGAAUGGCUACAAGAACAUCGAAGUGAAGGAAAUCAGAAUAACUCACUUCUCGCAACCCAGUGAGAGGUGCCCACCACUUGCAGUGCUUCAUACCAUUGCAGCCUCUGGAAUUUGCUUCAAAAUGGAGUCAAAGACCUCGCAGUCACAGGACACGCCGCUCAAUCUUUUGCAUUCCUCGUGUAUCAUGGAGAAUAAGGUAUAAAAACAUAACUCGAAUAUAAGAAAGGAGACCAAAAGACUAAAGUACGAAGAGAGAGAAAAAGACAGAGACAGAGAUUAAAACCAAUGAGUUAAACAAAAUCUUAAUUCUAAACCCAACUUUGUUCAUCUUACAAGGAUUAGAUUGUAAACAUUCCAAUCAUUUUGAGAAAAUUUUGCAACCUUAAAUUGAGAAUGGUGCUGGAAUUCUGCCUGACAUUUUGUGAAAUUUCUAUGAUAUCUGCAACUUAUCCUAAAUUGUCUUUCUACCUGUCUUGGUUAGACACCUAUGGAAGAAAAUGGGAAUGUAAAAUGGGCAAAGCUGACUCCUAAACUUUUAGUUCAUAGGAAGUUCAGCUAUUUGCUUCCUCCUGUUUUCUUGCUCUUUCCGGCUGGUGACGUUAUUUUGAAGAUUAUGCUGCUGGUAGUUUCAUUUUGGUGGUAAACUUGUGAUUUUGUUCUGCAAGAAAAUUAAAACAAUUGUUUCAAUAAGCUGAAAAUUGGUGUCAAAGUUAAUAGCAUGAGAAAACUUGAUUGCCCCCUGGAUUCUUUUUUUCAAACUUCUAAUAUUACUUAUGGUUUUGUUGUUUUGUAAAGUUGGAAGCAUUUCUGCAUUGUUUUUUGUCAAUGGGAUGGCAUAUUCUUCCUCAGUUGGUUGUUUUUGAUAUGGAUGUGUUGCAAACACUGAUGAUUUGGAUUUGUUUCAACAGACUGCUAUAAUGAUGUUUGGGGUGGAGGAGCUACAUUUGGUAGCCAUGUUUUCUAGAGAUCUUGACAAGCAGUAUCCAUGUUUCUGGGGCUUCAACGUUGCAAUGGGACUCUACAAUUCUUGUCUUGACAUGUUGAAUCUUAGAUGUCUUGGCAUUGUAUUUGAUCUUGAUGAGACACUUGUGGUUGCAAAUACAAUGCGUUCGUUCGAGGAUAGAAUUGAAGCCCUGCAGCGGAAAAUAAGCAGUGAGGUAGACCCACAGCGCGCUAAUGGCAUGCUGGCAGAGGUUAAGCGAUAUCAAGAUGACAAGAUAAUUCUGAAGCAAUAUGCUGAAAAUGACCAGGUUAUAGAAAAUGGAAAAGUGAUUAAAAGUCAAUCGGAAGUAGUGCCAGCAUUGUCUGACAAUCAUCAACCUGUUGUUCGACCUCUGAUACGGUUGCAUGAAAAAAAUAUCAUUCUAACUCGUAUCAACCCCCAGGUAACUAGAUUUAAACCAUGCUAUCUAUUUGCUUCCACUUUCCAAGGAUGCAAGGACCAUCAAACAAUUCACUUACACUUGUUUUUCACUUCAACUGCUCAUAUGUGCAUUCAUAUUACCCUUUUUUCUAGUAUCCAUGUUGGAUAUUUUUUCUCUCUGUUUUUAGAGUCUCCUAAUUUGUCUGUUUAUUUUUUACUGUAAUGAUUAAAAUUAAUCCAAACUGAUGUUGUUUGCCUGAGACAGGGUUUGGUUCAUUUAAGUGGUGUCUGAGUUCUUUAUAUGAUAUUUCAUUUAGACUUAUAAGUUGCUCAAUGAAAGUCAUAAGCUAUUUUGUGAAGUCGUUAAAUGCAAGUUAUAUUGGCUCAACUACUGCUAUUAUUUCAUAGAUUCGUGAUACAAGUGUUCUUGUGAGGUUGAGACCUGCAUGGGAAGAUCUUCGGAGCUACUUGACUGCAAGAGGCCGCAAGCGUUUUGAGGUCUAUGUGUGUACAAUGGCUGAAAGGGAUUAUGCUUUGGAGAUGUGGAGGCUCCUUGAUCCGGAUUCAAAUUUGAUAAAUCCUAAGGAAUUGUUGGAUCGCAUUGUUUGUGUUAAGUCUGGUAAGUUUAAGCCAAUUUCGUAAGAAGACAAAUAUUCCUUCCCAAACCGGUGGCACAUUUUUCCGAGGGUUGUUGAUGAAGAAGCUAAUUCCGAAACUGCUUAAAGUCCUGAUUUAUAGUUUUUCUAUCAUUUUGGCGAUUUUCAAUUGAAUUUUCUUGCUAACAUUCUUUUGGCCCAUAUCCUUAGGUUCUAGGAAGUCAUUGUUCAAUGUCUUCCAAGAUGGGUUUUGCCACCCAAAGAUGGCUCUGGUAAUCGAUGAUCGUUUGAAAGUAUGGGAUGAAAAGGAUCAACCUCGAGUGCACGUUGUUCCUGCAUUUGCUCCUUACUAUGCCCCUAAUGCUGAAGUAUAUUCUUAUUUGUAAUUUGGCAUUUCAUUUUGAAAAAAUUCUUUAAAAAUUACGCAACACUGAUUUAUUUCACGUUUCUUUUUCUUUUUGGGUAGGGAAAUAAUGCCAUCCCUGUUCUAUGUGUAGCAAGGAAUGUUGCCUGCAAUGUUAGAGGUGGUUUUUUCAAGUAAGAUUCAUAAGACUGCUAAAGUUUCUUACCGAAGGACAUGAAUUCUACUAUGCUUAUUUUUAAUAUUUGCAAAUUAAGGUUUUAGCUCUGGGAGAUGGUCCAAGUUCAUGCAUGUUAUUGGUUUUCUUUUGUUAAUAGCGGCAUUUCUCUGACUUCAGGGAAUUUGAUGAUAUCCUACUGCAAAAAAUUUCUGAUAUCUCAUAUGAAGAUGAUGUCAACGAUAUUCCCUCUCCUCCGGAUGUGAGCAACUAUCUCGUCUCAGAGGUCAGUAGGAAUUCCUUCUCAAAUUACUUUCCCAUAAAAUAAUCAAACUUAGUUUGAUAGUGAGGUCAUUGUUAUAAUCAAAUUUAGUGUUACUGCUUUUCCCUAUAGGUGGGAGGUCUAAUCCUCAUCACCACAAUUGUUGUACUAAAAAACAAUCUUUUCCCUUAUAUGUUUUUCAGGAUGAAUACUCUAUUGCUAAUGGAAACAAAGAUAUGCCAACUUUUGAUGGUAUGCCAGACAUGGAAGUUGAUAGAAGAAUGAAGGUACUGACGAAGAUUGGUCCUUGUUUGAUGUUAUAAGUAAACUUUCAUUUGCAUAUAUCAGGGAACUAAUUAGGUCAAGGGAAGUGAGUGUAAUAAUAUCUUGCAUAACAUUCUACUAGGAGGAAUGAAUUAGUUCUAAAAUUUUUAAGUUACCAUUAUACAUUUACAUCCAACAAUUGUUAGUUGUGGAGUGGAAAGAAUUUGCAACUUCAUUCAAUAAAAAUUAUGAUAAAUAGAUGUCCAAGAAUUACAAAGAACUAAAGAAGUGAGCAAACAUAAAGAAAUCAGUAAGCUCUCUGCAUCAAUUAGUCAUUGUUCCUGCAUAUUACUUUGCCUGCAUGUUACUUCAAGAUCUGUCUGUCAUACACAUGUACUCAGUCUUACAUAUACAUGUAUGAAACGGAUACCUCUUCCAUCUUCCCCAGGAUGCAUUUUUGGCUUCUUCAACUAUUAACAGUGCAGAUCCACGGGUUUCUUCUCUUCAAUAUACAAUGGCUUCUGCUUCUUGUUCUGUUCCACUUCCCCCAAAGCAGGUGACGAUGCCAUAUUUUCCAAACAUGCCACUUCCCCAUGUUAACUCAGUGGCUCAUGUGGCCCCAAAUGAACCAAGUUUACAAAGUUCUCCCGCUAGAGAGGAGGGUGAGGUACCAGAAUCAGAAUUAGAUCCUGAUACAAGGCGUAGACUCCUUAUAUUGCAACAUGGGCAAGAUACGAGAGAGCGUCUAUCAAGUGAACCCGCAUUUCCAGCAAGGCCUCCUCCAUUACAGCAGGUUGCUGCUCCACGUGCUCAAUCACGUGGAAAUUGGUCUCCAAUGGAAGAAGAAAUGAGCCCAAGGCAACUAAAUCGCAGUGCACGAAAAGAUUUCCCUGUAGAUGCUGAACCAAUGCCGAUGCGGGAGAAGCAUAGGUCAAAUCAUCCUUCAUUUUUCGCCAAGGUUGACAAUUCAAUUCUACCUGAUAGAAUUCCUCAUGAUAAUCAGAGAUUGCCAAAAGAGGUAAUUAGGCUAUGUUUUGCCUGGCUUUGACUCCCCCUUUUUUCAAAGAGAAAAGCUGCUGUAUAAUUCUUCAGUAUGCUUUUUUAAUCAUGCAUGCAGGCUUUUUAUAGAGAUGAUCGUAUGAGAGUAAGUCGAAGGCCAUCUAGCUAUCCUGCGUUCUCAGGUGAGAUGGCAGUUUGACACUUAAAUUUGUCCAUUUUUUGAAUUUUAUGGCGUCAAAUUUUAAUAGUUUUUAUUUAUUUCUCUCUUUUUUUUUUCUUCUCAUCUUAAAUAUUCAGGUAAUUAUUAGUUCGUCUGUCUGUUAUUACUCGGGGCUCUCUCUUUCAUUUUCUCAAUGAUUAGCAUUCAAAAAGAGUCAAACCCUUCAUCCUGUAACCUAGUGAACCACGUGUUUUACUUUAGGGUGAAUUUUCUUGUGGAUUAUUUCCAUAUCUACUCUCACAAUUACUCUGUAUUUUUUAUUUAGGCCUAGAGAUUAUAUGCAUUGUUUUCAUUGUGUAUGGAUGUUGUGUUCCAGAUUUUGAAUCUAAUAUUUUCAUUUCUCAAAAUAGAAUUCAAAUAUACCAGUUUUUUAGUUUAUUUAGGUUUAAAUAUAAAAUCCUUUAAAUCUCUAUCGAUUUAACUUCUAAACUAAAAGUUUUUAGAUCGUUCGAUAUUUUAGAAUGUUGUUAGUAGCAGAAUAUCUAUGUAAUAUUUAAUGAAUAAUUUGUAGUUUGUUUAACAUUUUGAAUUUUAAUAUUUCUAAUUGAUGAUAUUGUGACAAUGUUCUCUAACUGAAAAUUUACAUCUUGAUCGGCUUGCAAAUUUAAAGCAAAACUUAUCAUUAUUUUUAUUUUUCUACUCUUCGUUUUGUUAAUAACUAUCAUAUUAGUCAUUAUUAUAUUUCUUUGAGGUUAUGCUGCAUGCUGUAUUGCUAUUUUAUAGGUGAGGAAAUUCCAAUGAAUCAAUCAUCUUCAAGAAGUCGGGAUGAUGACAUUGAAUCUGGACGCUCCAUCUGGAGUGAAACUCCUGUUGGAGCUCUACAGGAAAUUGCAAUGAAGUUUGGCACCAAGGUAAUUGGGACAACUUUUCUCAUCAUAAAAAUUUGAAGUUUGUCAAUUAUGCAUUUGUUACACCCAUCUCUAGCCAGUCCUUGAGAUUUGAAAAAACUUGUAGGUGGAAUUUAAGCCAGGGUUGGUUCCCAGCACAGAUCUACAGUUUUCUGUUGAGGUAAUUUAUGAUUUCUAUCUUCAUGUUCUUUAUGGUUCUUCCUUGGAAUAUAUUUUGGAUACUGGAUAGUUCAAUGCCUACAUGAAUGAGAGUUUCUGCUUUUAUUUUUCUUUUAUUAUUAUUAUUAAAAAUUGAUCUAGUAUUAAAGAAGAAGAAGAAAACUAGGCUGGGGAAGAAAAAUCCCCUACUCGAGAGGAGAGAAGAAAUACUAUAAUAAUGAAAAAGAAGUGAGCGUUUACUCCAAAUCACAACCAAACUAACUAUGGCUCUAAAAGAGCUUUGAGAGCUUUCCCAUUGCUAAUGGUUAUGAAGAGGUUCCACUACUAGGCAGUGAGCCAAACACUGAGUUUUCUGCUUUGCUCUAUUAAUGUUGUGUAUUCCAAAUGUGGGAAGAUGCGAAAAUUCUAGAUUUAUUAAUAAUCCAAGUCUCAUGACUGGAUGGCCUUUUCUUGUCCAAUAGGACUUAUAUACCAUAGUAAAAUGAAGAAAUUGAUUAUUAAAUAUCUCAAGGUUAAAUCAAUUCUCCAUCAAAAUACAAGACACUAAUCCUGAUAAGCUUUUGGCUGAAUUAUAAAAAAUACCCCCUUUAAUAAAUCAAGGCCAUCCAGUCGUGAGAGUUUCAAUUAUAAAAAAUACAUUGAAUGUCUCUUUCUAAUGAGAGUUUCAAUUAUAAAAAAUACAUUGGACUACAUAUCCUUUAGAAUUUGAGUGGAAAUUGGGACUUGUAGGAUAUGGUGGCGUGGGUUGAUCCUAAUUUCCAUUAUAGGUCACCCUACACCAUUCCAAUUUCAACCUGAAAUUUCUACUCCAAAUGUAUUUUUUUUUAAAUCUUGUUAAAGUCCACGAGUAAUAUUGCAAAUUUUGAAAGGAUAGGAGCAUUUUUUGAACAAAUGAUUUGACCUACAUUGUUAACUUUCCAUGUACUUAUCUCAUCGGGUUAUUUAUCACAUUUUUCAAUUUUUAAGACCUGCCUGUCUCCACUUGUUCUGAUUAUAGAGCAUGUGAACCUGCUCCUUGCUUUUGUAGGCUUGGUUUGUAGGAGAAAAAAUUGGUGAAGGGAUUGGCCAUACUAGAAGGGAUGCUCAGCGACAGGCAGCUGAAGGUUCCAUAAAGAAUUUGGCUAGUAAGUAGUUUUGCUUUCUUCUCUUAUACUAUUUUAUGUUUACAACAUUUAUCUUUUGCUAUAUAUUGUUGACGUUAUACCUUAUUUUGUUGUUUGUAGCAAUCUAGAUAUGAAUAUUGUCUCUCCAAGAUAGUCUGCAGUCGUUUGGAAUAUUAAAAUUAUUGUUAUUGUCUUGCAUACUCUGUUUAUAAUGAUUUUAAAACAUGAUAACUCUUUGCAUUUUGGCCUAGGUCUGAACUACUUGGCUCAAUCUAGACAACUUAGCUUUUAUAUUUAGAUCAAUCGGUAAAAAAAUUUGUUAUUCUUAAUUCCUCCAAGGUUUUUUCUUAGCAUUGGCUGCUGUAUUGGGCAUGUGAUGUAUGUGUUUAGAAAUGCAAGCUUCAAUUAGAGCUAAAAUGCGAAGAGUAUGAGCGACCUCCGUGGUUUAUUCUGGCUUACAUACGAAAUAUUUUUUUGCAGACAUUUAUGUAUCACGUUGUAAGGCUGACCCUUCAUCUGCAAAUGAUAUGAACAAGUUUCCUAGCGACAAUGGAUCUGGAAAACGAAUGAAACUGGACUUCCACAGACAUCUUCCAAAAACUAAAUAAAUAUUCCACGAAAGCUUCUGCUCCAUGAAUGACUUCCAUAUUUGUUGACCCUCUAGUAAAAGCACGUUUCAGAAUAUUUGAGGUUAAAGGCCAUCAAGAGUCACCAUGUUGGACUUAGAAUACAUGGCCUUCUGCUUGUCUCGAUCAGAAUAAGAGGCAAACCGCAAGAUCAGCUCUUAUGCCUUCAUUCAAUUUCUUCUGAUAUCCAGCAACACGAACUCCACGUGAAUGUUCAUACUGAGGAGAUCCAGUUACUGCAUCUCUCUUAACCUUUAUGUUUUUUUCCUCGAGACCAAGAUAACCGGGAUGAGCCAUGAAUAUCUGCCUGCUUUAGUUGAAAAUUUUCUCCCAUUAAAGCUGAAGCCAUUUUUGUUAAAGAGGUGGCAGAAGGCUGUAGUUCAUGCUCAAUGCUCUCCUUUGGCAACUUGUUCACUCCAACAUGUUUGAGAUUGGCCGAUCAGAAUUUUAUUUUGUUUUAUUUUCUUUAUAUUUUUUGUGUUAAUAUUUUAUUUAAUUUGAUUGAGCUCAGGUCGAAAAUUGGCUGGUAUUCAGGAAUGUUUUCAUGAUCUGCAGACUCAUUAAUUCACUUUAUAACAAAGCUAACCCUUUAAUUUUAUGUUCCACACCUAAAUUAACAGUUAGGCUCCCCCACCCCAUGAAUGAUGUUUCGAGCUGGAGAACAAUGUAGUUGGUGGUAGAGUUGUAUAGAGUUCUUUUUUAAUACCAUUUCUGCUGCUUUUUUUAUUUCAAUGUCAAUGGAUGGAAUUCAACAUCUCCCAUAUUCUAUUUUAAGAUUGUUCUUAACAGAACUUGAUUGUUGUUUUUAUUUGUAUCAGGAUAAUAAAUGAUUCUUGGAAUUGCUAUCGCUCCUAAAUUUGUCACUUCGAAGUGGAAUGAAACAAAACAAUUGAAUUGAAUUCAAUAUUCUUAUAGUCUAUAGUAUUCCAAAUUUUAUUAAAUGAUUUUUUCUACUCUUCAAUCACAACAACGUAUUAAAAAACACAUUAAAUCAGAUCAUGUGUAUUCACCACUAAAUGCUUUUUAAGAAAUAUAUAUAUAUUUUAGAAAUUGAAACAUCAAGCCUUUGGUCAAGAAAAUUCGUACCAUCACAUUAGGAAAUGAAAUUAAUACUGUUAGCUCUCUCUUCCCUAUACAUAUAUCCAUGUAUAUAAAAUAUAAAGUUGAGGGACAAAUUUAUACUACAUGCUAACAACUAUUCUAUUGACCUAAUAAAAGUGUAUAAAGUGUUUAUUCCAAGUACGAAUCUUUUUCAAUGUUAAAUUAAUAUACAUAUUUAAUCAUAAAACAUCGAUUAUAACCAAGAGUUGCAUUUUGAUUGGGCAGAGUAUUAAUCUUUUUCCUUCUAAAAAUAAAUUUAAAAGAAGAAGAAGAACGAAGAAGAAUAGUUGAAAAAUGGUUAAAUUUUGGUCCUAUUAAUUACUUAAUGUGUAAAAAUGUGUAAAGGAUAUAAAAGGGUCAAAUUAGCUUCAACGAGAGAGUCAGUGAGUCAUCCCUUUGUUUCUCAUUUUACAAACCCAACCCACAAAAACACAUCUCUCUCUCUCUAUUUCUCUCUCUGCGGUGUUGGAGAGCGCUAAAAUGUCCACCUUCGACGCCUACAGUAUGGACGGUGAGGACAGCUAUGGCGGUUACGGAUCCUACACCAAUUUCUCCGGCGCCUUCCCCGGAGACGCCGAUGUGACCGUCGAGCAUACUCCUGCCUCGCCGGACGUCUUUGGAUUCGACGAUCCCAGCCCUAACUACUCCCAGGCUCCCUUUGAUCCGAUUCAUGUAGAGAAUGGAAAUGGAAAUGGCUAUGGUGCGGCUGAGGAUGAAGUUGGUGAUGGUGUGUUCGCAUCCGAUGGUCCAAUUCUUCCCCCUCCUAGCGAGAUGGGCGUGGAGGAAGGAUAUGCUCUUCGUGAAUGGCGUCGGUAAGAUCCUGUGACCCUCAAUUCAUUUUUUCAGAUUUCUUGGAACUGAAGAGGUUUUUCUUCUGCUGCUUGUGCUUUGUAUCUCGGUGUCGACUUAGAUCUGAUUCGUUGGCGAACAACUUCAGAUCUCUAUUAGUCAUCUCUUGCUAGUGUUUUUACUUGAUUGCACUGAUUGAUCUAGACUAUUUCUCCACUUUGUCUUAAUAGCUCUAUAUAGAGGGAUUUGAUGAGGGGAAUUAUAUUGAUCGAUUUGCAUUAAAAGGUGGUGAAUUAAAGAACUUAGAUCUAGGGAUAUCUGUACCUCAAUUGGUAGACUUCGAUGAAGAAGCUAUUUCAUUAGUGAGCUCUGAUCGAGGUUUUUAUUAGUAGAUCAGUUAGGCACAAGCCAUGGUGUCAAAUUUCUAAUUAUUAGUGGGUCUGUGUCGUUAUUGAUCUAUGUGGAAGUUCAAGCGGAAUUUAGGUUAAUUUCUCCAAGUUCAAGCAGAAUUCCAGCGGAUUAUUCGUAGAUCAGUCAGGGACAUAGCCAUUUAAGUCAAAUUACUAAUUAUCAGUUUGUGUAUAUUGUUGUUGAUCUAUGUGGAGGUUUAAGCGGAAUUCCAGCGGAAUUUGGUUGAUUAAUCAGGGAGAUAGCCAUUAAGUCAAAUUACUAUUAUUAGUGGAUGUAUAUUGUUGUUGAUCUAUGUGGACCGUGGAAGUUCAAGCGGGGUUCAGGUAAGUCUCUGGUAGAUAAGUAUGGACGAUUCGAUUUAGCCAUGACCCAUACAAAAAUGCAUGCGUGAUUCCUAAAGAGAAAUUGCAUGAUGUAUAUCAUCAAUUGAAAUCUUUUUAGCUAUUGUUUUAUUUUUCUUUGUUGUUUAGUUGUUUUAUUGGAUGUAACAAAAUGUCCUUGUUGACUUCCAUUUUCCUUUUAGAUCGCAGAAAGUGCAAUUUGUAAUGGAUAGCCAAUUUGAGUUUUGAAGAUGUAUUCAAGUAUAUAUCUAUUGUCUUUCGACUCUUUCCAAUUUUGAACUUUAGAAAUUAUGGGUUUUUUGGUGCAGCCAAAAUGCCAUUCAGCUUGAAGAGAAGGAGAAAAGGGAGAAAGAAUUGAGAAUUAAAAUUAUUGAAGAAGCUGAGGAGUAUAAAAUAGGUUUCUAUGAGAAAAGAAAGCUUAAUGUUGAGAGUAACAAGGUUAACAACAGAGAAAGAGAGAAGGUAUAGUUUUGUUUGCCAUCUUCUUUCAAGGGUGUGUUCUUCGUUUUCUUCUCUAGCUCUUUUUUCUUAGUAUAGAUUUUUCGCGUUUUUGGGGCAGCUAUACUUGGCAAAUCAGGAGAAGUUUCAUAAAGAGGCUGAUAAACAAUACUGGAAAGCAAUUGCAGAACUAAUUCCUAACGAAGUUCCUAAUAUUGAGAAAAAGAGAGGAAAGAAGGAUCAAGAAAAGAAACCAUCAAUACUAGUUGUUCAGGGUCCAAAGCCUGGGAAACCUACCGAUCUUUCAAGAAUGCGGCAAAUUCUCGUGAAAUUGAAGCACACACCCCCACCUCAUAUGAAACCACCACCACCCCCACCUGCCAAGGAUGCCAAGGACGCCAAGGACACCAAAGACGGCAAAGACGCUAAAGAUGGAAAGGAUGCCAAAAAUGAAAAAGAUGCAGCAACAAAAGCAUCCGACCCUACACCUGGGGCUGCCACGGCCAAUGGCACUUCUCACAAACCUCAAGAACCAAGUGUUGCUCCCGCUGCCGAUGAAGAUCAAACUGCUACAUAAUGACAUAGCCAUAGCCAUUAUCAACUUCUUUCUGCUCAAUACUUUUACAUUUUCCCUUUGAGAUUUCGUUGUUUUUCGUUCGUCUAUCCUUGCAUUUGAAUGUGUAAUCAGUUGUGAUCUUAUACAACAUUUAUUCUUCUGUACCUUAUGACAGUCUCUAGUGGCGUUAUGUUUUGGACUAGUCCAGGUUCUGAUUUUGACAUUGCCACAUCUUCCUUCUUUCAAAUUAUUUCUUCAGGUUAGCCUAUUCAUUUUCUCAGCCUAAUUUCUUCAAAUGUUGCUUCUGUAAUCAUGUGGUUAUUUCGAGAACUCUACAAUUGAUGUGAAUUCUGUUUGUGCUGUAGUUAAUUUCUUAUUCUUAAGGCUGAGUUUUGAAUUGAUUUUGAGUGACUCAUUUUGUUAAUAUAUAUACAUACAUAUUUUUACAAAGCUUCUUAAUACAAAAUCUUCAUUGAAUUUUAGACCAUUUGAUUACUUCUAGGAAGGUAUUUAUUUGUGCUAUUAUCUUAGUAUUUCAAUAUAGAUACAGUAGUUUGUUUAAGACAUUUCUUUACCAUCGAGGAAAGUAAGGAGUUGGAGGAUAUUUUUAACCUUUUGAAUUCAUUUCCAAUGAAAAACUAGGAUGCUAAAAUUCUGCAUAAUUUAGCGAUUAUGGAAGAAAUUACAUAUUUAGAUUUUGAAAUGUGUAAUGUUCUUUAAAUUUUUAGUUGAUAAGAAUUAUGUUCCUCCCUGAAGAUCAGAAAAUUCCAAAUAACAAUGGAGAAAUACUCUGCUACACUUAUAUUGAGUACUAUACUUUAUUAAUAUGAACAGGGAAAUAACUAUAACAAGAACCACAAUAAUCCAGAAAUCAAGAACUAGAAAAUAAGAAGGCUGGAAGCUUCCCUAAAAAUCUCACGCCUCCAAUACUUCUCCAGUCUCCAACACAUUCCUUUUAUAUUUCUCACCAGUGGGCUCCUCCCAAAUCCUCUCCUCCACCUGUCUUCUGAUGGUUUUUCAUCUUGCCCUCCCUCGUCUUCCUUCUUUUGUAGGUGUGAAUAAUUGGAGGCGUAACAAAAUAACACGGAUUCAGAGGGGUGCAGUACAAUAUUGAAUUUUGUAUUAUGUUACUCAUGCUAAGAAGGUAGUUGAGUAACAUGAAUUGCAAUUGGUGCAAAAGAGUCAUGUAGGAAAUAGAGAUUGUUGUGUCCAAUAGAAGAACAAAAAAGGAGAGUGUGUCUAUCAUAGAACAGAGAAAGGACAAAAGUGGUGAUAAUGAAGAAGAAGCAAACAAAAAAUGUCUGGGAAUCGCUACAUCGAUACCAUAAUGGGUGUUGAAACGAAUAAUGGAUUGAAUAUAUUAGGUCAAGUCCAUAGCUAAAGAACACAAAUCCAUCCUUAAAAGAUGAGUGAAACUCUCCAAGAAACGAAUAAUGGAUUGAAUAUAUUAGGUCAAGUCCAUAGCUAAAGAACACAAAUCCAUCCUUAAAAGAUGAGUGAAACUCUCCAAAAACCAAGUUCUAUAUGGAAAGAGCGUCAAAAGUUUUCUAAUAAACUCUAACCAUAACUUGGCUAUGUAGAGUCUUACAAGAAAAACAACAUAAUUAACUAAUUAAUACAAACUAUUAAAUACUAGUUUAUCUAAAUUAACAGCUCAACUAAGUUUUAAUUCAGAUAUAAUAAUUAUGGCUUUGGAGGAGCAAGAGUCUUCCUUUCUUCAUACAUUUUGUGUGGUUUAUCUUGCUAGUAUCUCGUGGUGUUAUAUUGUAGUUUGUUUUAGUUUUGCUUUCUAAAAAUAUACUUUCUUGUUAAUCAAAUAAAAGGUUUCUCUGAUCAAAUAUAUACAUAAGCUGUCGACAAUCCAACAAAAACAAUAACUUCCAUUACAACACCUAUUAUAAAAAUCCCACUUACUGGUAUAACAAAAAUAAGAUUUUGCAUAUUGACCAUAUAUCCUGUUCAUAUUACAUACAUCCUUUUGUGAUUUAUUAUUAGAAAAAUCUAAAAACUUGCUUAAUAUACUUAAAAGAAACCAACACUAAUUAAAAUCUCCAUCUUUUCAAGGGAAAAAAAUCAGUUUAGUUCAAGCAUAAGUCUAUCCAAAUAGAAAGAUAAACUCAAACAACAUAAAUCCCUUUAAUCUCUACAAUUGUCCUUUUAAUCCAAGAUCUCUUGGUUCUCAAAUUGAGCUAAUUUUUUAUUAGUUAAAGGGCUAUAAAUCAUUAGUGUUUUAACAAUAAAUAAACAAGGAAUAAUUAAAGGAAAAAAAUAAGUUUACAUUAUUAGAAUGCCAGCUUUAAGUUAUUCUAAGGACCAUGUUACUCUUAACAAGAAUACAUAAUUACUUAAUCAAAUACUUUCCAUUUGGAAUCAGCCAACUCAGCUUUAAUCAUCUUUUAUCCAUGUAGUUAUUCCAUUCAAAACAUUAUUCAUGUUCAAGAUAAACUUUUGAUACUAUAUAUAGAUCUUACUCAUAGAAACUUUCUUAUUGAUUUCUUUCCGAAUUUAAUUAUAUAAAUCUAAUUCAACCACAAAUACUAUUAAUAUUAACCGUUACUCCUAGGGUUAAUUGAUACCCAUAAAAUAACAAUAAUAAGGAAUGAUAUAAAAUGGUAAAACAUUUGCUUUUCAUUAAUCCAAUCUUAGAGAAAACUCUGAAGGUCCAAAUAGAGCUUCCGGAAGCAAAAAUAUGUACAAACAUAAAAACUUAAAAAAUAAAAAUAAAAAUUUAAAGUCACCAGAAAUUAGUAAUAAUAUAUAUAUAUAGUACUAUAUAUAUAUUAUUAUAGAAACAGAAAAGAGUUGAAUGAAUCAGGCAUGUGAUCCCCAGGUUGCCCAGUUGGCUUCACUUCCUACACGUGGCAUGGUGUGAACUCUUGACUGGACAUCAACCUUAAAGUUUGCCCCACACAUAACUCCCUCACUAUCAAUUCUUGGCAUUGCCUUCAUCUUCUUCGUCGGGUGUUCAAAACUCAUUAGUCCUCUCUCGCUGUGGAACAUACAACCUACCAUUUUAUACAAGUAAAUAAACUCCACGUCAGAUUGCAGCUCUUUUUUAAAAAAAACCAAAAAGGGUAUUUUUUCUCUCUCUUUAAUUUAACUAAUAAAGAGAAUAUUAUUUACCAGGUGGAAAUGGAGCAAAUGACUUGGCACAUCCGGCUUUAAUGACCUCUAACUUGUCCGAUAUUACAAGAGAGCCAUCAGCGGCAGUCCCCCAAUAUAAAUCCAUCCCCUCAUUUGCAUCCUGAAACACAAUUCGUUUUCAAAUCAAACAAUAAAUUAAACCCUAAACUUAAAUAAUAAUAUCCUUUACCCCUAAAUUUCUAGGUCUAAUUUCUUUUUUUACUUUGAAAGAUUAAUUUUCAAAAUGAUAUAUCCUUUUGAUUUUUGGGUGUAUUAGGAUGUACUUAAAAAGUGGUUUUUUUUUUAGGAAAAAAACCAUUUUUGUUUAACAAAUUUAGGGUAAAAACCUAUACUUUCCCAUAGAUUUUGAAAAGAUUGCUUACCAGAGCCGCAAAUACAGAGCCGGCCUUGCGGUCAAAAACUACAAAGGCGAAGUUUCCUUCGAGUUCUUUAAGAACCUGAUCAGCUGGGUAUGGCCCACGGUCUCUUAGGGUUCGAUAAGCUUCGAUCACGAACAUGGCUUCAUUCGUAGCUUUUGAAAGCCCGUACUGCUUGUUCAACCGACUCAGGUUGUUCAAACUCCCCUUGAACAUACAGUACAUUUCAUCUAAUCCACAAAACAACCUGCCAUUUUUCCCCCAUUCAAUCAAUAACUUCAAUACUAAAACAAACCCAUAAUUUCAGAUCUCAUAAUUUCACAGAUCAUAAAUUAACUAGUUCUUACAUUUGGUGGUGAGUGGAAUGAGAUGCAGAUGGAUCGAACGCUAUGGAUGCUGCAUUUCCAAAAUACAUAGACAGAGUUCCACAAGAACCGGAAGAAAGGAAAUGAUCGAGAAUUUCUCGAGGAAGUUUGGGCUUCGCCGUCGGUAGGCGAAAUGACGCAGGACUUUGAAGCUCCGGUGGUGAGGGAACGGAUUGGCUGUCGAAAAGGGCUAACAUCUUGAAUCUAUAAGCUUCACUUUAGUGAGAAGGAACAAGUUUUAGUUGUUGAUUGGAAUAGGGAAAGAGAUGGUGAAGAAGAAAGGAGAUAUGGUGGAAAUAUAUAAAGGGAGAGGAAGUUUGGUGCAGAGGAAUAAGGAAGCUGACGUGGCGAUGUUAUCCAAACUCGGAUUAAUCGGGGAUUUAUCUACGUGUAUUGUGAAGUACGGUUCCAAGUCAACUAUUUCCAGCUCUUUCCUUUUCAACAUUUAUCUCUUUUUAAUACUCCAUUUUUCAUAAAAUAAACUUCAAUCUACCCCUCAUCUCUUUAUCAUACAAAUAAUUAAAAAAUGUAAAUCCAUCUAAUUGUUGUCAAUCUUUUAUAUGUCAUCUGUAUAAUCCUCAGACACUCUUUUUCUAAACACAAAGAAAAAAUAAAUUUUGAUUUUUGAAAAGAUCGUCACAUGUCAUAAUUUUAUUUGACAAUUUCUUGAGAUACAAAGACGUAAGUAUAUCCUCAAUAGCACACAGGUUUUGUUUCCCUUUCUUCACAUUUACAUACAUACGAGAAUAAUGCUUAGAUUUGCUUGUUUCCACGCAAUCCUUCCGCCACGUAGAGAUAUAUAAUUAUAUAAGAAAACUCUCUUUUUAGAAAAAUAAAAUUUUGUCCCAUGCAUAUAUGUGUAUCAUAUUAUUUUUCUUUGUUGAAUAAGUUGUAUUUUAUUUUAUUUAAAGAAAGGUUGUGAGUACGUUUUUUUAUAGACCGCAUCUCUGUGUUUUGAAAUGUAGAACUUAACUUAGAGAUAAAAUAAACAAAAAAUGUAUGGAUAAUAAUAAUAUUGAAAAGAGAAAGAUCGAAGUUGUUAGACAUUUUUAAAAGUAAUCGAGGGUGAGAAACCAAAGUAGAAUAUUAUGACUUGGAGGGUGAGAAAACCAAAGAUCAAAUUCUUUAAUAAUAUUUCAUUUUUCAAAGGAAAGAAAUAUUUAAUGAGAUUAGUUAGUGAUAUUUUAAACUGUAGAGUGAGAAUAUAUAUCCAAGCAUUCAAACCUAUUUACAUUUUGAGCUAAUCCUUUAUUUUUUAGAUAUAUACGCCAAUAUCAAAAAGUAAAAAGACAAUGACAAAUGUAUUUCUUGAUCCUUCAUUACAUUUGAGAAUAUAUUUUAUUUUUUAGUUAUAUAAUUCUUGGGUGUAAUAGGUAAAGGUGAAAGUUUAAUUUCUUUGAAAUAAUACAGAUGUAAUUGUUACUAUGAACCUAAAUUAAAAUAAUUUUAAUGUAUUGUAAGUAGUGUGAUAAUUAAUAAGUGAGAAUGGUGAUGGUAGAAUAUUCAUAAAUAUAGAAGAUGGGAAAGGUAAAUGAUUAGUAGUGAUAAUAUAAGAUAAUAGUAAAGUAAUGAGUUAAGAGGAAAUGAUUAAUUUAGGAAAGAGGUAUAGAAUUUAAUUUAAUAAGAUAAUUGAAAAAGGUGGGGGGAAACACGUAUGAUGGGAUGGAAGCGUGUCAGAGUUAUCCAAAGAGAGAAUAUUUUUAAUUUUAUUUUAAGAAAAUGAGAGAAAUUAAUGGUAAUAAAAAACAACAACUUGGAUUGACGUGGCUCCUACUCACAAUAUCCUCCCUCGUGGGGCCCCUCUUCCUUCUAAGUUCUACCAACCCUUUCCACUUUUUCUUAUCCACCGUCACUCCUAUUUUAUCUAUAAUAAUUGUAUAUUUUAAAAUAUUAUAAAUAUAAUAAAAUAGGAAAGCAGUAGAUCUUUUAAAAUAUGUGUAUUUUUAAAAAUAGUAAAAUAAAUUAAAAUAUUUUCUAGUUAUACAAAUUUUGAAUUAUAGGAAUGAUACUCUCUAAAUAGUGAUACAAUUUUAAAAUUUUGUUAUAUGUUCUAAAUAUUUUGUUAAAUUUGCUACUUUUAUAAUUUACCUUUAAAAACUUGUAAAUAUAGUAAAAUAUUGGUGAUAGAAAUAUAUCGUUCAUAAAUUUAUUAUAUUUGUUUUUUUUCAAAAUGUUGUUAUAUACUUAGUUAUUAUUUUUAAAUUUGUCAUCUAUUUUAAUUACUUAUUUUUAUACAUUAUAGUUGGAUUAUAAUAUUUUAGUAAGAAUUUUUUUUUAAAUUAAAAAUUAUAUAUUUAAAUUCAUAGACCAAAAAACAUGGGAAGAUGAAAUGUAUUAUACUUGAUUUUUAUAUGAAGGAUAAAUAGGUAUAUUUUUUACAAUUUUCAUUAAAAAAAAAACUAUACAAAGGAUAAAACCUUCUUUUACGUUCUAACUAGAUAAUUUGAAUUAAACAUAAUAUUCUAGUGUUUCUUAUGCUCCAACCUCGAACUUACCACUACUGUUAUGUUUCUAUAGUAGUGAGUUGUAGACGGGGAGACGAAUGGCGUAGGGCAAACACAAGACAACACGAAUGGCAUGGGGUUGAUUUGACGAUGUGAGCGAACUCGAAGCAAAUGAACGACAGUGAUAAUCAAAAUCAAUGAACGGUAGAAGGACAAAAAUACUUUGCCCUGCAAAUAUUUUCAUUUAGUCUUAAAAGCACUUGCUAGUGUGGAUGCUUGUGAACGUGAUGUGAUAUGUGAUAGUGAAGCAUACUAGUAUCUCAAUGAUUAAAUGUUAACUUUACACGAGUAUACUUUGUUUUUUCUGAUCUCUAUGGUUACAAAUGUAGUUUUUGCAAAAUAAAAUAUUAUUUAUUUGAUGCGCAUUACUAUUUCCAUUCAUAAUAAUCCAAAGACUACCCUUCAAAAUUUCUAAAAGCAAACAAUUCGCUUUAAAAUAGGGAGGAAAAAAUAUAAAACCAAGCAUAAGCUUUUCAAUCUGUCAUGUCUAAUAGCUAUAGAAACUCACACACGUAACAACUCACACACGUAUAUGUAACUGCUUGCAAGUCGUUAACCACAAAAUUUCAAAGUUUUGAUAUUCAAUAGCGACCUUUGACCUUGAGUUUAUUGAUAACAAAAUAUUUCAAAACUAAAUUUGACUACUCAACAUCCAUACAUCCAUACAUGACUUAAACAUAAAUUGAUGAUUCAAAUAAAUAUACAAUAAAUGCCUGUAUAACCUUGAAGUAAAACCAUGGCAAUUAGGUUGAUGGUAAAUACAAAAUAUAUCAAAGUAUAAUAGGAAACAAAUAUUCCUAACUUUCUCCCUUAAAAACGUGAUGGUUAAACUUCCAAAAUAUAUAGGGACAUUUUCCAUAUAUUAUCCUUUUGUUUAAAGGAAAAUUAAAUAAAUAGAAAAUUAAAUACUUUUAAUUUAGAUAAAUAGCAAACAAAUUAUUAUACAAGUGACAAGACAAAAUAAAAAUUAAUUAAGGAUAAUUGUAAUUGAUGACAAUUUGAGAUAACAACAUUUAAAAAAAAAUACAAAUAUAGUAAAACUAUCACUGAUAGACUUGUAUCAUUGAUAGACUCGUAUGAUCUAUUGUGAUAGACUAAUUUUUACAACAUAAUCUAUCAGUGAUAGACUCUAUCAUUAAUUAAAUAUGACAAAUUUUGCUAUAUUUACAAUUUUUUAAAAAUAUUGCUAUAUAGUUAAUUAUUUUGAAUUUAAUUGUUAUAUACUUAAUUAUUUAGAAUUUAAUGGCUAAAUAAGAUGGACUCGCAAUUACCUAAACAUAAAGCCCAAAUAGUCCAGAUGUAACUGAGCAAACCGUCUGGCCCAGUUACAUAUGACAGCCCAUUUACUUUCCGAUUUUCCUUUUUUUUUUGUUCUAAAUUCCGGUCUAUAAAAAUGAAAAUUUAAAAUUAUUUGACCUUUGCGAAAAUAAAGACAAAAUAAUUUGAUUUGAAAUUUCCUUUUUAUUUGUAGUGAUAUAGGUCAGCUUUAUACAAUAAUGAUUAACUAAGUUACAAGCUAUUAUUAAUUAGCUAUAUUAGAAUGGUUAAAAGUUAUCAUAAACAUUUUAUACAAAAUAUAAUUCAGCUAUAAUUUAAAGCUAACAAAAACCAGUUAGAUGAAAAUAUUCAGUGGGAAUUUAAGAUCUAAUAUUUCAAGUUCUGUAUAUAAUAAAAUAUUGGAAAAAUAAAAAAUAAAAAAUAGGGAAAGGGUGAAGGAAUUGGUUCAUUCAUUUUGAUAUGGCAAAGCUUAUUAUUUAAUAAACACGCUUUUUUUAAUAAGAAAUAAAUAAAAAAAAAAAACUUUAUGUUGAAAUUCGUUCACAUCAAACACUUUUUUACACAUAUUUUUAAAUUUACUUGCGUGGAUUAAAAUUCCUAAGUUUAAUCAUUAUAUAAUCAACAUGUUAAUAAAAAGUAGACUUUUUUAGUGUGCAAGUAGAAUUUAGAUUAUUAAUAGGGGUGUUGAGUUUUAUGAAUUAGAUCUAGAAGAUAAAGUUAUCAUGUCCACAUAUACAAGUAAACCUAAUAAACGAAGGAAAAAUAAUUCAAUGAUAAAUCAAUUUUGUUCACAUUAAAUAUUGGAAUUGAGAAUUUUAGAAAAUGAAUCAUUAAAAAGAGAAUUAACUAAAAGACUGAAGUCCAUUAGAAUGAUAUCUCUAUUUAGCUAAGGGAUUGAAGACCAUUCAAAUGAUAAAUAGAGUUUUCCUUUGAAUAAUAAUAAAUAUUUAAGGAAAAUUGUAAAAAAUAUUUGUAAAAUGUCAAAAUACCUACUCAGUCACUUAAGAUCAAAUCAAUGUUCAGUUAAUGCAAUAUUUAUACCAUUGAAAAUUUCUUAGAAAACAUAAUACUUAACAAUAAAAAAAAAAACAUAUAUAUAUAUAUAUAUAUUUAAGAAUUCAUUAUACAUAUUUUUGUAUGAAAUGUAAAUAUUUUGACCAUAUAUAUACAUACAUUACAUUUUCCCAUUUUUUUUCUCUAGACUUUUAGACCAUAUGUAGGAAAGGUAGGAUGAUGAUCCUUCUAGUAAAAACAAAUGUAAAGAUAGCAAAAGAUGAUAGGUUUUAAUUAUUUUCUUCAACUUUUAGCCUGUGAUUCAAUUAUAUUUCUAACCUUUCAUAUUUGUCAUUAAACUUUUGACUAUUCAAAUUAUUUGAAAACAACUAUUUUAGUUUCGCAGUCUGAAUUGAUUUUGAAAAAAUGAUUUCAUGGUUAAACAAUUAAUUUUUUUAAAAAAAUUGAAUUAUUUGUUUAUUAAAAUAUUAAAAUUUAUAAAGUUUUGGUGAUUAAUUUUACAAAUGAAAAAAAAAAAAAAAGAUUGGAUGCACCUAUUUCAAUUCCUUGCCAUUUAUAGUUUAAUAUAUAAAGAAUGUGAUACGUGGGACAGACACGUAUGAGAUAGCCAAUAGAAAUUGAGAGUGACAGACGAAGGUGUUAGUUACAGAGCUUAUGAUUUAUGGGUGCCGUUGUUUUAGGCUUACGGUACGGUGAUAUCAAUGGUUCCAAACCAAUGCUUCAAUUUCUCACGUGCUUUGUAACCACCUCACCUUUACCUACACUCAAACUAACUCCCUUCUCUCACCCAUCCCCUCCUUAUUCUUUUUUUUAACUUGAUUUUCCUUUUAAUUAUUCAUUUUUAGUUUCUACUUUUCAUAAAUCAUAAAUCUUCCUUAUUCAUUUUUCAAUAAAUUGUGUUUUUUUAGUUUACUUUUGUACUGUUAAAUUUUAAAAGUUGUUCGUAUAUUUUUAUUCUAUCACAUAUAGGUUAUUAUUGUUCUUUAAUCAAUUUUAAGUGAUUAAAUUAAGAAAAAUUAUUAUUAUUAUUAUUUAAUCAAUUAUACGUGAUAAAAAUUAAGAUUUACUGAACAUACAAAUUAAAAUGAUAGUUUAAUGUUUGUUUUAUUAUUUUUUAAAAUUAUUAAUUUAUAUUCUUAGAAUUUUAAGAUAAUGUCAAUUUAAAGAUAAACUAAUAAAUAGAUCAACUUAAAUUUAUAAUUUUUGUGAGGUUAUCAAUUUAUAAAUUUUGUCUAAUAAUUAUGUAUUUUAAUUUAUUCAAUGUCGAGCAUAUAUACAAAAAAAAUAUUCGCGAGUUUUUCUCUAUUUUCUUAUAAUAACUCCUUAAAAGAUAUUUACAUAUAAUACAUAUAUGAUUUUCAAAUAUAAUCUAAUCUAAAUUGAUUUGCGGGUAAGAACUCAAAAGUUUAAUUAUUUGAAAAGAUUUUAAACAAUAUUUCAUCCUAAGAUGUAGGUGAAUAGUCGUCCAAUUCAUUAAUGGUGGAAUUAAGUUCGGAACUAACUCACGAGCUCAAACUUUCUUCCAUUAUCUUUCUCUCUCUCUCUGGCAGCGUCUUCACCUCAGUUUCACAUCCCUUUUCUCUCACAUCUGUGUUCUCUUGCUUCUUCGUGCAUGGCAGUGAGAUUGUUGGAUCAUCAACUCUCUGACAUAUGCCUUGGAAAGCCUGCACUGACUUCCAUCUCUCUUUCCGCCACACUCGCCGACGCUCUCUCUGCACUCAAGAAGCUCGGUGAGAACUACAUCAGCGUCUGGAAUUGCUCUUCCCAUUACUCCAAAUCCUCCUCCCACUACGAUUGCCGGUGUAUCGGCAAGAUUUCCGUUCUCGAUGUUGUCUUGUUCUUAUGUAAGGAAGAGAAUCUCUCCCAACCUGCCCUCGCGCUUCAAUCCUCUGUUUCGGUUCUCAUUCCUCCGGUUCCUGUUCUCGUAAGGCAUUUAGAACCUCAUGCUAGGUGCGUAGUUUUUUUUUUCUUUGCUAGAAUGUAUGGUUUCACAUUUGCCGUUCUCUUGGAAAAUUUAUAACGUUCUUGGUCUCUCUAGACCUGGAAUUGAACAUCUUUGUGUUUUUUUAUGGUCCAUCGUGACCAAAACGUGCAAUGUUCAUUUAAUUUUUCUUCCAUUUCUUGCUGGUUUUGGUUUCUUUAUGAAUCCUGAAUCUAAUAAUCGGGCUUUCUUAUUUAAAUUUUUUUAAUCGUUUUGCUUUGAUGCGUACACAUUUUCUGAAUUAGAAACGCCUUUUGUUUCCUUUACAAUUUGUAUGACAUUCACAAUUGUCUCUUGAAUCUUCAGUUUGAUGGAAGCCAUAGAUCUCCUUCUUGAAGGUGCGCAAAAUCUAGUUGUCCCCAUUCAAACUAGAACCUCUGCAAAGUCCAGAGAGAAGGUUCUGGAGGUAGUUGCUCCCUUUGACUGUCCCCUCCAUAAUGGCCUUGAAUAUUGUUGGAUCACCCAAGAGGACAUAAUCCGUUACCUCCUGAACUCUAUUGGGCUUUUCAGCCCCACCUCCAUCACUCCCGUUAAUUCCCUUAACGCCAUUGACACGGUCAACAUUCUUGCUUUACACUAUGACGAUCCAGCACUCUCUGCCUUGCCCCUCCUUUCUCAAGCCAUCAUCCACCAAUCCUCAAUUGCAAUUGUCGACUCAGAUGGGAAGUUGAUUGGAGAAAUCUCACCCCUCACAUUGAAUUCUUUUGAUGAAACCAUAACAGCUGCAAUUGUGACACUCUCAGCAGGUGAGCUAAUGGCGUAUGUGAACUGCAAUGACCCGCCCGAGUAUUUGGUUCAGUUGGUUAAAGACAGACUGGAAGGGAGAAACUUAAGGGGGCUGUUGGAGUGGGUGGAAGAAGAGUCAGCAAUGUCAGCAAUGUCAUCAUGUUCUUCAUUUUGCUCAUCUUCUUCAGAUGAUGAUUCUGGCUCGUGGUGGGGAAGGAGUGGAAAGUUAAGAAAGUGUUCAACCAGGCAAGUGAGGAGGAGCUCAGAGGUUGCUGUGUGCAAUCCCCGGAGUUCACUGGUGGCAGUGAUGAUUCAAGCUCUUGCACUUCGUGUUCCAUAUAUGUGGGUAACGGAAGAAGAUGAAUGCUUGGUUGGUAUUAUCACCUUCACGUCGAUGUUGAAGGUUUUCCACGAGCGUUUGAAAUCAAUGUGUUGAAAGAACACAUCAGCAAGAGCUUCGCCCUGAUCUUAAGCUGAAGCUAUAUAAUGAAGUCUACAUAGAGAGUGCUUUGAACUCAAUUGUGUUAUAUUGCUCACUUUAUUUUGGAGUAUAAUGUAAAUACAUAACCAGUAGAGACCAUUUCUUUUUGCAAGUUCAGUAACCAUAGAUUUUUGCAGCUUUCUAAUGAAAUAAACUUUUUUCUCUCUCUCUUUUCUAAACUUGCACAGCAGGAAAGAGCUCAUUCUUUGAUAUGUUUGCUUAUUGUAUAUGAUACAGAUCUUUAGAAGCUUUUUCCAUAAACACCAAUUUCUCUUUAUCAUAUCAUGUAUUGAUAGUCUCCGCAGGGUCGGUUAUUAAUACUAUCUUCUAUUUUGAAUUAUCUUUCUCAUAUGGGUAUCAAAGCAAGAAAAGAACAGCUAUGUCCACCAAUGAAAAUUCUCACAAAAUUGCUAAUACUGCCCGAACUGGAUUUCGGAUAUGCAGGACGAUAAGGCUUCCCUUACUUUAACAUUGUCGGAGUUCAUGUUCAGCGAGUCUUCAUAGAGUCGUUUCGCCUGCAGCAGCAACUUUGCCUUCUCUUUGCUAUUGUUAGGCCUUAACCGUGAUCGUUGCUGCAAUGUCAUAGCCCAUCUGAACAGAGCUGCAAGGUAGACGAUAGUUGAGUUAUGCACAAACCAUCAAAUAAAUAAUGUCUUUUUUUACUUGAUAAGAAAUAUUUUAUUUAGGGAAACAUCACACUUAGCUGAUUGCAACAAAGUUUUCCAAUUGGAUGCACGAAAAGAUAAGCUAAAAUAGACAAAAGGGUGCUUUGUUUUGCACCAAUACAAAACAGUAGACAAUAUCAAACCCAUAAAGUGAUCAAAAAAGAAAAUGAAGCUUGGAAAGUACGAUCAUUGCAGUCGACACAAAAAGUCCAUGAAAAGGAAUGCUUAAUAUCCAACUAAACCAUCUUUUUAGUACCACCAAAAGAAUGACCACCAACAGAGGCAAAAAAUAUGAAAGAUGUUGUUAGGACAUAGAGGAGGCUAACUAAAAGUGUCCCAAGUAAUAAUUUCCCUAACAAAUUGUCAAAGAACUACCUAAUUAUCUACGACCAGUCUAACAAACCAACCCCCUCAUGUAGCUAAUCUCUAUACUAACCACACCCUUUGUAGUUAACAGGAGACUAACAUCAGCAAAGUUCUGUCUUAAAAGCUUUAGGACCCACCCUGGUCCGGUCUCUUACUACUAAUAACAAAAUUUCACAAUAAGUGCAGCUUAUGCAACAGUACAGCUCUGCAUAAUAAAGAACCAGUUGGUAACUUAUGGCAACUAUCUUUUAAUGCUUCUGUAAUAGUCGUGAAGAGGGUAUUUGGUAAGUUGGCAAUGGAAUUGAUAUGUAGUACUCUAAUGAAUAGUCAAUAUAAAAAAACUAGAAAAAUCAAGACCUUGUUCGAUGACCAAUCGAUUUUCAGUUUUUUAAAUUUGUGGUUGUUGUUUCAAGAUUCCGUUAUAAGAGAUUCAUUUUUCUUAAGGAAAGAUUUGACUUUUUAUCCAAAUUUAAAAAACAAAUGCAAUUUUUGAAGAACUGCUUUUUUUAGUUUUUAAAUCUCAGUUUGGAUUUAGAAAACAUUUAUAAAUAAUAGAUAAUAAGAGAAAGAGACGUAUAGGUGGGAGUGGUGGUAAUAAGCUUAAUUUUCAAAAACUAAAAAUUAAUUGGUUAUCAAACCAAGCCUUAGGUAUUUGAUAUAGGAUUAAGACAUCGGUACUUAAUAGUAACGUGAGUUUUAGAUUCCCGAACAUUUAUAUUUUGGUUGGCUUCAAACUAUCAAUUUCUAAAAUAUUUUUAGGAAAGUUUCCUAGAUCUCAAUUUUAGUGUGUACUUUUAUGAUAUUUGAUUUGAGUAGCAAGUCUAGAAAACGUACCUUCAGGUGCAUAAACAUUGCCUCUUGACAUCAUUGCAUCAAAUUUAUCAAUGGCAGCCAAAAAGACCUUAUCAGCAUCAAAGGCCGCUUCCUGAAAUUUGAUAUGACAGAAAGAAACUCUUAUAUAGCGUGAAACAUCAUAUAGCUUAAAAAAAAUAGGCUUCAUGCGGAUGAUAGUAAUCAAACGAUUACAAAAAGAAAAGUUUUCUAAACAACAUACAGGUUAGCGAUGUGCAGGACAUGGUACUCACCGGUCCAACAUCUGCAAUCAACUGGGCACGAAAGGAGAGGGCAAGACCCCAGUUAUAUAGAGCUCGCACAUCAUUCCGGUCAAUGGAUAAUGCCAUUCUAUACCUUCUACCUGCCAUCACAAGGAGUUCUUCACACUCUUCACACACACUAAUGAGAAUGGAUGUUAGCUUAUCUCUUCUAGUAACAGAAUCAUCUAGUCCCUCCACCAUUUCAAACCAUUUCCCAACAGAUCCGGGCUCUUUUCCUGCUAGAAGUCCUCUUAACUCGCGACUAAUUCUUAACUUUAAUUCUCCAUGAAGAAGAUAAGUAUUUCCCAACUGGCCAACCGCCAACAAACUCAUGGGCUUCAUAGUUGUAGCUUUUGCCAACAAACUAGCAGACUGGCACAAUAUGACCUCAACAUGUUCUUCAUCACGUCUAUACUUCAUCAAAUCCUUGGCUUGUUUCAGAAGAUCAUUAGCUUCCAUAAGACAUUUAUUGAACAUUGCAUCGUCAUAAAUUAUUGAAGAUGACGACGAAGCAACCUUGUUCUCUUCUCCAAAUGGUUGAUCAGUUAAAUGGGAGCUUUCAUUUUUACUUGCCCCAUCUUCUCUGAACUGGGAUCUAUAAAGUUCACUUUCACUCUUUGACAUGUGGGAGGACCUAUAAGCUCCAAUACUUUCAUUGAAUCCACGCUCUUCUGCAAAUGAAGUUUUAGUCUCCCUAUGUUUCAUUUUGAAACUAUAGUCCCCAGGAUCGAUCAAAUUAUCACUGAAUCGUGAACUCUCGAGUUUGCUGUUAAAACCCAUGUUAGAAAUAUUAAGGCAAUUGUCUUGGUACUGCAAUCGAUUAUUCUGGUAGCUAUACUCUUCAUCAUUAAUAAAUCUUUUGGAACUCCCGUGCAUUCCCUUUGAAUAAAUUCUAUCUCCCUCUUGAGUAAUGUUAAUUUUUGUAAAAUAAUCCAUCUCCAUAGCAUGCUUUUUCCUCGAUUCCUCAAUGUUAUCUGAACUUAUGGCUGGAUUAGAAUCAGAAUCAGUGUCUAUUGAACCAAUUUCAGACGGUAUUGAGCUCUUUUUAGUUUGAUUGGCAACCGAAUUGAUUGCCAUUUGUGGCUUAACAUUGUUUUUCACUUUGUUAGGCUUGGAACCAACCAACUUUUCUCCAAGCAAACUGCCAAAGGAUUGCAAAAGCUCAAACCCCACGUCUCCUAGGUCUUUAAUUUUCCUACUUGGUUUAUGAUUCUCAAGAAUAACAGCUUUGGACUUGCCUCCAUUAUAAAUCAAGGCCUCAACAACCUUCGAAGCAUUGGAGGUUGAAAAAUCACUCGAUUCUAAAAUUUUGACAUAGCUUUCUAAAUCCGUAAGUGUAAUUUCCCUAGAAUCAAUGGCGUUCUGUAUACUACAUUUCAAAUUAUCAAGUUUGACAGCAAACCCAUCAAAAAACUUCUCCAAAUUUCUUAAAUUCUCAGCGUGAAACCCAGAAAUUUCCUCUUUCCCCCGAUUUUUAUUUCCAAGUAAAUUUAGCUCAUCUAUACUUCCACCACGAACAAACCCAAGAGAAAAACCAACAGCAAAAACAAAAACAGAAGCUGGAAAAACAGCAAUUGAUGAAACUUUAACUCUGGAAAUGGCCAGAGCACAUAAAAACCCAAAGAGAAAUAUGAACAAAUGUCUUUUAUGAUCGAUGCCAAAGGAAACCAAAAAAUUACGGAACUGAUCUGAAUCACUUACAAGUCCAUUAUCAUCCCAGCCGCCGUAUCUUGCGGAGUUCGUCAGGUUGUAAUCUGCGUUGGAACAGAAUAUGGACGUUUUCGGAAGCCAUCUCUUCUGGUAACGGAUUAUGAGAUUUGGGUUUUGCCAGUGAAAUAGAUUAUUGGGAGCUGGGAAAUGAAGACAGGAAAAGCAAAUUGCUUUAUUAGAAAUGAGGAAAUUCAUUUGGAGAGGAAGAAUUGAAAGAAGAUCCAAUCACACGGCAACUACGGCGGUCGCCACCGCUUUCAAACGGCGUGUUCCGGUCAUAUAGAGAUGGAUUAGGAGCCUGCGGUCAGAGUGGGGUUACGUGCAUACUGAACAAUCGAUAAUAAUUUUGAAAUAGUGAACCUUCUAACAAACACAUGGUGAGCCAAUUGGGCUAAUCGGUUCACGGUCGUGGUUCACCUUUUUUUCUAAAGGUAUGAUGUUGAAAAUAGUUACUGUACUAAAAACCCACUUACCAAAAUACAGCCAGUGCACCAACACUUCAAUAAAAGUAUAUUUUAUAUUAAAAUAAAAUAUUUAUUUAAUAUAUAUUGUAAUCUGAAACUUAAAUUAAUAUAAAAUAUAAAAAUCAGUGACAUGACAAGAUCCCUUGUGCAAAUAUGGACACAAAUCUAGAAGUUUGGGGGUAAAAUUUUAAACGUGUUUAAGUUUGUUUUCGAACUCUUUAAUUGAAAGAAAAAACCUACUCUCCUUUCCUUGACCAAAUAAUAAUAAUAAUAAAUAUCAAUAAAAUAGCAAAUUUUAAAAUUAUCUAAAGGACUAAUACAGAAGAUAAAUUCAGUGGUUACGAUCAUGAGAGAAGGUUAACUUAUUACUAGCUUAAGUUAUCAACUCAAAUUUCAAAAUGUACUAACUCAACUCAAUAGUAGGUUAACAAUUAACAACUUUGCAUGCAACUUUAAAGAAUGCAUUAAUUUGCUCACUUCACUCAACAACUUUGGUUCCUCCAAUAAAAAUAAAAAGAGAUGUUUUUAUUAUUGAAAAUAAAAUUAGAUUUGUUCUAACUCUUAUAUUUCACGCUUUUUCUUUUGGACUCUUUAAAUUGGAAUUGAAUUGUAGGACUUUAUAUUUUACUUUUAUUUUCUAAAGCAAGUUUGACUUUGUGAUGACUAUACGUGUACUCUGCUUCAUUGCAAUCUAGUACAGAUUAUAUCAUAAAAGUGCUUGCUUAAUUGAUCACUUUUUGUGAAUUUUAAUAUAUUAUUAUUGCAAAGGAAAAUAAAAACCUUGUUUUUUUGUUGGUAAAUUAUAAAUUUGGAAAUGGACCACAUUUACUUUUGCUAAAGUUUGAAAAUAAUAACUCUUUAUUUUAAUUUUUUUGUGUUGAAAAAGUAUUUUUAAUAGAAGUUGGUGGAAGUUUAUUUGAAUUUAUUACUAAAAAAAGUCAAAUUUCUUUUGGACUGGGGAGAGUGGGUACACAAUACCACUCAUAAACUAAUUUGCACAUAAAAUUAAUCAGACAUUGAACUAGGAAAAUCAAUAUUCAAUUAAUUAAGAAACAAAAACUAAUAUUUAUGAAAUUGAUAUAUACUAAUAUUCUAUAUUAUAUAAAUUAAUUUCCAAUUAACAUAGCAUGAUCCAAUAUCUAAAUUGCAUGUACUGUUUUUCAUACUAAAAACUUAGAUAACUGAUUUAAUAACACCCUUAUGUAUUGAACCAAAAAAACAAUUAUAAAAAUACGAUCAUUAAAAUGAAAAAUGUAAAAAUGAGUUAAAAAUCAAAGUAUAAAAUACAGUAGGAAUGAAUUAUUUAUCGAAUCUAUUAGUUUUUUUUUCCUCAUUAAUUACAAUAAAUUGAGUUGAUGUAAAGAAAUGAAGUAGGAACUGAUUCUUUAUUAGGUUUAAUAGUUUCCUUAGUACAACGAACGGGUACGAGGGAUUUGAUUCAAAAUUUCAAAGGAAAUAAAGUCUUGUAGGAAUUAUUAAUUUUCCUUUUCUUUUUAUAGAAUUAGUAGUUUUUGUAUCAGAGCACUAUUUUUCUAAUUAAUGAUUUGGUUUAUUUUUCUCUAAAUGCCUCAUUUUUUUUAUUGCUUGAAUUUGUUUGUUUUUCAAGAUUAAAGUGUUUUGUUAGUUGAUUUAGUAUGAAUAUUAUAAAGGGUAAUUCUAUAAUUUGGUCUCAGUGAAGAAAAUUCAAUUUCAUAACUUACUAACACAAAUAAAAAGAAGUAGCAAUUGCAUAUAAUUAAAACUUUGACAUCCAAAUUAAAAAUUUCUAAAAAAACAUCAAAUUUUAAAAUAAAAUUAUCCCAACAAAGUAAAGACAGAAGCAAAUUAACAACAACCAAACGAAGUUCUUUUUAUAUAUAUAUAAAAAAAAAAUUGGCCUCACUCUCAACUAAACGAAGUUGGUAAUUGGUUUUAAUCAAUAUAUUAAUUGAAGUCAAUUUUAAAGUGUUAUCGAAAAUUGAAAUUAGUAUAUUUCGAUUAUGAUAAUAUACUGUCAUUUUCUCCCAUUUUUUUUAUAGAUAAUGUAUUAUUGUCCGUUAAUUGUGAGUUUUUUUUUUUUUCACAUAUCUAUACUUUUAGGGAAAGUAAAUUCCACACAGAGAGAAAUUCGAACAAAGAAAAAAAAAAGUAUAUAUGUUAUUGGUUAGCUCAAAUUUGAUUUGAAAAUGGUAUUAAAUUUAGUUUAGUGUAUAGAUUUAAAAUGUUAGAAAAUAUAUUUGUGGAGAAUAGAAGAGAGGGGUGAAAUGGUAAUUUAAGAGGGGAGGAUAUAAGGUAAGGAUGGGGAGUGCGUGGAGGGGAAAAGGAUGAUAGUGGUAAAGUGGGAGACAGAAUACAAAUAUCCCAUAAAACCGGUUGGCACAAAUGGAUAAGGCCGUCUCCAAUUAAACGCUGCGUUUAGUUAAUCUUUCCUUUUUUCUUUCAAUUAAUAUUAUCUCUUAUCCUCUCUAAUUAAUAUUUCUAAAUAUUUUAUUAAUUCCGACGCUCCAAGACGAGCCUUCCAUCUGCCACCUGUCCUUCCCACUCUCUGCCUUCGCCUUCAAGAGCCACUGCACCGAAGCAACACCAAGGUCUUAUUACAAAACCCACACACACACUCUCUUCUAGAGAGAGAAAAAAUAGAGAGAGAGAAGACGGAACUCGCACGCUGCCUACCCACUUCUAGAGAGAGACAGACAGGCUCUUUUUCUUUCUUCCACAGCGAAUUAGGGUUUUUUUCUCUCCCUUUUUUUGGAGUUGAAUUUUUGUCGAAUUGGUUGUGUUUUGCUUCUUUCUUUCCCCUUCGGGUGGAGAUGUAUGUUUCUUCCAUGAGAAAGUCGUUCAAGGACUCUCUCAAAGUGCUUGAAGCUGAUAUUCAGCAUGCUAAUACUCUGUAAGUCAGCUUUUUUUUUUUUUUUUGGAUUUUUUUUAAUCUUCUCUGCUUUGGAUAUCGUCUUCGACUUUCUGUUGAUGUCCUUUGUCUGAUCAUUUCUGGGGUUUUGGCUUCUGGGUUUUUUUUUUUAUUAUUUUUGGGCUUCUUUCUUCAAUUGAUUGUAAUGCAGUUUCUGGGUUUUGAAUUUUAGUGUUGUGGGCUUGAAGUUGCUGUUUAUUUGUCCUUAUUUUAUUUUUUUGUUAAUUAAUGAUCUUCUGGAACGUGAUUGUUGUUUACCUGCCGUGUUUGAAGCUGGGCUAACGUAUUUUGAGUAAUUGGUUUUUCAAUGAUGGUUCCUGUCUUGGUAACGCUCAUGUGCACUUAUGCAUAGAGACAAAUUUCGAUUCUCUCUGUUUUACAGCUGUAUUUCUUGUAGGGGAAACCGUUUGCUCAUUUGACGUUAGAUGAUUCGUCAAUGUACAUGUCCCACAUAAAAUCUUUUGCCCUUUUUUUUUUCAUGUUUUCUUCUUGAGUUAUUGGCGAUGUAUUUUAGACCUUCUCUAUUAUGCUAUCUGCAUUUCAAUGUGGACCUUUGGUUCAGAUAUUGAACAAUGAUUGACGUAUUUACAAACUCGAGAAGCGGAUUCUUUGUAUAGCUGUCACCUACUACUUGAAUGUGUCAUUGUUUGGUUCUCUAAAUGGAGUGUUUAUGUUGUAUUAUCAGUGUCUUAUUCCUCAAGUUCAUUAUCAUUUUCACAGAUUCAUCUACUUCCUUGUUGUUUUUCUUGCUUUUCUUAUAUUUUGCUUUCAUUGCUCAAAACCCUGUGCUCUGUUUUGUAUAAUUCAAGGGAAGUGACUCAGGUGUACUGUUGACCAAUCAAAUGUUUUACCUUCGUACCCUGUCUGUUAAACAAAAAAGUUGAAUUUUGUAGGUGGUAGUAUCUCUGUGAAAUUGUUUAGAACCCAUUUAAUCUUGCUUCUUGCUCUCGGACGUUUGACGUUCAUUCCAAUUGUCUGUAGUGUGAUAACUCCUUCCUUCCUAUUCCCCAUCAAUGAUUAAAGAAAGCACAUUUCCUUUUGAAAAAAAUUACUAAGCAAGAACAACUUCUGAGUCUUCUGUUCUUUUUUAAUUUGAUAUUGUGAGAGACAUGAUCUGUCUCUUCUUUUAUUAUUUCUUAAAGAGAUAAAAGGCCCGAAAAAGAGUUGCAAUCGGCCAUAGUUCUAUUUUAAUCAUGCUCCGUGCCCUGGUCUGAAAAUUUACAGAUGCAUUAAAAGCUGAAAUGUUUUGUUGUUUCUGCUUGGAGAUUCUCAAGGUUGCUGGUUUUGUCAGACAUGUCAACUUAAUGUUCAAUUGUUCCUGAGUUGUAGGGCAUCAGAGUUCCCCGGGGAAUACGAUGGCCCCUGCCUUCAGAUGAGAAUGUCAUACAGUCCUGCUGCUCACUUGUUCCUCUUUCUAGUGCAAUGGACUGACUGCCAUCUUGCAGGAGCGCUUGGACUGCUGAGGAUUUUAAUUUACAAGGUUAAGUUUGUCACCUCACACAGUCAUAGUAUUCCUUUUUGUAAUUAUCACUAAAAUCUGAUUUUCUUCUAGUUAGCACUGCUGAAUUCACUAUGCACCUUGUGCUGCAGGUCUACGUGGAUGGUACAACCACCAUGUCUACCCACGAGAGAAAAGCAAGCAUUAGGGAAUUCUAUGGUAAUCUUCGUGUUUCACAUUUUCCAUCAGAUGAUUGUUUGAUAUAAGUGUUUUUUUUUACUACUGACUGCUGUAAUUGUGCUGUGAUCAGCUGUUAUUUACCCCUCUCUAUUGCAACUUCAGAGAGGUGUUACUGAUACUGAAGAUAAAAAGCAGAAAGCUGUCUGCAUGGAAAGGUACCGAAGAAGAGACGAUGAAGAAUGUAUACAGCGUUCAGAUGCUGACAUUGAACGGGAAGAAGAAUGUGGAAUAUGCAUGGAGACAACUAGCAAGGUUGUAUUGCCCAACUGCAAUCAUGCCUUGUGCUUGAAAUGUUACCGUGAAUGGUACUCUCAUCUCUUUUGUUCUGUUUUUUCAUCUCUCUAACUUAUUGCAAGAACUUGGAAGGAUUGAUUAUGGAUUCCUCAGGCUAUGUACAGAGGCUCCAUUGAAAUUUUCCUGUAGUCCUUAAUAUUUUCUUGACUUCAUUACUCACAAAAGCUACAGAGCCUAAAGCCUUCUGCUCAUCUUUAGUUAAUUGGAUGGAGGCCUUGUGAUGUUUUUCUUUUAUGUGCAUGCAUUUAGAUCACUGCAAUUAAUUGUUUGAUGCCGUCUUCUUUACAACUUAUAAGAAAUAUUGUCGAUCGUGGUUUGUAUUUUCACAUCCAAUCCUUGGACCUCCAUUGGUGAUUUUGUUGUCCUGCAUGCUAAUUUCUGUAAUCAUUUGGCAUAGCUAUUCUUUUAUGCAUCACAAGUUUAAAAUUUGCAUUAAUCUUAUACACUGCAAGACAUGGAUAUCUCACGAUACUGAACUAAUCCAAACUGAAUAGUGUGUCAUUUUUCACUUACCUGGUUUACUAUUGUUGUAAUUGUCUUUUACUUUUUGCUUCAUGAUCAUUCUUUUGUCAUGUAUUUGUUUCUAAUCGAUGAUAGUCUCACCUGCCCGAUGAAAUGGUUUGUUUUUAUUAGUUAUGAAGCCUGGUAAAGGUUCUCAGGUACCUAAUGACUCAAAACUUCAAUAAUUUGAUUUCCUUCAUAUUAAGCAAAUUAGAGGACUGGAUUUGAUCGUUCACUUACUUCGGAGCACCAUUCUAUUGCUCUUCUGAUGAAUUAUUGUUUCAGUUCUUUCUUCAACCGUUUGGGAUGAUUGUUUUUCUUUAAAAAAAAAAUUAUUUCUCACUGACUGUAUUCAUAUUUAACUGCUUGCUCCAUAUAUCGACUUCAUAUAAUUAUAUUGUUCUAUUAAAUGUACUUCAGGCGAACACGUUCCCAGUCAUGCCCGUUCUGUCGUGACAGUCUUAAGAGAGUAAAUUCUGGUGAUCUCUGGGUAUUUACUGAUAACAGGGACAUUGUGGACAUGGCAACGGUGACUCGAGAGAAUCUGAAAAGGCUUUUCAAGUACAUAGAUAAAUUGCCUACUAUUGUUCCAGACUCUCUCUUCGACGCCUAUGAUACACACCUAAGAUAAGUGAUUGGUACAUACAUAAUCUAAUGUCAAUCCUUAAGUAGUUCCUCUCCAAAUGAACAGUUUUUUUGUUAUGAUAUGGCAUGACAAAACGACCUAAAUUCAUUCGGCUAAAAAUUAGUAAGAGUUAGAGAAGACUUGCAACUGUUUCUUCCCACUUCCAUUUCUGAAGGGAGAAAAAACCAGUCUUUGAGUUAUUGUAGACUGGUAUUGGGUGGGUAAGUUGAUAUGGUUUGAUUUAAAGUCUUCCAUAAAAAUUGUAUUUAACACAUUUGUAUAUGUUUGUACAUUCUUGAUGUUAUCUAUUAAAGCAGCUUUGAAUGCUUAAUUUUUUCUUUGCAACUUUGGGAAAAAGAAGAUCUCUUUGAGAUAUGAUCUCCUCACCAAAUCAUUGAUUAGAAAGAAGAAAAGAAAAAGAAAAAAAAAAGACAAGGCAUGUGAUGAUGACAGGAAGUUGAUGGGUUAUGAGUAUAAAUAAUGAUGCUGAUGAAACAUUGAACCGCUUUUCUAUAACUGUAUGCCUUUUUUCAAAUUAUGUUUACUUCAAUUUGGUUCAUCUUUAAAUGCCUUGCUUUAAUAUGGGUUAAUAAUAACUUAAAUGCCUUGUUUUGGCAUGGGUUUAAAACCAAAAUUUCCCUAUAUCUUUUUGAAGCACUUUAGUCGACUUUCAAUUGUAAUAAUUCCAUCCUUAAAUAUCAGUAUCUAAUAGUUUAACUUUAUCAUAAAUUAACUUAGGACUUGAUACGACUAAAUUGGGACAAAUUAACUGUGUGGUGUACUGUUUGCAUUUGCUAUUCUUCUCUCUUUUCUUAUUCAGUAAAUGUCUAAUAUAAGCAAUUAUUAUUAUUGGUUGAGUUAAUGUACGUAAGACGAACUUAAAAAAAUAUCAACAAAAACUUAGCAAAUAUAGAAUAUGAUGCAUUUAGAUGCAAACAAAAACUGACCUUUUCUUAUAUUCUUCUAACUUUAUUUCCCAUGUCAUUUUCUUCCAAUUUGGGGGAUUAUUUUUGGUGAGUUUUUUUUCCCUUUUCUUUUUUGUCAUUAUAUCCUAUUCCAAUAAAUAAGUAAAUAAAAUUCACACUAUCUGCUUUUCAAAUGUAAAAUACAAUAUUCGACCAAAUAUGUUUUUACCAUUGUGUUUCCAUUCAAUGACGUGUUACUAAUCAAUAUUACUAACCUCUAAAUUAAACAAAAUUAAAUCCGUAUAUUAAAUUUAAAACAAAUUUCAGUUCACACAAAUAUAAUUCAAUUGGUUAAAAGUGGUAUUAAUUAAUCUCUCCCGUACAAAAGUUUGGAGAAGAAAAAAAAGACGAAAGACUGUUGAAUAAAAAUAAACAAACGGCCAUCUUCACUUUCAAAUUGGAUAAUGGGAAUGAACGUUUUUCCAAUAGCUUCGCCAUGCUUUCGAUUUCAACCUCCAUGGCCAUGAGGCCCAGACCCAUUUUACAAAGAGGAGUGUUAAGGAAGAAGAACAGGAGAUGAAGAGGAAGGUUCAAUGUCGUCUUCUGGUCUUACAUGGACUAGCCUCACGCUUCAAGCAGGCGCCAGAUUCCCCUCAAUACCCUCAAAUCAAGGAACUAUUUGGCCCUGAUCCCCUGGCUUUUAUUGAGGUAACUUGUCUCGCUUUAUUACGCCUUACGUUUGAAUUAUGUGUUUAAUGCCGCUUUUUCUGCCAUUCUCUUUACUUUCUUUUUUGCUCUGUCCAAUGAUUUUUCAUUGGAUUUUGGUUUCCGAUACUGAAUUUAUAUAUUUUGAGUGAAUUUCUGUUGUAUUUUAUUGGUUCGGUAUGAGUGUAUUCCUUGUUCUGCCUUGGUUUGUGCAUCUUUUGUUGGCUAAUCGAACGUUUCUAGGUUUUGAUUUCGAUGCUAUUGUUUCUCUUUUAGCAAUCGGAUCUUGCAUUUAUAGCGGUUUUGAGAGUCACUGCGCGUAAAUGCACCAUCUCAUUUGUUUCGGUCAUUUUGAUUGUUUACUUCAAUUAUUACAUCAUACAUUUUUCACAUGCAAUGGAAACCUUGUUCAUCUUUUGUUCUGCCUGAAGAGUAUAAUUGUUGAUGUAAUACAAGAACUACAAUCUUAGUGGUUUCCAUCUCCACAAAUACGUUUAUCACUUCAGUUUAGUCCUCUUCAAUCUUCAUUGAGCCCUGGUUUCAGCUAUGGAACGAGCAUUAUCAAGCAUCUUGAAACUAUUGUUAUCCUACAGCAGUUUUUCUACAGUUGAUAAUUCUACUUUUAAAUGUAACCAAAAUUUUUGUGAUUCUUAACUCUUAAGCAUUAUCUAAAAGCUUGCAAAUACCUUAAACCAUCUAAUAGUUGUUUAACACAAUAACAAAGCAGAAGUCUGUGGAAAAUCAAAUUAAUAUUUGAAUAUAUAUAAUAAUUUGUUUUACAUAUUUAUUCAUUAGUAUUAAAUUCAUUUUGAAUCUGCAUUAACAACAAGUUGCUGUGGUGUAGUGGUUAUCACGUUAGUCUUACACACUAAAGGUCCCCAGUUCGAUCCUGGGCAGCAACAUUGCAUUACCCUUUAUUUUUCUUUUCAAAUAUCUUAUGAUCCAGUAUAUUUCGAAUCUAUUUUAAUAAUUUAACCUUUUUUUUCUUUUCCGUCCUAGGAGUUCAUGAUUGCAGCCUCACCAAUAAACAACCACAAGAUUCAAAAGUCAGAUUUAUAGAAAAUAUAGUGACUGAAAUUAUUCAUAUGGACCAAAAUGGUCACCAAAUAUAUAAUAAAGAUUACUCGCAAAUGUUCAAAAAAGUAAUUGCUUUUUAUACAUAUCAAGUUGCUGUGGUGUAGUGGUUAUCACGUUAGUCUUACACACUAAAGGUCCCCAGUUCGAUCCUGGGCAGCAACAAAUAUUAGUAUUUCUUGUUUUGCUUUUUAUUUUUAAAAACAUACCGUCAUUGAAUUAGUAUUAGAUAGAUAUAUUUUAGUUUUUGUUUUUUAUUUUUAAAAAUAUACCGUCAUUGAAUUAAUAUUAGAUAGAUAUAUUUUUUGGUAAUUGUAAUAGAUAACCAUUUGAGGAAUAAUAAUUAAGGAUAUAACACCAUUUAAUUUUUUUUUGCACAUAUAGCAAAACUAUCGCCGAUAGAAUCGUGACCAAUUUUUACAACAUGAUUUAUCAGUGCUGGACUAUAUUAUAGAAUUUGACUAAUUUUGCUAUAUUUACACUUUUUUUUUAAAUGUUGUUAUAUACUUAAUUAUUUUGAAUUUAAUUGCUAAAUUUACAACUAUCCCUAUCAUUUUUUUAGGUAUAUCUACCGUUUUUGGUAACUCAACGAGCAAUUUCAUGCCAAUCAUGGAUAAGGUAUCCUAAAACUAGAGAUAAGAAUGUGUUGAGAAAAUGACAAAACUGCUAAACGCCAAAUUCAAAUUUUGGAGCCUUGAACAUGUUACUUAACUGUAUGAAAUACUUAUUCUAUAGUUCAAAUAGUUCUAUACAUGCAUAAAUUUUCCACUAAAAGUUCCCCUCCAUGAUCUUUGACAUUACACAUUUCAUUAUUUUUUGAAGCACAUGACCAUGUUUUUUUAUAGUCCCAGACGUAAGUGCCAGAACGAAGUAGUACCCAUAAUUUCUUUUUUUUUUUAUCAAGCAGUGAUACAAUAAGAUUAAAGAAUUUUGAUAACAAAUCUCUUGAUUAGUAGCACAUUUGUAUGCCAACUAUACCAAAAUGUUGAUUGUCAAAGGGAAAUCAACAUAACAAAACUUGCGUAUCAUAUAAUCUACGAACAAGGGAAACUGACUUCGAAAUGUACACAGUAACAAAACCAUUGUCAUCGGCACAAUUUUCUUUCCUCCCAAUCCCGCCAAAAACUUUCACUGCGUUCUUCACCGUCAUUAAAGACUUAUCUUUUAGGCCAUGCCACUGAAGCAACAAAAACGGAAGUGCCAUAGUCCAUGGUUAUAAACAUUUCUUGGCAGCCGUAUUGAAUCAUGUCUUCGCAAUCUACUUUUGACGCCGAAGAUGUUCUCGCAUAUGUGUGUGUAUGUCUGCCUUCACUACCAGUCGCAAGUUUUUUGAAUCCUCCCAUAGCAACCCGUUCCAUUCCCGUGCAUAGUCGCAAGCAGCCUCGAAAACUUCCUGGAAUGCAAAAGAAAUUCCUUCUCAAGUGGGUUUUUCAGGUGAAUGUACAAGUAAUCUUCAAAGUUAAAAGAAGCAACAUUUGAAAUCCGUACCCUGGAAGGAAAUUCGUCGUAAAAAUGUGCGGGAGUAAUAUCAACCCUAUUAAGAUCUGAUUCCCAUAACCUAAUCUGGCAUGGAAUAAAGAGCAAAUGGAAAAAAUCAGGAACAGAACAAAGAUUAGAUAAAACUGUACGAUGAGAACACGUGUAAACAUUUUUGGUUUCCAUGAUAGGUGAAACCAUUGGUUUGACAAAUAUAAAGAAUUUACCGAAGCAACCCUAACCUGAUCUGUGACAUUUUCAGGGACUGAUGGUAUUCUCUCUGCAACACGAGGAUGUGCAUUCUGUUGUAGAAAAGUAACUAUCUGUAUACCAAUAGUCAGAUGUCAAGCAAUUUGAAAUGAGAAAACCAGCAUAGAAAACUCCAGUAAUGUAUCCAAUGUAAUUAAGUAUCUGUGUAGGGAUGAGUAGUCAAUUAUAUUAAUUUAAUAUUAAUUUGUGAGGUAGCCUGUUAUCUCUCAUCUCUUCUCCUUCUUCACCUUUUGGCGAGCAUUGUCGCCAUCCUCCUCCCUCAUGACCCUACAGAGAAUUUUCGGUGAGAAGAAUUUGGAGAAUACUUAUCCGCCACCCUGCUCAAUUUAGUAUUGGGUCCCUCCCCACUCCCCCCUCCCCCCAAAAAAGAAAAAUUCUCAGCUUCUCCUUUAUAUGUUUUGAUGGCAAUCCAACGUCUUUAGAACCCCUUUGACCAAGAUGACAAUGGUGACGGUGGAAGGUGGUGGUGAUGAUGAAGGUAAAGGUUGUCGGAGGUGACAAAGAAGGAGAAGAGACAGAUAAUACGCUACCUUAAAAAUAAAAAUAAUGUCUAAUUAAUAUAGAUGCUCACUCUAUCAACACACUGUUAGCAACUUAACAACUACGUCAUGUUCCGUUGGACAACGAUCCCAAGAACCUUUUACCAAAUCUCAAAGACUAAAUAUGUAUGUUGAUCACUUUUAGCUAAAAAAAUAUCCAGAGUUUACAUUUACAUAAAGUUUAGACUGACGCACAGAAGGAAAAUAGAAAUUUCGUUUCUUGUGGAUCAGGAGCUAAUGCUAGUCGAAGUUCCCUUGUUAAUGACCGGUAACAAUGGGUUUGGCACUUGAUCCCUGCUAACUAGGAAUAACUCCCUUGGGCAAAGCCCCAAUAUUUUUCAUGCUAGGAAUAAAUAUUUAGAAUUAGGGAGAAUUCUCCAAGCAUUCCACCACUGGCAAGAAUUAACAGUGCUACCAAUGCAAAAUGUUGCGCGAAGAAUAACUGGUCUACUGCAUUCCAUUGGCAAUUUGAACAUAAUAUAGUGGUACCCUUACUUCACAAGACUAAGAGUAACAUGAGGCAGGGUGAACAAGCAGAAAACUUGCCUGCUCUGCUGUAAUCCCAUUCUUAAAAGCAUUAUACAAGCUUUCUUUCGUUAUUGCUCCAACUAUAAGAUUUGGAAGUUGAUACUCAAUCCUGCAGAAGGACAGCUUCGUUUUAUUUUGUAAUUCUUGAACCAAAUAGAAAGUUGACGUCUGUGUUUAGACUGCUGCAUUAUAUGGUUCAAUUCAACAGAAAGGGAAAUAACUGCAUUCAUCAAGCAGUAAGUAAAAUGUAGAACGUUGAACUAAAAUUAUUUUUCCUUUUUAAUCAACUAUUACAAGUGCUUCUGUGAGAAUGCAAUUAAAAAAAUGGACCUUUAACAAUUUGAACCCAAAUAUAAUGAAAAAUAAUAAUGGAAUAGCAAGAUAAACCAACUUAGACCCUCCCAAUCUUAAAAAUAUUCCCGAGCUACAGAAUAUUGUUUAUUUUCCUUCUUCUCUAUUCACUAUUUAUAACCAAACUUUCCCAAUAAACUUCUUAAAUAAUUGCUAAUAUGCCCUUACUCCAACUACUUCCCAAUAGCAUUCCUAUUACAAUCAAACUCAAACGAAUCCGUGGUAAACAUUUGACUCAAAAAGUGAGAAUUAUAUUUUGAUAAAAAAAAAAGGCAGCAUUUCUAAUUUACACAAGUAUAGCAUUAUAACCGUUGAAUUAUCAUUAACAGAUUAUCACUAGUUGCUUGCACUCUCAAGAAGCAAUGCUAAUGACUAAGUUAUCCCUCAGCUUGCCCCUCUUUCUUCCUCCCAACAUAUGUGAAGUUUCACGAGGGGCCUAUCAGCAGUGGGAUUUCAAAUACAUUUAGCUUAUGAUGUAAAUAUUAAAUGUAACCAGUAGCCAGUCAAUUUUGUAAAGCUUUCUUAAUCCUUUGAAAUUUGAGCCGGCUUGUAUCCCUCGACUAUUCUUACGAAACAACUACUUAACCCUCAUGUGGAUCUGGGAGCUCUGGUUCUUUUAUUUUCAGGUUCCACCUGAUCUCUCUUUCUAAUAGGGAAACAACAAACAUGGUCAGUCUUCUUUCUCUGCUCAAGGGUCACUCCUUGAGGCUUGGGAGAAGGGGUGUAAUGGUUUGGAUACCCAAUUCUUUGGAGGGGUUUUGGAAGUCUUUUUUUGAAGUUUGGUCGAUUCUUCUCCCUUAGGAGAGUCGAUUUUUUCAGUUCUUUAGAGAAUUAAGAUCCCUAGUAAAAUGAGGUUCUUUACUUGGCAAGUUUAUGGUCGUGCUAACAUGAUAGAUCAGCUUGUAAGGACGUUGCCCUUGCUUGUUGGCCCUUUCUAGUGCAUUCUUUGUCAAAAUGCACUAGAAUAUCUAGACCAUAUUCUUGCACUUCGUGAGUUUGCAAGUUCUGUUUGGGCCUUAUUCUUUCCAACGUUUGGUAUCUUGCUCCCUCACAAGUGCUCGUGUUAUGAUCGAGGAGUUCCUCCUCAAUUCGUCUCACAGGGAGAAAGGUUACUUUUUAUGGUUUGUUCUUAUAGGUUUUGUAUGGAGUGAGCGGAAUAUUAGGGCUUUUCAGAAAGGGACACUAGUGAGAUUUAGUCCCUCGUUCGCUUGCAUUUAUUUUGUGGACUUCAAUUUCAACGACCUUUUGUAACUUUUCUAUAGGCAUUGUUACACAUAACUGGGGUCACUUUUUGUGGAUAGAGGAUCCCUUUUUGUGGGCUUGCUUUUUUUGUAUGCCCUUAUAUUCCUUUUUUUCUCAAUGAAAGUUGUUGUUUUCCAAAAAUAAAUAAAUAAAAUUGUCAAAGUGACUUAUAAGAUACAAAUAUUGUGUAGGUGGCGUCUAUAAAUUUUCCUUACAAAAGUACUGGUUAUAUAAUGUAAUUAACACUAAAUGAUGGCAUAUACCUUGAAAAAAGACGUAAUAUUUCACAAUGUAGUUUGGAAGUAGAAUAAGCAUACAUCCUGAAAUUUGUCUCCACAACAACAAAUCCCUGGGUAUAGAACAGAAAGAAAAUUAGGAUGAGCAAAAAACUUCAUAGAGCCUCCAAACUGGGAAUCAGCCCCCCCCCCCCCCCGAAAAAAAAAAAAAAGAAAUUCAAUCAAUCGAAUUAUUUAAUAGCAGAAAGAAGGUUCUAUCAAAUAAAAUUUACAUAAGUAACGAUAAGCAGAUAUAUAGCAGAGUGUAAAAAUAAAAAAAUAGUUAUGGAAAAGCAAUCAUCGAAAACACGCAAAACACUAAGGGAGUGUUUGAGGCCAAGAGUGGAGUUGUGAAAUCUGAUGAGUUGUAAAGUCGUGGGGCUCGUAAUAUAAGACGUUAAUUAUGCAUGAAAUUGGUGGUUUUUUAGUUUGUGGGAUCCACGUUUUCCUUGGGCACAAACACUCCCUUAACUCCAACUUCGCGAGCCAAACACCUCCUAAAAACUUGGUAAGCAUAAAGAAAAUGAAACUGAAUAGAAAUAUACCAAAUUUAAAUAUAAUUUGCAUUCAGAAACACUCACCAGUUUCCUCGAAGAGGAAUCUGCCAAACUCAUUGAAAGAUUUGUGGCUAAUUUAGUAGGUAUGAACCAACUCUCUUUUCUACCCUGGACAAAUCAACAACGAAAGAAACAACAGAAAAAGAAAAAGGUGAAGUUAAAAUAAAGUAAAACUUUGUGCAAAGGUCAUGUUCGAUUUAGAAAGCAGCAGAGGCUAGCCGAAAACCUGCUGAAGCUUAACUAGUCCCAGAUCAGCAAGGUCCUUGAUAGCAUACCUCUGUUCAUCUGACAGUGUAUCAAUAUCAUAAGCCUACAGACCAAGAAGAAACAUGUUGGUCAUUGGAUAGUAAAUAAUAUAGGGAUCAUUUUUAUAAAAGUUAGUAAUAUGGAUUAUACUGUAUUUACUAUAGUUAUCAGAGGUUUAAUGUGCAUCUGUUAUUGAUUAAGGGAUGGAAGAGAGGGAUUAGCCCACUCAAAAUCAGGGUACAAAAGGUUCCCUGGGAUAUCCAAAAAUUGCCUGUGGUGAAAGUAGAACACAUUUAGGGCAUGUGUCUUAAGGUUGAAUGGAUUAUGGCAUCCCUAGUUUGUUUCUUUUUUAUUUUUUAUUUCUUACUGAAAUUUCAAAGGGCAGAAUUUGUAAAAAGGUUAAUUUCCGCUUGGAGCUAUGGAAAUUGAACCAAAAUCAGUUCCAGAGGUUUCACAAAGAAAAAAUGCGCGUAAGUGCCUUUAUGUCUGACGGGGAAAGGCUUACCUCCUUAUUGCAAUUUACAAUGUUGAGUAUGCCUAUUUAUUUGAUGUAUUUAUUGAAAAUCCAAAAGGCUAAGCUUUUAGAGAGUAUGUUGAGAAACCUCCUAUGGGCCAGAGAGAGUAUUGACAAUGCCAGCUAUGUAGCUGAUUGGAGGAAGGUGUCUAACCACCAUAAGAGCGUGGAAUUGGAGAAGGCAAUCUGAAGGAGAGAAAUUUAGCACUCGCGUCUAAUUUGAUUUACAUCUAUUUGUUCACCAUAAAAAAAAUGAGAAGCAGCAGUCCUUAGAAGUUUGUGGUAAGGUGCAAAAAGAAUUAGGAGCUUUUUCCUUCAAAAUUGGCAACGGACAAACCUCCAUAAUCCAUAAAAGUAUAAUAUUCCUCUAAAGCAAGUUUUCUUCAGAAUUCAAUUGCCUAGUUUUUAAAAUGAAGAGUUAGCUGCCUGCUGGAAUUAAAGGAACUAAAAGAUUGAAAUAGAACCACAGUCCAAAAUGGCAACCUAACAGACUGAGAUGGGCUUUGGACUAACUCUAGACUUGAAAUUACUGACGUUCUUAACCAAUAGAGUAGUAACUUGUUUAAGGUUACCUGAAGUGGAGGUAUGGAAACCCAAAGAAAAUUAGAUUUUUCAUUUUGCUUAGGAAGGGGAUUAAUACAAGUCAAGCUUUCUCAAAGGAAAACCCAUAUGAUUCUUCUCUCCUUGUGCAUCACAUGCACAAGAAAUAUGGAAACUUGACCACGAUGCAGCAAACGUUGAUGAAAGGAACUGCAGAGAUUUUAAGGAUAAAUUUAGAAUGAAAGAUGAUUAUGUAAGACGAUCAAACUGAACGCAUUUACUAUUCUUAUUUGUGAAUGUCAAUGGGAGGAAUUUAUAACUAAUACACUUAUUCACCCUUAUGAUGGAGGGAAACAGAACUAAACCCCUUUGUUUAGUUUCUAGAACACAGUAACUUGUAAAACAAGAAUGACAGACAUUGUAUAAAUGAAAAAAAGUAUUGAUAAAAUUCCAACAAAAUUCAACCUCGCCAUAAACAAGAAAAAGUAAAUUAGGAUAGAUGCACAAUGCAACAAACUAAAGAAAACCAAUCUGUGUUAAAAUAUACAUAUACAUAUAUAUACUCCCGAACCAAUCAAAGUAGUUCAGUAUUAAAAUGAUGUGAAGCAACAGAACUUAAAAGAGAGUUCUACGAUGGGAUAAAAGAAGACAACAACAAUAAAAGAUAAAGAUGUAAAAAGAAAUUCAAGGAAUUGAUACCUCUCCUGUCACAUGAAAACUAAGCUCUAGCAGAAAAGAAAUCAAAUCUGCAGGAUCCACACCUCGCUCCUGAACCAUAUUGAUUAAGCAUGCAUUUACAAGAGAGGAGUACGAGUUAUAAGAAGAAAAUAAAUAAAUAAAUUAUACAGUCCAGUAAAACUAAAGAAAGGGUCUUAAAAUUAACAAUAUUUGCUUUUCAUUAUGAGUUACAGUAGUCGCAUCCAUUAUUCAGAUUCAAAUAGAAAACUAAUGACAGAAAUAGAAUAUAUAUAUAUAUAUACACCUUGGAGAAAGGCAAUAGGCUAUGACAAUAAAAAAAGGAAAACACAAACCUCAGCAUUAGAUAUAUAUUCUCUGAUGAUAUACCAAAGUUGUGCAUUUGUUUCCAUCAACUGAAGUUUACAUAUCACAAGAAUCCCUGGUGAGUCAGAUCAAUGAGGAUUUCAAAAAGUCUAUGGUUCAUGUGAUUCAUACCAAGAACUGGAAACCACUCUCAGUUAAUCGUGGAGCUUCUUUAUCCCUAGAAUACCAUACAUAACAUUUUAUCAGAUACAUCACAAUACAUAAAGCUAGAGUACAUUGAACAAGAUUUUAACCUCUGACUUAAAAGGCCUUUCUGGAAAACUUUCAUCACAGAAGAACUAAUAUUUGAUGGCUUCUCUGCUUGGCCCGAGUUUAUCAAUUGCAGCAAGAAGCACUGAACUAAGACAAUAACAGGUCAAAAGAAUAUCCACAGUUAAAACUUGGACAGUAAUCAACUUAGAAGAUGGUUGCCUUAGAUUGAGUCUAAGAGGAUGGAAUCAAUACUAGCCAAAGACUAAACUAGAAAAGAUGCAACUAAAAAACAGAUUAUUAAAAUCAUUUUGAUGACUGUCCAACCUCCCACUGAUCCAGAGCAUAAGCCUCAAGAUCUUCCAAACUUGGAAGCCUCACGGUUAUAUUAGAAGGCAUAGGUUCUCUGGCUAGAACUUCACUGCAAGAUCCCAAAUUCAUUGUCAUUUUCUAAACCAAGAGUAAAUCACUUUGAAAUGUUAAAAUCAUGGAGUCUAAACUCCAGGAUCAGCUUCUUAUUAAAGAAAAUAAGUAAUCAUCUACUUGAACUUAAUGAAUGUGAAUAAGGGAGCAAGUAAAAGAAAAUGUGCAUUUAUUAAGAAAGAUUCAUGCAUCAGAACGUCUGUGGUGGGUAGAAGGGAAAUGAGACAAAUCAUGUAUCCAUCCUAGCAUAUCUGGUUUAGAAAUGCAUUCAUUGAGCAAAGUUGAGAGAAUACUUACCCAUGUAUUAAAAGCUUUUGGAGGUUUGCUUGGAAAGUUGGAUUUAGCCGGUAGGUUGUUUCUCUUUUCCUAUAAAUAAAAUAGGGAUUCACAGAAAAGAUUACAAUACAGGAAUGGGUUGAGGGCUACAAACAAUGCAAAACUGCUGAUAGAAUUACAAACGAUUUAAGUGAAAUCAAAACAGAAGUAACGCAAAAGCAUUUACACAAGCUCAUAAUUAAAGUUCUCCUGGCAGGAACCUCUCAAUUCUGAUGAUAUCAUGAUAUCGUAAUUUGAAUUAUGAACACGAAGGCAAUCUAUCAACUCUUGGAAAGAAACAUCCACAAAGAAGAUGAAGAUAAAAAUGAUAACAAAAUAACACUCCACAAACGUAGCCUUACUCUUGAACUCUUGAAUGACAGCUUUCUUGGACUUAUCUAACUAAGAAUGCAUUUUUGAAGAAUUGUGAAAAAGUAUCAAAUUCUUAAGAAAAUGUGGGAAGAGAAUAGCACCUAUCUGCAGUCUCAAUAAAUACUCUCAAUUGAAUCAAUCGAUCAACAGCAACCUUAUACUUUGAGACUCCAUCUGGAAGCACCCACUCCUCCAUGGACUUGGCUGAAACUGGACCAUCAAUGUAUAACAUUUGUAAAACAAACUUCUUAGCCAGUGGCGGAAGUGACCUGAUUACAAAAAAAUUAUCGGCACUCUUGUAAAUUAUAACCUCCAAAACUAUGAUUGACUAGCUACUAUUAAGUUAAAUUCAUUUGCAAAUACCUAACUUUGGCCAAGGAAAAAUGAAAAAAACAACUAAUUAAAAAAUAAUAAAUAAAUAAAACACCUCAAUCAAUUUUUUUUUUUUUAAAAAAAAAAAACAGUUUCAAUGACAUCGUAUUACGAACAAGCAAGCUCAAUGGUUUCAAUUAUAAAUACGACCCCAACCAAUUAAAGCAUUUAAGAAUGGAAAGCAAGGACCUGAGAAUGGCUUCGCAGAUGAAUGCAUUCUCAUAGAGUUGAUCGAGCUUCAUGGCGGGCAAGGAGGCCACCAUGUCCAUAAAAUUCUUCGCUAUGAUCUUUACUUGAGGCAUUUUGGAUUAGCUUUGCUAGUCCUUUAGGCACAGAAUCACGAAUUAAAAAAAUUGCAGGUUCCAGGUCGAGAGUGAGACUUAUAGCAAAUGGUGAGAUCCUCUUAAAUCAAUCAGUUAUCAACUAACUCAAAGUUAACCUUAGUAGAUUGACACUGCUUGCUCAUUCGGAAGACCGAAGACGAAGAACGACACGUAGUUGAAUGUCCAAUUCUUCUUGAUUAUAAAAGAAGCUAUUGGGUCGGGAAAUUGCCAUUUUAGAUGAGCUUUCAAUUUAAACUUUCUUUUUCCUUUGAGACAAAUGGAUAUAUGAAUUGUCCAAUUACCCCUUUGUAAAAAUGAAAACCCUAAAGUAUAAAAUUUGGAACCUCGCGCGGCAACGGGCAACACCUGCUGAAAGGUGAUCGGACGGCAGCGGCGACUUGGACAGAUCUGCAACUUCAAACUAAAGACGUGUUGCUAGAUUUAAAAAAAUAAUAAUAACUAAAAUACUUGCUAAUAACUUAAAACUAAAAUAUAAAAUUGUUGUGAAAAAAAAUAAGUAGAAAAUUAAUUUGUAUAUUACUCUAAAUCAUUUAAAGCAAUAUAAAAUUAAUUUGGAGAUAUACAUAUAAGUUUAACCUAACUCAACUGACCACAAAUGAAAGAAAAUAUGGGAGGAGAAGAAGUAGAGUUAUUUGAGAAUUAUAACAAACGUGAGUUUCUUGCGUUGAAAGACUAUUUUUUAAUUUAGCAAAAUCAUAAAAAAUAGAACGUUUGAUAAAAUAUUUACCUUUUAUAUAAAAAUUAAUAAAAUUUAUCUUUUAGUAAUUUUGAGAAAACUCGUCUAGUUUAUUUCAAAAUUUAUCUUUUGGAAACUAUCCCAAAAGUUUUUCAACCCUAAAAUGUUUUUUUUUUAUUUUUUUGCAAUUUUCAUAUUGGGUAUUUUCACACUUUCUUUUAGUUUAUCCUAGGCUUUUCUUAAUUAUUUAGCAAUUUUUUUCUUUUUAGAAUAUACUUAGCAAUAGCUUGACAUAGUAUUUUACUAUUCUUACGCUCACUAAUGAGAGAGGCCAUUUAUCUACAAGUCAAGUAAAUGAUUGAAGUCUUCAAAAAAAAAAAAAAGAAGUAAAUGAGUGAGAACAGCUUCUUUUGUUUGAGAUACAAUUUUGUAAGAAUUAUUAGAUGACAACUAUCCAUAAAUUGCAUAUCAUUGACUAAGGUCGGAAUCUCUUUAUCUCCACAUAUCAUUGAGCUAAAAAGUGUGAAUUAUUUUACAAAAAGAAAAAAAAAAACUAUAUACUUGUCUUUUAUUAUUUAAAAAAUUAAAUGGUUUGGUAUAAGUAGAGCACUCUUUACUUCCACACAUUGUUGAGCUCACUCUGAAGUUAUCAUAUAGGCCAAGUAUUUGGGCCUCAAUCCCAUUGGUCACCAAGUAACUUGACCACAUAUGUGGGCAAGUAAUGAGAAAUUAUGUCUCGUGGAGACAACUUACUAACGUAACUUUUCAAAUUGCCCAACAUUUUGUUUCCAGGGACGUUAAAAGAUAUAACAAAACUCAUAGAAAUUGGUCUUCCUCUCGUUAUGGGUAAAUCCACCUAUAAAAUAACAUUUGUUGAAAUAGAGAAACAACACUGGAACUUAGAAGCAGAUCAUCUAAACAGCAAUUUCAGGUUGGGAGUCGGAGAACAUCUCCCAAAGACCCAACUCUCGGUUUCAAUGAAAAAAAAAGUAUAUGAAAACUAUAUUUCUCAAAUCCCUAAUGAAUUGAAUCCUGCUAAUUUACUUUUACGAGCUAAUUUUGUAAAAACACAAAAGAAAGACAAGCUACAGCGGAAAUUUACUUCUCUUCCGAAACAACAAGUUGCCCAAUUCCCCAAUUCGCCAUACUAAAUUAACGUUUCACAAAAUUCUCCAACUUUUGAAGCCAGAGUGGUAGCUACAUCAAGGCAGGCUAUUAGCAACUCUCAACAUACAGGACAAAUAUCUAUGUCAAAGACCUAAGUCCUUUCACAGGCAAGGAAGGACUAAAACUUACAAGUAACUGUCAUAAUUUAUAAUCCAACAGAAUAUGGAAGCCCGCGAGGGGGAAAACAUAGCAACGGGAGAUGUAAGCCUGCAUUGGAAUUAAAGUUGUCGGUCAGAAGGAUUUUCAUAGGAAUAUUUAGAGGCUAAAAGAAAACUAUAACCUAACAGACUGACUAUAAUUUUGAUGCGUCAGGUUUCCUUUUUUAUUGGCAUUGUAUGAUGCUAUGCAGCUAUGCAGAAGUGCUUGGCAAGUCUUCAUUUUUGGCAAUUGAUUCAGUGAUUGGAGGUCGUGGGGAGGGUUUCGAAACAACAGGUGCUGGUUUUGCAGGCCUGUUUGGUUGGAUUUUGUCAGCUUUCUCUGGUUCAACCUCAAACUGAUCGAGAAUAGAAAUGUCAUCAGAUCAACUAAGACUACAACACCAGGAACAUAGAAUUGUUAAAUAUUAAACACAAGUCAAAGUGUAAAACAAUAACAAUGGCAAGCAUUAGCAGAGAAGUGAAUGUGUUUGCUGGAUUUUAACUAGGUAAUGCUUGGAAGAACGAACAGGAAGGAUAACACGAUUUUCAAGUAUUUGUCCUUUAAUGACAAUGUUGAUGUCCUGCUGCAAAUACAGGCUGAAUACAUAUGGAAAAUCAUGCUGCAAAGAUCAGGCACUAGUACUGUAAGGCAUGAAUAACAGACAAAUGAAUGCAAAGAGUUUCAUGUCCACGAUUAGGUUUAAGGUUUUAAAUCAUGACAAAGUUGUGUUUCCUCAAACAUACAAUUCUGGUUUUUGACACGCCAGAGUACUUCAUCCCCACAGCAAUAUAAUACCAGAGGAUUUUUGAACUGAACUACAGAUCAUAACUUGGACUAGGACACUUUACGAAGCAUAUAAAAUAAGUUUUUCGACUACAACAUCCCACAGUCACUUUUCAUCGACUUCCAGCAAGAGUGACCAUACUUAAAUUACUUAAUCUUCAUAAAAUAACACUUACCUUAAAGCCGCAACCAGAUACACAUGCAUGGAAACAUUCCUGCGAGCAGCAAGGAGUCAAAAUCCAAAAGCAAGUAAAACAAAAUACACUGUCUGUAACAGAAGAUACUAUAUAUAAAUUAACUGAGAAUCUUCCUAGUUCACAUAACUUCUGUCAGAGUUGGGCGGAAAGAGGAAGAGGAAAGAGCAGGUUUGUUGAUUAACAGACAAGUGGAUUACUUAAAUGUUGAACUUGUGAAGAUUAAGGUUUAAAUCUCAAGUACGGUGAAACCAUCAGAGUCAAAGAAAACGCCAGAAAAUAACAAGACACUUAAGUACCUCUGAGUAACUGGCAGACCCAGGAGAUCGGUCAAUGUAAGCACUCCACUGGUGGUCCUUAAAUACAGGAUCCUUAUAGCAUAUCUCAGUGCAUUCUUCCAAGCCUUGCGACUCAAUGACAGCAACAAUUUAUAUUGAUGAAUAACAUAAAAAAGUUGAAAGGUAACAGAUUUCCAAGGUCUUAAAGUUGUAGCAACAAGGAAGUUUUUCUAUAAAGAUUUCCUAAUCACUAAAAACGUAUUAAUAACUGGUCAAAGUUACAACGUAUCAAGAUAUAUAAUGAACUCCAUGACCAGAUUUUUUUUUUAAGAAAGCGAGUCUCACUAUGAUUAAUAUUGAAAAAUACAGAGACAAAAGCUCAAUGAACUCCAUGACCAGAUAUUAGUCUAACAAAAAUACAUUCAAACAGAAAUAUCAGCAAAAUGUUCACCAAAUGCCGAUAUUUACCACAAGUCAUAAUAACGCUAUUCAACACUAGUGUCUAUUGCUUCAAUAGAAAUUAAAAAAAGGAGGGAAAAAAUCAAAGUGGAAGCAGACAAAUUUUCAGUUGGACCAAUAAUUUUCUGUCUAGAAUGACCGUUGCUGAAAAUAUCUAUAGCAAGUUGACAUAUUCGACCCAAGUUCACCCUGUGCCCCAGACUUUCGAUGAAUCUGAAUAAGCUAAUCAAUUGAACACACAAAUGUGAUGGCAUGUACACUUGAUAGAAAAUAGAUUAGAUCACACAAAACUACAAGAAAUACAUGCUCGAACUUGCAAGUCAGAAAGCAGGAAAAUUACAUCUAGAUGAAACAUAUAGAAUAUAUAGUGAAGUAAAGGUAAAAGAAAAAGAAGAGAAGAAAAAUACUACUCACAUUCGUCCCAGGCCUCCCCAUCUGCAUCACACCCCUUUUUGCAAAAUACCCGCCCUACGUUGAGACCAUUGCGAUUAUGCAGAAGCAGAAAAUGUAUUAUAAGACUACUCAAACUCAGACAUAAACAUAACUGACAUUAAUUAUAAUCCCCUAACUUCUAGUAUAACGAAGUAUCUUAGUAUCGGAUUCCAAAGGAUCACACGUGAAACUAACAAUUUUAUUCGUAAACAAAUACUAUUCGCUGCCCAAGUCAAAUAGAUGAAUAUAACAGGAGGCCUAAUCCGUAUCACAAAUAGAUUUCAUAAAACCUAAAAUUCCCAAUAAGUUGCAAGUAUAUUCUCCGACAAUCAAUUAGUAUAACAAAUACGCGGAUUCCCAUCAACAGAUUCAUUCAAAAUACACUUUCCUGGCAGAAUCAUGUGUAAUAAUAACAACUAAUAACCCAACCAGACAGGAGAAAUUCAACAUCUCACCACGAUACUUCGCAUUCGACCAACAUUCACGAAUAGAGUUUCUAGCUAUGCAUUGAGAAAGUUUCUUAAACUAACAAAGCAAAUCGCAGCCAUCUAAUCUUGGGACAUGGGGUAAUGAAAUAAGCGAAGAAAUGCGUAAAGAUUAUAGCGAAAUAGAGAAAAAUUAUGUAAGAAUGGAAGAUGGAAAAAGAUGUACAGGGAAUCUGGGUGAGGGCAGCGUAUUUCUGCGUGCAUUGGUUGCCACAAGGAGACGCCCAUUGUUGCGGUAUCAUCAUAUAAUACACAGCCUCCUUCAAAUCUUCAACGCUCCCUGCCGAUUGUUUUCUUCUUUGUAAUGCUGAGGAUGAGCCCAAAAGGAACGAAUAUGCGAUUUGCUUUUGUUUUCUCUUAAUUUUCUAUUUUCUUAUUCAGAUCAUUUUCGAAAAAUUCCCAAAUUAACCCAAAAGUCUACAACCCAACCACUCAUUCUUGUAAAUUUAUUCAUCACCAACCUUUUUCUCCUGUGAAAUGUCAUUUUUACCUUUAUUAUAUUGAAUGAAAAGUUACUUUUAAUUAACUCUCAGUUGAUUCUUUCAUCUACGCCCAUUCUAUUUUGUCUUCCAUAUAGAUCAAUAUUCCAGAAAAUUGAAACAAUCACCAUGUUUGGACCCUAAUUCAAGAACAAAACAUAUGAAAGAAAAUAAUUAAAAUGGGUUCAGCAUACAUGUUAUUUUGAAACGAUUUUCAAAAACAAAACUCUAAAUAGUCAAUUUUCAAAAACAAUAAAAUGUUGUUUUCUAAACAUAAGAUACUAUUAAAUUUUCAAAUACACCAUCAAACACAAAUUUUGAUUUUUAAAUUUAAAUUCAAAAUUUUAAGUUAGAACCACGUAUGUUUUCAAUACAAUGGGAAGUGUGAUUUUGUUUUUCACAAACAUUUUUGUUUUUCAAAACAAUUUUUGAACCACAAAUCAAAUGGAACGUUAGUUUUUACUAUUUUUUUUUCAAUAUCACGUUCCCAAUAACAAGAAAUAGACUAUCUUUAAUACUGUCUUAAAUGAGUUUUCAACUUUUAUGAGGUGGUUUUUCAUUUUUUAUGACCUAAUAUGCUAUCUUGGAAGAAAAACAUUCUUUAAAAUUUUACCUUCUCUUUAUUUUUUUAUCUUGCUCUAUACGGAAGUUAAAAUGCAAUAGAGUAGAUGAAAAAAUCAAGUGAAUAACUGAGAGUGACCUCGAAUUAAUGUUUGCUUAUAAAGUUGGUAUUGUAUUAAUGACAUAAAAAGAAUCAUGGACGAAUGGAGUUUGAUUGAUAAGAUGUUUUAAAAUUGAGGAUAAAUGUGGUACUUUCCGUUACAAAAAAGAUCCGUGCAAGCUUUUGGAACCCAUAAAACGCUUGUUCAUUUUGUAGUUAUUUCGUGAAAUUUUCUGAUCCUUCAAACUAAAUUGUGAGUUUGAUCUUAAUACUAUGAAUUUAGGUUUAUAUAUGUUAUAUUCAAAUUGCUACAAAUAUACUAUGGAGAUAGGGGGAGAUUCGAAAAAUUCAACCAAGUUAGAUCUUCGUACAUUUUAUGAAACUUGUAUAGUGAGAAAAAGGUAAUUUACAUAUGAUAACAUUUCUAGAAUAUGAUAUAGCAAUUAUAGCACAUUACUUUAUAAUUUUGCAAAUAUGACAAAAAUUUCACUUAUCCAGCUUAAAUUUGAUAUUAUUCCUAAACUAUCAUUCAAUAAUUUUUUUUUUUCAUUUUUUUAAUGUUCUACUCGUUAUUUAUUUAUGCUCCCACUUUUUAAGGCCUUAAUUAUUUAUUUAUUCUUAUACUAGAAAAAUUAUUUGUUUUUUAUGUCUUAAUCUUAAAUUUAAAAUAUCAAUAGUACAAUAUUUGCAAUAUAAAGUAUAAUAUAAUGGUUGUUGAUUGAAGUAAUUUAACUUUAUUUGUGAUUUUUUUUUUACUUUAUUCGAUGUGUAUUUUGAGUUGAAUCUAAUUCCAAAUGAUUUUGUUUUAUUUUUUUACAUUGUUUUUUUUUUUUUUGUUCUACUUUGUCUCAGUUUCGUAUAUCAAUAUUGUGAUAUGCUUUUAUUACAUGUAUUAGUUAAUUAAUACACUUACUACAUAAUUUUUGUUUUUUCAAAAUUUAUGCAAUUCAUUUGAGUAUUAUUGAGUAUAUGAAUGAUGUAACUCACUGUAUCAUUAUCAAGUACAUCAAUAAUAUAUUGUUAAAAAAUAUCAGUAAAAUGACUCAUUAUCAAAUAUAUGAAUCGAGUUUACAAGUGUAUGUCAAUAGUAUAUCAAACGUAUAAAUAGAACUUCAAGCAUAUCAAGUGCAUUUAAUCAAUCAAUUGUAUAAGUAAAUAAUACAAAAUGUAUAUGCAAUGUAUCAGGUGUAUCAAACAUAUAUUAGUAAUGUUUCAGUAUCGAGUGUACCAAAGAGUAUCAGGUUCAUCAAGUGUAUCAAUCAAAUUUAUCGGGUGUAUAAUGGAAUAUCAGAUGUAUAAAUUGGUGUAUUGAGUGUAUUAGGUGUAUCAGACGUGUAUAAGGUGUAUCAAACGUAUAUUAAUAACGAGGGCAUUUGUAACAUUUUGUCUUUUGAUGUGUGGGCUGUGCUUAGUUUUUGCAAUUUUCGUAAAUAAUAAAAGGGAAAUUGCAAUUGAUAACUAUUUUAGCAAUAAUAAUUAAGGAUAUAGCAACAUUUUUUAAAAUUGCAAAUAUAGCAAAAAUAUCACUUAUAGACUUCAUAUGAUAUAUCAGUGAUAGAUCAAUAUUUAUAACAUGAUCUAUCAUUGAUAGAUUUUGAUAAAUUUUGCUAUAUUUGCAAAAUUUUUAAAAUUGUGCUAUAUAUUUAAUUAAUUUGAAUUUAAUUGUUAAAUUUGCAACUAUCCCAUAAUAAAAUGUGUGUGAUGUAGACUUAAUUAUCAUAACUUAUUUUGUCAUUUUAUAAAUAUAUAUGUAGAAAAUAUAUACAAAAUGACCGUUGGAAAAUAAUCACACAUGGAAUGAACGAGGCAAAAUAGAAGGAAAGGAAAGUGAUAGAGUUAUAGGGUAAUAUUAAAUUUAAAAAGAGGAAGAUAAAAUAUAUUUUAACAAAUUUUUUUAUCAUUCAUUUAAAAUGUUUACAAAAUAGAAAAUAAAAAAACCUAUCUAUUUUGUUAAAAACUGAUAAACACAAAAUUCACUCCACUUAUAACAUUCCAUAAUUUAUAAUGGUUUUUAAUUUGUUUGAUGGGAUACCAUACACUAUAUAAUAAAUACAUUUAUAUGAUGCUCCAAUAACAUUUACUAUCAAUUUUGUAAUGUAAAUGUAAAUUUAUAAAAAAGACAAGAACCGAACUCUUAAACUAAUGGUUUUACAAUGACACAUUCACUACACCAUAAUCAUAAUUAAGUUAAAUAAAUAACUUUUAAUAUAUAUUGUAAUACAACACUUCAACAUUAAUAUUAAAAUACAAAAACCGAUAAUAUGAGGAACAUGUACGUCAACCCUUUAAUAAAUUCACCCAUGAUCAUAGACGUAACACUUUAUUGACUGAUGAUCUUUUUUAUCUGCAAGAUAUAAUAAAAGAUUAACUUUCUUUUAAUUUACCACAAAAGAAAAAAAAAAAGACUUACAAAUGUUAUUGCAUAGAAAUAUAAUUGUUGCGGAGAAGGUUGGAGCAAAUAGGUUGCAACGUCUAAAGGGAGAAAGUUGAUAGACGUAAAAGUAAAUUCGAUAUAAAUAAACGAAAAAUUGUAUCAAAUGGCCAAAAUAUUAAAAAAAAAACCGUUAAUGACACAAUUUUUUUGCAUAUUGCAAAUAUGAUAAAAUUAGUGAUAUCAGACCAAAUAUUGUGACAUAAGCUCUAUUAUCAUUUAUUGUUGCUAUUUUGACAAUAAUUCAUAAAUCUUAAAAAAACAACUUUUAAAUUAUGUUUGAUAACUUAUUACUCGUUUUUUUGUUUUUUCUUUGUAAAGAAACUUACUUUUAAAUUUUUUAAAAUAAAAAAAAUGCAAUUUUUAAAAAUACACUUUGUUUCUAAAAAGCAUAAAACAAAACGACUUACCAAACUUAUAGUUUUAUUUUUAAUAAAAAGUCACGAUGAUAACAAAUGAAAUUGAAAUUGUUACCAAAUAAAUCUAAUUAAUUACUUAAAUUAUUUUUGAUAAUAGCUAAAUUAUGAAAUUUAAAAUAUUAACAUAUAUGGGGAAUGUUUUAAAAAACUAGUAAGACUUCUCUACUUAUUAUAUAUAUGUACCAUAGUAGGCCAUGUACCAUAGUAACCUUUUCGUAGCCUUUUCAUACUUGGAUUGAGAUAUGAGUAUUGAGUAUGUUUACCCUUCAUUUGGAAUCAGCAGAGUUUUAGAAAUUGAAAGAAAAGAAUUUUACUAGUAUAUAAGCUUCUAAGUAUGAUGUGAUAAUUGGAAAUUGAAAUGUGACAAGGUUAAUUAAUUAGUUUAUUUUUAAAAUUUUAAAACACAAUGAAAAAUGAGAAAUUGAAAAGAUAAUCAAAUUUAACUAACAAAGAAAAAUUACUCUAAUUCAAAUUUACAUAUGGAAAAACAUACAAACUGAAAAAUAGGAAAAAUUACACUAAAAACAAGGUUUUUUUUUUCUUGAAUAAUAAAAGAACUAUUUAUACUCUAAUUCCAUAGUUUGUAUAUUUUGCCAAUUUUUACUAUUUCUCUAUAAACCAUUGUAAAUGUUUUUGAAAAAAAGAUUAAAUCUAAAUCGAUCUUGGAAAGUUUCAAAUGAAAAUAAAAUUGGUUGAAAACCAAAAAUAAAAAUAAAACAAUUGAGAGAAUGAGGAAAUUUUCAAAAACAUUAAAUGCAGCUGUCAACUUUUUCUAAAAUAACAAAUUUUCUUCGAAAAAAUACACUCAUCAUCCAAAUAAUCCUGGGUUGGUUUAUGGGAAUAAACCAAAUUAAAACUUCUUGAAGGUAGCCCAUCUAAGUGCCAAAAAGCAUUUCUAUUACUAUCCUUUGUUUUUGUUUAUCCAAGUGGGUUGCGUCUCCUACUCGAACCUCACUAAGUCGCCUGGGGUGAAUUACUUCACCCAACUUUUACCAAUCACAUCCAGGUUACUUCUUUUUCAAUGAUCUUAUGCUCUUGCCGAGCUUAUCUGGCUUUAUUUUUUCAGAUUAAAUUUUGUACACGUUUGUCUGUGAUUUUCAGUUCUAGCUUUGUUAACUCUGCAUCUUUAUCGGGAAUCCGUUUGACAUUUUGAUUCUAGUGAACUAUUAUUUCUGUUGUGUUAUUUAGUUCCGAGUAAUUUCCUUUUUCACUUUCUUUCAGACCUUUAUUUGGUUUUCAGCUUGGUUGCAUGGCCUUCAUCAAUCAUUACAUGAGUGUGAAUGUAUAUAGAGAAAGAAACAGCGAAAUUAAGUAUUGUCACUUAGAUACAUUGUAGAUAUACAAAAAGAAGAACGGGUGAUUUCUUCCAUGAAAUGCUUUGACUUAAUAUAGGCUUCAGUGGGACAUUGGAUUGCACGAGGUGAUUGUUUUAGUGAAAAGAUGCCGUCGGAUCGAUGCAAUGGACACCCUUAGAGUCAUAGUAUAUUCUUCACCCACUUGCUUUUGAGCAUCGUAGAUCAACUUAAUGACAUAGAAAACGUUCAAUCAUCCGAUAGUUUUUUUUUCUUCUUUAUUAAUGUUUUCUGUUCCUUGUAUUGGUUAGAACUUGUUUUAUUUGUUUAUGGCAUGUUACUGCCUCACUGGUUUAUGUAUGAAUCUAAGACGUCCAAUAACCUUUACCAUUUCGAUACUUUAUUUGAUUAUGGAAUACGCUUGUUAACAAAAGAAAAAAAACUCUUAUCAUUAUGAUUUUAUUAGAACUCAUUUCCUUUGUUUCCGUCAUGGUUAACCCCGGACAUAACGAAAAUACUUUCACAUUUCAGUUUUAACUUUUGGUGUUAGUUGCUCACUGUAGAAAUGUAUUUGAUUUUUGCUUGACCACUUUCUAUGAUUUGAAAAGAAUGACAGGAAAGGAAACGUAUGGAACGAAUGCAUCGAAAUGUAGUCAGGAGGAUAUCGUGCUAAAAUCUUUGGUCGAUGCUUUUGGUUCUAAGUUUUCACUUGAGGAAAUAGCUUCUGCCUAUUUUAAGGCAGGCUACAAGGCAGACUUGGCAGGUGAAAUCUUGUUUCAAAUGCAGGAGAGCACCUCGAGCUCUGCAUUGAGUGAUGACGUUGGAAAUGGAGAUAACUUGGGUAAGGGUAAAGUGUCUGAGAAGAAAUAUCAGGUAAAAGGGAACCUGAAAGCUGCAAAGUCAAAGGUUCAGUCUUUUUCAACAGGCACAGUGUCCAAUAUUAUCGGUAAAGAAUAUGCUUGUUCCAAGCCAUCAGGAAAUAAGUUUACCAAGGUAAAUAAACCAGUAAAGGUAGAGGUAAAGGUUUUGCAUGAAUCUUCAAGUGAGGGAGAUUGUACAAGUUUACCCAGUGACUUUGACCUGCAUCAUGAGAUGGAAGAUUUUCUCUUCAAAAUGCUUGGGGAUGGUUUCAGGUUGAAAAGGGAAGUGAUCCGAGAAGUUAUUGGUAGGUUUUUAUCUUUAUCUCUGCCAGUUAUCUUCAAUCUUAUUCUUACUUCUGAUAACACAUUGGAAUUUUACAUUUAUUGUAUUGUUUGUUCUUUACUAAAUACCUUGAAAAUUUGUGUGCAUGAAGACUGUUAGAAUCAAUGGCUGUCUUUAAAAUCAUGUUAGAAGUCAGUGGGUAAGAACUCUACAAUGAUUAUCAUAGUUGUAUCAAAUAUUCAUCCAAGUGUAAGAUGAUCAUUUGGCUGUUUGAAAUAGAAGCCAUGUUGAGAUUCAAUCAAAUAUUUCAGAACUCUUUACUUCGGUAGUUUUAAAGAACCCUUUUAUUUUAUUGUUUUAUCUCAACUUUAAGCAUUGUGAAGAAAAAGGAACUUUGUUAGUUAGCACUUCAAAUUUAAAAGCAAUGAACCAACAGCAACCUUGAAAUUUCUGUCCUAGUAGUCGUCAUUUUAGUGCUUUAACUAGUUUCUGCCUUUUGAGGAACAUAUGCUUCAAGUCAACAUUAUCGGUUGCAAUUAAUGUUAAAUAUUAUACGCAAUAACUCCACUGACUGUCAACCUACCGGAAACUUUCUAUCAUAUUAAGACACAAAUUUCAUUGUAUUUCUCAAUUCUAGGAUUAGGCGAGUGAUUAAGAUGAAAUUAGGUUUUCAUACCAUGCUUUCAGUAUUUGCCCCAGCCAGCCUUGCAAAGGAAAGUUGGUGCAGCCUGAGGCAAUUUGAUUUGGAAAAAAAAAUUGUUUCAGUAUAUAUAUAGAGUUUAAAAUGAAAAAGUAACAUUAAUAUAAAAAUUGCAAUCUAUUGCAAUAGAAUUUUACUUUUAUUGUAUUGUUUGUUCUUUACUAGUAUAAAUAUGGAUACAGGCUUCUUAUUGAAAUGCAUACUAUUGAUUGAGGAUAUUACCGAUUAAUAGGGUUUGCAUUUUUACUGCAGGCACUUGUGGAUAUGAUAUGAAAGAGGUAUGCAAAAUGCCAGUUUUAAUGGCUUUUUCAGUCUCUGAUGGUUUUCAAGAAUUGCAAUCCUAAAUGGAGUUCAUAUUCUCUUUAUUACUUUCAGCAGUUUUCUGAUAACUCCUGCUCUCCCUGAAUUGGAUAUGUCAGGACAUUUAUUUCCCACCUCUAUUACUUAUCUAGUUACAAUCCAUGUUGCAUAUGCUCCUCUUGUUAUGGGCUUCAACGGUUAUUUUUUCUUCUUUUAAAAAAUACUUUUUACAACUCUCUUUCUCACAAAUUUGCUAUGUCACGACUUUUUGGAAUAUAUUGCCCACCUUUAUUACUUAUUAUGGUAAAAUCUCUGGCUAAGAAAUAGACAAGCAAAACUUAAUACGCAUGCCUGCUCGUGAUGUUAGAGAGUGGAUAUUUUCUGGAUGAUACAAGAUGAUUGAAUCAUGUGUCCGUUUGGACUUCAAUUUUGAAGAUCUUUUUGUAACUAUUGCAUGGGUAACAUUUUACUUAGUUGAAACCCCUUCUUUUAGUUGGGGUGGACUUGUUUUUUUGUAUGCCCAUGUAUUCUUUCAUUUUUUCUCAAUAAAAGUUGUUCUCUCAAAAGAGAUUUUACCAUAAAGACGUUACCAUUUUAAGACUUUUAAAAAAUAUCCUUUUGAGCUUUCAGAGCAUGGAGAAUUUGCUUAAUCGGUCAACAACACCAGUGGAUGAAAGACUUGGUUCGGGUAAUAAGUCAACUGAUAUGGUUAGUAUGACUUGAGUUUUUGUUUUCACGUAGUAAAUAGUUUGAAUAGUCGUUAUUCUCAUGAAACUUUUGUAGAUUUGUCUCUGGUUAGAGUUAUGGUGAAAGUUCCUUUUAUAACUUAUAAGUCAUAUUGUUGUGUGAAUAUAGAAUUUUCUUUUUACUUCAUGAGAUAUAAAUUAUGUUUGUCAUUUUCCUUCAGUUUUGAAUACUUUUGUGUAGCAUUAAAGUCUCCUCCUUUUCCUCCCUCAAUUAGCGUUUUCAAAGGUGAGCUUGGGUGGAUUGCUUGUGGUGAUAGGUGAGGCAAGAUGCGGUUGUCUAUGGCAAGCACCUUUACUCAGGCAAACUGCCUAGGUCAUGUCACCGUUUUUUCAACUUUUGGUUUGCUUACAGAAGAAAACAGACCUCUCACAUUUUUUAGUGUUUCUAAUUAUAACUUUAAUGAUCAUUAUCAUUUUAUUAUAUCUUUUAAGAACUAUUGUUCUCUUGAAAAUGUGUAGCAACUUAAUAUAUGAAAAUAAAUUCUUAUUUAUGCCUCAUCUGAAAAAAAAAAGAUAUUUAUGCCUAAUUUUUAUGUUUUAAUGUUAAAUAAUGACAUGCGUUAAUCCUAUAUAUAUAUAUAUAUAUAUAUAUAUAUGGGUGUAUCUAUGUGUAUGCAUGACAUAUGACAUAUAUAUCUAUGUGUUACAAAAACUUCGUUACCAACCUGAGAAUGGCAUAACUAGUUAAGGAAAACACCAAGUGGUCAGUCUCCACAGAAAACACCUCACUCACUCGGACCAUGUUUUUUAUGUGCCCCACGCCGCCAAUCCAAGAGAUGAGGAACAUGUUGUCUUGGAAUGCAUCACUUUGGAAACAUUUUGCACAACUUCACACAUAGUAUUGGUUUUUUAAUUUGGUAUAUCGUUUUUAUUCUCAAUAAUACGAGUUAGUGGCUGUAAGUUACACUUUGACCUAUUGUAAAGGUACAGGUUUUGACGGGCAGUACUAACUUUUAUUCACGGGGAAUAAAGUUUUGUUGUACGUUUGAAUAUGUGUUUUCUUUCUUACUCGAGCUAUUUUCUUUUGCAGACUGCAGCUUCAUGUUCAAGAUCAGAUUCAAUUUCAUGUCAGAGAAAUAAGGCAGAAAACCAUUAUCCUGGAGGGUAAAUAUCUUUCUAUUGCAGUCUGGUAGCUUGUGUGUCAUGGUUAGAAGUAGAAAGACUACGGAUAGUUAUUUUUCAUAUUCUUCUAGAACAAAUAUUAUCUUCAAGAUUUUCCUUGAUAUUCUAGUGAUUGGACAAGACUUCUUAAAAGACAAAGUUAACUUGUUAUUUGUUCCUGAAGUUAAUGUUCAUUUCUGGUCAUCUCCGUUUCAACAAAAAAAAAAAUGUUCAUUUCAGGUCAUCUUGGAACGGAAAUUUGGCCUCAAGCAAAAAAGUCUUGGAAUUGACUAACCUGGAAAAGACUAGAAGUGAUCUUCAAAAGGAGGUUUUGACCGCAUUAUAUAAUGCUUCUGAGGAACCAGAAGAGGAGUCACCAAGAAGAACAGUACCAAGGAGGAAGCAGUUUGGAGCAUAUGGACAAUUAGUGAGUGAACCGUUCAAAGAUGUGGAUGCAGAGCGUGAGAAGCCUGUGGAAUACAAUGAUCAAAUUGAUUUGGAUGGUAACAUCGGAAUUAUCUUUUUAACAUCUAUUUAUGGGGUCUUAGAAGCUUGAGCAUUAGUUGUGAAUCCUGAUGAAAAUAGAUUAGCAAUGCCGAUUCUCGUACUUUCUGAACUCUUAAUAUUCGAUAUCUUAUUAUUCAAAAUUUCAAAUGAUUGAAGUUUCUUUCUAAGAGUAUCAUUGAUUGUAUGAGUAAUUCACCAAAAUUUACGAGUAUUCUAGUUUUUUUAGCUGAUUGCUUUCGGGAUUGGCACAUCAUAUCAUGACUAUAAUAUUUUAAAGAAAUCGGAGCUCCUUGGUAUUGCAUCAUUUUGCAUAACAAGCAGAUAAACAAAAAUAAAGUAGAUUGGUGGUGCAUAGAAAUGUUCUAGGGAAAGAGCUCCUACUGCACAGUUCAAGAAGUAUUGAAUAGUCCUGUCAUGUAAGAUCCGUUAGAAGAGUUGAGGAAAGUAAUGAUACUAGUUUGAGUUCAUUUCUAUAUGUUUUAAUCAGUAAUUUUGGCCAUCACAAUAUUUUUGAUCCACCACUACACUACAAAUUGCAGUUGAAGUUGAGGAUGAAGAAAAUAGCUACCAACUCCUUCGUAAAGCUGUUAGGGAGUAUCGUGGCACAAUGAAGGAAUAUUAUGCAGCGGUGGGUGAACUUCGUGCCUUGUUUUGACUUUUCCACUCUUGUUGUAAUCUGCCAUCAACUGAUUUCUCUGCGUCUUUCAAAUCACUUCUAAGAUGGAAAAAUUAAUUUGUUCAUAGGCCAUAGAUGCAUUUGCUAAAGGGGAUUCUGUUCGAGCAGCCAAACUCAUAGAUGAGGUAAUGGGGUAGUGUCUAUUUUUUUCUUAAAUAAAAAAAAAAAGAACAGGACUAUUUCAUUAAAACGAUAAGAUGUAAAAAAAUAUUUUGAAAGAAAUUACCUCCAAAAAUCUGAAGGACAAAGGAUUAUAGAGGAUUCUUCCCAUUCAUAGCUGUAUAAGAUACUGUAUAUUACAAAAGAAGGUAAUGGGGUAAUGUUUAUUAUCUAAAAUUACUUUAAGAUACCGUGUAAUAUGUAUAUGAUUCUGUGUUUCGAUGGUGUUUUUAAUCAAUUCUAUGGUCCUGUGUUUGCUUAAUGCUCAUUCCAUGCUCAUUCCACAAAUGAAGUGAAGCUACAAGUAUGCAAUAGUUUCCUUGGACAAACAAGAUGCACUAUUUUUUUCAACUUGGAAAAUGUAAUAGUAGUCCAUUACUGUAUACAAAAUGUUACCCUAACCUCGUAGAUUGGAAUGCAAACUCAUGUUCCUAUGAUGUGCAUGAGUAGGGGCACUUUUUUCACAAAAAAGCUCAAGAAGCAGACAAACAGUCAAACCAGUUAAUUUUUGAACCCAGGUUAGUGGUUAUGGUCUCUACAGAUAUGUUUUUCUCAAACUACAGUCUUUUAAAUGAUUGCAAUUCAAUUUCAGGCUCACUUUUUUUGUUUUGUUAAUGAGCAGGCAUGCAGAUACUGAAGAUGAUGAAAUGUUGCUUGAUUUGCAUGAUCUUGGUGGGAAGGAGGCAGUGAAAGUUUUAAAGUCCCAAAUUUCUUCACUCUCCGGGAUCCCAUGUGAGUUCCUCUUUUUUUUUUUUCCACUUGAUUUAUUUCUUUCCAGUCCAUAAUUGUAUUUUUUUCGUUGUCCACAUUAUAUAUUGAUACACUUUCCUUUCGUUUACUGAUCAGCAAUUAAACAUCUUAAAGUAAUCAUGGAGGCAGAUGAUAAAAAUACCUCAAAGCGGUCUUGUAGACGUUUGGUAAGAUCUUAACCUGGAAACAUUUUUCAGUCGUUUCUCCUUUUUUGUUCUGUUUUUUACUUUCUUCUCAGUGUUUGGUCAAGGAGGUGAUGAGACAUGAUAGGGAUGUUCGAACUUGCAGGUGGAAGUAAAAAAGAAAAAAAAAAAAAUCUAGUUAAAACAUGUACCUUUGAUCUAUAAGUUAGAGAUUCAAAUUUCUACUCCAUAUUACUGAAUUGUAACUUAACCCAUAUUUCAGGUAGGUUAUCUAUGGUCACUGCUCACCGAGUUGUGCUCAUACUAUGCAUCAUUUGCAUGCAUGGAUAAGCUAUUUACAUAAAAGCUUGAGAACUUGUCAAAUCAAAAUGAUAGUAUUGGUACAUGAUAUUGCUAACAUUUGACUGUUUACAGAAAAGCUUUAGUACUUGUCAAAUGAUAGCAUUUGUACAUCAUACUGCUCACAUUUGAUGCAAACUUUUGGAAUCUGAUUACAUUAUGAACUUCUAUCGGAACUCUACCUGUGUUGGAAUUUACUUAAUAUUUUUAUUGUCCUUUUAUGGAAAAGGUUAUGAAGCUGUUGGAGAAAGAGUCAAUCGAGUGGACCGAGGAAGAAAAUGGCAGUUACAUUCUAAUCCACUUGGAUACAAUUGAUCGAAAACGAUUAAGUUUUGUCAAAGGAGUGCAUUGAGAACAAAUGGACAACAAAAAAGUAGAGAAAAAGUCCACCUGGAUACUAUUGAUCGAAAAACAGUCAUCGAGUGGACUGUGGAAGAAAAUGGUAGUUACAUUCUAAUCUGUCUGGAUACCUUUAACCGAAAACGACUAAGUUUUGUCAAAUGAAAGAAUGCAUUGAGAACGAAUGGGCAGAAAAAAGAUAGAAAAAAAAUCAAUAGAACUCAAAACAAGAAAUUGUUUGAAGAUAAUUUACGAUGCAUCACAGAAGUAUACAUAUAUGUUUUUUUGGUGUAUGGAGCUCGAGAUUUGAUGCAGUAUCAUUGGGGGGAGAAACCUUGAAGACAAUUUGUAGUUCAAUUAUGUAUCAUCCCUCUAAGCCACUUUUUUUUGUGUAAAAUUCUGUUAUAUAUCAUCAAAUAGAACUCUAUUCAUCACAUCAAUAUUUUGGUAACGUGUCAAUAAUAAAAUUCUAUUAGAUUUAAUUAAAAUUCGUCGCAAGUAUAAGGGCAUAGUUAAAACAUUUAAAAGUUCAAAAAUUGAAAAGAAGAAUACCUGAAUUUAUAGAACAAAAUUAUCGUUUAACUAACUUUUCUAUGGUACUUAUUUUCUGGUGUAUGUUAUUAGCAUUCUGCAUUUUUUAAAUUUUCUAUUCUUUUGAAACAUAAAAAUGAGAGUUGAAUAUGUGUCAAAAGAAUGGAGAAUUUUUAAAAUAUAAUCACACACUCUACUUAAUCUUAUGUUUAUUAGAUUCUUUUUAACUAAUUAUUUAAAAAUUGAAUAGGACAUGGAUGGAAUUUUAGAGAAAGUCUGAUAAUUAAUUGAUAAAUUAAAACCCUUUUGAAAAUAUUUACAAAUAUGUUAGAAAUAUAUCUAUUCGUUGUUUCUUUUGUAAUUAUUAAAAUAAAUUUUACUAUGCUAUUUGAAUGUCUGUCUAUUUAAAUGAAAUCAAAAUAUUACAAUAUUUCAUUACAUAAUUUUGCUUUUCUCUUUUUAUAUCAAUAUAAAAAAAUAUAUUGAAAUUUCUUAUUUUUUUUUAUAUUAUAUAAUAAUAUUAUAUAAUGGGUUAUAGAAUAAUUUAUCGAAUAAUAAAGUUAUUUUUAGUUAUGUUAUAGAGGAUCUCCCCUAAGGGUUAAAUAUUGUGUUUUUUUAAUUAUUAAAAUAAAUUUUACUAUAUUUAUAAUUUUUGAACAAAUUUAUUAUAUUUGAACAACAACCGGUUUAGUUACCCACUUAUUUUACGUGGACUAAAUUAGAUGAUUUAAAAUAAUUUCAUGUAAUAUUAUCUACAAAUAUUCGAGUAUUUUUUUUUUCCCCACUCAUGUGGAAUUUAAUUUCAGCUUCGAAUUCAUUCUUUUCGCUUCAUAUGGCUUAGCUUUCUUUUUACGCGAUCAUUUUUCUAGAAUAAUCUAUAACUCCUUUUCCAUUUGACCAAAAGCCAAGCCGAGUCCACUAGCCGACGGCUUUAAGCGGCCACAGGUUCAACCAAAGUAUACGUGGCAUUUUAUCAGUGGGCAUAAUGACGUCAUCUAUAAUUCUCUCUAAUUUUGGAAAAAUAGUCCUAAUGUUUUUUCAAAUAAUUUGGACACCAUUUUGGAGCCCUAAUUUAAGAAAAAUUCUUCUUCAAGAAAAUAUUAUUAAUUUAAAAGGAAAAUUGAGAUCGUCUUCUAGGUUUUUUUUCUCGAUUGAAUUUCAGAGUGAAGUUUCGAUCAAUCCUCUCUCUGUGUGCUGCGGGUCAGGAAGAACAAUGAGCGGUUCUGUGAAGGACGUGAAAUCUAAGGCGGAGCUUGACGCACUGCUCCGGAGUGAUGCUUUGGUUAUUCUCCAUUUCUGGGCUUCAUGGUGUGAUGCUUCCAACCACAUGGACCAGGUCUUUUCACAUCUUGCUACCGAUUUUCCUCACGCUCAUUUCUUAAGGGUGGGUAUCUAUCCCCUUUUAGUAAUUAUUUCCGGUGAUCUUUAUUUGCCCGUGAGCUUCUAUUACUUCGAUUGUUCGUCUUCUUAGUUGUUCAUGGUGAUUAUAGGUUGAAGCUGAAGAGCAACCCGAAAUAUCGGAGGCUUACUCAGUUGCUGCCGUGCCUUACUUUGUUUUCAUCAAGGUCGGUUGAAGUAUUCUGUUUCAGUUUUCUUUGUAAUUCUAAUUCCAAGUUGGUUUUGUAUAUUAAUUUUUUACUUGACAAGUAUAGUUUUCAACGGAUACUCGAAUCAACGAUACUCUGGAGAGAUGGUAAUGGUUUGACGUUUUGAAUGUCUGAUCUUUGAACUUGACAUUGUAAUUUUCCGGGUUCCUUUCGAUGAUAAUGAAAUUGUAUUUCGGGGUUAGCUUGUAAACGAGUAGUUUCCAAUCUAUAGUCGGCCCAAUUGUAUUUAGUCAAGGGAUGGUAAUUGUUUUACGUUUGGGUAUUGAUCUUUGGUCUUGGCUAUGUAGCUUUCCUGGCUCACCAAUCUUACUAGGAAACACAUGGCCUCAUUGAUUUCUUUUAAAGCAAGAAAUUAACUUGAACUUUACUGGAAAAUUUUUAUCUUUUUUUUGAGAAUGAAUCGAAUUCAUCAUGUUUGACUAGAAAUGAAUAUCAACGGAAAAGAAAAGUAGAACUAGAACAGCUGAGGUCUGAGGAUAUGUGGUUGUAAUGGACUUUCAAGUAGUUGAUCAGUAAUUCUUACGCGGUGAUUCCUUGUGCUUUUCGGAAUUUCCUUUAACAUUUCUCUAUACCUUUUCUUUUCCACUGCACUAGAAACGACUUUGGGUGCAUUGUAGCAAGUGAAGGUUAAGGAUACUAUUCUAUAUUUCCAUCUUAAUCACCAAGAAAAUUAGAGACACUUAGAAUGUGUGGGCUUAAUGUCUCUCGUGGACAACAAAGCUAAUUGCAUUAUAGUUAAUUUCGUAUUUCAGGAUGGCAAGACUGUUGAUACCUUAGAGGGGGCUGAUCCAUCUAGCUUGGCUAAUAAAGUUGCUAAAGCUUCUGGUGCAAUCAAUACUGGAGAACCAGCAGCCCCAGCUAGCCUUGGGAUGGCUGCAGGACCCGCUAUUCUUGAAACAGUGAGAGAGUUGGCAAGGGACAACGGUUCUGUUACUGAAAGCAAGGUGCAACCUGGACUGAGUAGUGCUUUGCAGACGAAAAUUCAGCAGCUUAUUGACUCUAAUUCAGUUAUGUUAUUCAUGAAAGGAAGCCCCGAAGAACCAAGAUGUGGGUUUAGCAGAAAAGUUGUUGACAUUUUGAAGGAAGAAAAUGUGAAAUUUGGGAGUUUUGAUAUCUUAUCAGACAAUGAGAUUCGUGAGGGAUUGAAGAAGUUCUCUAAUUGGCCAACCUUUCCGCAGCUCUAUUGCAAAGGGGAUUUACUAGGUGGGUCUGACAUAGCCAUUGCAAUGCACGAGAGUGGUGAAUUAAAGGAAGUUUUCAGAGAUCAUGGCAUUGAGAACAUAGUUUCUGAUGAGGUAAAGACUGCCAAGCCCGAUAGGAAAGGUGGUAUUUCAGAGAACUCAGGCUUGAGUGAAGCUCUAGCCUCCCGUCUUAAAACACUAAUUAAUUCAAGUCCUGUUAUGCUGUUUAUGAAAGGAAAACCUGAUGAACCCAAAUGUGGGUUCAGUCACAAGGUUGUGGAAAUCCUUCGUGAAGAAAAUGUGAACUUUGAAACUUUUGAUAUCCUUUCUGAUGAUGAAGUCCGCCAAGGGAUCAAGGAUUAUUCAAACUGGUCCAGUUUCCCCCAACUAUAUAUCAAGGGUGAACUGGUUGGUGGAUCAGAUAUUGUUUUGCAGAUGCAGAGAAGUGGAGAACUUAGGAAAGUUUUAGAAAAUAAAGGAAUCAUCAAGAAAGACACUAUUGAAGAUCGUCUGAAAAAACUGACCACUUCUUCCCCAGUUAUGCUUUUUAUGAAGGGUAUACCAGAUGCUCCAAAAUGUGGUUUCAGCUCUAAGGUUGUUAAUGCCCUCAAGGAAGAGGGUAUUGAUUUUGGUUCAUUUGAUAUCUUAUCUGACGAAGAAGUGAGACAGGGAUUGAAAGUUUACUCAAAUUGGCCGACCUUCCCCCAACUUUAUUACAAAGGCGAUCUUAUAGGAGGCUGUGAUAUCGUGCUGGAGCUAAAAAGCAAUGGUGAACUAAAAGCCACUCUAUCUGAAUAGUAUCAACAUGAGCCUGCUUGGGGCGUGUCCACACCCAUUCACCUGUCUCACCUACAUCAAUCUAUUGAUAUUAUACUUUUUCUAAACUUUGCUUUUAUAGUUUUGAUUGAUUUUUGACCCGUCAAUGUGGUGUGGUCUUUUCUACUACAUGUAAAAGCAAGGGUUUUUCCCUGGUUACUGAUGAAUUUAAGUUAUAUUGUGUGUUGUUACCCGUUAGGCCGUUACCUGGCAACUAUGUUCAUAUUUUGUGGUUUCUUUAGUUGGAUUUUCAAUGACGAGAAAACUUGCAUUCUUUCUAAAAGGUGGGAUUAUAUUUCGGCUUGAGAAACUGGCUUGAAGCUUUCUUUUUUGACUUUUCUUCAUAGUAUCUGCAAAUGGAUGUCAUUAUAAUAGGAUUUGGGGUACAGGUUAAGAUUCAUAACUUAUGCUUGGGGAAGGGUUUGUUUGAAAAUUUAGACCUUUUGAAGAGAAGCUGUUCAAAAGAAUGAUGGUGAGAAUGAUUCUCUCACUUUCUCUCUAAAAGAAAAAUCAAUGGGGUAGGUGUUGUGGAGAAAGAAAAGGCGCUCGCCAGUUCUCUUUCGUCAUUUUCAAAGUCAAAAUCUCUUACUUUAUAGAAAAGUUGGAUUGAUUUUGCAUUGCAUUUUCGGACUUCUAAGAUCAGUAGGCCAAUAUAAACCAAAUUCUCUUGGAAAUUCUCUGGCAGCUUCUAGUAUUUUCAAAACUAAAAUCACGUGCGAUCUAUUUAGAUUUCCAUAAUCCGUUAACCAACGCCGUGUAACUAUUUGCAUUCAUACCCUCAUCUGUUUUCUAAGAACUGAAAGUAUUCUUUACUUUAGGUAGUUGAACUUGCGUAUUUCAAAUUUUUCUGUUGGUUAUUUGGUUAACUUUAUAUUAGUUUGGUAUUGUUGAAAUUGGUUAUUUGGUUAACUUUAUAUUAGUUUGGUAUUGUUGAAAUACUAUGUUACGUGUUUUUAGUUUGGUUUCUAUAUUCAACUUUAGUUCAUUACUUUGAUUUAUUUUGGUCUAUCUACCUCCGAAAUGUUUAUUUUUGUUCUUGCAUUUCAAAAAUAACAAUUUUAGUCUUUUUAUUUUCAUUUUUACUUUAAUAUUUUAAGGAUGAAAAUGACUAACUCUUCGACAGUUCAAGGACUAUUAUGAAGGAACAAAGUUAAAAAUAGAGUCAAAAGUCGUGUUGGUUUUAUAUAUUUAGUUAGACUAUCAUUAAACAAGUAUAAAAUGAUCUGUUUAAUUGUUCGUCUUCAUAUCUAACUUUUACAGAGCCAAAGUAAUGUCACAACUUCUUUAAAACUAACUGAGGACAGUGCUAACUCAACAUGGAGAGGAUGGAUAACCCAAAACUAAACUCUCAGAGCCGAUCCAUUUUUUUUUUGUACAAUAAAAAAACUCUUCGUAGGCUAUUUUUCAAUGCACCGACCUAGACAGUCAAGCAAUCUAAUAUGUAGUGCUUUGAAUUGGGCUAUUUGAGCCUGCAAUUCCAGCUUCUGUCUUCUUAAGUUAUUGUUUUCUUCCAUUAGUAACAGAUGAUCUCCAUUCUCCUGAUUAACCGCCAUUGUUGCACCUCCUUCAUGAGAAGAUCUUAGGAAGGCUGGAAACACACUUGGCUCACAUUUCUUACGUACAAUUUCCACCAACAUAUGCCUCUUUCCUCUCUGAAACUUCUCAUGCUUGAAUUCCCACCUUUUCGACGACGUUUUCUUGAACCCCUGCCUCCAAAAUAUCAAGAAUUAGAACGAAACCCGACCCAAAAAAUAAUGUUAAAUAGAUCAAAUAUAUCAUAAUCUAUCAACUCAACCGUCCCUUUCCGAAGUCUAUAGGCAUAUAAGCAUUCCAAAUUACAUCAAGAAAAUGGUCGGUUGGAUCUAAUCUAUAAUGAAAAACUCUUUUUUAAGAUGAUUUUGAGAAUAGAAAAAGAGAGAGAGAGAGAGGAUUACAUACGUAAGUAUUAAGCUGGCGAAUGAAGCUAGAGAAGUUAUUAUGCUUGAAGUACUUGGGCAAUAGAUGCUCAGAAAAAUCAGCAGGAGACCAAACAAUGAAACCACUUCCUUCUGCAUUCCAUGACACAGUCCUAUUUCCACCAUUCUUUUCUUCUUCUUCUUCUUCUUCUUCAUCUUCUUCUUGAUCUUGAUCAGCUUCCUCGAAAUGGAAGCUUCCAGCUUCUUCUAACAGAUCAUAAGUCUUUGAUAGAAAAGGAGCAGGGUUUCUGGUUCUUGAAGACUGCAUUAUUAAAUUAAUUUAAUGCUAAUUUUCAGACCCAAAAAUUUGUUCAAAGUUAAACAGCUUCUCUACUUAUAACCUUUUCCCCCCACCUGCAGCCAUUUGCUAGGAAGCUACCAGGUUCUAUAAAGGCUGGCCAGAUUUCUUUUGUCCUUUUUCCAAUUCUGCCUUUUUCUUCAAGUUUGUUUGGUGAUAUAAGCUGGACCCAUUGAAGUAAAUAUAUGUAAUUAAAGAAAAAACUUGUUCACAAAAUAGUUAUAAAAAUCGAACCUUUUUGCUUCUUCUAGUAAUAUCAGAAUACAUAGUAUAUCUAGCUAGAUUGUAGGGUUGAAAACACUCAAAAUCUAUGUUGGACUCUUCACAUUGAUCAAUGGUAUUGAUAAGUGUGGUACCUCAUGAAUAUGCUCCUACUCAAAAAUCAUAUUUGAUAUGGCGUGGUUGAGGAUCCAUCAGCUAAGGAGGGAGAUUUCAUCGACAAUUUUGACUAAUAAGAUAUACGACCUUGACAUCUAUGUCAAGAUGGUUAAGCAAAAAAUAAAAUUGGUCAUACGUUAUAUCUUGAUUUGCUCAUAAUAAUAACAUCAUUGUGUUUAGGAUUUAGUAUCACAUCGAUGUAAUAUCUUGCAAAUUACAUCAAUCCAAUUUGAUUUGCUCGACUAAAUUCAUUCACCAACAACUUUUUCUAGGAUUUGUUUUUACAUCAUAGAAAAUAUUGUCCCUGUUUUAGAUGAUGUGUGUUACAUUGUUUAGAGAGGAAAAUGAAAUUAUGAUAUGGUUUUUGGAAUAAAUAAUUAAAUAAAAUGAAAAGAAAAUUUUAGUUUUUUUUUUUCUAAAGAAAAAAGGAAGAAAAAAGAAAAUAAGUCAGUUGUUGAGGGAUAUUAUUUAGCAUAAUACAAAGUUGAAAAGUGACAUAAAAAUUUCAAAAGAAUGGCCGCGAAUUCUGACCUUUUCUUUCUCCUUCCUGCUUAGCUCUGCAUCCCAUGUGUGUCAUUUCAUUAAUAAUCAUUUAACUUUAAAGUGCACUUUAAAUUUUGUGUAAAAUUCAAUAUAUAUAUAUAUAUAUAACUAUAUGUAUACCUUUAUUAAUCCUAGAAAACUAUGUAAUUUAAAACUAGUUGCUUCAACAAUCACAUGUGAUUCAAAAAUUAGGGUAUUUUAGUUUCAAUCUAGAAGUUCCGUCAAGAUUAAAACUACAUUCAAAUUAACUUAAUGAUUUGAAUUAAUAAUGUUAUACAAACCCAAAGUUAGAUUGCAAUAAAAGAAUAGAGAGAUAUAACAAAAUUAAUUAAAUUAAGGAUAAAUUACAAAAAUCUUUCAUCAUGGACUAACACAAUUGCAAAUGUACUAAAAUUAGAAUUUCAAACUUUUAAUAACUAUAUAAAUUAGAUCUAUAAAUAGAAAAUUGAACCCUCACACUUGAAUAAAUAUUACAAUUUAUACAUUUAAGAAUUAAUUUGACCAAAAUUUAAUAUUUACAAAAGUUUGAGAACUAAAAUUUUAAAAUAAAAAAAUUAAUGAUAGAAUUGCAACUCCACAUCUCUACUUUAGGGUAAAUUUAUUUUGAAAUGGGGCGGGGGAGUGGAGUGGAGUGGAGUGGGGGCGGUGGGGGAAGAGAAUGAGUAGCAAUGACAUGCAACACCAAGUCACCAACUACCCACUCCAUGGUGGGAAAAGGGGAAGUGGAUUUUUGGGAUGUAAUGGACGGCCAUGAUUCUCCUCAACAACUUUAUUGGAUCAAAAGGAAGGGUGGGGAUGAUGCAUCGUGGAUAAUGUAGUAAAAAUGUUCAAUAAAGUUGGCUACAAGGAUGAUCCAUCAGAUCUGUGAAAUUAAAAUGUUGGAUCUUUUCUUAAACAAUGAUGGUACAAAGUUUUCCUUAAAAGAAAAAUUGAGAAAAUUAUUAUAUAAACUCUAAAUUUCUUUUAUUCACUAUUCAUAUCUUUAAUCUAAUUAUAUGACUGCGUGUAUUAGAUGUACUGUUUGUAAAUAAAUAAUUAUGAGAUAAAACUAUUUUCCACAAGCUACUCUAUUACAAUGACGAGAAAUAAAAGACACUUCAUGAACAUUAAUUUGUUGAAUUCAUGCUUGAAUUUCAUCGAAAAUCACUCCAAUGGAAUAGUACAACCUAUGAUUUGCUUGUAACUCAUACGGUUAUUUUCAACUUUUUCAUAUUAAUGGAAAAAUAUUCAAAACUCACCUUAUAAAAUAUAAACCUCCAAAUGAUACAAAGUUAUAAAAUUGUUCUCACAAUUAAAAUUUUUCAUCUUCUUUUUCUUUAUUUUUCUCUCUUGUUCUAUUUAUUUGUAGUAAUUUGGAAGUCCAAGACUCAUUCCGUGAAGGAAAAAUAUAUAAAAUUGCAAUUAAAUUUGUUAAAUGCUUUUGGAAGAACAAUUUAAUGGUGCAUUUUCUUUAUAAACUAGAACAACAUUUUAUAAAACAUAAAAAAAUGUAGAUUAAGAAUUUGAAUAUAAAAAAAGAUAAUAACUUAUCAUAUACUACAUUAUCUGUCGCACAAAGUAUACAUACUUCCAAUUUUUUACUUAAGAUAAAUAUAUUUAGUAAUUCUCUAGUCAUAUCAACUUCUAUUUUUUUUAAAGAAAAAAAAAACUUCAAAAAACGUGAAUUAACAACGACCAAAAUCUUCAUUGUUCACAAAGAUACCAAAUCCAGAUAAUUCAAGACCUAAUUGGUCUGCGUAGUUAUUGUCUAAAGGAAUUGAGGGCAAUUUUUUUAGAGAAAUUCAAUUGAAACUUCUUCGUUUUUUGUGUUUAUCAACAUAUUUGGACACAUCCAUUUUACAAAUUAAUUAUUUUAUAAAUAUCAAGUUGCUGUGGUGUAGUGGUUAUCACGUUAGUCUUACACACUAAAGGUCCCCAGUUCGAUCCUGGGCAGCAACAUUACAUUUCCCUUUAUUUUUCUUUUCAAAUAUCUUAUGGUCCAGUAUAUUUCGAAUCUAUUUUAAUAAUUUAACCUUUUUUUUCUUUUCCGUCCUAGGAGUUCAUGAUUGCAGCCUCACCAAUAAACAACCACAAGAUUCAAAAGUCAGAUUUAUAGAAAAUAUAGUGACUGAAAUUAUUCAUAUGGACCAAAAUGGUCACCAAAUAUAUAAUAAAAAUUACUCACAAAUGUUCAAAAAAUAAUUGCUUUUUAUACACAUCAAGUUGCUGUGGUGUAGUGGUUAUCACGUUAGUCUUACACACUAAAGGUCCCCAGUUCGAUCCUGGGCAGCAACACUUUCUUUUCCUUUUUCCCGAAAUUUCUUAUUCUCAUUGGGCCUAAAAUGAACUGGGCUCGUCUAUCUUCGGCUUAACAAUUUGAGCCGGCUUAAACAACAAAAGGUCCACCAUAGCUAAGUUGUGCUCAUCAUUUGGAUCGUAUACUUGAGCAGAAAAUUGGUCCUUUUCCUUCUCUUUGGGCCUAACAUGAAGUGGGCUUGGCUAUCUACGGCUCUACAAUUUGGGUCGGCUUAAACAACAAAAGGUCCACCAUAUUUGAGCAGAAAAUUGGUCUUUUUCCCCCAAAUUUUUUAUUCUUCUCAUUGGGCUUAAUGAAGUGGGCUCGGCUAUCUUCGGCUCCACAAUUUCGGCUGGCUUAAACAACAAAAGGUCCACCAUAGCACAUUGGGCUCAUUAUUUGGAUCGUAUACUUGAGCAGAAAAUUUGGUCUUUUUCCACGAAAUCCAAUUUCUUACCCCUCAUUGGGCCGAAAGAAAGUGGGCUCGCCUAUCUACGGCUCCAAAUAUUGGGCCGGCUUAAACAACGAAAGGUCCACCCAUAGCUACAUUGGACUCAUUAUUUGGAUCGUAUACUUGAUCAGAAAAUUGGAUCUUGAGUGAUGGUAAAAUGGUAUGGUAAAUUUUCUGUUUUAGUAAGUCUUGAAACAUUUUUCUCGAAAGUAAAAAAGUUAAUGUAACUUUUGGAAGAAUGGAAACAUUGUACAAAGUUUUGAGGUAAAUUAUCAUUUACCCAAAAGAAAUAGAAUCUCCUUUCAAAAUCCCAAAUUCCAACCAAACCAUGAAACAUUUUUCGUCUUCUCAAGAACUACUUCAAUUUUCAUCUAUUUUUUUCAAGGUUGGUUAUUCACGCUUCUCGUCUUCUUUUUGUGCUGAUCAUUUACGAACAAAAUCGGUAGUUUUAGAAAAGUAUAUGAAUUAAAAUUAAACAACUAAAAAUAUAAAGAUUAAAAUAAAAUAAAAUCUAAAAGUUGAUGAACUAAAACUAGAUAAUUAAAAAUAUAAAUACUAAAAUAAAAUGAAAUUUAAGUAUAUGAACGAAAUUGAAUUUUUAUUUUUCUUUUGCGGUGACCACAUGAAAUUUCUCAAUAUCUAUUUCCAUUUUCACCUAAUUCAUUUAAUUUUCAUUAUUCAUGCCUUUCAUGUUUUCACUUUCCGUUUAUUUACUAAGAAAAACGGUAUUAACAAAGUAUGCUAGUUUGGUGUUGACAAUUUUUAAGAAGAGAAAGUUGCAAACUUAGCAAUUAAAUUUAAAAUAAUUAAGUACAUAACAAUAUUUUUAAAAACUUACAAAUAUAGCAAAAAUUUUCAAAUUAUAUCAACUAUCGUUUUGCUAUAUUUACAAUUUUUUUUAAAUGUUGCUAUAUCCUUAAUUAUUAUUCCUCAAAUGGUCAUCUAUUACAAUUACCUUUUAAUAAAGAAAUUGAGAUGAAGAUAUAUUUAACAAAAAUAAUUUCAAAUUUAUUUUAGAAGGUACAAAUAAUAGAACGUAUAGAUUAUAUUAUAAGGUUGAAUAACAUGUAUAUAAAUAAAUACAUCAUAUAACUUGAAAGAAUGAUUGUGGACAUCUUUUAUAUGAAUAUUGAUGUUGAAAGUUCUUUUCUCCUUUCUCCAUCUAUGUAAUAUAAUAUUAACAUAUGAAUGAAUACAUUGCUAAAAUCUUUCAAUUACAUUAUAAUUUUUUUUAGCGUAUAACAAUCGUGGAAUAUAAAUAUAAACUCCCACCUACUUCUAAGGUGGAAUGUUACAUCAAUUAAGUUCAAUUUCAAUUGUUGCACAACAAUUGAAGUGGUACCAUAUUAUUUGAUUGGAUCAAGUAAGAGGUCCACAACAAUUGAAGUGGUACCAGAUUAUUUGAUUGGAUCAAGUAAGAGGUCCACGAGAGCACAUAACAACUAGUCGAUAACAUAAGAUAAACACAUAAAUAAAGAAAACGGCUUCUAAUUUGAGUAAUAAGAAUAAUAAGAACCACUAUGUAGGUAAUACAUAGCCAUUGGUUCAAUCUUACUACUAUAUUUUAUAAGUUGAACAUGUACAUAUAUUGAUUACCUAUGUAAAGUACUAAACGAGCCAGAAAAAGGUAAAAAAAAAGUGUGUAUAUAAGCAUAUUAGUUGUCCAUGAGCUAACUUCCAAAAGCCUAUACAGAGAAUACAAAGACAACAAAUAUCUUCUUUUUUUUCCUUUUGCUCUUUCUUCUUCCUUUCUUUCUUCUUGUCUUGAAAAUGGGGGUGUUUCCACGCAUACAAUAUCAUUAGAAGACAAGAACGCAUAGAAUUACACAGCAGAAGAGGAAAAUGGAGAUUCUGUUCAAUGACUUGUCUACCUGCAUUUCCUGUCUUCUCAGUCGGUUCCUACUGCUCCCUGUUAGCUGGUAAGAGUUACGGUAAGAGUAUAAGUUAUCCGAGUUCCCGAAGACCCUCGCAUGCACGAAAUCCCCGAUCAUUCCAACAACUGGAUGGUGAAAACUACUGAAUGAUGUUCUUGCAAGGUUUAGCAAAGGGGAUGCUGAAUCUUCUUCAUAAUUGGCAAAAAGAAGGGGGUCGUGGUUCGGUCGCUGAUAAGGAUUUCGAUAUGGAAGUUGCUGUUGGUGUGUGCUGGGAGUAGCAAGAAUCUGAUUACCACAAGCUGAAGGUCUAGGAGGUAUGUUAAUGUCAUGAUGCAUUGCUUUGUCUUCAGGCUCGACUUCCUCUGCCGUUUGGCCACGACCGUAAAGAGGAACCAUUGUGGUGUGGGAAAUAUCAGCCUUGCAAACAGGGCACUGCGGGUGCUCGUCAAUGGCAAGAGAGGCACUCUGGACGUGUAGCCAUUUAUAGAUGCAAGGCCAGCAGUAUAAGUGGCCACAGAGAGUAACCACAGGCUCAUGGGCAAAGUCUAAGCAAAUGUUACAAUCAAAACAACCCUUGUAGUUCUCUCGCUCUGUGCCAGAAACAUGUUUCCAUCCUUGCGCAAAGUACUGCUCAAAGGCCAUGGAUUUGUCAAGAAACUGCAGAUGCUUCCUGGUAAAGCACACGAUAACAAAUUAUAAGGAAAAUUUUCCCAUCUGAAAAGAUAUUGGUAAACAGUAAUUAAAAACAGAAUUUAAAGCUAAGUUUAUGGUUUGUGGGAAGAAAGUUAAAAACAAUUGAUCAUUACGGACUACCCAAAUAGAAGGUUGGUGGGACAUUUAAGAUACCUAAAACCCAAUUGGAAGUGACCAACCAUGUGACCGACUUUAUUUCAGAGUAGUUAGAUGCCUAAUUAACACAUCCUGCAAGAGUUUAAUUACUCAAGACCAACCACAAAAUGAACACAGAUAUGGAAGGAAGCAAGCUACUACUAGGUAAGAGAGGAUGGGUAAUAUCAAUAAAAUAGCAAACAGAUCAACCAAAUUAUUGAGUUGGGUAAAAUUCUAGAAUACUCACAGCCCCAUAAAAUCAAUCAGCCACAUGGCAAAUUCAAAUGCAAAGAGCUUUCAAUUGAUUAACUGAAUGUGUUUAGCUCUUAAAUUCUAUAGAAUAGCAAUGGUGAAACAAUGGCAAAAAACAGCUAUUGUAAUGAAUUAGCAAUUAAAGCAGUCAACUUAGAGCUAACCAUAGUAAUAAUACAUGUAAAGCAAGCAAUACCCAUACCCAAUGAUUGAAGAAAAUGACUACAUUAUUUACUCAUAUGCCCAAUGAAUAAAUACAGAAGAAGAGGACCUAAAUGUUAAAUCAUUGUUUAGCUAGUUUGCCAAGAAGAAAAGUGUAUUCCUGGCACAUUGUCCUCCUCAGUGUGCCCAUAUUCACAAUAUGCAGGCAGAAACGUACUCAUUUAUUAGAUACCCACUCCAGAAUCGUGAUACCUCUUAUCCCUUUCUCUUCCCCAUUCAAUAUUUAGGGGUCCAUCCACAAGAAAAAGUCAUAAAUGGAACUUCAAGUGGUAACUCCAGAAAACCAAAUCCUCUUCUAGUUUUCCUUAAAGAGCCCAAAAUCAAAUGGUUAGGAAUUUGCUGAACUCUAGACAUAUAAUGUGAUAAAUGCUGCACACAGCAGACAAGAAACAAGAGGAUAUCUCACUGCUUCAAAAUGCUUUCACACGAAAAAAAAAAAAAAAAAUACAGAAUUAAGAGGGAACAACUUUUCUCCUACGUGAAAAAAAUCUCUGCUGUUCUAAUUUUUAAUUUUAUGAUAGAUAUAUAAGAACAGAUCGUGUUAGCAAAUUGAAUCAAAUCGUCAGACCCAAAGGCUAAAUAAAUUACUCCCAGUGUGUGUUGCUCGGAUUAUUUUCCAUCGACCAGAAACAGAUAAAAGUGGUCGAUUACCUAACAAAGCUGUCAAUGAUGAAAAUUCAUCAACCAAAGCCGCAAGGAUCCAUAAGAAACCCUGCUCUUUCCAACCAUAGAAUGAGAACUCUAAUCAUAAAUACACAGUACAACCGGUAGGCCGAACAUUCAAAAGAAUUUCUAAUGAAACCACUGGUGUAUUCUCACAUACAUAAAAUUAUCAUACAACAGCCAAAUACAACACUCCCAAUUUUAAAAAAUUAAAAAGAAACACAGAGUGGGAAGAAAAAGAGCUAUAAACAGAAAACUUAUCCAGAAUGAAAGAUCCAGAAAACAAAAAUGCUACCAGAAAAUCUGAGAACGCGAUCGCUACAAUGAAACAUCGCAAACAAAUAGUAAGAAAUUAAGAACAAAAAUGGAUUAAUCAACAAAUGGAAAGAAGCGUGAAAACUUCCACCUCAACGAACACAAUCACAGGGAAAGGGAGCAAGAAUACAAAGAGAAAAGUAUUGAUGAAAGUUGAAAUUCAGUGGUUAACCUGGGACAGAGAUAGAGAGAAAAAACUGGUUGCAGAGAAUAGAGGGAAUGUUAAUGUAGAAAUGAAAAAGGUUGAGGAAGGAGAAGAAGACAGAACGGGAAACAGAGAUAAGAAGAAGUUUGAGUACGAGAGAUAAUGAUGGAGCGUAAAACGUCUCGUGAGAUUGGGGUUUUAUUGACGAACCUCCGUUUUCUUUAACAAUACUUAAUGGGCCCUACAUUUUGUGCUGACAUGGCAUAAUCUCAUAUCAUACCCUCUUUUUCCUUCUCUGCUUUUCUUGUUUCCUAACAACACAAUCACUUUUUUGGAGUUCUGUUAGCGUUUAGGAUACUUUUUGUUUUUAAAACUUUAAAAUUUGUUCUAAAUAAAUGCUCAAAAAAGUUAAAAUUAAAAUAAAGAUGAUAUUCAUUGUAGUAAUUGAUGGGUAAAAACUAAAAUAAAUAUGUAAUAUUCUUUAUAUUAUAUGUCGAAUGAACAUAAAAUGAUGUGUAAAUAUUAUUAUUUUGUAAUGUUAUGUGGCACGCAAAACUUUGGAGAAGCAAAUUUCUAUAGCUUUGCACUCUAGUUAUUGUGAAAAAAAAAGGUUAAAAUAAAGAUGGUAUUUUUUUUUAUAACAAAUUUCCUUAAAUGAAAUGAAACUUCUAGAAGCUUGGGGGCAUAAUUAAAAUAUACAAUAAAGUUUUUUGGUAUUUUAUAUAAUCAAUGUUUAACCCAUUGCCAAUUUUACAAAUUAUUUAAGUUAAAGAAAAAGUUUAAAUGCCAUUUUUGUUCACAUUUUAUUUUAGUUUUAAAUUUUUAAAUUGUUUAAUUUUAAUCCAUAUACUUUCAAUUAAUUUUAAAUUUAGUCCUUUAAAAUUAAUUUUAAACAACAUAGGCUAUGCUAUGCUAUUGACCAAAAUUGGGUGUAAUCUAAAGUAUAAUAAAGAGCACUAAACUAAAAUCAAAUGUAAUUAUUGUUAUUUUUGAAAAAAUCCAAUGUAACUCAAAAGAUAUAAAGAUAUCAAAUGAUAUAACACCAUAUAUUGGGAGGAAAAUAAUAAACAUUAACUGUUUCCAUUUAAUUGGUAAGGAAGUGAACUAAUUACGGGUUGAUGUUUUCAACACCAUUCAAUGUAGUUUAGUAUACUAAUUAUAGAUUCAAAAAAGUUAUAGUUACGUGUGUGUGUGUUUUUGUUCUUUAAAAAGACUAUCGAGGUAGAGGUAGCAGCCAAUAAGGGUGGUUGGAGGUUGACGAUAUAACGGUAGACUUUUGAAACAUUUAACUUUUUUUUUUAUAUUUUUAUCCAUAAGUACUUUUAUCAUACUUUAUCAAAUAAAUGAUUGAAAUAUCAAGGAUAGUGAGUUCGUUAUACAUUUGCAACAAGUUUAACCUAAUUUUGUAUUAACAAAUUAGAAUUAUGUUGUUUGAUAUAUAACCCUUAUUUUUAUCCUAUUGAAAUGAAAAUCAAUAUGAUUAUUAUCUCAAAAUUCAAUGCUUUCAUUCUUCGAGUACUCAGUAAAAAAAACACAUACACAUACAAUAAAUUAAUAAUUUAAAAUAAUACUUAUCAAAAGUUCGUUUGAAGUUGUAACUACUAAAAUUGGUGUUGUCCAUUAGUGAUUAAGGACAAAGGUGGUGAUGAUUAUUGAAGUUGGGUAGAGGUAGCCACCAAUGAUGGAGGUUGGAGGUUGUCAAUGGCGUAAUUGCUAUCGACCAUAGACAAAUUAACAACAAAGUCAUGACAACACAGUGAAAGUGAGGUAAAUGACUUUUGAGACACUUCGAUAAUUUUUCUUUAUAUUUUAUCCAUAAAUACUUUUACUCUACUUUAUCAAAUAAUUAAAUGAUUGAGAUAUUAUACUUGUUAAUGAUAAUGAGUAUGUUACGCAUGAAAGUUAUACCUUUGCAACAAGUUUAACCUAAUUUUUGUAAUAACGACAUCAUGUUGUUUGAUAUAUAAACCUUAUUUUUAUCCCAUAUAUAUUGACAUGAACAACUAAUACAUAUUUGUCAUCAAGUGCAAUGGAGAAUGCCUUCCUACAUUUUUAAAUUUAAUCUCAUAAGACUAAAAUAUUGUUCAUGUUCUUUUCUUAACUUAACCUCCUUGUUAUAUAUAUGAGUUAAUGUCUUCUUUCUUUCCUUUUUUUUUUUAUCUAAAUAGAAUACUCUUCUGACAGUUGUUUGCUUCUAGAAACUCUGAAAAGUACAAUCUUGAGUUGAUUUAAGUUCAAAUUACUGUUUCUGUUGAAUUAACAUUAGCUAGAAAAGAUAAAAAAAUCAAAAUUGUAAAGUGAUUUGUUCUGUUUGGAAGAAAACGAUGAUGCUAUAUAAUACUUUGAAUGAUAAAGAAAUCUAACCCAAAUAAAGACAUAUGUAUACAUCUGCAUAUUCAAAUUCACACAUUUUAUAUUAUUAUUGAACAAAAAUAAAAUUUCAGAAGUUAAUCGUCAGCUACAUUGGCUACAGGAUAAAUAAUAAUGAUUCUUUCUUUUAAAAAAAAAUAUUAAAUCAGAUUUAAAUUUAACCUAGCCCAAGCUAAUCAAAUUUCUCAAUUAGAAAAGUCUAGCUAGUUUGGGAUGUACUAACUCGUAUUAAUUAAUUUUUUAUGCACAUGUCGAAAUUUUCAUAUUUUCUAUAAACUUUGUAUUGAUACCGGAAUGAAUUGAUAUUUACAUAAUGAAACAUACAAAAUAAGCUAUAAAAAAAUAUCGUUAUUGUAAUAUUUUAAAUAUAAUAUAAACAAUAGAGGUUAAUUCCGUCGUGUUAUUUUCUAUUUUAAAAACUUUUUGUCAACCUUUAUUGAUAUAUUUUUCUUUUGUAAUUUGUAGAUUAAAAUUUUGAUAUUUUAUCGAUAUUAACAUUUUAAAUUUUUGUUAAAAUAUCUUGAUUAUGUUAUUUAUCAGUCCAAAUAACACACCUAUAAACCUUUAGGCAAAAAAAAUUGAAAAUAACUUAUAAUGCACCUACAAUUUAUCAUUGAAUUUUUUUUUAUAGGAUUUAAAAAAAUUAUUUUAAUAUAUUACGUAUUUAUUAUAUUUAAGAAAAACUAAUGGAAAAUUAAAAUAAAAAGUAGAGAUUGUUGGGUCCUUCUAAUUCAAAUGACCAUUAUCAUUAUUGCAAAAAGAACACCACAUGUGGGUCUAAUCUUAUCCUCUUGUUUGUACCAAAUUUGGUCGAAAGGAUAAUUUUCUUUUUUCUCGUUCUUUUAGAAGUUUGGAAUUUUGGUCACGCAUCCCAAAAUUUAAUGUUUGAAUUGAGAUAUUAAAAGAAUAAUAGUUUAAGUAUUACAUUAAUAUAUUAUACAUAUUGAGUUAUAUAUGAUGAAUGUUUCAUUAAAUAUAAUUUUGAAGGUAACAAGGAAGAUGAUUGUGGGGUUGGCACACCGAAGGCUAAAUUCUUUGAUUUUUAUUUGUAUUAUUUAAAUUACAUGAAGUUAUAAUAAAGUUUAUUUUAAAAUUAAUUGAAAUACUUAAUCUGCCGUCGUGAAAUGGUAUGGAUCAGUUGUUGUUCUAGAAGCAAUAUUUCAUAUUAUCUUCAAAUCAGCGAAUGAAAUAAAUAGUAUAUAAUAUUUCUAUUUUUUAAAAAAGAAAGGAAAAACAAUGACCGAUUGACAGCACAAAAAACAAAAUUUGAUAUAAAUAUCUUUUAACAAAUACAAAAAGAAUUUUUUAGUGGUUGGACCCACAACUUAAAGAGUUAAAUUAAAUAUGAAAAAUGAUGUUUUUUUGGUUGUAGAGUAUAUGAACAUUUUGGACAAAACAAAGAGUGAGUAAUGAACUUUCUUCUAUGGUUUUGGAAGGCAAGUCAUGUUCAUGUUAGUAUGAGUCUCGUUCUAUUGAGGAAUGGACAAGUAAAUCAGAGGAGACACUUAUGAAAAACCUACUCACUUGAUUGAAAAAUCUAUUAAGUUACUUAAGGUACUCUCUGUGUAUAUAGUUGAGAUGAUUCUAUAUGUCAACGUAAGUAUAAUACAUUAAAUAAAAAUGUUACAUAUCUUUCUAAGAGUCAAUGUCUACCAUUUUUAUUAAACUGAAAAAGUUACAUUUUCAUAUAUUCUAAAUAAUCUUAGGCUUGACUUGCAUGUUUGAAUUGCACAUAAGAUUACAGUAUGAAUUUGGUUAAUCUUAGGCUUGACUUGCAUGUGUGAAUUGCACAUAAGAUUACAGUAUGAAUUUGGUUAUUUUGAGUCUCAAUUUGAUCUUUUAUUAUUUGAUUAAUCAGAAUUCUACUAAACUAAAUAAAUGCAAAAAGAAUUAGUGAAUUGUUUUGAAUUGUAGGUUGGUUACAAUCACUACACUACUAAGUAUUAAAUAUUUCAACUAAUCAAACAUUUUAAAGGUAAAUUCACUAUUUGAUUUUGUAAAAUGAAAAUAAUCAUAAAGUGGAGGUGGCCACCUACUACAAUUUUUUAUAAUAGAAAGGAAGAAAAAAAAAGAGAGGAAUAUUUAAUAUUAUAAUAUUCUCUCACCACCAUUUCUUUUUGUCUCUAUAAAAUUAUAUAAAUUUUUCCAAAUUUGAAACCAACUUGACUUUAAGUCAAGAGAGUAAUACAAAAGCUAAUUAAAGCAAAUUAGAUAUAAAGAUUCGAUAAACUAGUCAUAUCAAACUUCUCAUCCACGUUACGAAUCAAAAUAAAAUUUCUUUAAGUUGCUCAUAAAUAAAACCUUGCUUAGUUCACAUGAAUCACAUGUACUUGAGAAAUUGGAAAGAUUAGAAAAAAUAAUGACAUUCUUCUUAUAUAUAGUCAUGGUUGAUUUCAUUGCAUCACAAGCUUAAACAAAUGAAUUUUAACUUAGGGAAGAUUUUAUUUCAAUGUUUGGUACAAAAUGAAUUUGAUGCUGAACAGCAAAGAUAUGGACAGUCCCACUUGAAAGGAAAAUGAAAGAAUAUUGAAUUUAAGAUGGUGCCUACUGCCUACCACAAUAAUUCAAACGUAAAGAAGAAUAUCAAAUCGCAAUAUUUAUCUGACCCAGUUUCAAUUUUGGAGAUCUUUUAUGUUGGCAAAUACUGAGCCCAACAACUUUAAGUCGAAACUAGAUAUUUUAUGUGGGCGUUGUACAAAAAAGCGGUGGGGGUAAAGUGUUUUUUUUUUUUUUUAUCAUUAAAUUUGACCAUAUAGUACAAAUUCGUGAGCAAAAAUGAUGAAAAUGGGGUGGGUAAAUCCAAUUUACUAACAUGAAGAUAUUCAAUGUCUGGCAGAAUAGAUUUCACCUACAUAAAGCACGUUAAAACUCAUUAUAUCUCGAUGAUUUAUCCUAGUAUGUGUUAAUCCGGAUAUUAUGCUGAAACAAAUAUGAUGUGAAGAAAACGGGUUUCUAUGGACAGCAGUGGGUAGGUCACCCAUACACGACCUAGCAAAUUGCUCUCUCUAUAAUGAAAGUAGAAGCACGGAGGACCUUUUGAUCUUGGGAUGAAUGUCUGCUCCAUUAAUGGAUUCCAUGGGUGGUUGGUUGAUCCAAUUUCGACCAACCCAUUACCGGGACCUUAAGGUGGCCACAUAUCUCACAAAACUAUGCUUCAACUAGUUCUAAUUUCUCAGGGGAUGUGUCGUCCCUGCCUCCAGCCUCCAAUGGCUAGCUUGCGAGUAAAUCGUCCAGUACAUGAGAGUUGACAAGAAGCUAUAGAAAGAAAUCAGGAUCCUUUCUUCUUUUGGUCUUUUAAUGGUUUGAUCUCCUUUGUGAACAUACGUGGUGCUAUUGCCAUGGCCAUAAGCUCUUGGAAGAGAAGCUUACAGGCAUAAGGGAUAUAUACCUGCAUGCAGCACCGGCGUAAAAUAAAUAAUAAAAUGAUAAACUGUGAGCAUGUAAAAAAGUAAAUGGAAUUUGUAUGGUAUUUAAACAUAUAUUGCAAAAAGAAGCUGGUCUAGAAAUUCACCUGAACGAUGUCAGUUUUGUUUUUGCAGCCCCUACAUUCGAAAGAACUCUUCUUGAGAUUUGCAAUGGCUAUCAAUCCACAACACUCACAGACAUGGAUCCUAUAAGCAUCACUUUGAUCGAACAACCUCUCCUUUAGAAAAUGAGCGGCACCAUGGGCAAUCAUGCAGUCACGCUCCAUCUCCCCAAAUCGGAGACCACCAUCACGUGACCGACCCUCAGCAGGUUGUCUCGUAAGGAUCUGCACAGGACCCCUUCCACGUGAAUGUAUUUUGUCAUCAACCAUAUGCUUCAGCCUUUGAUAGUAUGUUGGACCGAGGAAUAUCAUUGCUGAGAGCCGUCGGCCUGUAUGGCCAUUAUACAUGGUUUCAAAUCCACGCAUCUGAUAACCACACUUAUGCAGUGCCUUACUGAUGUUAUCCACCUGAUCAAACAAAUGACGUUGAUAAAUUAAAGUCUUCGAAACCAAACUCAGACUAUAUCAUAUGGAAAGAUGCCCUAAAACUGGCCUGGAGAAGAUGCGGUAAAAGCUUACUGGAAUAAUUUAGAAAGAGAUGUAGCGGAACAAAAGGAACGCUAAAAAAUACCCAUAUACACCAGAAUGCUAACUGAUAAUAGGGGUUUUAAGAACCAAUCCAUCACCAAAACUCUUAAGGACGGAAACACACAACUUACAGUGACAUCAGUAAAUGGGGUAGCAUCUCCUUCUUUUCCCAUGUGGGCUGCCACCUUCCCCAUGAUACACUCAAUAAGCUGACCAAUUGUCAUCCGAGAAGGAAUAGCAUGUGGAUUCACGAUAAUAUCAGGGGUGAUUCCUUCCACAGUCCAAGGCAUGUCUUCUUGUGUGUAAGUCAUUCCCACUGUUCCUUUUUGACCAUGUCGACUGCUGAACUUAUCCCCAAUCUGAGGUAUUCGAACAGAUCUCACCCUUACUUUCACGAAUCUCAAUCCAUCAGCAUUUGUGGUCAGUAGAACCUGCAGAAGACAAAUAAUUAUGCAUGGAGUCCAGAAGAUUAAUUGUAAGUUGCAUAAAUGUUAAGGUAAUCAUGCCGAUAACAGUUUCAAAAUGAACGAUAUUUUUAAACAAAUCAUACUUGAUCUACAAUCCCAUUUUCACUGUGACGUAAACUAAUGCUAUGAUCACGUCUUGAGUAACGUGCAGCUUGUCCCUGGGCUUCUUCCUGAGAGAUAGGAGUAGUCUUUCCAAUAAUGACGUCCUCACCUGAUACUCUGGUACCCUGGAGUACAACAGUACUACAAUCAAAUUUAAUGACACAAGACAAAUGCACCCCAACUAAACGCAAUUAGAGUGAAAGCAACAGUUCAAUCACUAAAAGACCAAAGAAAAUAGCCAAAGAAACAUGUAUAAGAGUUUUAUAAGCAUACAGGGGGUGCAAGACCAUCGUCAUCCAAUUUAUCAUAAGAGCCAUGCCUCAUACCCUGCAAAAGAAAUACUCAUGUUGCAGAUCAAAUGGUCAAGAAUUUUCAAAAAAAAGAACAUUAAUCCUGUCUGGCUGUGUAACACCCCAAAAAAAUUCAGGUAUUAUUUAGUUUAUUUUGGAGUUUUUGAGAAAUAAGUAUUAUUAAUUAGGAAAAAUAAAUAACAAUGAUUUAAUAUUAUUAUUUAUUUGUUAUUAAAGAAUAGAAAUGAUUUUGUCCAAUAUAUCAUAACUUCUUACCAUAGUAUUACUCCUGUCCGGCCGUCCAAAAUCUUCUUUUACAAGAGUUCCCAUUUUUUUCUCCUCAUCUCUGAAAAUGGACAGUGUAAAAGCAUAUUCAUUAAAAAAAUCCCGAAGUAGAUCCACGCAUACAAAGUUAAGGAACUGGGAGAAAUAAUAUUACCUGUAUGACCGGAAGAAAAGUGACCUAAAAAAUCCACGGUCAAUGGAAGAUUGAUUCAUGAUCACAGAGUCUUCCUGGUUAUAACCAGAGUAGCAAGCAAUGGCAACAAUGGCAUUCUAAGACAACAGAAACAAAACAGAAUGUGAAAAGAAAAUUAGCAAAACCAAGAGCAAAUCGAAAUUAAAAAAAAAAAAGUGUCUGUGUGUGGUGUGUAUAUUUCAAACGUACAAUGCCAGCUGGAAGUUGCCUGAAAUGAAGGUGCUCCAUAGCUCGAGUAGUCACAAGAGGUUUUUGCGGAUAAUACAAAACAUAGGCCAAAGUAUCCUAAAUAAAAAUAAAGAAAAUUAUUUGGUUAACUGGACAAUGGGGAAGAACCUUGAAUGAUGAAUCUACUUUAAAAGAAAAUAAAUCAUACCAUUCGAAAUUGGUAGUUGGUGACAUAAAUUCCCAUAGCUUGUUUACCCAUGGCAGAUUGAUACGUGUUACGUGGAGACUAAAUAUUCCACAAAUGGAUCAGUGAGAAAAAGACUUGAUAUAAAGCUAUAUUGCAAUGGCAAAACUGACAAACCUGGUUAUGGUCGGGAAAUGGAAUAAUUGAAGCACAAACACCCAAAAUCAAUGAUGGAUGGAUUUCACAGUGAGUGUAAGUGUCAGAAUAAGCCUCAACCGGGUUGAUCCUUGCUUGUAUAAGAUCCUGGUUUAUUUCAAAAGAAUUUUAAGUUUUUGUAAAUUACCGUCAGCCUAUCAAAUAGAUUUACUGUUUACUCACACUAAUUGUCAUGGAAAUCAUGGUAGUUUCCUCUUCUUCAGUGUCUAUGUAUUCAAUGAAUCCUUUUGCUACAAGAUCGUGCCAACCACCAUCUUCUGGAGAUUCCUGUUACAAGAAAUCAUAUACAAUGUUGGUAAUUCUUUUCAUUUUUCAACAGAACAAAAUUUUCAUUGAUAUAAUGAAAAAUUAGUACAGUUAGGAUCAGUGAGUACACCCAAGCACCUCAACUAGGUUGACACCACUUUAGAACUCACUAUCAUAUCUCAAUACAAAGAACGAUGUUGGUAUUAAAGAAAUAAGGAUAAAGAAAUACAACAAGGCUUUGUCACUCACCCUCUGCUGAAGAGCAUGGAUAUCCUUCUUCUUUAUGAGAAGCCUUUGUUUCUCAACAAUGAAUAAUGGACGGCUGCAACGGCCAUAAUCAGUAUAUAUCCGUAGUUCUUUCAAACGGAUAUCUCUAACAACUCCAACUUCAGUAUUUACAUCAACCUGGCACAAAAAUUAGAUGUAAUUAAUAUCCAUAAUGGGUCGAGGAGUAGAAAAUAAACACCCCAUCCAUUUAAGAGUUUGUAGAAACUCAAAUGUUAAAACAUUUUGACUUUACAAGAAUGUUCUAUCCUAAAAUAUCUACAGAAGGGGAAAAAAUUAGAUACUUACUCGUCUCCUCAGCCGUCUCAAAGUCUUCACCAACAUUUCAGGAUCUCGAUGGAUCCCAACCCAACAACCAUUGACAAAAAUUUUUGUAGCUUGAGGAAUGACAGCAGGAGAAAUUUCCUACAACCAACAGAAUUCGUUAGAUAAUAACCAAUAAAGGAGAGAGAAAAUGACAUACAAACAACACCAUCAUGACUUGGUAGGGAAAUUGACAUAAGGCACCUCGAAAUUCUCUGUGCCCCAUUCUUCCAAAAAUUCCAAAAUAGGGUAUGCUGCAGAUCCAACCGUAAUAUAGACCAUCAAUGCAAGAUUUUUUACCAGUCCACAUGCCUGAAGAAAAAUUCAGAUUGCAUCCAUAAGUGAACGAAUCAAUUCCCAAAAAUAGGUCACAUCAAGAAAUCUGUUAGCAAUAAUACUUGUCCUUCUGGCGUUUCAGCAGGACACAUCAUUCCCCAUUGUGAAUUAUGCAACUGUCGAGGCUUGGCCAAUUUACCUGGCAUAUGACAUAAACCAAAUUACAUAAAAGAAACCAACUGCUGCUACUACUAGAAGCAAAAUUUACGAAGGAGAAAAAGGCACCCGAUCCCCAUCAUUCCAUUCGGCAUAUAAAUAAAGCAAACAGAAGUAACAACAUAGGUUUUGUCACCUUCUCGUCCAAUGGGGGAAUUCAGCCUCCGUAAGUGAGACAAAGUUGAUGCAUAUGUCAAACGAUUUAACACCUAGAAUAUAUGCAACACCGUUACCUCCAUGAAGAAAAUAAAUAUUUCACAUUCGAAAUAAUGGGGAAAUUUUUUUUUUGUAGAUAUUUGUUACAAAUGAAAGAUCCAAAGGUCAAAAUUGAAUUAACUGGAUUGUCUUAUGAGAUAUUCUCCCACCUGUGAUACUCCAGCUCUUGUACCAGCUGCAUUUGCUUGCCCCCAGUUUCCAGUGGCAAGUGAAUAUUUCAGGCCACUAGUAAUGGUUUUCGCCUUGAUGGCAAAUUGCAAAUUGACGUCCUUUCCAUUAUCAACACACUGCACCAUGACACAUAUGCAAUGCAUAAGUCUACAAAGAAAGCAUAUUGCUAAAUGGAGGGGGAAAAACACAUUCCAACAAGACAACCUUUUGUACAUAACCUCUCACGUCUCUUGUUAACUUUCUAAAUAGCUGCAUUCAAACAAAUAAAAAGAUGAUGAGAAAAUCUCAAGAUAAAAAAAUUACAAAAAAAAAAAUCUCAAGAUAAAAAAGUACAACUUUUGCAACCAAAAAGUGAACUUCUAAAAAAGACAACCAUUCUGAACAAGCCUCCAAGUAAAGGACCAGCAAGGUCCAGUCGUUUGUUUCCAUAGUGAUCCCUGUCAUCUUCUGCUCUCCGGCCAAGGGCACAUAAGAGUAGCCGGUGAAUUAUAUAACUGCCACAUGUAAUGUCCAGUAAGAUCACUAAAGUACUCACAGCCAAAAUCAUAUUAGAGAUGGAAAGGAGAAGGGAAAAAAAAGUGCCAUACCCAAAAUAAUAUGCCUUCUUCGUCUCACAAAAUUCACCUACGCCAACAUGAGGAAGCAUUUCUUUUUGAAGGAUCUCCUUGGCAUACCUGAGGCAUCAACAUAAUAAGCAUGUUGAAAUGUGCUGCAAAGGCUUCAUGCAGAAUAUAAUGGGGAAAACCUAAAUAUAUUGAGAUAAUGCAUACUUAAUCCUCUUUUCCUUGGUCACACCAACUGUUGAUCCUCUCUUCCCAAUAUAGUCUAGUGCAACCUACGGUUAAGGAAAAGCAUAUCAACUGACCUGACAGUUACAAGAUACUGGGCAAAUAAAGAUUAUGAUAUGUAUAAUUCAUAUAUGUGUUUAUGUCGGUGUCUGUUUCAACAUGAAAGAGAAUUUUCUGAACAAAACGUGAGAGAGGGAGUUAGAUGGUAGACUUGUAGCAACUAAGAAAUCGAAGACCUGUUGAUUUUGGAUAACAAAAGCCUCUUCCAGGGAAGGCCGAAGCAACUCCAUCAUUUGAGUAUCAGAGAAGUCAUAACAUAUAUGCUCUAGAAUAUCUUUGUCAGCAACAAAUCCUAGAGCACGAAACACAAUUAUAAUUGGAAUCUCAUUUCUAAUGUAAGGCAGAGUGGCACGUAUGUACUGUCCUGAAGAACCCUGAAAUAACAUUGAUGAAUUGCAGAAAGAAUAAGUUAGAACAAUAUAUACUUCAUCAAGGAGGAAUAACUUCUAAAUCUUCAGAAUAUCAAGACAAGGACAUUACCCCCUUGGCACUAGUUCGAGAAAGCAUCCGUACAAACAUGGUACUGGGUGGUCUAUUUUGUGACUCAGCCAUAGACCGAACUUCUGCUACAAAGGCAUACUUGUUAGGCUGUCUUUUCUUGAAAACAUAUACAUGAUUUGUGCUCAUCUUCUCUUGUGCAAUAAGAACCUUCUCACUGCCAUUGAUGAUAAAAUAUCCUCCUUGGUCAUAUGGACACUCCCCGAGCUCAGUGAGAUCCUUCUCAGAAUUUUGAUACAGUGUGCAAUAACUCGAUCGGAGCAUGAUAGGAACCUAAAGAUAGUACAGGUCAAGGCUUGCAUAAAACAGUCAUUUUGUACAUUUGCUUUCCAUAAUAAUUUAGAAACAAACCUUCCCAAUAAAAACUUUUGUAAAAUCUUGGGUUUCAGUAACUUCUUCACCAUCAUGACCUUUCUUAAUGACUCUUUUUGAGACAUCCACGUACAAAGGCGCUGAGUAUGUUAAAUUCCUCAACCGUGCAGCCUUAGGAAAUAAGGUUGCAGUCUCUCCAUCAGAUUCGGUCAUCAUUGGCUUACUCAAGUAUAUCUGACCAAAGCUGAUCUUGUAUAUUGUCUAUACAUAAUACACAACCAUAUUAGAGCCACUGCAAUUGACACCUAGAAAGAACAUGAUUUUUAAAUUCAUCAAGAAUAGGAAUGGACAUGGUGGAUUCAAUCAAUAUUGACAUGAUGGAGGGGAAACAGACACAAGGAUUUUAAGGUUCCAUUAUCAACAUGGAGCAGUAAUGCAGUAUAACAAAAAUGCACUAACAAACCACAUAAAAUAUGCAUGGAACUUAUUCAGAUUGGGUUUCAAACAAGAUAUUAUUCACAUUCAACAGGUUACACACACAUAAUCCAAAAAAUAUAUACCUUUAUGACUCAAUGAAACAGAUUAUCAAUCUAAAAAAUGCAAAUCUAAUUUGAAUGAGAGGGCGGAAAAUGAAGUUAAACAGUGAUUACCAUUCUAAAACUCAAGUUUUUGACUCUUUUCUAUAAAUUAAAACCAUCAAACCUAAAGAUGACACAGAAAAUAAAAUUUAAGGGGUUGUUUGAAGGCCCGUAGUGGAAUGAGUUUGUAAUGUAAUGUAAUGAAAUCCAAAGUCCAUGUUUGAUUUAGUGCUUUUGACCCGAUUAGUAGUACCAUACUCAUUCCGUUCUCACAGUUUUCAACUCAAUCCUCCUUCCAACCAGUUUCACACUUUACAAUCUCAUUUACGUUCAGCCCUCGAUUCCACAUCUAUUCCAACACCCCUUAGAUUUUGAGUAGUCCUGACUACCUUUCAACUUCCUAACAGCCCCUAAGUGACUUGAGGGACGUUCUUAUAAAUGAAAAGUGGCUUGAGAGCAGUUCAAUUAUUUAGUUUGAAAACAAUAGUAUGUUAAUGAAAAGUAGAAAAGAGUUUUUUAUGUAUCAACACAUUUGGCAGGCUGACUUCUUUAUGCAUCAUUUGGCAGGCUGAGUGAUUUACAUGACAGGAAAUAAAAAGCUUACUUUUCACAACUAUAAAUAUUACCUUACAUGGCAUUUUUCGAAAUUCACCCAAACAACCUUACGAUUUUUUCGAAACGCUAGUGGUCGAGCACUUAAACUGGAUGAUAGGGAAAAACAAUUUGAAAAACAAUUUCAUCCCCUAUGUUUACCUUUAGUUUCAAUGUCAUUACCCACAAGUUAAAAAGAGUGCAACAUGACAAUUUGUUUGCAAGUGUGGCAAAUAAAAUCUACGAUGUGAUAUUUAGGGUUUAGCAAGUUGUGUUGGUUGGAAAUAGUUGGGGCGUCGAGGAAAGCUGAAAUCUGUAACACUGAAUUAAACCAGAGGUUCAAAUAUCUACUGAAAAUAUAACUUACCCUAAACAAAAGGAAAACUAAAACGGUAGGAAUUGACCAGUAUUUUCCAAGAGAAUUAACUUGGCGGCACUAAAACUUCAAUCAUUUCCUUUCACUAACAAACUUGUCGAGUAAAAUAAGCCAUUGGUAGUCGUUUUCAAGUGAAGUUCAUACAGAGAGUAAAAAAUUCUCAGGAAAGCGUACCUCAGCAACAUCCGACUGGUGGCCGGGAUUGUGCUGUGACUCGGGGCGAAUCUCAAUGUCUGCAGACUCGUCCACGAUUUCCUGCAUAGUAUUCUGAAUAAACUCAUCGAAGGAAUCCAGCUGCUGCCGGACCAACCCUUUCUCUUCAAAAUAUGCUGAAAUUACUGCCCAAGCAUCUUCCUGUGUGAUCUCUUCUUCGUCGUCAGGGAUAGCCUGGUCCAUAUCAUCGUCGUCAUUCAUAUUCCGAUCAUACUCUUCGUAAUCCUCCAUUUUCGUGAGGGUAACGGAGGAAGUGUGGUUUCUAGGAAAUGAACCUCGCGCGAGCUCGAAUGACCUUACGCGUCCCAAAUUUACCGGUUCUGUUCUAUUUAAAGAUGAAUCAAGUAUUUGAACUAAACUAUCGGUCUUUAGGCCCAUCUCUUUAGAUGUUCACGGCCCAUGUCUUGAUUUUUCUUUUGUAAGAAAUUACCAGAAAAUUUAACGCACAUUUGUAUAUAUAUAUAUAUAACAAAUAAAUUCAAAAUAAUUAUUUCUAAAAUUUUAUCUAAUAUUUUCAAAAGAAAAAUUAUAGAAAAUAGAAAAAUCAAUAAAAAAACUGAAGUGUAAAGAAAAUUUUCUUUUAGGGGUUUUUUCUGUAGUGUAAGUAGUGUUUUUCUAUUUUUUUAAAAAAAAUCAUCUCAAUGUUGUUUUAAAUACCAAAUUUAAAAAAUAUAUAUUUGUAAAUAUAGCAGUGUUGAUUGGCCAACAAAUAAUAAUAAGAGGUAUAUUAAUAUAAAAUAAAUACUACAACAAGAUAGGCACAGGAGCUUUGAAAAAAUGAAAAAUAAUAGAUCAAAUGUAGAAAUUUUAUUAUUAUUAUUUAAAGAAACAUACUUGUAAAAUAGAAUUGUAUAAUAUAUAGUAAGUCUUGGUAGCAAUUUAAGAAGUCUGGAUAAUUUUAAAAAUUGUUCAACGUUACUUUAGUGACAAGUUUAUAAACUACAAAACAAUAAUAAUUCCUAAAUAUUUUGUUGAAUUAUAUAAUAAACAGCGAUAAUUAUUAUAUAAAUUUUGUAUUAGUCAACAUUCUUUAAAUUUCUAGAUUUUACGAACCCUAGUUUAGGAGGAAACUUAGCCUGUGGGUAAGUGGAUUAUUACUGUGAUGUUUGUAUUUGCUAUCUUCAAUGCCAACCUAAAAUAAUAUGCACUAAAAAAAUAUAAUAUUAUAACUAAACUCAUCAAGGAUAAAAUAGAAUACUAUAACUAACUCAUUAAUACUAUAACUCAAACUCAAACUAUUGCUCAAACUCAUGGAUGAUAAUCAACUCACUGCCUUCAACAUCUUCAAGAAUUUGAAAUUUGAAUAAGAAACUACGUCUCCAUCAACCACAGGAGGGCUUUAGUCUUUGCUUCCAGAUCCUAAUUAGCACCAACCAUAUUUUAUUUCAAUUCUUACCAUCCUUGGGAGAAACCGAUAGAACUAAAUAACCAUAGACACUUGUGGAUUUAGUUUAGACUUAAGGAAGCUCAAACCACCUUCAAUUUUAUUCUCUUUAUAAAUAAAUAAACAAACAAAAAUAGUAACGACUAUAAGCUCCAUUCUUUGCUUGUUAACAAAUUUUAUGGAUCCACCACUGACCAACGGACGAGUAAAUGAAAUUUUUCAAACAUAAUACAUCAGUUCACAGGACCUUGUAUUCAAGUAAAGAAAUCUUAAUAUAGCCUCAAUCCAUGCAUUUGCCGUCUGGGGCAAGUUCAUAAACAAUUAGUGUAAUCUUCACACCAAUAGAAGUACUGUUUCUUAUUUCACAUAUUAUAUCAGCAAACUACACUCUAUGUACAUAAAACACCACAAGCUUUCACACUAGUGCUAGGUGACAAUAUAUUAGAGACAUAUCAGUAUUUCACAUGGUACACACUUAACUUUAUUUAUAAACAUUGGUUGGGUAUGAUGUUUUUUUAGAUAUUUAUUUGUGAGAGAGUUUACAGAAUGAGACCAUUUUCUGCCUCCAUAAAUUGGCUGCAGUCAAAUCCCUUACUUGAAAACGUCUUGAUGAGUCUUGGAAAGAUCUUAGCAAGCAUAAUUUUGAAUCCAGUAGAACUUUGGUCCGGAUUUUCGGGUUUUGUUGUUCCACACUGAUAGUCACUUCCUACUGGAGUUCCUUCCAUGUAUGCUCUACAGGCUGCUAGAAUGUGCUGAUAACGUCUCCUGAAGUGUUCCUCCACAAGUGCCUCAAAGUGCUGCAACAGGAGAAAUAACAUUUUGGAUGAAGUUAUAAAUCACAAAGGACUUUAGCAAUCCUACUUUUGAUUUUAUCCAAUGAUUCAAAUUAUAUCAUAGAAAAGGAACUAGCAAGAGAAAUUGUUGCGCCAUCAAGAUCUUUUCUGGCACAUUCAUAUGCCACCACAUGACAUAAUUAGUUUGUGUACACCAGUAUGAUUGCUUGACCCUCAAAAAUGAUCAAUUCUCAUUCAAUUGCCAAAAUUUGGAAAGUAGAGAUAGCUAUUAUACCUUAGGGGAUUUGCUUAGCAAGUACAUCAUAGAUUUGCAGGUAACAAGAAAUGCAUUCUCGUUGUAGCUCGCGGAGUUCCUCUCUCCCUCAGCUCUUCCUAAUUGAGCAUCAUAUCCUGCCUCGUUAUAAUAUGGCUUCUCAUUAAGCACGAGAGCCUGAAGGGAAAGAAGAACUUGAAGUAUAGUAGAACUCCCAGGAUUCCACACUUCAGAGCCGCUGCCUGUCCAAGUGUUUAGAAGACUUAAACAGACCCUGCCAGAUUCAUACAAGUUUGGGUUGACACGAAGCCCACCAGAUAUGUAAUGCACUAGCUGCAAAAGAUAUGAAGGAACUUAACAAGAGCCUAAGACUUACAAGAGAAAUUUAAAUACAUUUUCCAGUUUAAAAAAUUCUCGACAAGGGGGCUGAAAUUUUGGAAAAUAUUCCCCUAUGUAUGUGAUAAAGAGAGAAGGUGCCAAUCAAUAGAAACGUUGUGCACGGAGCACCUAACAUUGUAGAAAAAUAUUUAAUUGGAAGUACAAAGAAAUUGAUUUAUCUGAGGGAUUAUUAAAAUCAUGGGAACUUGUAAAAUGCAGAACUUAAUGAGAAAGCUUACGGGUGGUAUUUGAGGGUACUCUGGAGGAAGAUAAAUGUCAAAGAAGAAAAGGCCAUCAUGGUACGGUGUUCCAGGUGCACCAAUAAUGACAGCUCGAAUAAGAUCCAUUCUCUCCUCAAAGACACGAACAUAGACAGUUUCUACAAAGAUUUUUCUCAUUCAGUUGGACAGUUGCAUGCUAUCUUCAUAGAGCCAUAAGAAUAAAUGAUUGAAACUAUGGGUCCGUUUGGAUUGAAAAAAAAUGUUUUUCAAGCAAUUCAUUUUUGUUUAAACUCUUUUUCCUAAAAAAUGUUUAAAAUACACUUAAAAAACUUAAAAAUCUAAUUUGAGUGGCGUUCAAACACUUUAGUUUUUUUACAAAAUAACUUAUUUGUUAAAUAAACACUUGAAAAUGUAAUUCAAACACACCAUAAAUUAAAGAAGAAAAAAUGCUAACCAGGAAGAUUAUUUUUAAGAAUGCUCCAUUCUUGUUGGACCUUCUUUAGCCAUCUUCUACUUGCCUAUGAAAAACCAGAAGGAAUAUGAAAGGGUCAUCUUGACUGCUGCAAUAAAAUGACAGGCCUAAGAUUCUAAGGUAUGCUGCUGACCUGAGAUAGCAUAGGUCCUUUUCCUGAUGAAAGAAAAUGAUGGUCUGGGCAGUCACUGGCCAUGUCAAACUGUGUAAGUAGGUCGUAGUUCUCACUUGAGGUUGAAAAUGUUAAAUCUUCAUUCUUGUGAAUUUCUUCAAUGUCUAAACUUGUCUCACCAAAAUUGUGUAAUUUAGCUAUUUGUGACAUCUCAGUAGACUGGCUGCAAGUUUGCAGCACUUCUUUCUCGCAGAGUAAAUUAAUUUCAUCCCCACCUUCAAAUGAUUGAAGGGCUGUAAAAGUGCCUGAUAAAAUUGUUGAUCGAACUGAUCCAAACAGUGUCGUAAAAAUAUUAGAGAAAAAUUCAACCGCAGCUCGAGAAAAGAAGCAAGUAGUAUCCCUUUUGAAAUUUUUACUAGCACCAUCACAAUUUGGCAUAUCCUGAGCACAAAAGAUGUAUUCAUCAUUUAGCUUAAAAUGAACUGAAAACAGAUGAACAAAAUAAUAGAAAAACUCAACAAUAGAACGAUAGAUUUAAAGAGGGGUUAACUGAAAUAGUUGCGAAGUCUUAAAAUGAAAGGUACAAAUAUGUCGACCAGACUUUGGAAGUACUGGAAAUGGCUUUACCUUUCCUUUCUGGAUAUUAUAUGGUUUCAAAGGCUCAAUCUGCUCUAGUCUCGACUCUUCAAGGUUUUCACCAUUAGGUACAGCGAUUGGAGAAACUUCAUACUUAUCAAUGGAGAAAAUCUCUUGAGGUGAAACCUACAAUCAAGUGCAAGGGAACUAAUAUGAUUACAGCAGCCACCUCAAUAAAAUCUUAUGCAUGGAUAAAUCAUUACAACCAAAAGGACCUUCAUGGAUCAAACUAAAAACUAAUGCAAAUUAUUAGUGAAAACUUCAAAUUUUAUUGAUUAAAAUUCGUAAAUGAUAAAAAAAAUGCUAAAUGAUGGUGCAAUUUCUUAAGACAGUUGCUAUUGGACCUAGAAAGUGAUUCCCUUAACGAAGCCUAUUAUCUGGUGAAGGAACUAACCAUUCAAAGCAAACAAGAUAGAGUAUUACAGCUAUUUCGAAUAAUGCUACAAAUGAAUUUAUGGAUCCUUGGUCCCUGCUACAUGUAUGAUGAAACAGUGGAACAUACUGAGAUUGCAAAAAGAGUAGAGACAUUAACUAAAAUGAAUACCAUGCUUAUAGAACAAUUAGCCCAUUUGACCUCCACAGCACCAUCUUUAAAGCCAGUAACAUUACCAAUGAAGGAUAGGAAGUUGUCCAUAAUCAUGUUAUUAUUGAUGAUGCGAUUCCCCUCGUUCUGAGCAGACUCAUUCAUGGAGAUUUCAGAAAUUAUAUUAUUUUCAUCAGAUUGACUGGCAAACUUAUCCAAUGCCAACCUAAACACAAUAUCUCCAAGAGAGAAGGAAUAAUCUGGGUGCUCAACCAGUUCGUAUGCACUCAUUGUUUCCUCCACCAACAAUCCAUCCAGAUUGCUACCCUCACUCAAAUCAUCAGUUCUCAAUUGAACCUUGACAGUUCUUUCCUUUGCAUCAACAGCCUGUACAACACCCCAUCUUUGAUUUACAGACAUGCUUGAAUCAUCACAAUUGCCCUUCUCCAUAACAAACUGUUGAGGCCAAAAUUCAUGAGCAUUUGUAGCAUUUGCUGGAGUUAAACAAGGGGAAUCUAAUGCUGUGGAGCGGCUACCAUCCUGCCAUAGCACAUCAACUUUAGUUUUUUUCUUCACGAUGACACAGAUAUCCUGAAAGCCUGUUCCACGAUAUCCGCCAUUCAUCAAGUCAUGAGUAGUAAUGAACUUUUCACCAAAAUAAUUGUUUUUCUCAUCCCCAGGAAAAAUACACCAAUCACCAAGAUUCCAAUUUGCAUGAGAAAAGCACGACAACAAAGUCAAUUCCUUAGCAUGUUGCAUACGUGGGGGAGCCGUUAAACUAGAAGAACAACCCAUCAAAACUGAGGCAAGCCAAUCAACAUACACUAGUCCUGCCUCCACAGAACAGACUGUUCCUUCACAACGGUCAUCUUUCCAACCAGAUAACCAUCCAGGUGGUUUGGAAACAUUUGAGAACCGUACUCUUUGUCCAGGGUAAUAAGGGUACUGUGAAUCAUCGAGUACAUCAACAGAUAUAGGUAAGAGCUUCUCUUGGUCCACAGCAAUGAUUUCACACUUGUUCCCAUCAUCAAAAAGAACACUGACAGAAUCAAUAACCUUGUCUACUCUUCCAAUCCAUGGCCCAUUAACAACGACAUCUCCAGCAGAAAUGGAACGGAUUUUUAAUAGAUCUUUAGAAUUAACAUUUUUUAUUAUGGGACCACUGUUUUUCUCCAAAUCAACAAGCAUGUCAAUACCAACAACCUUUCCCAUCUGUCCAUAAGGAUCAUUCACAAAACAGACUGCAUCUCCAAGCAGGAAUUCCCUCUCAAAGGAAAGGAACUCGUCAAUUUUUCCAAUUGUUUCCUCUAAGCUUGAUAAAAUGCAACUAGUUUGGCCAUGAUAAUAUUCAGCUUCCUCUAGGUCAUCGCUGCUAUCACACUCACUGGAAUUCUCCCAAUCCGAGUCACUUAGAAACAGGUCCAUCAAUAGAAUGUCUAUACAGCAUAACAUCACAAAAUACUAUGUUAAUAACAUGUCUACAAACUCAAAUAAAGAUGAAAAAAAAUUAUAAGAAAAAAUACCUCAAAGUGACCUCCAAGUAAAGCCUCAGUUUUAAAACCAGAGUUUGAAUCUUCUCGCGCUUCUUUGCCUAAACUUUUAGCAACAGCACUUCCUUGGGUAAUUUAUAACUUCACAGUGAGCACCAAUUCCUGAAAAUUAGAUAUGGAGAACAUAUCAUUCAGAUUAUGUCAUUGAAUUGAGAAGUAUCACACAAGAAGAAAAUUAUCUUCCAUGUUUUUCUGCAUUACAGUAAUUUUGUCAGCUUUGAAUCGUAACAUUUUAAGCAGAAGCGCUGAAUUGCUCUUAAAGAGCAUCAUCAACCAAAAAAAAAUGUGUGGAAGGAACAGGGAAGGUCGAAUAUAGAAGGUACCAUUCAAUUACCACUUCUUUCGUUAAAUCUUCCAACUCCUGGGUAGGAUCCAAAAGUAAAUUGAUUUGUGUAGCACGACUAACCAGAGAUUGAAUAUAAAGCUGAAGCAAAAGAAAUUGAUGAUUGUAACAAUUGGCUAUAUCUAACUGCCAAAUGAGCAAUUUUCAGUAAGUAUAAAAAUGUCAUACCUGAAUGAAUCAAUAUCCACAUUAGGAUACCUUCCCUCACAGAAGCAGAGCAGAUUGCAAAGAAGAUUUGCAAAGGGAUAAACUGAGUCAACAAGGACCCAAAUGCCAAAGGAGAUUUGCCCACUAAAGAUGGACUGAAGUUUCAAGCAGAGGAAACUUCUGAAAAUAGUUUCCAGAACUGUUGAAGAAUCAAGAAGCAGCAAAACUGCCAAAUAAAGACUUCUCCUUGUUGUUCUGGAACAAAGACGGAUGAUAACUAAGGAGGUUUUCUUUAAUUUUCAAGUUGACUGCAUCAACCACAAGAACCUAUUUGCCAAAGGAGAUUUGCCCAACCCGGAGAAAGCUUCAGAAUAAUUAAUAAUGCAGAAAAUCUAACAGAAGUAUGAAACUACUCUGAGAGCCCAAUUCUUAUGCCAAAGGAAAUUUGCCCAAAAACGAUUUUUUUUUCGCCGAGUUGAUCGGCAGUCAUUCAGAUUUUUCCCACAGAAGGAUGCUAAUCAAUGUUCAUCAAGAAUCCCAAAGAAAAUAACCCAUCCACCACACAUAUCCAGCAGCUUGAUCUAGAAUGGAGAAGCCACAUGUUGCUUGAUUACUUCACGAUAACUAUGUCAUCAAUUAUCCAUGGAAUCGACAGCCCAACAAAUCUAUUGCAUUCCCUUUUCACCUGCAACACGGUUAGUAUUAGUAAUAUCCUUUUAAAAACUGAUGAAGAGAGAAUUAGCAUAUUGAUUAGAAGCCACUGCUUUUGGUUGUUCAAGUACCAGUACGUAAAAUUAUUCCUCAAACAGAUAGAGAAGAAAAUAAUAUAUCCAUAUGUACCGAACGAACUGCACUUAUUACUUUUGGCAUUUACUAACCACUACUUCCUAUAACGGCGAAUGACAUGGACAGACGUACGAAAUAGAAUUUGGAUGUGAUAUUCUCUAGAGAAAAAGAACAAAACUCAGCGUUCAAUCAUGGAAGAAGAAAAGGUCAAAAUACUCAGUUAAAAAAAAACCAUCAUCAUUCUAACGAUUUCAAUGCGUUUCCCAAAGAUUUGUACGGAAUACUUCAGGAAACAAACAAGUGUGACUGCACACUCCAUCAACAAAAUUCCAAAUGAAAAAGCCAAGAAAGACGCGAAAAAAACAAUAAACUCAAAAUGAGAAAAGUAUCUCUCAACAUAAACGAAAACUAAUAUCCGGAUCCUUGAGAAUACCGCAGAUGAUAAGUUCAGAAGAAGGAAAAAAGGAGGCUAAAUGCUUCAACUCCAUAAGAUAAAUACAUAGCAUGCAAAAUAAGAAGAAGAAAAUGAAAACCAUAGACAAAGUAAGGUGGCUGUCGAACUUCAUAUAUACCUCUGAGAAUUUUUCAUGUAUGGCCAAAGGAACUUCCGGAAUAAAGCGAAAGGAAGACACCAGAAAAUUGAAGGAACUCAACGGAAAACAUAAUUCACAGUCACGGCCAGAAAAAUCACCUUCUACCAAACGAAAAAAGCACAGGGAAAGGAGAAACGGAAGAGGAAGAAUUCAGGAAGAUGAAGUCGCAGUGAUAAAAACCCGGGUAUUGGCACCAUUUAGGAGGGUGGAAGUCAUUGCAGAGUUUGCUUCUCUUUUUCUUUCCCUCUGCCGCUCGGUUGAAGGUGGCGCGUGGAGGAUCCACUACCAAAUUGCUUAAUAUUAAGACCCUUCAAUAAAAAGAUACCCAACAGAAUAUGCCAAAAAGAUCUCUCGAAUAAAGUUGGAUGGAAUUUAACAAGUUUCUUCCUUUAUAUUUUAUUAUUUCAAUAGUAAUGCUCACGAAUACAACAAAAACAAUAAAACUAUUUAUAAAAUAUAUCAAAAUGAUUGGAUAGUAAUUUUGUUAUAUUUUAUAGACAAUUUCACUCCAGUUUUAUUUUUUAUAAUGUAUCAAAAUUUUGCUCAAUUUGAAAAAAUGACACAACUAUACCAUUUGCCACGACUUUCUUCACUCCAUUUGUUUAGUUUAUUCUCCUCACCCAUCUUCCUAUCUCUUUCCAAUUAGAGUCUUUUGUGGCACAGAUAUAUAAUACAAUUAUGUGAUUUAGAUAAUUCUGAUAUUUAAGAUUAGAUUAGUUUGUUAUUUAAUCAAAUAAUAAUGCAUGGAGUUUAAAAUUCAGGGUUUAGUAUUUGACUCUGUCUCACUAAGUUAGUAGGUUGACAUAAAUAGGGUCCUAUGUAUCUUAUUACAUAAGGUGGUCAACCCCAUAAUAAAGUUCAAAUUAGUAUCUAAACAUCAGACUUUGAUUGGAACAAUUGUGGUUUUGAUAUAUAUUUUUAAAAUUAUUAAAUCAAAACCCACAUGAACAUGGUAUAUAACUCUUUUUUAUCAAAAAUGAGUUUAAGGUUGUAAAAUUAAACUUAAGUAGAUUUAAAAUGAUUAUAGAUAUGUUUUAAGAUUUUUUUUAAAUAUUGCACAGUUGAUCUUCAUCAUCUCAAAAUCACUUUCUAAUAUGCAAAAUAUCAUAUCUAAAAUUUAAAGUAUUUUUGUUUAGUGAUUCAAUAACGAAAUCUUAUAGUUCCGUACAAGUCUAUAGUUGUUGACUUGUAAUUGAAACAAAAAGUGAUGAGAUAGAUAAAAGAAGAAAUUAUUUUUGUUGCGUAGAGAAUCCAUACAAAAAAAGAAGAUUAGAUGUAGAAAAGAAAAAUUAGUUUUUAAUUUGAUAAGUUGAAGAAUCUCAACUAUGAACACUAUGAUCGCUAUUACAUUAUAUAUAUAUAUAUGAUAACAAUCGUUAUCAUAACUUAAUAUUGGGUAGAUAGGAAUAAUUCAACACGAUUACAAAAAGGGAAGAAUAAUGUGUUAGGGCAUGCUGAUAUUCUGAUAUUUAGGCAGUUUGGCCUACUAAUUAGAAUCUUCUGAUGCCUAUUCUAAACUUUUAUUACUGUUUUUUUUUUUCUUUCGCUUUUAUGUUUUCUUAAAAAGGAAAAAGAUAAGGAGAAAAUAUUGCUUAUAGUUUAGAAAGAGAAAUUUGAAGGAAUAAACUUAAAAGAAAACAAGUUUAAGGGUGUGGAAUAAGUUAUCCAGUAUUUAAUUUUAAAAUUAAGUCAUUUCAAAACAAAUUAGGAUGUAUAAAAAUAUAUUUUGAAAGUAUCUUAAGUCAUUUUUAUCAAAAUAGUUUAAAUAAAAUUGAGUUUUUAAAAGAAAAACAUUGUUUUUUUUAAAAAAAUCAACCCAAACAUACUUUUGAGAAUUUAAAAAUAAAAAUUAAUCUUGAAAGAAAAAAUUACUACAUUGAAAGAAAAUUAGAAACGAUAAUUCAUAAGUUUUUUUUAAGACAAAUUUAGUCAGAGAAGGGUUGAGAGUGAUGCGAAAGAGAAGAAAAAUAGUGUUAGGUGAAAAAAAUUAGAAGUCAGUUUCUAAAAGUACUUUUUUUAGUCAAAAAAAAUCUGCUUGACCAUACAGUUUUAGAAAGUAUUUUAAAAACAAGGAACAUAAUUAGUUAUCAAUCCAACUUCAUUACUACACAAUUACAAAAAUAAAAUAAAAUAAUUCCAUUUUAUAACAAAAUUUUAAUUUUAAGUUUGGAAAUGGAAUGUUUGCAAACAAAAAAAAUUAAGAUAUUAAAACCCACACACUACCUUUCUUAAAACAAAUAGUCCUCUUGUAUAUCUAAUUACUUAAAUUUACAUGUCAUAUGAAAAAAAAAAAAGUUAUAAAUUGAUUUUUUCUAAAUUUUAUGAUGCAAUUUUUCUUUCGAAAAUGGUGAUGGUUUCCCUGCUGACUACAAUUUCAUGUUUUUUAAUUUAAUCGUUUUUAUUAAUCGGCCGUACUUUUAGCCAAAUUCUAAAAACAAAAUAAUAAAACCUUAAUGACCAUAUUUGUAGUUAUCCAAACUCGAUUUGGUUUUUUUAAAAUAUUGUUAUAAAUUAAAUAACAAAGCAAAUAAAUGAAUGAAAGUAAUAGUAUUUAUAUUAAACAUCAAAGUUAGUUACUACACGAAAUGUAACUCUGAUUACCAAAUUACAUGAGUAAACAAUAACACCAAUCUGAUUCUAAAUAUUGCAAACAUAUUAAUUUUUGUUCUUAUCAAUUCAUUAAAAUGAAAAAUAUAUAUUUGUGAUAUGAAAUCUUCCCAAAGCAAUUGGUUUUAUGGAUGACACGUAUGCCAAUGUGGUACACUUAUGAUAGUAAAUCAUCUUGUUCUCACUAUUAGAAUAACUUUGUCUUACUAUGAGCCUAAAAUCACGUUACAGCAUUUUUUGAUUUGAAACAUGCACAAUGAUUUCGUUUAGAUUUUACACAAUGUUUCAUAACAACAAAUAUAUACUGAAUGUCCAUGAUCUACUAUAUUCCUACACAAUGUAGACUUGCAUUAAUGUCAUAUCAAUUUCAACUCACAGUCACUAAAUUGAUAAAAGAAAAGAACUUUUAGGAUAUUAUUUUAUCAACGAAAUGAAAUGAGGUCCAUUCCAAAAGCAAGUCUUGAAGUGCAUAUUUGACCUUGCAAUCAUAGAUAUGAUAUCUCACAUCCUUCUCCAAAGGAAAAUUUUUAGUUUUUCUUUUUAAAAAAUUCGGAUAAGCUUAAAAGCAAAAUCAAGAAGCAGAUGAUGGUGACAAACAGAGGACAAAGCAACACGAUGCAUUGGCAUUUGCUCCCACUUGUUUUAUUAUUUUAUGAACUUCACCGUUCCCUUUUCACUUUUUUGGGUGGAUUUCAAUGUGAUCUUUGUUUGUUGUACCUUUUCUCAAUGUUGUGGCUCAAAAUCCAUCUGCUCCCAGAUUCUAGUGAUCCUUUGGAAAAAAAAGAAACCCACAACUCUGCCACGUUUCGUCUGUAAACAAGAGAGGUAAAUUUUUUAACAAAUUAAUAGAUAAGUACAGCGAAUCCAUGAAAAGGAAUAAAAAAUAUAACUUGAUUUAACCCAAAAGUAAGAAUGGAUCAAGACCUCAAACUCAUACCAGAGUCAGAAAUGUUGAGAGAAGUUUUCUCAAUCAUUACAAUUCCCAAUCUUCACAAUCUUGACAGUCAAAAGUUCAAAGUUCUUCUCUUUCCUUCUCCUUUAAAUAGGUUUUUAAAAAGUUGUCCCACAAAGCAAGUUAAUUAUUCCAUUUCCACAUAUGAGAAAGCUUGAACUUCCCUGCUGUUUUACUUUUGUGUUCACCCAACUUCUAUGAGACAGGCUUCUCUUCCUUAAAAGAGGAGUUGUCAAAGUAAAUUGAACUUUGGAAAGUAGUUUGGGAGUAAAAGUGUCCAGCUUCUUUUUGUCUGCCAAAUCUUCAGUGUUUUCCCAGCUAUGGUUAUUUCCUGACAUUAGAACCUUCAAAAUUUAACACUAACAUGGUUUGUACUUUAUCUCUCGCCUCCAAAAGCUGCAAUAAAGCUAUAUCAUACAAAAUUUGUGGAAAAUAUUGGGUUGUUGGUAUCUAUGGGACAGCACAAGUUUGCACGACAUAGACCAAUUGUCAAGUUACAGAUCACUUGCAACUCUUUCUUUUAUUAAAAGAAAAAGAAAGAAAAAAAAGGUCUUCCAUCAGGAAUUUGAUUUUCCUUCUCAUGUGUUGGUUGGACUAUUCACCUCCGAUUUGCAAAUCCAUUUUCAGGCAUCUAUCUUGGAAAGAAGAGAUAAUGGUUGCUCGCAUAGGAUAGCAGAACAUAGACCAAUGUCAAUCCACUAUACAUGACCCAUCAGAAAUAUUAAAUCAUCUCUAAUUCUAAAAGCUCUUAAUUGAUCAAUAAUAAUCAUAUUAAUUUGAUUCAAGAAAUUCAAGAUAAUUUAAUGUAAACUCGAAAUAAAAUAGUAUUAUAAUAUUUGAACUAACCUUUUGAUCAAAAUCGAGUGUAUAGCUCAAGCACACAUUGCUUUUAUGUUGACCUACAGCUUGGUUUGUUACUAUAAUAAAUAACCAUUAAACCUAAAUGCCUAAACCCAUAAACUAGUCAUAAUCAAGUGGCAAGCAUUUAACAAAAAUAAAAAGGAAAAAAAUUGCUGUUGCGGUGCCGACCAACUUGGCGUAAUUAAGAAAGUAACUAGUGGAGGGACUAUUGAGAGGAAGAACAGUGUUUGAGGCAAAACACUACUUUAAAUCAAAGUGGAAAUCGUGCAAAGUAGUGAGGUGGGAUAUUAAGUAUAAAGAAGAAGAAAAAAUUCUCUAAGUGGCAAAUAAAGUGACUCCAUUUAAAUCCACUUUUUUUUCAAAGUGGAUCAAUAAGUUUCAAGCAAUUAAAGAACUCCAAGCCUUCCAGGCCAAUACACUCUCCCAUGGGAAUUUUUUAAUGCACUUUCAAUUUUGAUACAGGACAAUCAAAGUUUACAUGUCCAAUGAGUUUUAAUCUUGAUACAAAGCAAUCAAAGUUUACAUCUCCAAAUGAGUUUUAAUCUUGAUACAAAGCAAUCAAAGUUUACAUGUCCAAUGAGUUUUAAUCUUGAUACAAAGCAAUCAAAGUUUACAUGUCCAAUCUUAUUCUAUCGAGAAGUUCCAACAGGACUAUGGUGGCCAGAUCAUCAUAAUUAAAUCUUUAUUCUUGGCUGUAAAUCAUUCAACUUAACACCACUAAAGUGCUUUAUCGAGUUGUUUUGAUGGUCAACUCAACAACUAAUUAAUGGCAUCAAAUUUGGGUUUGGAGUUUUACGAUUGGAGACAUGAGUUCAAAUAGCAUAUCUAUUUCUCAGUCUCUAAUUACUUUUCUUUAGUAUAGUAAUAUUUGAACCAUCUAUUUCCAGAAUGAAAGGUUGAGUCAAUUAUUAUUAAACUAAGUUUGUUUUGGCUCCACGUCUUUAAUUGCUCUCAUCUCUUUCCACUGUAAUCUUAACUAUCGUGUCUGGAAUAAGAAUAAAAUUGAUACAAAAUGACAAACAUUCGAGCUUUUGAAUGACAACACAUAACUUAACCAGUUGAGUUACGUCAAGGUUCCAAUGAUUAACAUCUAAAUAAUGCUGUUCAUUAUUUUUUUCAAGCAUAUGUCACAAAGGCUUCAACUCAAGUAGUAUAUGCUUGGCUUAUUCUUCCUCUUAUAUUGACGUGGACUUGAUCAAUGGAAGUCUAACAAUACAUACAUCAAACCAUUUCCAGAUUAUACAUGUAUUUUAACCAAAUAAACAUAAUAUACUAUACAAAACUUUUAGAGAGGAACCUCUAGAUAUCAUGGGAUUGGUGACAUCUUAACUAAUAAAGUGGCGAAUAACAAAAGGGGCGGUUGUGGAAAAAUGGAAAAUUCGGUGUGUGUGUAUACUAUGUGUAUAUAUGAAGUCUGGAGCCAUUAGUCAACUGAAGAGACAAACUACUGUGUCGAUUGCUUGGUCCAUUGAGUUUAUUUUAAAGUGAGAACUUUUGGUUUAAUUGCCCUUUCCUGUUGGAGUUGGAGAUGAUGAGGAUGUAUUGCUCUUUCCAUUAUCUUUUAACCCGACCUUUUCAAUUUCAAAACCAUGUCCUCUCCAUUUACCAAAAAUUCAUAGUUCCAUCGCUUCCAAAUAAUCAAUAAGUUACUUAAAUAUUCAAGGAUAAUAAUUAUGAAUAAUAAUCCGGAGAAAUAUGAUAUAGCAGUCGGGUAAAUAUGUUUCCCUGGGUUUGGAAGGAUUUCAGAAAUUUAUGAUAUGGAACUAUGAGAUCUGCAUUGUUUCUUUCCAAAAUAUCUUGGCAGUUGAAUUUAUGUACGGUUGAAGGGUUUGAGAUGUUUUUGUUUGUAGAGUAUGUGCUCUGAUUGUCCAAAAGAAGAAAUUGUAGAGACUAAGUCAUAUUGUAGAUCGUAGUUUGUAAAAGGUAAAUUCAAAAGCUUGAGUUUAUAAAGCUUAUGAGAAUAACAAGCUAAUGAAAAUAAAACAUGCUUGCCCACUAAGUGCAACUCGACUUUCAUAUUCCACGCUAAAAAAGCUCAAUCCACUAGCCUAACAACUCUAAAAACUAGUUAAGAUGACCAAUGCCACUAACGGAUUAACUGAAUGUCGCAGUUCCUUCGAAUCUAAAUAUCAAAGUUCAGCCUAAAGAGAGAACCAAGUGGCAAAACAUAAAUCUAAAAAAGAUGCUACCAGGAACUUUGUCUAACAAACCCAAAAGUACCUUUCCCUGUUCCUUGUGCUCAACGUUUCAACGUAUCCGUCCCACUUAAGUGGACUACCUUUUUAAAGCUUCCCACUUUCCAGAUGGGAUUCUCUCCAAAGUCCACAUUGUCUCUUAAAUCUCCCCAAAUUCAGUUUUCUCACGUUAAUAAUUUAGUCUCAUUCGCUGUAACGGAAUCACUUUCACUCACUCAAAUCAAUUUAAACAACAUCGAUUAGCCUACUUUCAAUCAGCUUACACUUCACCAAAUGGAACUUUUUUGGUUUUAAAUUCUUGAUGCGGGUCCCACCCUACUACUCCACGGAGAGAUUCAUACAACGCAUUCCCCAAUGUCGGAUUCGAGAGACAGCUAGCUCAUUUUUUUAAAAUUUCAUCAACGGCUUUCAACCUAGGUCUGAAUUUCUUCCCAAGUAUCCUAAACCCUUACCCCAAGGCUGCCCAAAAUGGCUUUUCAGAAACGGCACAUUCUCUAUGCGCAAUCAUCACCGUCAGCUUUAUUAAUUCCCACAACAAUGCAACAUAUCUCUCAAGAAAGGUCAUAACACAACUUCGUAAAGGCGAUCAUUCAGGCCCUAAAAUUGGAAAUUGAAAAUAAGAAUCUCAAUGAUUUCAGCCAACGGUGUCUGUGUGGGAAAAUAAAUGGCGAAGGUGGAAAGGUGCUUACCUACACUAGAAAACUAAUUGGUCUUAAAAGGUCACAGUUCAUACAAGAUGAGAGAAUUGUUACUAUACAUACUUAAGAACUAGGGAGCACCAAAAGAAAGCUUCUUCAUGAGAAUGGAAUACAGACUAGCUCAGUCCUAUUACCAAAGGGAUUGUCAUUCCACAGUUCCUUUUAAGCAGCAAAUGCUUACCAGCCAUUUUCCAAAUAUGUAACAAAAUCUCCAGACUAGAAUUUAUAUCAUUUGAUAUCAUGUUUCUUUCGAUAUUUUUUAAUAUCGCAUCAGGAUAUCUUUUGUAUCUAGUUGUAUUACCUUAACCAAUCUUAACAUGAGAGUUAUGAUAAUAUGAACCUGGAUGUCCUCGCUUUACCCCAUAACCAUUCAAGCACUCAAGAGUCAACCAACUAAGAUUGACUUUAAUCCCCAUAAAUAAACAGCCACGAAUUCAAUUAAAAAGGUCCAAGGAAAGAAAAUUGAACAAAAACUUUGUACUUUCUAUCUAAACGAAGAAAAUAGAGGAUUAUUUUGUGAAGAUUUGUUCCUGUUAGGCCACUUAUGUUUCGGUCAAAUAUAAGAUAUUGAUUAGAUUUGCUAUUUUAUUGUUUAGUUGAGUUAUUUGGGAAGUUAUGUAUUUUUUAGUUAGGGGCAUGAUGAUCUUGUGUCUAUUUCGCUGAGUAGAAUAGUUUUAGUUUGCGAUACAACGGUCUUUUACAUCAUAUUAUUGGCUUUUGGAAUGAAAUCCUUUGGCCUGAUGGUUGAACAGCUUCGUAAAUAUUUUUGCAAAUUUUAAUCUAGGGUUGCAUGGUUUGAGCAUUCAUAUAAGUAUAGUCAACUUGUUUGUGGAGUGUUCAAAAACCUUGAGCAAUAAAUCGAUCCUCCCCACCUCCUAUUCUUCAAUCAUAACUCACAAGGUAAUCUUCUCUAAUUCUCCCUUCAAGUUGUCCCAACUGAUAUUCGGGAGUUUUAGUAAUUGAUAACGAGGAGUCCCCAGAACAAAAGGCUUUUAAUUUCAAAUGGUUAGGCUUUCAUAUCACAUGGCUAAGACUGCAAGGUUAGUAGUCGUCCAUGCAUAAAAAACUAUGUUAGAAAAGAUCGUUUAAAUUUACAUUGCUAAUAGACAACGAGUUACUAUUCUUACAUGUUCCUCGCCAACGGCUUGGGCAGCUUCUGCAUCUGCAGGGUUAGUCUAUCUACAAUCGUUUGGUUAGGUAAUAGGUAGAGCCUAACCAACAAAACGUAGAUGAACAUCAACUGCAAUAACAAAAAGUGAAACUUCUUAAAAGCAUAUUCAAAUAAAAUACAAAGGAGAACGUCAGUUGGCAAUUUAAGGGUGAGAAAAUACAACCCCAGAUUACCGAAGUCCCUCUCGAGAUGUGAAUUAAGUUUAAUCAUGGAAGUGAAUAACAAUAAACGUGGAUAAAUAAACGAAACAGAUCCAAGUGAACCGAGGUGCAAAAUAUUCCUCAAACUCAUACACUGGACACUAGAGAAGCAGUUCAUAAUACGACCCUACACAAAAGCAAUAUUGCACACAGAAAUUAGAAUUACCAUGAGAUAAAUUUAAGUGAAGCUGCGACUUUCAAUAAAUGAAAGAAUAAUCAUCACAUUUAGGUGCAUUUUAGACUAAACUAUCCAUAAGCAGUUCUAUGAUCCAACAUUAACCUUUUUUACCUUCGGUAACUGAAUUGAAAAAACUGGCCGUGGAAUGUUUAACCUACAUAGGACCACUUAAAAAAAAUACAACAUUGUUUGAACUGUUACGGUACCUCAACUUAUAUCGAUAAGUUAACAUUUUAGAGCUUAAGUAACUUGAUGGAAGAGUCAAAGCCGUGCGGAAUGUUUAUGCCCAUUGAAAAGGUAGAAUCGUGUGGAAUGCCCAUUGAAAAAGUAAAGCCGUGUUGAAUCCUUAUGCUGAAUAAGACAACAUAAAAACGCAGCAGACUUGUAACUUAUGACACAGAAGCAAUGCAAGAACAGAAGGAAUGCAAGUCAAUACUUGAUUAUGGAUUAUGUCACGCAGUUUAAAUUUCAAUGUUUGCUUCUUGAAGCUCCAUCUAAACCAUCUCCUGCACGCCACCGAACCUUUUACUUGGUGGAAAGAGGAACUUUUUUUUUUUUUAUACCUUUGCAAAAAAAAAAAAAAAAGAGGAACUCUUGUUUUUUUUUUUGGGUGAGAAGCUUGUUUCAAAGUACCAAGUAUCUAAUAAAUUUGAAAAAGCUCGGAACAAAAGGACUACAUGGAGCAGAACCAAAAGUCAUGAUGGAAAUUGUAAAUUACGGGGAAGGGGAAAAAACCGAUUGAAGGAAUAUAUAGGAGCGAUCACCUCAGCGCUCACCUCAGCGCUCACCUCAAAGAAUUUUUGUAUGUCAAUACAAACGCAUUUUCCAUGGCUGAACUUGAAACCGCCAAGAAGUUAAAACUGAGUUGCAAGAACAACCAAAAGAAAAUGUGCAUUGAUGAUAAAUGUCAAUGGUAUCCACUUUCACCAAUUUAAGAAUCUAAUUAUGAAAGGUUGUAAACCUGACAGCAGCCAGACAACACUCGUAAGGCUUAAGAACCCGCUGACACACACGCUAUGUCAACAUUUUUUGAGAUCGCGUUGAUGCAAGGAACAAAAAAUUCUUAGGUCCUACAUCCAUUUAAUUAAAGAACGAAUAAUGUCUUAGAGCAAAUACUCUUCUUUCCCUGAGCCUGCAGUAUUGCGUAAAACGCUAAGUGUUUCGUUCGAAGCUUCCUAAUUCUCCCCAGAAAAUCGAGUUUGCAUCUCAUAUGAUGGCUAAUCAAAUUAGAAAAAUGUUGAAUGACGACCAAUUUUUCUUUCCGUAAUCUUUCCUUUGAAAGAUUAGAUUCUUGUAAAUUUACCAUUGGAAAGAUGACUGCCAACUUAGAAGAGAUAUUAUGUGAUGCUACUUCAAUUUUCAAAUGCAUAGGAACACCUAGUCAGUACCUGCUUCAGGGAUCGAUCAUUAAAUAAAUAUGGGACCCGGCAGUGGGAGAACUGAUCAAGUUACGACUAGAUCACCGCAAUUCAAAGACACAGAGGAGCAGCAGUGACUGGGUUGCUCAAUAAUUAGAAAAUUCGCGAAUUUUCCAUGACUGGUAGCAGAUUAGCUCAUAAAUCCGAUGAAGUCUCAGUAACAGCUAGAAUUCUCGAGAUGAAGAUUAUGAAUGAAAAUUAUCACCAAUAAUCAAGACAAGAACAUGAACCAUCUUUGAAGUGGUGAAAACGAAAUUUAUCCCUAACAAUUAUUUCUCUAUCAGCAAUAAUAGAGAUGUGUUUAAUAGCUGAAUGGCAAUCCUCGCAUAUUCGAAGGUUCUUUACAAUUCUAAUAGUCUCACCUUGAUUGGUUUUAAGUAAACCAAAUGCUAGUGCAAGCUUCUCACUGUGAUACCUAAGGGCAUAAUCCCUUUCUUCUUCUUCCAAAUCAUGCAUUAAGGACUCCGGUGCUGGUACAUAGCCUGAUUCACUACAUCGACACAUUAAUUCAUCUAAAUACCUAUAUAUAGUGUUUGUCUGAGGAUGAGACUUGUCACCCAUGCUAAACAAAUAGGUCUUUCGAUUGAUCUCUAUGGUGCUAUAGCCUACUUGCUUCUUUAGGCGUCGUCUGGUCAUCAUAUUUCGUACCAUCUCCACUCGAUCCAUCCUACCGGCCAAUGCAUAUAUGUUAGAAAGCAUUACAUAAUGGCCAGGAUUUUCUGGCUCAACUGAUAAAACAUGUUCUGCAACCUUAACUCCAAGGUCAAAAUUUCUAUGCAUUCUACAGGCCCCGAGCAUUGAAGUCCAAACCGCCGGGCCUGGCUCCUUGGGAAUAAACUUUUUGAUAAAUUGAUAAGCAUCGUUGAGCAAUCCAGCACGCCCAAACAUAUCUACCAUGCAGACAUUAUGUUCUACUCCUGGAACUAACCCAUAUGCUUCCUUCAUGCUCGAAAAUACCCGACGACCAUCAUCAAUCAACCCUGAAUGAGCACAUGCAGACAAGACUGCAACGAAUGUAAUAUUGUUAGGACGAGGACCAUAAGCUCUCAUUUCAGUAAAAAGCUCCAUUGCUUGCCUACCGUAGCCAUGCAUGCCGUACCCUGAAAUCAUGGCUGUCCAGGUGACAACAUUCCUUUCUUUCAUGGAGUCAAAAACUUCCCGCGCUUUGCUUACAUUCCCACAUCUAGUGUACAUGUUAAUCAAAGAAGUACCAAGAACCACGUUGAGAUCAAAUCCAUUACCAUCAGCAUAAUCAUGCAACCAGCAACCGAAAUCAAGCGCCCCUAGCUGAGAACAGGAAGACAAUAAGCUCACUAUUGUUGCUGAAUCCGGUUGAAAACCCGACUCCAUCAUCAGAUGAAAUAAACCAAUUGAUUCUUGCGGGAGUCCAUUUUGGUCAUACCCUGAUAUAAGUGAGUUCCAAGCUAUAAUUGUUCUUUGUGGCAUUGCAUCAAACACCUUCUUGGCAACUUUCAUAUCACUAGCUUUAGCAUAGAGAGCAAUUAAAGCAGCCUGAACAUACAUAUCAGAACCAUACCCACAAACCAUAACGUGAGAAUGAAUUUCUUUACCCAACCUUAGAGCUGAAAGAUCCGCACAGGCUUUAAUCACAGACGUAAAGGUGUAAUUCGACUGGGGAGCACCUGAGAAAAGCAUGCGACGGUAAAACAAGACAGUAUCAAUAGAGAAACCGAACUUGGAAGUCACUUUGAGGAGGGAAUCAAACAGGAAAGAAUCCGGAUUAGGCACAGUGGGGAACAAUCGUCGAGCAUAGGUGAUUGAACCAGCGGUACAAACCAGAGAAAUAAGCUUAGUGAGGAGGGAUCGACUUCUAUGGAGUCCGGAAACGAUGAUAUGGGCAUGAACUUGUUGAAGGUUUCUGAGACGGGGACCUGAUCGAAGAAGCGCUUCGUGGACAGGAGAAUGCGAUUGCGUGUCAAAAUUGCGAGUUACAGGAUGUUGAAAUGCAAGUUGUUGGGUUUGCAGUUUAAUUUUGUUCAUAGUUGGGUUUCUAUCCAAUGGCUUUGCAGUUGGCAGUAAGAGGGGAAAUCAUUCAAACUACUAGAAAUUGGAACAAAAAUUGAUGAUUAUGCCCAAAACUACAGCCGAUGAAGUAGUAGUCUUUACAGUUCCAGUUCCUUCAGUUGAAGCUCCAAAAUCCAAAGCGUCGCCAUUAGUGUAAGUUGUUGUUGCUUCCUUUCGUCGUCCUCGGCAUUCAGCUUGUUGCCAACGGCCAAAAAUCCCAUGCCUCCUAAAUACGAAAGUUCGAUUCAUUUCGCGGGAUUGAUAUAAUUAAAAUAAGUUGAGAGUUAUGCAAAUAUGGCGGUAUGAUUUUCAUUAUUAGGGAUGGUCUUUUCCAAGUUGUUAUAAACAAUUUAACUUCCUUAGUAAUUUCAAUUUUUAUGUUUUAUAUAUAUAUAUUUAUGAGAAACUCUAUUUUCUUAUCUUAAUAUGUUUUUCACAUUGAUCAAAUUUACAACUCUGUCACUCAGCAUACAAAUUUAUUGACUACAAUAUAUAAACUCUAGUUAAUGGAUCAAACUCCCCAAUGUAUUUUGUAGAUAUACACAAUUCUUUCACCUCAAUGAUUGAACUUUCUCUAAACACUUCUCCUCCCGCUUCCCAUUAUGUAUACACUGAUGGACCAAGUAAUUGCCUCGCUCCAACUCAGUUCAUCUCGAAUAUCGACAACAGAUACGACAACAAAUGUAGGCCUUCAAAUAUAUAUCUUAGAGAGAAUUAUUGACGCUAUCUUGAUUGGGUGAAGUGACGAAAUCCUUACAUUUGUGUGUGAAGGAGAGAGAUGCAUUUAAAAAAAUGUUGAACAAAUGUUUUAUCCGUUUAAUUGUAAAUUUGGUUUGUAUUAGCUCAUCGAAUUUAAUUGUUUAUCCAUUUGAAUGUUUGCAAAUAAAACAAAAAAGUUAACAAAUUUAUAAAUAUAAUAAAAUUUUACAAGUAUAUAUAUUUUUGAAGGCUCAUUUAGUCGAUCUAAAUAUAAAUUUGGGCUGACCCAUAAUUAUAUCUAAUCUAAUGAAUAAAGAAAUAGUUACAAAUUUAGCAAUUAAAUUCAAAAUAAUUAAAUAUAUAACAAUAUUUUUUAAAAAUUGCAAAUAUAACAAAAUUUGUCAAAUUCUAUCAAUGAUAUAGUCUAUCACUGAUAGACCCUGUUGUAAAAACUGAUCUAUCACCGAUAGAUCAUACGAGUCUAUCAGUGAUACAUAGUUUUGUUAUAUUUGUAUUUUUUUUUAAAUGUUACUAUAUCCUUAAUUAUUAUUCCUCAAAUGGGAUUAAGCAAUAACUUUGGAUUAAAUCAAUAUUAAUAAUAUAUAAAACAAUGCAACAAAAUUCCUACCUGUUUGGGGUAUCAUGAACUUUAAAUAAAUGUGGUUGGGUUCAGACUCCAGUUUUUUGUGUUACAAUUCCUUUAAUAUAAAAGUGGUUGAUAGAUCUGCAAGACCCCAUUAAUAUCUUUGCUAAAGUAAAUUAGAAAUGAAACACUAUCUUUAAGGGAAAAAAAUCGAAACCCAAUGAAAUCAAAAUGAGAAGUAAACAAUACGGGAAGAUAGAGUAACAUCUCAAUAGAUAAAAAGUCAUAUCAAUUACAAACUAAAUUUACUUUCACAAUAAUUAAACAAUUUAAACCACAGUUGCAAAUGUAGACCAAAAGAAUUUAAACUACUUUAUUUUAUAUCCUAAACCAAAAGAAGACAUGUGAAGAGAUUCAAAUCCCUCAUGCAGGUUGUUUAACUAUUGAAGCUACAUAAAUUAGCUAAGAUGAAUAUUAAAAAACACAAUAAUAACAAUGACUAGAAAAUUAAUAUUCUGUAAAUCCUAGAAGUACGGACAUUUUUUUAGUUUAACAUGUAACAUGUAACAUGUCACAUGUGAAGUACAAGAUUCAAACCUCCAAUUUGUUGGUAAAUGAUAUGAUAACGUAUGCUUUAAACAGCCAGGUGGGUUACAAUAAACUAUUUAGUUCAAAAUUUAAACAGACUUAGAUUCGAAAUAAGAACAGACAGAUAAAAAAGGGGAUUUAAGACGAUACUUGCAACUGAGCAGUGGGCAGCCUCUUUUUUCAAAGUGAAAGUUCAAAACUGUCGGUUAUUGAGCACUAAAGCCUGCACCACAGUAGGACCUUAAGAAGGAGUAUGUAAGAAGGAGAGAAUCCACAAAAAGUUCACAACAGCCAGUAGAACUAAAUGCAUUAAUGACACUAAAGCAAUCGUCUUCAUCAAUUUCAUUGAAAUUUGAAACAGAAGGGUUCUACUAAAAAGCAAGGCAGAGCCAAGAAGAAUCUAAGAAAAGAGUACUGCCAUCUUUCAACUUCUCUUGAUAUGUAUGCCUAUUGUCUUCCAGUUCCAACCGAAAUCAAGUGAAUCAGUGAUAUCGGCUUCUACAACAAAUCCGUUCAACUUAAGACAUCAGAUUAAUACAGAACUUCAGCUCUUGAAUCACAAAGUUAAUAAUCAUAUCUCAUGACAAUUCAGUGGCCCGGAAGUUCAUUAAAUUCUUUCCAUCAAUCACAGCUCUUAUCUUUCACUAUACCGAUGAACUCGACAACAAAGCAUCAAGUAUGACUUAAAUUUCAUUUGACUUACUAUACUAAUGAACUCGACAACAAAGCAUCAAGUAUGACUUAUAUUUCAUUGGACUUAUUAAUAAUCACAUAAUAUUUACAAAAAGGAUUGUGGUUUUUAAAGCUGAAAAACGUUGUUCAAUCAACAAGAAAUGAAAAGAAGAAAAGACACAACACACACAAGGGAAAGUGGGAUGGAUUGUCCCCUUUCUGCGAUAUGAAUGUUUGAAUCAGUAGCGUUCUUUCCCCAAUUUUGAACAGAUACCCAAACCCAGAAAAAUCUCAAUGCAAUUUGUAACUUGGAAUCAAAAGAAAAGACUCGACAAUUUAGUUAGGGAAACUAAUCAUAUUUUUCUCUCCAGGAAUAAACAAGAAAGAAGACCCAAGAUAGAGCAAGAAGAAUGUCACCAACAAUCUGCCUUAGCCAAUCCCAAGCCAGAUCCUCCACCCUCCGCUCGAAGUAGAAUCUCCACAUCGCCAUUGAGACGUGAAGCACCGUACAGCCCUUGGCGAAAAAGCCUUGAAAUUCCCUGUCCUUGACGAACGCAACCAUGAAAAGAAGGAAACCGAUUGCAAAGAGAAGCAAUCCGGAAAACGAAUCGGAUGUACGAAUCAGGAGCUGAUCGUGUGGCGUAGAGCCCAUUAACUUAGUGGCGAUUUCGAUCCCAUGGCCAAUCGUGUAAAUCUCCUUCAUAUAGAACAUCAUAAGAGUCCCGCUGGUAAUUGCGACGACAGAAUGAAGAAGACAGAUAACCGGGAAAGUCGAGGACGACGAUCCCAUUUCGAUGGAACGGUGGAGGCGUCGUAAUUAAUUACGGAUUGAGAACAUGGAACAUAGCUGCUAUGGUAAUAGAAGGAAAGGAACCCUAAUUGUAGAGCUGAAAUUUACGUUUAUGAGGAAGACGAUGCGCCGAACGAAAACCGUGAUCCACCCUCUUUAAUUUCUUCUUCCUUUUCCAAUUAUUUCUAUUUCCUCUACAUUAUAUAUAAUUUUCCUAUUUUAAUUUUAUUUAGAAGAAUCUGAAGAAAGAGUUUGUACACUCUGGAUAAGUAUCUCAACCCGGGGCCCAGCUCCGAGAAAUUUUUGCACAUCCUGCAUCAAUACGUGGCACUUGAUGACAGUGCCGACACUUUCUUAAGGGCUCCACUUUUCAAUUAUAAAUCAAUUUUUUAAUGCAGACUUCAAAAUUCAUAAUUUUCUCUUUCCUUUUUUCUUUUCUUUUUUGCGCAAGUGGAUAUUAUUAUUAUUAUUAUUAUCAUUGUUUAAUAUUAGUGUGCGUGACGUAAAUUUGUAGGCUUUGAUAGGUGUUUGACAAUUUCGCAUCUGAUUCAUCUUUAUAUUUUUUAUACAUUAACUAAACUCUGAGCUCUUCAGUUUUUUCUAAUCAAUUUUAUUUUAAUAGAAUUUUAUUCAAUGUACGAGGAAUUUAUUAAGCAUAAAUCAAAAGGUACAUGUAUUUAUUUUGACAUUUUUUAAGAACAAAUUUCAAAUUUUAAUGGUUUAUUAGACAUUGUUCAUCCAUAAUUUCUAAUUUAUAUUAUCCACACUUAUUUUCGUAAGUCAAAAAAAAAAAAAUCAAAUGGAGAUUUAUACCGAAUAGGCUCUCAUGGGCCCUCUUCAUGUUCCUCGUACAUGUAUAAUGGGCUUAGUAGUUAGCCCAACCUGGCUGCUGACACUCUCUUUUAAAGCGGCAAUCAAUUAUCAGUGUAAUCUAUCAUGUAUAGAAUAUUUCUUUUCUUUUCUAAAUUAAAGUUAAUUUCUAUUUCUGUUCUCGUAUUUAAAGUUGGACUACUCGUUCUAUUGGUAGUAACGAUUUUUAUUUCAUUUUAGUAUAGACACAUCGUUGAAAGAUCACUAGUUUGAAUCUCAUAGCCUACCAAAAAAUUAAUAAAAAUAUAUAUUUGUGGAAUUUGAAAAUGUUUAUUUGUUAUUUUAAAUAUUUUAUAAAUUUGGUGUUUUAAAAAGUUUGUCAAUAGGUUGAUCUCACUUUUUAAUUGAAUUGAAAUUUUAAAAUCUAAAUUGAGAAUGAGAGAUUGGUUAUAAAUGAGUUUCAUCAAAUCGUGAAUUUGUGACCACUAGUUUUAUGUUGAUGUAAUUGUGUUUGUCGUUUUCUGAUUAUGAUUUAAUUUAGAAAGGAUGGCAACUUAAGUUGGUGGUAUAAAAUAUAAUUGAGGCAAAUAGCAUUGUUUAGAAAGAUUGGCAUAAAUAAUGUUGAUUUGAUACCAUUAUGUCAUAUAAAAUUAAAAUUUCAAGAUAAAUACCCAAGUGGCAACAUAACUAAUAUAAAUCAUGCUUUCAUUUCUAAAAUUAUGAAUAUAUAAUAGAAAUUAAAUAACAUUUAAGAAUAUACAAAAUCAACUUAAGAAAUUAAAUAGUAUUUCUUAAUUUCAAAGCACACGGAUUAAUUGGAUAACUAAAUUUGUUUUAGAAAAAAAAAAAAGAUGAUAAUUCUGAAACGAUUUAUAAAAAUAAAUGAGAUGGUUAUGAAACUUUUGAUUCAUGCAAUACAAUGGAUAUAACAUUAUACUAAAUCUAGUCAGAGGGAACAAGAUAUCUAAAUGAAGAAUGAAAAUUCAAAAUAAUAAAAAAGAAAAGAAAAAGAAAAAGAAAAAGGAAAAAAGGGUUUUGGUUGCGUAAAAUAGAAAAAGAAAAAAAGAAAAAAGAAAAUUGGGUUAGAAGGAUGUGAUGAGAAUAGAGUUGUGUGGAAGAUCUUGGGGGUCGGUGCAUUUUCCACAUUCAAAGGUUCCAUCUUUGACAAUCAUCUCUUAAGGCCACUCAUUCUAUUAUUAGUAUAUAAAUAUAUUUCUCCCUCAAUUUGUCACAUCAAAAUUAGUAAUUAUGCAUAACAAUUAGAUACCAAAUCCCAUGUUGUACUCUUCUUUGCACAAAAAUAACAAUUUUGUAUUAGAUAUUGUUUGAAUUACGUGAAGAUUAGGGAAGGUAAUACCGCCAUUUUCUAAACAUAUAAAAGUAAUUUCUCUUAAUUUCACAAUAUCUAUUACUUUAUAUUAUCUCUCACAUAAUUAAAGGUAAAACUAUGAAUAUAACUCAAAUGACAUGAAGUUUAUACAAACCAUAUUUUUUCUAAUAAAAGGAUCAAUAUCAAUUCGAUUAAGAACAUAUCUAGCAAUGAAUUGAAAGCUAUUUCUAUUACAUUAGAUGGAAAAUGUCCCAUCUAUAUAUAUUGGGAUCAAUUUUUAGUCAUGUAUGACAUGUCAAAAGAAAAAAUUUUAUUAAAAGAUUUUAAUCUAUUUCGAUAACUAUUUAGAUUUUUAGUUUAUAACUUUAUAAGUCUAAGUUUGUAAUCCACUAGUUUCCUAUAUGAGAUUUUGUGCUUUAAUUAAUGUUUUUUUUAAAAAUGAAAGCUUUAAAAACUAAAAAAAAAGUAACUUCAUAGAAUUGUGGUUUUGUUUUCUCAGUUUAACUAAGAAUUGCAACUCAUUUACCUAAGUUAACCCUAAGAGUAUAAAACAAUGGUUAGCAAACCAGAAUUUGAUUAUGUCCAAAUAACUCUUUCCUAAAAGAGUACGAAAAGGAUAAAGCUUAGAUUCUUCAAAUGAAAAGAAGGAAAAAAAGAAGAAAAAGACAGAGAGAUGCAGAUGUAGACGAAGAAAGACGGCACUUCUGCUUUUUCUUACUUGUGUUUAUCACAAUAUGGUUUGAUCCUACAAGAUGCUGACCAUUUGAUUAUUGCAAGACAAGAAUCGAAUCAAGGCAGGAAUAGUAUGCUAAAUACACAAAUUCAUCAUAAACUCGCCAAAUAAAGGGAAGUGAACAACGUCUAGUUUUAAUUACAAAAUGCAAAAACUUGCCUACAAGAACACUACGAAAGCUAGGUUGUAACAUGGAGAACGACUUAUGAGAAUUUUGGUUUUGGCACGGGCGAGGAUGAAACUUCGGGAUGUAGGGGGCCAAGCUUUUGAAUCCAAUGGAGGAGCCCUUUCUUAUGGUCAUGGAAACUAGACAGAGGGUUACCUAAUAAAUUCAGUGUCCCAUCACGAGCAAGCGAAGAUUCGAAUUGCUCUAAUACCUUCACAAUCUGCCAGAAAUCAGGUCUCUUGUCCGGUUGUAGCGACCAACAUUGCUCGAUUAAAGCUCGCAUUGCUAAUGGACAAUCACUUGAGAUAACAGGCCUAAGAUUCUGAAAAACAAAAUGAGCACAGUUUUUUUAGUUUUGUUGAAAGAAUGCAAUAUAAAAAGAUUGUAAACCACUUCUAUUAUUGAGAAACUUGGGGUAUCUAAGAAAAUCUAACAAAAAUAACCUGUACACUUACUUUCACUAAAGAUAAAUUGCAAAAAAAAAAAAAAAAGCUCAUUUACAACAACAUUUGGUGCCGAGAAAACCGUAUAGUAUUUUAAACCAUGACUAAGUGGCCCCGUGCUUUGGGACUAAACAAUCUCCAUCGAAAACUUGGUUUUUUUUUUCAAACUAGUUGCUUGAGCAUAUUCUUCAACAAAACCUACUGUACACUGAAUACUGCCAAACCUCAAAUGAAACUUCAUCUACUACCUAUAACGAAGGGAUACCUUAUCAUCAAUAAUGGAUGUGUACGAACUCAGUUUUCUGCCAAUUGUGAUGACUUGCUUCUCAGAUUCAAAGACUUUUCUUUCAAAGAUAUUAUCUGAUAACUAAUUAAAUUUCAUCUUCAACUUUACAGUUAAACAGCAUCCCAUAACAAGCGUUGAUAUUUUUGGGACUACGAGGAAUGAGAUUCAAAAAGACGAGUAAAUUCGAUGAAUAAGCACAAGUUUCAUCUGGUCACAUGCAGGAUAUUGAGGCACUCACAAUAUAAACAUGGAACAUGUGAACUUUCCGAAGAAAACAUAGAAUGGGUAUCAAUGAAACACCAUGAGUCACAUGAUAAACCUAAAGAAGAAGAUGGUCAAGGAACACGUGAUCAAAUUAAAACUAACCUUAUUCACAACAGCAAAGGCUGCUUGAAUGGGAGUCAUAUCCUCGUAUGGAAUUGCACCAGAUACCAUUUCCCAUAACAUAAGCCCAAAGCUGUACACGUCAACCUUUCGACUACAAGGUUUGUGUUUGAUCAUCUCCGGUGCCAUCCAUCGGUAAGUUCCGGGAUCAUCAGCUAAUGGGUCAAAAAAGGCCUCAGGACAAGCUAUACCAAAAUCUGCAAUUUUCAAGUGCAUGUCUUCAUCAAUAAGAACAUUCUCAGGCUUAAGAUCCCGAUGAAUUACACCUUGUGAGUGAAGGUAUUCCAUGCCACGAGCGACAUCUAAAGCAAAUUUAAUUAGUUUUUGCAAAGGGAGGGAUUGGUGCUCAAGUUUGUGUAAGUAUGCCCUUAAUGAUCCUUGAGACAGAUAUUCAGUAAUGACACAGUAUACAGGUGGGUUCCUACAAGCAGCUACAAACUGCAACAGAAAACAAACAAAGAUCAAGAAAACUAAUAAGUUGCUAUGUAGUUCAAAACAUCACUUACAAUCUAACAACUGAAUUACCUUUAUAACAUUUGGAUGAUAGAGACGCGAUAAAAGGGUAACUUCUCUGGUGAAUUGCUUCUCCAAUCGAGCCGCAAGCGUUCCGUUUUCGUCAUCAUCAGGCACUCUAAUAAUUUUAACAGCAACAGGUUCGUCGUUGUACUUUCCAUGAUAAAGUCGACUAUGAGCUCCAUGAGCAAACCUUAAUCCAACAAACAACUUGGAGAGAUCAACAGUCCAGUCAUCCGCUGUUUCAACCGCAGUGACUUUUCCAGAAUCGAAAUAUUUAGUCCAGGAAGAGUCCUUCUUCAACUUUGACUUAUCACCCCCUUUCCCUGAAGAUAGUUGUUUCAAGGGACUGGUAUUCAACGAUGACUUGGAAUUGGAUGAUUUUGAAUCUUGAGGGUCCUUAUUGAAUAGCUUGUUCUUGAAUUCCUUAGUUCGUUCUCUAAGUCGAGGAGUUGGAGUUGAGAAUCUCUUACUCUCGGAUUUUGCUUCCUUGAAAACUUCAGAGAGGUUGCUCUCAGGGAGAGGAGACAGAGACCUCUGUUUAUUGGAAAUGAAACUUCGCUGAAUCUUCGAAAUAUCAGGAUUCGGCUUCUGAGCAGAUGAAGCCGAUGGAGGCCUCGAUUUCAAGCCAGAAUUGCGAGGUGGUUCGACGAUGAAAGGAACUGGGUUUAAUUUUAAUGAGUCCCAUCGAUGAUAAACCGUGUGAGAAAACUUCGUUCUCCUAAGCCAAGAAUUAGCCUCUUCGUCCAUUUUUUUCCACCCGAUUCCUAUAAUUCCUAGAUGGACCUCUCAAAAGAUCUUGCAACAACAAACGUCCUUGAUUUUCUCCCCCACUUGCUCAGGAAGAGGACUAAACUGAAGUUGUUCUCGGAAACAAAAGGGUAUGAUUAAUUUGAUGGCCCCAAAAGCUGGAUUUCUUCAAACCCAUCAAGACUAAGGAAGAAACAUUCUUUGUUUCAUCGAAUUAAAGAAGCAUUGAGAUCCACAAAGACCCAACUCAAUAAAUAAUCGAGAUUCUGGAUCCCCCCAAAAUCCUAUUCAUUCCCACCAGCAAAACAAUCGCUUAAAGCAAAAACCAACAACCAGAAACAGGGAUGACUCUCAAGCCACAAAGCAGCAGAGUUCUGUUUAACACCAAACUUCCCCUUCCUCCUUUAAUCCAUCUUUUUAAUUUGGUUUCAAAGUCAAACUCCACCUUGGGUAAAAAGCCUGGCAAAUCCCACACAGAGAUCCACAAUAAAUAAAACUCCAAAAUAAACAAAUAAAUAAAUAACUCUCUUUUUUACUAUUCAAACAAGACGAUUAACCAGAAUCCGGACAAAAGAGGAAAAAAAAAUAAAAAAAAAUAAUCCCAAAUACAGAAGAAAAAAAGAACCCAUAAUUCCAAAAUCAAGCAGUAAGAAGGAAAAUCCAGGAAGGACCAAGACCUUACUUGAACAAAACGUGUGGAAAACCAUUCAAUUCACUCCGCAUUCACUGAAGAAAUCUGUGGAAUGAUCGAAGAUAAGAAAAGAAACAAAGAAACCCAUCUGUUAGGGGAGAAGAAGGGGUUAGUAAUAGAAAUAGAAUUCAGAAAUGGAGGAUUUAGUUUCGCCUUGAAUUUUCUAUCGUCGUAGAAGAAAAAAGUAAUUUACGUAUUGUAGUGGGGAAGCAAAAGAAGGAGAAGAAUAAGGGGCGGCAGUAAAUAAGAUUCCAUAGAAGGGGAUAUUUCUUUUUUUCUUAGUUUGACGAAGACAGCAGGGUAUUAAGCCUCUGUUUCGCUAUCUCCUCUAAAAUAAUCUCAAAAGUUGCUUUUUCUAUAUUUGAGAAACCAACUCAAUUGAAAAGGUAAUCUGUUUCAAUUUAUCUCACAAUAACUUUUUUAAAGAACAAAAAUGGUAAAAUAUUUAUUUGUUAACGAAAAAAUUUAAUUUAUUUGUCUUCAAAUUUUAGUCAACCUAAUAAAAAUGCGUGCUUUCAGUUAAUUUUUUUAAUUAAAAACAACAAUUUCAUUUUAUUUAUCUUAAAACAUUUCUAAAUCGAAUAUAUUUGGUCAAAUAAUAGUAAUUAAUUCACAAAUAAUAACAUAUAAUUAAAAAGAAAGAUCAUGAAAAAAGUGAAUUGAAGUUUUUUUAUUAAAAAUAGAUGUAGUACGAGUGAGGACAUAAAAAUGAUAGGGAUUAAUGUUAUGAUAAGGUAAGUUGUAAGGUUAAAUAUUAUGUUAAAACUUUUGAUUGGUUUUUAUAAUUAGAAAGAAAAAUAAGGAGGAGGAGAGAUGUGACGGUGCAUGGUGGGGAACCACAUAAUGAAAUAGUCGUAAAACACGGAAAGAGAGAGAGAGAGAGAGAGAAUAAUAUUUUGGUUCCAAUUUUAAUUUUAGUUUGAAAAUAAAAAUUAGGAAGAAAUUGUGGAAUUGUUGAGGUCAUUUUCGGCCAUAAAUAAUAAUAUUGAUUUAUUUUGGUACGGACGGAACUUCCUCUUUACCCUUUACCCAAACGCCAUCCCAUUUCCCUCCCUGCUUUCUACCCUUUUUUAUUUUGUACGGUUCGCACGGAUACACACUCUCUACUCUCUUUAUAUAAUGUUUUUUUUUUUUCUUUUUCUAAUAGUUAAAUAUUAAAAUAUCAAUUAAAUAAGGAUAUAUUUUUUUUAAAAUUACAUUAAUGGUAUUUUGAUGUUUAUUCUAUUGUUUUUUUAAAUUUGGUUUGUAGAUUUACGGCUUAUAGGGUUUGGUUGAUUGAGUUUGAUAUGUUUGCGUUACGUGUCGGAUGGUGAUUGGGACAUAACUUUUCAUUUCGGGAUAAGAAGCAUAGGAUGGAAUCUGUUUUGGUGAAGAAAAAAGAAUUGUGUUUGUUCAGUUUGUUUGGGUUAGUUCGAUUCUGAAUCUGAUGCCUUCCUCGAAUACUAUCGCAAUCAACGGAAUCGAGAUUUUAUUCCGUUUAUUUAGGAUAUAAUUGUAAGAUUAAGUUAAUUGAGUAUUUUAGUGAAAUGGAGAAUUAAAUUUCAUUUUUUUUAUAAAGGAAAUUAAACCCUAGUUUUGAAUUUGAUCUUCGCCGUCCCUUCAGCUUGAUAUCUAAAGGCCAGCUGUUGAAUGGGCCGAUGCCUUCGGAAAUCUGUAGGGUUACUAAGAAGAAUGUUUGUAUCAAAUAAUUUUGGUUUCUUUUCUUAUAGCGCCUUUUAUGUUGUGAAAAAACCACUAUCUCAAAACAAAAUUGUGGGGCACAACUUCAAUGCUAAAUUGUAGUUUUUUCAUUUUCUCCAUUGUUUUUCAACACAACGAUAAUUAAACUCCAUUUGUAAAUCAUGCUUACACAAAAAAGAAAAACGUUUUCUAUUUAAAUUAAACAACAGAAGUACAUUUUCAAAUCUUGAAAAGUCAAACAUCUAUUUUUUUUUUUUACCGUAAUGAAUUCAUAAAUAGGCAUGUAAUUUGAAAUUGCAGUCCAUCCAGGUGUAAAAGUUACUUUAUAUAUUUAAAGAACACGAGGCAUGUAUCGUAGUGAGGAAAUUAUAAUAAAGUUUUGGGGGGAUCUCAUUUCCAAAAAUGGUCUAAAACAUUUAAAACAUUGAGAAAGAUUUCCUAUUGUGGAGAGGCCCAGAAAAAAAGAUGGAAGGCCCAAAUAGAGGAAAAAAGAAGGGUAAAACGGGAAGCAGUGUAAAAGGUAAAAGAGUGAGAAAUGUGGCGUUGAAGAAGAGAUGAUUUGGGAGGGAGCCUUUUUUUCAAAAUCGUAUAUUGUCCUUUUCCCUUUCCUUUGCAAUCCUCCAAACCCUAAAAUUCAAAACCUUUUUAUUUUUAUUUAUUUAAAGUGUAGGGUCAUUCUACAACGGUAUUAGCACAUGAUCCCAUUACCCUAUUAUCAACCUUUGUAAUCUUUUUCCCCUCUCCUUUUUUUGUUUUUAAAAUUUACCCUCAUUUGUUCAAUUUUCAAUUUAAGUUUUUAAAAAGGUUGAUUAGGAGAAGUAUUCGAGUCAGAUGAGACAAAUUAAUAUGCUAUUUUUAGUCUUUGUUGUUUUUAACAAUAUUGUAAUUUUUUUUUCUUCCAACUUUCAGAUUGUGGAGAAUAAACCUUUGAUUUGAUUAAAGAGAGUGUAAAUGGAAAGAGAUGAGUUGAAUAAUGAAAACAGUAAAGAAAAAAGAGACACAAUGAUUAAUUUCUCAUUAUCUCUGUAUUUAUAAAGAUAAAAUAUACAUCAUUGAUUAUUAAAAAGAUAAAUAAUAGAAGCUUGAUAGCGCUUUUCAAUUUAAUUUUUAAUAUUUUGUUUUCCUUACUUUCAUCUAAAUUCCUCAUUUAUAUGCAUCCCUUCCUUGUAUAUUCAUAUAUAUCGACGAUUAUGUUCUAUUCUAUAUAUUUUGUUCAUGAUAUACAAUAAAUAGAGUUUUUUAAGAAAAUGUAAAAUACGAGAAUGAUAAAAAAAAUAAUAUAUAGUUAUAAAAAUGAUAUAGAAUAAAAGAAGAAAAUAAUAACAAUGGUAAAACUUAGUUAUUUAUAGUUUAAGAAAUCAAUUAAUAGACAUCAAUACUCAAUAAUGAAAUUCAAAAGUAAAAUUAUAAUAUUUUUAGAGUUUAGGAAUUAAAUUUGAACAAGACUUAGUAAUGAAAAGGAUCAAAAACUUAAAACCACAAAUAAUUUUGUCCUUCAUUGGUAAAAAAAAUUGAAGUCCAUUUGGUUAAAAUUCCACGUAAUGUUUGUAUGGAAAAGUAAAAUAAAUGAAAAGAGGUGCAGUGCAACGGUGGUAGUGCUAUAUAUCUCUGGCCCUAAACUCUGCAAAUGUCGUCCUCUUCAUUCUAAUUCCAUUUGAUUCAUAAAUUCCCCAUCCAUGGCUUUUAAUCUCAUCUCCCUAUCUUUCUUUUCCAUUUUCUCCUUCGCCAUUUUCGCCUUCUCCGCCGCCGACGACAUCACGGCCGCCGAAACACUCCCCGUUCCCCAUCACCACCACCACCACCACGCUCCCUCGCCCGCACCAUUACCUCCACCGACCCAUUUGCCCCUUCACCCUCCCGUCCAUCCUCCGGCUCACCCACCAGCACACCACCGCCAUCACGCCCACGCCCAGGCUCCUGUUCACCCACCGGCAAAUGCGCCCUCUCACCAUCUCCCUCCAACUCACCCACCGGCUCCCGCCCACCACCACCACCACCAUAACGUCAGCCCAGUUCAUCCCCCGUCUCACUCGCCGGCUCCGAUCUACCCUCCGAAACCUCGGUUGGUGAGGAGCUUCAUUUCGGUUCAAGGUGUUGUGUAUUGCAAGUCCUGUAAAUACCCGGGAGCUGACACACUGCUCGGAGCUACCCCCGUCGCCGGUUAGUUAUUCUAAACUCUUCUAACAUAAAUUCUAUCAAACUUACAUCUUUUGCUCCCUUGAAAGUGUUGAAACUUUUCAGGGUCCUCUGUUUUAGCUUUAAUUUGCUUUAACUUGUGUCAUUUUAUUCUCUCUUAAUUUACUAUGUACCAACACAUUCCUUCAAAUCUCAUUAUUGUCCACUCUUUUAAUAACAAUUAGGAUCUUAUACUCCAUAUUAGAUUUAGUGCAUUAAAAACACCACAAUGAAAAUGUUAACUUAUUUUAAAGUAUCACAAUGUAGUAUAAUAAUAUUCAGUUUUGACAUAUAUGCAACUUUAUUCUUCUGUUUCGUCUGAAGGACUUCAUACUUAUAGCUUCUCAUUCACGAUGUUAGUUUCCUUCGAUUUAACAAAUACAUCUACUUGUAUGCACCUCAUUGUACCUAUAGAAAAAAAAAAGAUGUAAAAACAUUUUUUCACAUAAUUAAAAACAAAAAUACCAUGUGUUAAACCCUAAUUUUGUAAUUGAUGCAACUUUUUUAAAAAAAACGAUCAAGUCAUUUAGUCUUCUUAUUCUUACAAUAGCACUCAUGAGAGUUGCAAUCUUAGUAAAAACAAAAAUAAAAAUUUUAAACUCUUUUUUAAAAAAAAAAAAAAUUCAAGAUGUGACUUUUUCUUAUUAAAAAAACAUGGAAAAUAGUAUAUAAAAUUUAAAGGUAUACAAAUUGGGUUAUAAACUUAAUUAAAAAAAUUUAUGAAAACUUACAAGAUAUUUCCCCUCUACUAUAAAAACAGAAGGAAAGAAAAAAGAAAAGAAAAAAAAAAUGUAGAUGUUGAAACAAUUUAGUUAAAAUAUAAUUUUAAAAUUUUGUAAUAUGAGAGUUUGUUUAACUUUAGUAGUGUACACAGUAUACUUUUAAAUUCCAAAGUAAACUUUUAAUAAAUCUUAAUUUUGAUUAUUUUAAACUAAUCUUAGAUUUAUUAAAACCAUACAAACUAAAAUUAGACAAAUAAAAUUAACCACGUAGGUAAUAAUAAUAAAUAUUUGAAAACUAAAUAGUAUCACGAGGCAAAGAUGAGUAAAAAAGGCUGCAACUUUGCAGUAUGACAUGAUAUGAUAGAUAAGGUAUAAAUGUAAAUGUAACGUAAUUGUUGGUAGAUGAAGAUGAUGAUGAUUAAUUGCGUGACAGGUGCAAGCGUGAAGCUAAUCUGUCAGAACACUAAAUACCCAUUGGUUCAAACAGCAACCACUGACAAGAACGGCUAUUUCUUCAUCACAGCCCCAAAGGCCAUCACCAGCUACGCCUUCCAUAAGUGCAAGGUCGUUCUCGGCUCUUCCCCUUCCCCCACUUGCACCAAGCCCUCCGCUCUCCACGGCGGCGCUGCCGGAGCCCCUCUCCGCCCUCAGAAGUCUUACAUCGACGCCAAUAAACUCCCCUUCGUUCUCUACUCCGUUGGCCCUUUUGCCUUCGAACCCACUUGCCCUCAUCAUUAGUCCUCGUUUAUGCUUCUUCUUUUUAAUUCUUAUGCCUUUUCUUAAACGAUGUCGUUUCUUUGGGUUCUGAAUUCUGCUGCUGCCUUUCUGUACGGCAUGGUUUGGUUGUUAGUUUGUGUUUUAUGAGUUUGGAUAUUAUUUAUGGUACAAAUAAUCUGUUAACUUAAAUGUUCUUUUUCUUAUAUUUUCUUUUCAUAAAGUGGCUAUUAGAUCUAAAAAGGUAAGGGGUGGAAAUCGAUCGGUACAAAGUAUUUGGUUCCUUUCUUUUCUUACUUCUUUUCAACCGAUUUCACUUUAAUUCUGAGCAUGUUCCUUUCUCAAGAAACAAACAACACGAAUUUGUGUUUGUAAGGAAUAAUGUAAAUAUUAGUUUGAUGGAGACGUUCAAAUUGCCCUACUCUACACAAAAUGAUAAAAUGUCUAUUUCUAUUCUUACAAUUUAUAAAUUAUAUUGAUUCAAACUUAUAUUUAAUAUUUAUAUUAAACGACUUUUACAAGCAAUGACUUUUGAUUAUUUUUUUGGUUAACUUGAUUUUGAAAAAGUUAGAUGAUAAGUCUUUUAUUGUUUUACAAUUGAAACUUUGAAAUGUGGUGUACAUUAAUAUUCUUACAAUAUUUUAGGAGCAAUUUUGUUUAACAUAUUUCAUUAUAGAAAUUUUAAUUUAAAUGGUAAAAAUUCUAAAAUUAUUUAUAAAUAAAACAAAAAAUUUAAAUCUAUCUAGAUUAUAUCAAUCGUAAUACUCUUUUCAUAUUUUUGUAAAGAUUUUUAGUUUAUAGAAAGUAAUCCUUCAUUAUUGUUCAUGAAUUUUGAAUAAUAAGUGAGGGGGAUUUUUGGAAAGGGUAGAAAGGGAAGUAUGGUUUUGGGUUGUGGACCAACCAAUCAAUAAAAAGGAAAGUUGCAUGCAAAAAAGAUAAUACUUUUUUUUAAAAAAAUAAUAAGAAUAAUAAUUGGGUCUAUGCUUUGUUAGACCGUUUCGGUUCGCCAAUAAUGCUGCUGACCACUACUUGCCUUUUUCAGACCCCACGCGCCUCUCUCUCCUCUCCAAUCACGCUCUUAAAACAUAAUCAUUAUUUGUUUUAUCUUCCCUUAAACAAAAUUAUUCUAAAUAGAUUACGAGUUAUGAUUGUAAUUAUCGAAUGGGCCGAUCUGUAUGGCCCAUUUAACAACUACCCACACGGCCCAUUUCCCUUCCUUUUCUCUCUAUGGGCUGUUGCCUCACUCUCUAAAAUAAGACCGUGAGGGCUCCACUGUUAUUGCAUUCCAGUCCACGUUGUAAUCAUUGCUAAUAUAUAUAUACAUUUUAGAAAUUUCUUGUUCAACACUUAUUGUACAUUUGAUUUGCAUUUUGUUAAGAAGUAAAUAGUUUUCGCUAGAGUUGAUUGUCGGAAGUGGCAGUCGUAGUUAAGUUAAGGGGCGGUUGUGAGUUGUGACCACGACAACUAAGUGAAAAUGUAGAUGAUCUUAGAAGCAUUUUUUUCGUAAUUUUAAGAAUAAUGGUCAAUCUCUCUAGCUCUUAUUUGUAUUUAAAGGCUUUAAAUAUCAUUUUUUAGUAAACCUAGCUUAUAUUGUAAACUAUUUUUUAAAAUAAGUGAAAAAUAUAUAUUUUGAGUGUUUGAGUUAAAAAGAAUUUGCAUAAGUUUGGUUUGAAAGAUGUUUUUUUUGUUCAAGUCCUCACAUCUUUUAUAAUAAGUGAUUUGGUAUUCAAGUUUCCCACUCUUAAAAUUAAGUUUAAACAGUUAUAGAGAAACAAAAUGACUAAAAGAGUAUAUUUUAGAACUAAAAAACUAGAAAGAUCAAAGUUUUGAAAACACACUUAUGAAAGAGAAACAUAUUGGACUAAAAAGUGGUUACCAAACACUGAAAACGUAUAUGUAUAUAUAUUAAGUUGAGAGGAAAAGAGAGAAUUUGAAGGUUGUGAGUAGUUGCAAUACAUAGCAUCUAAACUAAUUUAAGACUGCCUUUCACACGUGAGAUUUAAUUACCAACAAAACGAAAAUGACACACAAAGUCAAAUUAUGAGUCUAUUUCUAAAAUCAAUUUACCAUUUUUGUUUCAUGGAUGAGCGAAUGGAGCAUUCAUUUUUUGGUUUCUAGUUUUACCAAACUUAUUUACUACAAUAUAUUUAAUAAACCUAACCAUGAACAUUUCUGGCCCUUAAACUUCUACACACAUAUAUAAAAGUAAAAAAGCUCUAAUGUUAAUAUUAUUCGGAAAAAAUAGUUUAAAUUAUACUUUAUCUAUCCUUUUCCUAUCCUUCCUCCUCUAUGAUUCUUUAUCUCUCUUAUUCUUUCUUCCUUGAAAAGUGAAACAAAAGAAGGACUAUAACACUGACGAUAAUGAGAGAAAGGAAAAAAAGUUGAACUACAAAAUUUGAGUUUGAAAGAGACUUUUUUUUCAACUUCGUAUUUUUUACUUUCAAACAACUUUCUUCUUUGGCUUAAGAGUAUUGAAGAAGAGAGAAAUUUCCAUGCCAUAUUUUGAAGUCUUAUGUAAUAUAAUUACCCAUCUUUUUCAAAAGAAAGGGAAAAAGGAAAAAAGAAAAAAAACUAAGGUUAAGUCAGGCGACGGUUCUUUUCAAGGUUACAUUAUAACAUGUUGACCUCAUUUAUUUGUGUAUGAUACUGAUGGUGGUGAAAUUAUGAAUUAAAAUAUUUGUCAACACAUUCCAACUUCGUGCAAUAAUUAAUUUUUAAAAAUAAAUCAAAUUUGACAUUGGGAAGAACCCUUCAACUAUUUUUUUUUUUUUUUUUAAAAAAAGCCAAUAAUUAAACGGUGCCAUUUAAGUAUUUGUUUUGUAGAGUGAAAUAGAUAGAUACUUAAAUGACUGUAAAUCCAUAAUUCUCACCUACUUAAAUUAAUUAUGAGUAACGUUAAAAAUAUAAUAAUGGUUAGUUUUGAUAUAAAAAAAUAAUGGAAUAGGGGACAAAAAUAUCGAACCUUAAAUGCUGGAAAUAAUGAGAGGGUAAAAGAGGGACUUUCUAACAUACAAUUUUUGAAUUAUUUGAACCAAAUAAUUGCCAUAAUUUUUUUUUUUUCUCCCCACCUUUUGGAUGAAUUUGAGAUAAGCACCAUAUUCUAUUUUGAAAACUAAUUUUAUUAUUAUUAUUUAGUUUCCAUUUUCCAAAAUUAUCAAUUAAAAAGAUUGUAUUUUAAUAGUUGAGUGGAAUUAUAUAUUGAAUUAAAGAAUUGCUUAUUAUGAUUAUGAUUAUUAUGUAGUGUUUAUUUAAAAGGUGUGGUGUGGUGUUGAGUGCUUAUGGGGAUUGGAAAAAAGUCAAUGGGAAAAAUUGAAUAUUGAUUUGACGAAUUCUUCACUCUCCCAACUGUGCGUCGACCCCACACUCCCUUCUCUUUUGUUUAUCUCAAAUUCUAAACAAACACACACACACUUUGCUUCUUCACUUCCUCUUCCCUAAUCCCACACUCUCUCUUACCGCGUGCUCUCUACCUUUCUCCUUUUUUCUUUUCUUAAUACACAUUCUAUUCUAUUGCCUUCCUAUUUCAACUUUAUUCUAUAUUACUAAACAACCUUUAAUAUAUAUAUAUAUAACUUAGGUUUAAUUUCAAGAUUGGGAUUCAACCGAAAACGAUUAAAUUUUAACUAUUCUUAUAUUAAUAAUCAUGUAUAGAAAUUAGUGCAUUUAGUCAUUAAAUAAGAGAUGAUUAUGAGUAUAUUAAUAAGGCUUAAAGUAUUUGCAUACAUAACAUGAUAUCACUAAUAAAAGGUUGUUAGUAUUAAUAAAUUUUAAUAUAUUUUUAAUUUUAGAAAAAUGUGAAUAUAUUUGUAAUUUUUAUUGUUAAAAGAUGUAAUUAGAUGGAAAUAGAGAAAAAAAACAGAUGUAAAAAGGUGAUAUUUGUUAUGAGAUUUGGAAUGAUAACAUAGUAUUAAAAUUGAAUUAUAGAUUGAAAGUGAAAGUGCAAGGUUAAAACGAAGUGAUGUAAUGUGAGGGUAAAAGUUAAGGUUGAAAGUAAAAAAAUUGAAAUUGUUAUCCACAAAAGAAAGAGAAAAGGGUUUUGUUUAAUUUAAUAAUUAGGGAACCAAGUGAAUCCAUCUUCCCAAAAUAAAAGUGCGAAAGAAACGCUAUAAUAGCGCGUGAACUGUCUCCCCUCCCUCUCAAAUUUCUUCUCUUACUAAAACCAAACUCAAAACACACACAGAUUCCCACUUCUUCUUCUUCAUCAUCUCUCUUACAUUCUUCUAAUCUUCUCUUCCUCCAUGAAAAUUUCUCAUCCAAAUUCCUCCUUCACUUCUUCCACUUCAACCACCACCGCCGAUGCCUUUCAACCGCCACCCCCGAAAAUCCUUAACAGAUCCGAUUCCACUAAUCCAUACCCCACCACUUUCGUUCAAGCCGAUACCUCUUCCUUUAAACAAGUUGUUCAAAUGCUCACCGGCUCCCCGGAAACCGCCAAGCAAAUUUCUACACCAGACCCUCCUUCUAAAUCCUCCAUCCCUCCCAUUAAAUCAAUUCCCAAACGCCAACACUCCAAUUUCAAGCUCUAUGAGCGAAGAAAUGCCCUCCAUAACCUCCAAAUUAUCAACCCUGUUUUUGCCUCCUCUGUUUCUAGUCUCAGACAUAAUAACCAUAACCUCCCUGAAAUUCUCUCUCCCAGUAUGCUGGAUUUCCCCUCACUCGUCCUCAGCCCCGUCACGCCUCUCAUUCCCGACCCCUUCGGCCGAUCGCAGCCGUUGAAUUCUGAACCGACGAACAAUGUCGGUUCUAGUAAUUCGGGUUUGGAUGAAGAAGCAGAGGCUAAAGCCAUUAGAGAAAAAGGAUUUUAUUUGCACCCUUCACCGGCCACCACUCCCAGAGAAUCGGAACCGGAGCUUUUGCCACUAUUUCCGAUCACUUCCCCUCCGCGACCAGGUCCACCUCCUCCUUCUUCUUGAAUUCAAUGUCAAAUUCAGCUAUUAAUUAAUUUAAUGUCCAUUUUUUUUGUAUUUUAAAUUUAAUGUCUUUGAAGUUUGUAUCCGGAAAUAGAGUUUAUUUGCAGAGAAUAUGAAUGCAAAAUCCCUUCCUCCAAUUGUAUAAUUCGACCGUUUCUCUUUUUCUUUUCCCUUGUCCCUCAAAUAACUUUUUAGAAUUAACAAUGACUUAUAUAUAUAUACAUAAAAAAAAAGCAUCUUUUAAUUCUCUAUGUAUAAUUUAUUUCGUUAAGUGAGAAAAUAGAUUGAGAGAGAGAGAGAGAAGAGAAGAGAAGAGAAAAUAAAAAGGGGACAGCUUUGGCGUAGUCGUCAAAGAGUGUAGAAUAAUGAGUGAAUAACAUUGACACAUUUGUUUUAUGCGACAAACACAAUGCCAAGACCCCAAUUUUCAAUGGUUAAGUUAUUCUUUCUGAAACAUAAAAAAUACACGCAAUUUUUUCAUAUGAAUGGUUGGUUUAGAGUUUAGAGUUUAAAGUUUAGAGUUUUGAGAAAGAUAAUUAUCAUUAAAUUUGAAAUGUGUCCAUCCAUAAUUACUCAAUAAAGCUUAAAUGAUAAUACUAAUAAUAUGCAAACGGAUAUAUAUCAUAUGAAUCGAAAAUGGAGUCACCCGCUAGUUCAACUCAAAACCCAAAAGUCUUUCACAUAAAUAAAAAGACUCUUCUCUUCCUAAAGAUAAUGAAAUGGAAAUCAUGGGAAAAAAGAUAGAAAUAGUAAAUAGGGAAAAGCAAAAGGGUAUCUGAGAAUUAAGUACUUUGUUGUUUUCCAAAUAUUUUUUUUUAUUGGUCAAAAUAAGGUGGGUGGAUCUGUGAGGAUGUCUAAUAAAUUGAGUCUGCUCGAGUGCAGGGACUCAGCCAUAAUAAGGGGCUUUGAAAAAUUGAAACUCUCAUUAAUUAUUUAAUUAAUUGAUUGAUUGAGUGGUUAAUAUCAAUGUUAUUAUUUUAAAUAUGGAAAGCGACCCUCCAAAAAACUAAAUUUGGUCAAGCUUCUUGAUUGCAAAUAGAAUACUCUCGACUCUCGAGUCGUUCUCUUAUCAAGGCAGUAUUGUACGAAGGCCCCUCCCUUCUUUAACCUUCAUUCUUAAUUAGGUUUCGCAAUCAUUCUAAUUUAGUACUAAUCUCUCAACCAAAUUUAUAAAAUUAUGUAAACAUUUUCUUAGUUAAAGUUGUACAUCUCAACUGUACAAGUUGACCAUUAAAUAAAUUGGAUUCAAAAUAGGGCCACCAAAAUUUUAGAACACUGAGAGAAACAAUUUUGGAAUGAAAAAGAAAAAAGGAAGCAAAUCAUAAAUGGGAAAAAAAGGAGAAUAAAGAUGGUGUAAGGAAGCAUUGAAGCUGUUUGUCUAAUUGUUCCUUUUAAUUAUGUUUGUGUGGGGAACCAAUAUGGUUUUGGUGGACCUUAUUCAUCACAAAUUUUCAUGUGCUCUCUCUACAUCAUCUACAUGUUUCUUGGACUUUUCUCUAUCAGUCAACUCUUAAUCAGAAUCUCGUAUCGCGGAUAGACUUUACUAUAUUUAUAAUUUUAAAAAAAUAUAUUGCUAUAUUUGCAACGGAAAGAUCUACCAAACAUUUUUCAUAUAUGUUUUUAAGGACAGUUUUAAUAAAAAAGUUUAAGCGAAUUAUAAAACACAAAAAUGUAAGCAUCUGGAUUUUGGCAUUGGUUCAUCAUCAUUUUGGAUGGAUUUUAACUCAAAGGUAUGGGAGUUUGAUGAUGAAAGUAUCUGGGGAUGAUAUGAUUGAUUCUAAGAACUGUUGAGUUGUGACAAUAAAAGCUAUUUUGAAAAAUUUAAAGAAAAAAGAAAUGUAAAGUGAAGGUGGGGUGGGGGUGGGGAUGGGGGACUCCAAAAUGUGUGGAGAGACAGGAGAGUAAUAUUACACUUCAAAAAGAAGUUGAAAAAUUCAAGCCCAUAGGCUGUACAAUAAUAUUGUUUCCUACCCAUACCAAUCCAAUCCAAUCCAAGUGGUCACUUCAAUAAUGUUAGGAAAAUAUCAAUUGGUUUAUAGAUUUUGAGUUUAGAUUCAAUUUUGAACAAUGGAUUUUCCUAAAUGUAUUAAAUACAAAAUUGAGUUUUAACUUAUUAGAAUACAGAAAAGCUAUAGAAUAAAGAUGUCUACAAAAGCUUCUCUUUUCUCUGAAGUUGUGAAGACUCUGCUUGCUCAAUGUCUCUGCAGACACCAUUACUGAAGGAAUGGAAAUUUUUUAGAAAUUAUUAAAGAGGAUAAUAUAUUCUAAAAUAUUAUUAAAACAAAAAUUUUUAUUUUAGACACUAAAACUAAAUAAAUCUGAACCUUCAAACUCCCAAAGUAUUAGCAUUCUUUAUUGGAGUAGAUUAUAGAAUAGUUACAAAUUUAGUCUCUUCACUUUUUGACAUUUUUAGAUAGCUGAAAACUUACAACAAUGUUCUUAUUCCUUCAACAUCCUUCAGAUUUUAAUAAUACCCACUUGCAGAAUGAAGCAACAGAAAAAUAAACACAAUUCCUUUUCAAGACAGGUCAACUAAUAUAUGUUGUAAAGAAAUGAGGUAAGAAACAAAAGGAACGAAGCCUGACUGUUGUUUUUACAACACUGAGUUACAAGAAUAGAUGCACUAAUAUACGUGAAAGAAAAAAAUGAGACGAAGGAAAAAUGAAGCCUCACCAUUUCCCUCUUCACUUCCACAACUCUUCCAUGGGGAUGCCACGCUCUUGUGCAACGUCCCUAAACUGUUUCAUCUUCUGCACGGCGACCACUGUUGCUCUAGCAUUGUUGAGGGCAUUAUUACUUCCAAGUUGCUUCCCUAAAGCAUUCUCGACACCGGCCAUUUCGAGGACGAUUCUCACUGCUCCACCAGCAAUCACACCAGUACCAGGAGAAGCAGGUCUUAGCAUUACUUUUGCUGCUCCAUAAUCUCCCUCCGACCUACAAUUUUCAACUCUCCUUAGCUAACACUUAUAGUAACACACAGCAACUCAAGAUGUGAAUAUGACAAAAGUAUUACUUCACUAGCAUUCAUAACUUGAAGCUUCAUUUGAUUUAGGUUCUCACUUCCUGGAAUCUGCUAUACUUUUUAACUCUUUACAUUUACGUCUAAAAAGGAAAUCAGUGUAUAUAUCUCUUGCUGUCCAUAUGCUUAUUGGGUACUGAUUCUUUCAGCCAUAGAAACACUGGAAGAUCGGUCGAAACAACAAGUUCUCCACAGUUUAAUUGUAGCAGAGUAGACAAAACUGUGAAAUAGACCAUCUAGUAUCUACAACAGACAACUAAAAACAUUUACAAAAUUCAGCCACAGAAGCAGCAAAUACCUCCAAUGACCAACUUGCAGUGAGGAUUCAAAGUUUAAACUGCCUACAGAUUACAGAAUUCGUAUUAACUAACUUAAAAAGAUGUCAAUUAACCGUUGAAAAAUUAAGUCAAAGAUUCCUAUAAAUCAAAGUACUCAUCCAAUUCUACUCUUCCUUAAAUCCCAUUUCAGAGGUGGGAUUGAACCAUCCACCUUUCAAAUGGUAAUGCUUAACUUAUCAACACAUUAGGUUCAAGUUUCAUACUCCUAAUUGAAUGCAUUCCCAUUAUCAGCAAACCAAAAGCUUAACAAGAGAGCAGCUACAGAAACUCCAAUCAAACAAUUCCAGUUUGCAAAUCGAAAAUAGUCACAAACCUGUGGGGAAAUGUUAGAUACUUGGUCAUGGGAACGGUGACAAUGUUCCGGCGAGCAUUAACUGCCGAUUUCUGAACAGCGGUGAUGACUUCCUUAGCUUUACCAACACCAACACCCACUUGGCCCUGUUUAUCACCCACAACAACAAUUGCCCUAAAAUGUAACUGUUUCCCACCUUUAACCACUUUAGUAACCCUCCGAACUUGGACAACCCGCUCAUCGAACCCAUCUCGCGGCUUGUCCUUCUUGGCCUUGGAGCCGAACCCGCCCGCUUUCUUGACCUUAGAAUCCAUUACAUAAAUGUCGUUUCCGAGAACACUGACUCCACUGUAAGCGGGGCCAUAGAUCUCCUCGUAACCAGCGGCAAUUUCUUCCUCGGUUUCGAUAGGGCCCUCAUCGAAGGAGGGAGGAGGGACGAAGCCUUCGGGGACUUCGGGAGGGUCGUAAACGAUGUCUUCUUGGGGAUUGACGUUGUCGAAGAAGGUGGUGUCGAUGUCAGAGGAUUUGGCCCGAGUUGCAGAGAGAAUGGAGGAAGAGGAGGAGGAGGAGAUUGGGAGUAGGAAUACAGUGGAGUGGAGGAGGGGGAAAGGCUUGAAUAGUGGAAUUGAGAGGCGGUGGGAAGGAGAAGAACGAAGAGAAAUAGAGGAAAUGGGGACGAGAGUCGAAGAAGCCAUUGAAGGAAAGAUUGAGAAGGUUUGUGGGUUCGGAGAUGGAGGCUUAUCCCAAUGGACUCUACACGGGUAAGGCGAAGAAGUAAUCAUGUGCGAAGAAACUAUACCCAAAACGACGUCGUUCCUUGUGCUCAAGUGCAUAAAUGGAUAAUUCAAUUUAUUAAUUCUUUUUAUAAAAACCUACUUUGAUUAUUUGGGAAUGUUAACAAAAUAAAAGAUUAUAAAGCUUUCAUAUUUUUACUUUUCAUUUCAUAUUAUCCAUCUUUUCUUCUCUUCUAACUUUCAAUAUAUUCUAAAUUAUAUGUCUAUAUUUACAAUAAAUGAAUUUGAUAGUUUUGGGGUACGGCUCCUAUUAGCAAACCAACAAUCCCGUAUGGAGUCAUAAUUCUCUUAUCAACGCAUCCAAUAUAUAUGCAUGCAUACCAACAUAUCUUUUAUCAAUAUCAACUAAACUUACUAAAGAUCAAACCAAAAUAUUAAAUUAUAUUUCUAAAGUUAGAGCAUAUUAAAUAAUUUUAAAAAACAAACUCUUUUGUGAUGAGAAAUAAUUAACCUUUAAUUCUCGAUCAUAAAACUCAUGUGAUUGUUUUUGACAUACAAUUCAAUCCAUGAAUUAUAAAAUCUUUGAACUAAAUGUGAGAAGAAAAAGCUCAAAAGCUAAAUUGAAUUGUUGGUAAAAGUUUUAAAAACUUCCAAUCCCUUCCACCAAAACCCUAAUGUAACAUAGUAAAAGGAUGGAAAAAAAAUACCAACUACCUAAAUGUAAGAAUCAAAGUAGAAAAUAUCAACAAUAAAAUUAUAAAAAAGAGAGAAAUUAACCAAAAAAAACAUUUACCCUAAAAUUCGUGUGUAAACAAAUCUUAUCUUUAAGUUGUUUUUUAUAUACUAAAAAAAACCUCAAAAUAAAAUGUAAUCACCAAACGAAAACAGGAUCAGUUAGCCAUGACAACCAAAUUAAGGAAUAAGCACAAUUUCUAACAAAAGGAAAAAUGAAAUUCUAACUUGGAGUAAUACGAAAGAAAUAACAGGAGACAUAGAUUAAAGUAUGUAUGUAGAACAGUAAACAACAAUUGAUAAAUUAAGAAUACAAAUAUAUGAAAACAAAGGGUAAAGGGUAAUGGUAAGGUAAUACAGAUUGAUAUAUAAUAAGAUAUAAUUAAAAGUAGUAAUGUGAUGGGGAAGAGUCAGGCUGUGCCAUUAUUACUGGUGAAAUAGUCAAAAAGAGGGAACUUGAAUCCACUGACUUCAGGAAGAGUAUCAAGGCCUCCAAAGCAAUCUUCAAACCCCACAUUACCAUUAUUGAUAUCAUUAUUAAUAUUAUUAAUCCCUUGGAAAUCAUCUAAUAUUAGUUGUUCCUUAUAAUUAAUAUGAUUUGUAGAAUUAAUCAUGGUAUUGAUAGGUGGAUUAGCAGUGAAAAAGGUGGUGGGAUGGCUGUGGUGGUCUUCAGCUUUGUGUUUAAGCUCUUCGAUUAACAAAGCUAAAGAAGCAUCUUCUUCUUCGUCUUUCACCUGAUCCUCUAUGUUUGACGACAGACUAAAUUGUUGCUGCUGCUUCUGCUUGUAAUCUUCUUCCAUUCUUGAACGAUUCUCACUUUUUUCAACUGCUACAUACUGUUCUCAUAUACAACAUCUAUGUAAAAUAUACUUCUAACACAUGGUUUUAAUUAAAUUCACUUUUUAGAUGCACACAUUUGAACAAAUUAUAUAGUCAAUUAACACAGUUGUCACUCAUCUCUGGUUAUUAUCAAUAACUAUCUCAUAAAUAUCGUCUCUAUUAUUACUAUUCAAUUUAUAACUAAACAAUCCUGUCAAUAAUUUUAUGAACACAUAUGUGCAGAUAGAUACACAUAUAUUGAUAUACAGACAUGUAUGCGUAUAUCUAUAUGUAUAUAUCCAAUUAUGAAUUUUAUGAAGUGAAACGUUUUAAUUGAUACAGAAAUAAUUAAAAUGAACCUUGGAGUUUAUGAACAGAUUUACAGGAAUCAUUUAAAUUAAGCUAAAGCUUCUUUUUUGAUAAUUUAUCUUGUAGUUAUUUCAUUUUGAUUAUUAUAGUUUUAAAUGUCUAAAUUUCGUUCUACUUAACAAAAAAAAAAAAAAAAAGGUUAAAAUCCAGUGCCAUUGUCAUUUAUUCUAUAUAAAUUUUAGAAAUAUAUAUUUUAAAAUAGUUUUUUUUAAUGAAAAUUACUACUGUUAUAUGGUUUAAAAAAACGAACUUCAAAUGAUUUAAUUGUAGUUAAAUGGUAAAUCUAAUCCCAAUUUUAAAAAUAAAAAACCCAAAAUUUAGUCUUUAUGAUAUAAAACCUUAUAAAUAGAUUAUAUAGUUUGAUCAAACUAGAAAGAUGAAAUUUUAAAUUGAAAUUUAAGAUUUAUUAAAAACAUAGUGAAGUAAAUUCUAAAGUAUAAAAUUUAAAACUCAAAAAAUUAAAAUAAAAGGGAAAUUCAUAAUACAUAAACUGAAUUAAAGGAGAAAAGGCUUAAAAAAAGAAUAUAAAUUACCAUAAGCAAUUGGCAGACGAAAUUCAAAACAAAAAUGAAAAAUGAAAAAUGAUGAGAAUGUUUCAAUUUGAUUGAAAGUGGUAAGAGAUGACUUGGAUGGCCCCACGAAUAGGGAAAUCCUAUCUGUCAAAAACAAAGUUAAUAUGAAGAAGAAAUAAAACACGAAAUCUUACGUGUCAAAAACAACUGUUAUUUUUUGUCCAUAUUACUAUUACAAUAUAUUAUCUCUCUAUACGCAUAUUUCCAAGCGUUACUAACCACCAAAUUAGGAAACUCCACACAUCAUUAUUUUCUUACUAAUUUUAACCAAAUUUACAAAACAAAAGUCAAAUUUCGAAGGAGAAAAACAAAAAAAAAAAAAAACAAAAAAAAAGAGAGAAAAGAGAAAAGAAUACUCACGAGGUUCUUGCAGUCAUCUUCGUAUAGGGUCAUUGCAUCUCCCAUCAAAAGACCAUUUUGUCUUACGAAUUCCCCUAAAAUUAAAAUUAAAAAAUUGGAAAUGAAAAUCAUUAUUCGGAAAAUUAAGAAGUAAGUUGUUUGGUUAGGGUUUGUUUAAUUUGUAGAAGUGAAACCUGUGUUCUCCAGAACAUACAUUCUACUUCUGUUGUUUGCCCAGUACCUAUAUUAAUUAAACUCAACAAGAAUUUCAAGGGGUUAAUUAAUUCAUUAAUUAUGAGGAAAAAAAGUGUUAAAUUUCCAAUGAAUCCAUUAAUUAAUUAACACAACAAUUGUAAUUUUGUUUUUCCUUUUUUUUUUGGGGGGGCUUACUUGUAUUUCAUUGUCCAUCUUCUGUUUGAGUUCACAUCUCUCACAACAAUUUGGAGACCUUCCUUAUCAGUGAGAAAUGGAAGGUUCUCUUCUGCCUCCCUCUGUGAUGCAUAUAUGCACAAUAUUUGCAAAUUCUCAGCAAAUUAAACAAAGUGUGUCUAUUAGAAAAUCAAGAUUCUAAUUAAUAAGCUAUUUUCAAAUUUCUCUUUUCUAUUUACUUAGGGUUUGGGAUUCGAUCAAAGUGUGAUCGAUGAUAUAUAUAAUUAGUGGUAAUUAGUUCCAGAUUGUAAAGUUGUGUACAAAUAAGGUAGAAAUUAAUCUCUGAGUACAACAACAAUAAAAUUUUAAAAAAAAUGAAAUUUGAUUAAAGUUUUAUAUUUAUUCAUUUUCCAAUACACCAAAAAAAAAAAAAAAAAAAAAAACAAUAAUAGGGUUUCUUUUUUAGUGUUAAGUUUUUCCUAUUUUGUUGUGUGUAGGUGUUAAAAAAAGGGGUGAGGGAUUGUGUGUAAUUUUGGUUUGUAGUUAUUCAUUCCUCUUCCUUUUCCCAUUUGCAUGUUUUUUAGACGAAGUUUUAUCUUAUUUUCACUGUUCUAUUGAAAUAGCAAAAAAAAAAAAAAAAAAAAAAAAAGAGAUCUAAAAUAAGGGUAAGAAAAUCCAAACCUUGGGGAGGACAAUCCUGCCCAAAGAUCCAACAUCACUGUUCUUCAGCUCCUUCUUCAGUAGCAUUCUCAAAAUCUUAAGAGACAAAAAAGAAAAAACAACAAUUAAAGGAAAAGUAAUCAAUACAUAUACAUAUAUAAAUGAAAACUUUGAUUAAACAUCAUAAACCUUAUUGUCAGGAGUACAAAAGGUGAAAAGAUGGCGAUUAUUAUGUGAAGAAUCAGUAUUAGGGAAAUGGGUUAUAGUUAAACCCUUAGAAUAAUCAUCAUGAUAACCACAGGAAGAAGAAGAAGAGGAUCGAGUAGUGAAAGAAGUAAGGGUUCUUUGACGAGCAAGUCUUCUAUUAGUUCGAGCCACUUUAGUACUCCAGGCAUCCAAAGCCUUUUUUCCAUCAUCUUUAGGAAAAACAGACUGAAUGUUUGGCUCAUCGAGCCCAUAGCUAAGGAGGGUGGGAGAAUGAGGAAAACGGGGAGCAAGUGGUUGUGGUUCAUGAGACGAAGAAAAAAACGAUUGUGGGGCUGAGGAGGAAAAUGAGGCCAAGCAAGUUUGGGAGAGAGUAGGUGGGAGAUAACAUGGAUUUUGUGGAGGAGAGUGGAGAUUAGUGGUGGGGGCGGUGACGGCGGUGGAGGGGAAUGGAGGGAGUUCAUGGUGGUGGUGGUGGUGGUUCUGGUGGGGGUUGUGGUGGUCAUCCAUAUAUAUAAAAAAAAUAAGAAGAAAGAAAAAGGAAAGAGUUUUAAAAUAUGGGAAAUUAGGGUUAUAGGUAAGGAGAGUGAAUGUUGCAUUAAGGGUUAAAGGGGGUUUAAAAAGGGAGGGAGUUAGAAGGGGAAAUGAGCGGUCCGAGGCCGGGGAGAGAGUGACAAGUGGGACAAACCGGGUGGAUUUUGGGAACCACAUUGUAUUGAUGUGAGCCAAAGGUCAAGAUUAUGAACAAAGAGUUGUGUGCUUUCUUUUUUUAAGUUUGGGGGUGGUGGCGCCUCUAAUAUAAUGCUUUAACAUUAUUGCUCCUAUUCUUUCUAUUUAGUGAUAUAUAUUUAGUUCUGUCUUUGAUAUUAUAUUGUUACUAAAAUUAAAUUUCAAAUUUCACCCAUGCUUUUUCAAUAAACUUCUAUCAUUAAGUGUGAAUUAUUUACUUAUUGGUUAUUAAAAUCAUAAAUCUUGAAGGAAUUGAAAUAGAAAUGUAAGUAAUUGUGGGGUAAACUUUAAGCACGGAACACCAUGCAACCCCUGGAUUGGCCAUACACACAAUUCAUCUAUCAUCUAAGUUUCAUCCCUCUCUUUCACUUUAAUGACUAUCCAAAAAUCAAAUUCACCAUUGGAUAAUACUAACAGGAUAUAUCCUUUUCUUUUGCUUCUUCUUUCUCUUCCACUUUCCUUUCCAAUGGAAAACUGCAUACCAUAUUUAACUCUCACACACAUAGGCCAAAACCUAAGUUUUACACACUUACACACUUGUACAACUUUACUAAACGUUCGUGUAUGUUUUUAAAUUUUUUGUCUCUUAGUUUUAAAAGGAGAAUUAGGGUUUCUAACCAUUUUUCGAUAAUAAUCAUUCUAUUAGUUUUUGAAAAUUAACAUUAUAAAUAUUCAUUCUACAAAAAUUUAAAUUUUUUUGUUUUUUAAACCUACCAAUUUUGAAAACUUAAAAAAAUAGUUUUAAAACUUUUUUUAAGUAUUAAUUGAUUUAUUAUAUAUAAAUUUGAAUCUUACUUCUAAAGUUUUAAUUUUGUAUAUUAUCAAUAUUUAAAUAUUUAUAAAUAAAAAAUUAAGGAGCUACACUUGUAUUUUAAUCUAUAAAAUAGUGAGGGGAUGUUUAGAUUUUCUGUUUCUUUGAGUUUUUAUUUUAUGAAACAUUGCUACAUAUGGUCUUAUAUUGAUAAGGUACAUCCAUAAAUUAAAAAUUAUAUCACCUCACUAUGAUAUCAAAUGGUUACGAACACAUUAUCAACUCUUGGGCACAUUGAUACUUUACAUACAUGUAUAUUGUAAAAAGAGUCUACAUAAAUAUACAUUAUUGUUAGUCUUCCUCUUUUUUCUUUUAAUAAAUUAUAAUUAUUUGUAUUAAAUGAAAAUCAUACAAAAUAUUCGAAUGAAGAUAAAUUAUCAGAUUAAGUAUAACGACAAAUUUGAAUCUUUCCUAAAAUGAAUGUUACUAAACGACUAUCUUCUAAAACAAAAGACUUUAAUAAUGAAUUAUAGUUUCGAUGCAUAAUCUAUACUUUCAAGGAAAGAAAACAAAAAUAAAUUGUCGUCUCGUGUUAUAAGUAGCGACGACAUAGAUCUUCUAUAUCUAAAAAUGAAUUUGAUUGGUAGCGAGAGUGAAUGACUUGUUAAAUAGUUAUUUACAAUGUUAUGCCAUUGUGAAAAAUAGAAUAUGUAUAAGAUUUGUCACUUUAACGUAUUGUUAUUGUUAGAAAAAGAAAGAAAACAAAAUGUAAAAGAGCCUAUUGGAACGAAGAUUCCCAUAAAAGAAAGAAAACAAAAUGUUAGAGAUAAAUUAAGAAAUUAGGGGUUUAUAUACUUUAACUGAAAUUCUUUACUUUUGUCAUUUUCCAAUGGACUAUGACUUUCUUCUUCUACAUUUAUUGAAGCUCGAGCAAAGCAUAUUUUCUAUAAAUUACAAAACCUAAAAAACAGCAAUUAAAUAAUAUGUGUAUAUAUAUAUAUAUUGUGGAAUUAAAAUUAUUUCUUGUAAAUUGAAUAAUGUUCAUUGUUUAAUGUUAAUGGAAGAGUCAAAAAAAGGAAACUGCCAAAGUAUUUGACGCUGUUCUAUUGUUACGUGUAAUGUACGUAAUUAAUAGGAAGUUACAAGUUUUAUUUUUCUUGUUUUUAAUUAGAAAAAGGUUGAGGUUUUAGUUUAUUAUAUUUUUCAUAUAUAAGCAUGCAAUAUACUUUUUAGUCCAUUUUUAACCUAAUUAAGCUGACUAAAACUUUAUAUAUAUUUGAAAAAAAGGCUGGGAGAGUUUUUAAUAUCUAUUUUAUCAUGAUUAUCAUUGUAAAUGAGAUACAUUUAACAGUGUAAUUGAAUAGUAUGUAUAAGUCACAUGAAUAGUUUGUGAAGUAAUAUUCUAAACAAAUAGUACAUACAUUUUUUUUUUAGAAUAUUUAUGGCUUAAACUUGGUCAUGAUUUCCAAUGAUUGAUUUUUUUUUUCAAGGAGUUGUAACUAUUGUAACGGGUUAAUUAAGUGAUUUUAAAAGAAUUUAAAAUCACUUAGACUGAUUUUCGUUAACCAUUUGGAGGGCGAUUCCAACCUCAUUUCUUAUGAAAAAAAUACUAUUUUAUUUACUGUUUAUUUUUAAUUUUAUAAAAUACCUCCUGUUUUAUUAGAUGAAAAUUACAACUUCUAAAUCACUCUAGACAUGUCCUGAGUAAUUUUAAUUAUUUGUUCAUUGUAAGAAAAUUACCUCAAAAAUUAUAAAUGAUAGAAUAGAAUAUUUGAACUUUUGGAAGUUAAUAAUUUGUAUAAUAUAAUAUGGAAUAUGAUUUAUUUAUUAUUUUAAUAAACUGUGAAAAUUUAUUCUUAAUUUCGCAUGUACUUUUGAAAAUUUCAAUUCACAUAAUUGAAUAGUUUUUUUCUUAAUUAAAAAAUUAGACAUAAAGAAAUAUAGGAAUUAAAUUCUUAAUAUUAGCAUAUACAAGGACAUUUUAUAAAUAACAAAUAUAUAGUAAAAUUUUAUAAAUAAUAAAUAUAUAGCAAUAUUUGAUACAAAAUUGGUAAGUACGAAGGAAAACUCAUUACAGCACUAUUGUGAAAUUGGUGUGCUAUAAACUGGAUCUUAUAUUACAGAAGAGGCCCAUAAAACGGCCCAAAAUGACGAGGCAAACCGUUACUCAUUAUUGCUUAUUAGUUUUGUUUACUAACUUUGAAAAAUCGAUUCUCAAGAAAGAAAGAGAAAGAAAAAAGAAUUUUAAAAUCAUUCCAGAAUAUUUUAAUUUAAUAUUAGAACUUUAUUAUUAUGAAAUCACAAAUACCAAAGUAACGGAAGGGAGUUAUGUUUUGCAUCCCGGAACAAAUGCGUGGGUUGGGGGUGGAAAAGUGGGCUGGCCGUUUUGCUUGAAAAGGGCCCAAAAAGAAGCAAAAAUGGGCCAAUAAGGAUGGUUAACUUAGUGAUUUGGUGAAGGGGGUAGGGGUCCCACAGUGAUGAAAAGUGUGAAGGAGCGAAGGAUGGAGACGGAGUCCGUGGAGUUGGAAGAUGGGAGCGUCAAAAUUUGUAAACUCCAAUGGAGCAGUUGAAACCGCUAACGGACACGAGCGUCAUCUCACCUACUGUGACUGUCUGUCACCCUCUCUUAUCCCACGUGUCACUUUCCUAUUCCUCACAGUCACAAGCCAUGCCUUGUGUUCCUCCUCGUACCUUCGUACUCCCCUUCCCCUUCCAAUAACAUCUCCUUUCUUUCUUUUCUUUUCUUUUCCUUACCACUAAAUUACGUUUCCUUUUUAUAUUUUUCUAAAGUUUACCCUUUGCCUUCCCAUCCAUAUAAUAUUAUUCAACGUUUCUUAUUCCUUCUAUUCCUAUGAAUUAUAUGUCGUAUAUCUUUAAAAAAAAAAAAAAAAGAAACACAUUUGCUAUCAUUAUUAUAACUAGAGACCAACGAUAUUAAUAAAUCUAACACAAUACAAACAAACAAAAUAAAAAACUUUAGAUAGUCUUAAAUUUACAAUCAACUUCAUGAAUCUAUAAACAAUAUAUAGUAGGAGUAUUUCAAUGAUAAAUUAGUAUUGUCGAUUAGAAGUCUAUCAACAAUAUAUAAGUAAGACUUUGUUAUACUCACAACUUUUUUUCUUCAAACGUUUGGUUUGGAGAAGUUGAGUUGAAUUUUUAAGAAGAAGUAAUUGGUAGAGUUUUAAAGUGAAUAACGAAGUAAGUAAUGUUUUGAAAAUUCAAGAUGUUGUAUUUGUAUCGAAUAAAUCUUUCGAGCAUUGCAAUACUCAUGAUUUACUAAUUUAAUGUUUAAUAGGUUUUUGACUUCAAACAAAAUUAUUAUUUAAAAGUUAAUUAUAAUUUAAUUUUUAGUUUAGAGACUCAAAUGGAAAACAUUUUGGUGGAUGGGGUAAACUAAACUCCUUGUAUCAAAACCAUAAAAUUAAUUAAUCAUAGUGUUUGUAUUAUAUUUUUUUAAAUAUGACUUUGAACUUUAUUGUGUAGAGUGUAAACCAAUAAAUUUGUGGGGUUGUAAAAGGUUAUAAGAGGAUGGACAAUUUUAAAAGGUGGGAUUAGAGAUUGACUUGAAGUUGGGACAAAAUGAUUAUGGAAGUGGAGACUUUUAAUUGGAAAUUGGGUCCAUUUAAGAUAAUUAAACAUUUGAAUUUGAAUACUUAAUUAAUAUAAGUAACAAAUAAGGUCUAAUUCAAUACAGAAAGCCCUUAGAAUGAAGGGUCACACACACACACCCUACCAGUCCCACUCCAAAGCAUAAUAAGAUAUAUAAAUGUCAAAUAUCCAAUUUGUUGAAAUGAUGUCACCAAAAAACAAAAACAAAAAAAUAAAAAAUAAAAAAAGAAGAAGAAGAAGAAGAAAAAGAAAAAGUUAAAUUACUGAAAAAACAGAGAGAAGAUUUAGCACAACUCAAAAACAAAAAAACCAAUUCUCAGAAACCAAAACCUCUCAAAAAGACACCAAAGAGAAUUAAUUAUUAUACAUCUACUCCUUCCACCUCCGAUCUGUCAGCAGCCACCGCCCACUCCGCCCUGCCUUUGAUCGCCGCCACGUUCUCAGAUUCUCAAUUAUAUAUAUGUGUGUGUAUAUAGAUAUCCUUUUAUUUAGUAAAAUUGAAUCUUUUGGGUUAUUGUUUAAAGCUAUGUGAUGAUAUUUUGGCUGGAUUUUCUUUUCUUAUUCAGACCAUCAUUCUUUUUUCUCUCCAAUAAUACAUGCCGUACUUCUGUGUCUCUGAAAUUCAACAUCAUUUUGCAAAAUUUCAGAUUCUUUGUUUUCCCUUCACAAAUUAAAUUCAAACUCCCAUCUUAAAAAAAAAAGAAAAAAGAAAAAAGAAAAAAGAAAAACCCUAGCUAGCUGCUGCUGAUUCAUGCACAGAGAAGUGGCAAGUUUGUACCUGUAGUUUCUUGAAACUAAUACUGUCUUCAUUUAUUUCUCUAAAAUCCCAAAAAAAAAAUCUGAAUAUUUUCCUCCCCUCCCCCAAAAAAAAGCGGAAUUUGGUUAAGAGAUAAUAUGCAGUAUCAAGAUCGGAGAUUGAAGAGUGUACAAGUGCAAGAUCAAGUUCAACCACAGCCUCAAAAAUGUCCUCGUUGUGAUUCUCUCAAUACUAAGUUUUGUUAUUACAAUAACUACAGUUUGUCUCAGCCUCGUUAUCUUUGCAAGACUUGUAGAAGGUAUUGGACUCACGGUGGCACUCUACGGAACGUCCCCGUCGGCGGUGGUUGUCGCAAGGGUAAACGACUGAAGCAACCCUCACAAUCAUCCAAUAAUAGUUCUGUAAAGCCGUUGGUACAAACUUCAGCGUCACCACUACCGCCGCCGCAGAUAGUCCCGUUGAGUUUAUCAACAACAACUUCACAACACGUAAUAUAUUCGGGUACUCCUGUCAUCACGCCGCCGUCAUUUUUCAAUUCGGGUGAGUAAUAGGAGGAGUGGAAGCUAGAAAUUUUGAUAAAGAGGAUAAAAAUUUAACCUUUGUUUUGAUUGCAAUUAAAUCUUUAUUCCCUUUCUUCUUGGAUUAAUUGAAAGAUGCAAUUUUUCUGAUGGGGUUUUUUGAUGGAGCAGGCGGGGAAUUAUUGUCAUCUUCAAGCUGGAUUAGUUCAUUUGGAUCAUCGUCACAAGGCCCAGAAAUAAUCUAUGACAUGAUGGAUCAGUCGUCGGGAAAGGCCGAUGCAAAUUCGUCAUCUCCAGCGGCAGGGUGGUCGGAGAGCUACAUCAACAAUAAUUCUAUUUCUAACCCUAUAGCUGCCACCGGAGACGCGGUUGUCUGGCCAGCUGGUGAGAACAACAACGCUACCCUCGCGGCCGCCACCACCACCAACAUUGCUACAAUUAACCAAUGGCCUGAUUAUAUGCCGGGAUUUUGUCCUCCUCCAUGACAUGAUUUAAAGGCAGCAGAUACCAAAGAUGACAAAUCUGAGGAAUUUGAUUCUUUUUUUUUUUUUUUUUUGAAAAAAAAACCCUGAAAAGAUCUUACCUUUGAUAUUAUAUGUAUGAAUAUGCUUUGAAAUCAUUCAUUUGGUUUGAAGUGAGUUAGAAUUGGGGUCGAUAUGUGUUGAUGAAAUUCCAUAGAGCUAGCUCUUGUGAGGAAAAUUAUAUGGAAUAACUUGAAGGUAUGACUAAUUAUAUUUGAUGAAAUGUUGUAUAAGGAACAAGAGCCUAGGGUAGCUAAACUAAACAUAGGUUUUGUUGUAAUAUCAUUAUGUGUAUUAAUACAGGCAAAGAAAAGGAACAACUUGGUUGGGUUAGGUUUUUCUUUCUUCAACACUUUAUUGGUUUGAUUAAAGAGAGUGUUAUGAUAAUGGUAGAUGUAUGGCUAUGUAGUACUUUUUGAUUGAGAUUGGAGACUCUUAGCUUUUUGAAAAUGUAAAGAGAUAAUUAAAUGUACUGCAUGCCAAAGUGCUUUGAGACUGAGGUGAGAGACCCUUAAAAGAAGAGAAUAAAUAUGCUUCUUCUUCUUCUUCUUCGUGAUGAUAAUCGAGGCAGACAAAUGAAUGUGGCUCUCUGUAAAAGUUGGCUGCACAAGUUUUUUUUUUUUUUUUUGUGAUUCGGUUUUGUUUGUUUGAAUAGUGCUCCUACAUAUCGUUUUAGGUAACAUUUGAAUUUUGGAAAAAGUACUACAUAAAGGUGGAAGUAGAGCUUAUUAAGCUUUGGUUAAUUAUGAUAGUUGGAAGAUUGUUUUUGUAUUUUGUGGUUGGAUUUUGCAUAAAAAUGCAGCCCUUUUUAAUUUUUAGUGUAUGUUAUUGUGUGCAUUAAUGAUAGGCAUGUGGUAAUUUUUUUUAUUGGUAUUUGUGAAGGAAGGGAAUGUACUGUGACAUUCAUUUUAUUCGGUUAGACCUGGUCUACCUAUGUAUCCAAAUUUACAAUAAGCUUUUCUCUUUUAAAUUUACUUUAUAUCAACAAAAACAUUAACCUCAACUACAAAUUUAAGUUUACCAAUAUGUUCGAUAUCAAGAGAUAUAUAUUGAUUCAAAUAAAUUUUCAAUCAAAGUUAAUUGUAUUUAAAAAAAAAAAAAGAAGAAGAAGAACUCUAUUGUUUGCCUUUUCAAGUUUAGGGCAUACCUUAAACACCAUUUUUUUUAUUGAUGUUGAAGACAAGUAAUAAAUAAAAGUUCUUAAUUAGCUACCUUAAAUACUAUUUUACCUUCUCUUUUAUUUAUUACAGUUUUUACCAUUUCCUUAUCAACCUAGAUUAAAGCAAUGUACACACUAAAUAUAUACCUUAAAGAUCAAUUAUUAUAAACUAACUAUAAUUGUUUACCCCUAGUCUUAAAAGAACAAUAAUUACCUCUUCCAUAUAUUUAGUUGAAGUAAAAUGCAAUUUGGAAGAUACCUAAUUUUUUCCUAUCUCUAAACGAAUAAUAUAUGUAGCAAUGCAAAAACAUCAUUGAACAAGAUAAUUAACUUUUAAAUUUUGUUUUUAAAAUUUAUGAUUUUCUUUCAAUUGAGCACAUAUACAGACACACCUAUCUUGAACACAAAGUGUUUUUUAAAAUCAACCCACUUUGCAUAACAUACUCCCAUCAAAAUGAGUUUUUAUUAGCAAAUAAAAAAAGGGAACUUAUUAAUUAAAAUGUAACUAUAACUAACACACCCACCUCAUAAAACUUAAUAUUUUAAAUGUUAAGUGGAAUAAUGGAAAUAAGAAUAUAAUGGGAGAAAAACUCCUCUACAUAAAAAGUGAAAUUGAAAUUUUUAAAGAGUUACCUUAAAAAGUUAUAACAAACUCCUUUUGUGUGGAAAGUACCUUAAAAAGAUAACCUUUGAAAUUUAGCAAAAAAAAUUCAAAAUUAUAUAUAAAGAUUAAAUAGAAAAAAAAAAAUUGUAAAGGGAAUUUGAAAGUUACAAAAUGAUAUGAUUAUGAAAAUGAAAGUAAAAUAUUGACGUUCCAAUGGAAAGAUUUAUAUAUAAUUAGUGUUUUAAGUUGUAGGACACAGUACAACAAAUCAAUGUUGGAUGGAGCAAUUUAAUUGGGGGAUUUGGGUGUGGUUUAAUUAAUUUAUUUAGCUGGAGCAGGAAGCAAUCAUAUCUUCAAAGGUGUUGACUCAUUCUUUUGUGAUGGUAGAACAUCAUUACUCUUGUUGUUGCAUUUUGGUGUUCUACAUCUAAAUGAUCAUUUUAGCAGUUCUCUCAUUUCUUUCCCUCCUACCCUCUCUUUAUGCUACUUUUUCUUAUUUGAAAACAUUACAAAACUCAGAAAAGUAGAACUCAACAAACUAUGUUUGUAAAGGACAAAUAAGAGAGCUAGCGUUUAGGGUUGAAUGAGUUAGAAUAUAUCCCACCCCAGGUAAUCGAAGAAGUUGUGAGAGCUCAAACUAUAUUGAAAUAUCCUAUAAUUUACUAAAUUAAUUAUGGUGAAGUUGUGUGAUCAUCAUUAAAACAGAUAUUUGUAAAUGAAGAUAGGAGGGGGUAAAGGCAAUUGGAGUAGUUAAAUCAAAGGCAUGCACGAGUGGAGUCAAGGACCCACACCUACACACACACACACACAUAUAUAAUACAAAGAAACACAUCACAUUGGCCCUAUGACUCAGCGGGUACCCUGCCACUGCCACCCAUCAUUUGGUCACCCAGCACAGCUGCCCCUUUGCCCACAUCACAUAAUAAUUAACCUUUUUUUUUUCUUCCCAUUUAAUAUAUAUUGUUGACUCAAAAUGAACAUUUUUUAUUUAGAAAUAUAUACUAAAUAUUAAUAUAUGGUUGUCUAUUUUUUCCCCCACACAUUUUGGUAUGAUUGCAUGGAAUUGUGUUUUUCACCAUGAAUGCGUUUCUUGAUGAUCCCCAGCAGCUUUUAAUUAUAAAAACCAUUGUUGAACUAAAAUGGCCACCUUCACGUUCACCCCCCUUCUUCUCUGCCAUCUUUCCAUCAUUACCAUACCCACUUCCCUUUUUCCAAACCCUUCUCUUUUCAAUAUCAUUCUACUUCUCACUUCCAAAUUCAAUCAUUUAUCCUACACUAUUCAUUUGAGUUGCAAUGUACAGUAACACGAACUAAAUUAGAGUAGGUCAACAUCAUCUCCGCAAUUAACAUUAAAUUUGUUAUAAAUUAAACUAUAGUUUUUCUUCUUUUGGUUAUGAGAAAAUAAAGGCAGAGAAAGCAACAUUCAGUAAAAAUCCAAAACAGUUGAAUAUGUGACUGCCAGAAAAAGAAAAAUAAUUUAUAUAUUGCAUAGCAGACAUUUGAAAUGAAACAAAAACUAUGGAUGGAGAUUCAAAAAUGGAAUAUUACAUAUAUCCUGAUCUUGUAUUGUACAAAAUUUAACGGGAAAGAAGAUGUUGAAUAGGUUGGAGGUUGCUUGGAAGGCAACCAAAUAAAAGGACCUUAGUAGAUAAUUUAAUGUAUUGGUUGAAAUGACAAUAAUACAUAUAUGUAUAGUGUAUUGGAAGGGACAACAAAAUAUUAAGAGGAAAAAAAAAGUAUAUAUAUUGUCGGUGAAGCAUGAGUCAGCAUAAUAAUUAUAUAAAAAACACAACCACGGCUAAAAUGUCUUCUUCUCAUUCUACAUUGGACUAUUUGUCGUCUUCUGUUUCUUAAAUGUUAAUAGAAUGUUUUUGUCAUAAUGUAUUUUGUUGUCAUUUAAAAACAUUCCGACUAAGAUUACAUUAACAUCACCUUCCCCAUACGUACCCGAUCCCUUUCAUACUCUUUCUUUUUUAUUACUUUUCCAAACCUAAGUUUAUCUUAUUUUAUUUUUCCACAUCUUUGGUCUAUUUUGGUGUAAUUCAGAGCCUCUUCCUUUUAUUUUAUAUCUUUAUCUUAGUAUAUUAUUACAAGAAAUCGAAUGUGGUUUUGGCGUCAAUGCACACAAUGUUGGGUUAUUAUUAAUUACUACUUGAAAUUUAAGUGACUCGGUAGGAAAUUAAUGAGAAAUUGAUUUGAAUUAAAUGGGGAAUUGCAUAUUUUAUUAAGUACGUCGACUUUAUUUUUUACGUGAUGAAAUUGAUUGAAAGAAGAGGAGAAGGAGAAGCAACUGUUUGUGGGUUGAUUGGAUUUAGUUCGGUGGUGUGUGUGUGUGUAUGUGUAUGGUAGUGUACUUUUGGGCCAACUAAUAAAGACAAUAUGGCACGAUAUUGACUUGAUUCUAAUCACGUCAGCCCAUUUAGAUCCCUUUAUAUCCUUUUUUUUUUCCCUCUCAUUUCGUGUGAAAGUAAUAAUUUCUAGAUUCAAAACAUCAAAAUAUUUAGAUAAAAAGAGCAAUGGUACCAAUUAUUUUAUAUAUCGUAAAUAUGACAAAAUUAAUAAUAUCAUAUAACUAUAAAAGGAUAGUAAUUUAGUUACAAAUUUAGAAAAUGUUGUGAUGAAUUUUCUUUUUUUUUUUAUUUUUACAAAAACUCCAACAAAUUUAUAACAUUUUCUUCCUUCUUAAGCUCUAGUUUGUAACUAUUUAAUCUCAAGAUAAUUUUGCAUGCAGUUUUAAAUAUUUUGUAUUCCAACUCUAAUGAGUGUAGUAAUGAUGGUCAAGAUAAGAAAGAAGUAAUAUCGAUUACAAAAUUUAAAAUAAAUAACUAAAUAGUUAUAAAUUUGAAGUAUACACAAUAUUUAUUUCUUUUGUAAAAAUACGAUAGCGUGGAUCAAUAAGAUGCACUAGAAUAUCUUAAUUAAUUUGACAUAUUCGUACGCACCAUUCUUAUCAUAUAUCCGACGUCAUAUUCAUUGCUAUAUCAAUGAAAAUAGAAGGAAGAGACAAUCUGGAGAUGGGCGCCGUGCGAAAAAUUGAAGCAAAACUAUACAAAAGCAGCAAGAUUAAGUGAGAUGGAGGAAGGAUUGUUAUUAAUGUAAACUCUAUUAAACUGUGAUGAACGAAUUAAAUUGUUUUAGUGUUUUUAUUGACUUUAGCUUUAGCUAUGUUCGGAUUGACAAAACAAAAGUAUCCCAUUUUAAGUUUGAUUGUUGAAUUUGUUUGUUUCUAUGUCUGUAUGGUAUUCAAAGCAUACGAGAGAUAGAAGGGGAAAGCUCAGUUUGCAUAGAUAGAAAUGAAGAAAAAUGACAAGAUAAAAGCCAAAAGAAAAUGGGUUUAAAAUUUCAAGAUAUAAAGUCACUGAACCUAUUGUCUCCAUUUUAUCCUCCAUGAUGCAGUUAUACACUUUCUUUGGGACCCAAACUUAAAUUGAACUUCAUUGUAGUUUAAGGGACAGCUUCAUCAUUUAGUGAAAACCAUAAUCCCACAUCCCAAAAAGAACUUAAAUUAUCUAUUAAUUAAUUAUUCUGAUCAAACACCUUAGCUUUAAUUUGAAUAAUCUGUUUAAUUUUGAACACAAAGGGAGGGAACAAAAAUUCAAAUGAUAAAACACCCAAAUUAUUGUAAAAAAGAAAAAUUAAACUUUUAGUGGAAGGAGAUUGUCCAAAUUAACCAACAAAUUUCUCACAUCACAAUGAAAAAUUGGAUAAUGAACGUAAAUACAUGUUUUUCCCCUAACAUAUAUAAGAAAGAAGGGAAAAGAAAAAGGAAUAAUAAUAUAACAUAGAUAUAAUUAACAUUAAACUUAACAGAAUAUAAAUCUCAUAAUUAAUCACCAUUACAAAAUAACAAAUCUCCCUCUUAUCAUCUCUCCCUAUACCCUUAAGUAUUAUAUACCCCCCUCCCCCGCCCCAAAAAAGAAAAAGAAAAAGUAUCCGAUCCUUUGAAACACAUGCAUGUAAUUCAUUAAACACACACCUCGAAUGAGCUAAUUAGGUCUCAUCUAAUUUCUAUAUGUUGAAAUUGGAAUCGAACUAAGGAUAUGAAGAAAGUUGUUGUUCAAAAGUAAAAGGAAAAAAAAAAGAGAUGUUUUUAUAAUUAAAGUGACGAAAUGAAAGAGGAUCCGAGGUUCCUCUCAGCGCAAUUACCUAUAAAAUUCUCAAACCAACAUGGAUAAAUUUUGAAGGAUUUUGAGAGCUUUUGUUGCAGCUGACAUGAUCGCUCCGAUCCCACUCCUCUCGUCUUUGCUCCUCAACCUUUAUUCUUUUUUCCUCUAAAAAUAGAGAGGGAGAUACAAAUACACAUACUAGCUAGAAUAGAGAAGCAACUGACGACCCAUUAUAGUUUGUCGGAUCGUGCCAAUUCCCCGUCACUGUCGUCGUUCCCGAGUUCCAAUAGAUCGAAGAUGGGUCGGAGAAGUUCGAUAGAUCAAUUUGUUCCGUUUGAUUCUGGCACAACCUAAUAAAUAAAUAAACACAAACAAAUAAUUAAUAUAAAUUACGUGUAUCGUCUAUAUCAACAUAAGCCUUUGAGUUUACAACGAUAAUUAACCUGUUCAAAUCCUCAAUCUUGAUUUCCUUCAUCGAAGUCAUCAAAUUUGGAUCGAUAUUACCUAAAAGGUGGGAAUUUCGGUCAAAGGAGAUGGUGGGGUGAUGGAAAUGAUUUGAACUGAAGGGUUGUUGAUGUGGAUCAUUGAAGUGGGAGAGAAGGCCAGAAGAAGAUAACCCUAAACCACCACUACCACCACCAAUGGAAUCCAACUGCAAGAAGAAAAUCAAACCAUUAGAAACAGAAAAAUAAAAACUUGAAAAGUGAAAGUUUGAAAGAGAAGGGUUAGUGUUAUGUACCCCAAAGAACAUUGAGCUAUUGGUAUGAUUUAAAGCUGAUGAAGAAACAAUAUUAGGAACAGUAGUAGAAUUGAUGGGGUUGUGAAUAAGAAGGCGAGGGUUUUGACUUGGAGGUGACGUAGAAUUAGCGUUGACUGAGGUGGAGGAGGAGGAAGAAGUUUUGAGGCGCUUGUUCUUUCGACAACCGCCACCUACAGGGACAUUUCUUAGGGUUCCACCGCGAGUCCAAUAGCGUUUGCAAGCUUUGCAAAAGUGCCUUGGUUGAGAGAGGCUGUAGUUGUUGUAGUAACAAAAUUUGGUGUUGGAAGAAUCGCAACGAGGGCACUUUAGAGUACCUGAUGACGAUUGUUGUUGUUGGUGGUGAUGGGGUUUGUCCAUAAUCCUAGAAGAUGAAGCCAUUAGGGAUCAACCCUUUUUAUCAUGAAACAGAUUCUAAAGGAAAGAGGUUGAAAAAGAAGAAGAGAAGAAAGAAAAGAGAGAGAGAGUAUAAGAUGUUUUGAAUUAGGGUAAAAUAAGAGAGAAGAAUUAGAUAUUCUCUUCCAAAAGCUAAGAAACAAAAAAUGGAGGGGGGGAGGGAGAGGGUGAUGUUGAGUAUAAUAAUUGGAGAGAGAUAGAGAGAAGGGGAAAGAGAGAAACUUGUGGCUAUUUUGUUAAUACAGUUGAAGAAAGAAAUAUUCUUGCAGUUCCUACACACUUUCUCCACUCAAACCAAAAUCCCUUUCAUUUUUAUUUUUAAAAAACAUUUUCUAAAAUAUACAAAAAGAUCGAACUCUCCAUGUUCUCAUGGGAUUCUAAUAUUCAAAGAGAUUAAUGAAUGUACUUCAACCUAUACCUUCCAUUAACUCCCUCAGAUUGCAUUUAUUUUUGUGCAAAAAAAAAAGUAUACCUAUUUUUUAAAAAAUUUACAUACAAAAUUGAAAGUUGAAAUAAGUGUUAAUUAGUUAAUAACUUAUUAGACACAUUUUCAAUUUUUUAGACUAAAUAGGUAUACUAAUUAACUUCUUUUUCAGAUACACUUUUCAUCUCUUAGAUCACUUUUUCAUUUUUAUCUCUAGAUUUCAAUAUGUUAUAUAUUUUAUUACAAUUUUCAGUCAUUAAUUUAAAAUGCUUAUAAUAAUAAUAAUUAUAUUUAUUCAUUAAUUUAAAAUGCUUAUAAUUCAUUUAUCAAAUUGAAACAAAAAAAGAAAAUUAAUAGUUACAAUCAAACUCAAACUCCGCAAUGAUAUAUUUCUACCGUUUUUUUUUUUUUUUUGUUAUAUUACAUCAAUGGCUUUUCGUUUUUCAUAGUGAAAUGAAAUAAUAAAAAGAAAUGGUAAAAAGAGAGUGUAAGAGGACAAAAGAGAGAAAAUUAAGAAUUGUGAUAAAUGUUAAAACACUUUAACAAAAAGUGGAAAAAGAGAGAGAGAGAGAGAGGACAAAAAGACUGUUACAAUGAACGAAAAAUUACACCUUCGUGUUUUAAUUUACAAUUUUGUAAUGAAAUUUCACGUGGUGGGUCUCAAAAUUAAGAAAAGCAAAGAAAAGAAAACCCCCAAAAUUUUCGAAUACUUUAUGAUUAAAAACCCGAAAACAUACAGAUGGGAAAAUUCGAAAGGGAAGGAAAAGACAAAGAGAUAAACUAAACUUCAUAUUAAUUACUUAUGAAUCUCGCAACCCUUCAAACAAUAUUUUCAACAAAACAUUCCAUCACACUAUUAUUCAUUCAUCAUUUUGUUUACACAGUUUACUGUUAAAACUAUUCAUGAAUAUAUGAUAGAGUAGUACACUAAUUGUAUAUUUAAAAAUCUCUUUCUUAGACCUCAUAUUACUUAUAAGAUAGAUAAAUAUCUAUCUCAUUGUCAAUUGAUGUUAAGAUGGGAUUACAAUAUUUAAUAUGACAUUAGAAUUCAUAAAAUUUGAACAUGAAGAAUGAUGAACUCAAAAGAAGCAUCUCCUUGAAAGAGCAUUAUGAGAAUCACAAAUUGAAAAACCAAGAGAUUUUGAGAUAAAACUUGCCUACCAUCUAUAAUAAAUUUCUCAAUAAUAUCAAUUGUUGAAAGUCAUCAUAAUAUCAGAGAGCAUGAAGUCCCAUGUGUUUAAUCUUUGCAAUGUGAUUAUUUUCUAAUCUUCAUAAUCUGUUAGUUGAUUACUAAUUUAAGUUGACAUAUAGGGAAUGUAGUGCAAAUUAAAGGAAAUCUUUUCCCCUUCUUCCAUUUUGAUUCAAAUAAUGAAAUAAUGGUUUAAUUGAGAGUCAGAAAUGAAAGAGAGGGGGAAAGAUCAGGAGGCCAUUGGAGACUGAAAAUUCUGGUGAGCCUGUUUGCUUUAUUUCUGUUUGCUUUGGUGUUAAUGGAGGAGAGAGAAAGCAAAGGGAGAUGCUGAGCCAUGUGGAAGGCAGCUCAUUCAUUCUCUCUCUGUCAAAACAAAAAAAGCAAACCAGAGCUUAGAGAGAACUAAUGGAUUUUGUAGGGCUCCAAGGGAUUUUCUUCCUUAAAAUUCUGCCUCCAUCAAUAUUAUUAUUAUUCUUUCAGAGCAGCCCUUAAUUUUGGUCUUUUUAUUUAAAAAAUAUUAUUAUUUUUUUAAAUAAAGGCUUUGUUUUGGAUAAAGUUUUUUUCUUUUAAAAAGAAUUUAAAUAUUGUUACAAUACAUACUGCCCUUUACUACCCAACCUCUCACUUUUUUUUAAAAAAAAAAUAAAUUUAAAUUAAUCUAUGAGUUUAAAGUAACAUGUAACUUCUUUGUACUUAAUUAUUGUUUUGCCUUAAUAAGGGUUGAUAGAUUAGAAUAUAUAUACAUAGAUUAAUUAUGAAUAACCAUGUAUAUAUAUUAUCCUGGCCUGUUGAAAGAAUCUUUGCUUUGUUCUAUAAAAGAAUACACUGCCAAAAGCUUUCCACUUUAUUUUCCCUACUCCUAGAUCAGCAAUCAGCCCCCACUGUCAAAAAUGCACUUACAACAUCAAAAUGGGAGGCCUCUUGGAACUACCUACCCUCUUUCCAAACCUUGCUUUAUAAUUUGGAUUAUCUUGGAACACUGGAGGAGUAACAAGUAAAUUUAAAGGCAACUAUUUGACAUUGAUAUUUUCUGAACAGUACACCUCUUUUAACACAUCUACUUGAAAAGAAAUAAUCACUUGUUCAACAACUAAAUUACCAUCUAUACCUCAAUUUUAGUCAACUUAAAAAAUAAAAUAUCUAUAAACCUUAAUUAAGUACGGUUCGCAAAGCCAAAGGCUAAAAAACUGUGUAUCAAUAUACAUAAAAUGGGGAGGAAUAUGAACUCCAUGCAUGUAGUAGGGAAUGAAUGUAAGAAGUAACGUUGAGCUGGCUUUGGUAAGUGGAGGUAAAAGUGGAUGGAAAACGUGUCAACUUUGAAUUUUGCGUACCAUGUUUUUCCUAACUUUUGUGGACUUAAUUCCUCCCUUUUAUAAUUUAUAACUUUUUUAUUUUUUAUAAAAAAAACGAUACAUAUUACUAACGUAAUAUUAAAUUUUUAUUGACAUGUUGAUAUUUUCAUUGUAUAAAAAUUUAUAUAAUAUAAAAAGUAAACAAUCAAAUGUUGCCAUAUAGUAUAUAGUUUAAGUAAUCAUCUUAAUUUGGUAUAAAAAUGGUAAGAUGUUUAUUUAGUAAUUUAAAUUUAUUUUAUAGAAAUAUUGGUUGAAAUGAAAAUUGUAUGGAUUGAAAUUUUUGUUAAAUUAAUUAAUACAUCAAUAUUUUCUAUCAACAUCUAUAUUAUAUUUCAAAACAUUGGUGAUCACUUGAUUUAUUUCAUAUACCUGAAUAGUUUAGAGUGACAAAUAAAGAAAUAAAAUAAGAAUAGGAAUGAGAAUAUUAUGGUAAAAGAGAAGUAAAGAAUUUGGAAUAUUUGAAUUAGUAGGGGGAGGGGGGGUGGUCCAUAGACCAUUAACCAUAAGUAUAGGAGAGGACAACCACAAGUUCAUUCGAUUUUCCUUCCCACCACCGCCACCACCGCCGUCCCUAUCAAUCAAGAGAUUCCAAAUAGAAAUAGAUUUUUUUUCUUUUAAAAAAAUGUAGUGAGAGAGAGAGAGAGAGAGAGGUGUAGCCAUCAAUGGCUGACCACAACCCAACUUGCAGCGACAAAGAUCUCUAUCCUUUGAUUCAUUAUCACACUUUUGUGUAAUAAAAACAAAGCCCACUCACUUCUCCAUCUUUUCAUUUCUCAUUUUUAAACCAUAAAUUAAAACAUGAUAAUCACUUGCAAUAUUCCUCUUCUUUUGGGUUAAAAAGUUGAGCUACAAUAUUUCUAAACAGGAGGUAUUAGAUUGUUCUGGCGGCUAAUUUGACUGUAAUAGUCAAUAAAUCAAUCAUAACAGUUUGCAAAAUGUAGACUUAAUCUAAAUUUAGUAGAAUAACCAAAUGUUUUCAAAUAGAUGUGUGGUAAGUAAGCAUAAGUUAUAAUCGUUUAUAAUCCAACACGAUGAAAAAGAUGAUAUCCGAUGAUAUUAAAAUUCAUCAUAUUUGAAUAGUUUAACUUCGUAGAAAGUUGACGUGAGACCAUAACUUGCGGUAAGAAAUGGAUGGACAGAGCUCAAAAAUAAAUUUGUGCAAUUAUAAACUCUUAUAUUUGAGGAUGAUGAAACAAUUUUGGUAUAUAUUUUUUCUUUUUUUAGUUCAAUACCUACAUGGAAUUGUUAAGAUAAAAAAAAACAACAAAGAAAAAAAUAGAUAUAAAGAUUGACAUAGUUUAUUAACAUUGUGUUAUAGUAAUCUUAUUGAGAAGGAUAAUUAUAAAAUUUUCGAGUUUGUGUUGGGUAUACGUGGCAGUGAAUGGAAUAGAAAUACAUAAGAGUCAAAGUUGGAUAAAAUAGAGAAGAUGAUGACAAGUAGAUACAAGUGAGUUAGUGGAGAAAUGUAUAUAAAUAGAUGAAUUUGGAGUUUGGAGUAUGUGAUUGAUUUAAAUUGGUUGGGAAGUUCCAAAAUGACCCAAUACCAUGUCUUACGGACGCGGCUUGAUCAGAUGAUACAAAUUAUGAGUAUCGAUUGGUCACUGUCAAACCCUCCCUUUCCUUCAAUUUCCAUGCAAAAUACUCAUACCUCCACUUUCCCCUUAUCACAAAAUUACAAUCAACCCCCCCUCUUUCUUCCUUUCACAUCCAUCAUCCUCAUCUUAACAGUAAUACCAAAUAAAUCAGAAUAAUUUAUCUUAGAUCAAAAGAGAUUGAAUGGGUGUGUUAAGCCAUAAUUCAAUGCACUGUUCCUCCUCUCUUAACUGUUGGAUACUGAGAACGUUAAUUUUGUUCGUUGUAAAUGUAAUGUAAUUCAGUCAGGUUAUUCUUUUUUUUUUUUUUUUUUUGUUUUGACACAAGGCUCCCGCUCUGUCUAAGGGUCUUUUUAGAAAUCCGUUGAGAGUGUAAUUAACUUGGAUUAAGUGAAUGAUUUGGUACUGAGGACAGAUUAGUUAAAGGUAAUUUGUCUAUAUUAUUAAAAGGAAAAAGAUAGAGAAAUUGAUUUGAUGGGAUAGAAGGGGAAAGGGUGUUUGUUAAAAAUGGGACGUUGGAUGGUAAAAGCAAGAAGAGGGGAAGUUUUCAGUAUUUGUAAAUGGUAGGGUGUGUCUGAUUAUGGGUUUUUAAAAGGUAUUUUGGACUGUUGUUUAUGGCACUAUCAACCCUUCAACGAUCCUUUGGGCCCUCAAGAAUGUUUCUUCUUCACAAUUUCCCCUCUAUGUCAUUUCCAAUACAUUCUUUUUCAUUCCUUAAUUAUUUGUAACUUUCCUUCUCUUCUUCUUCUUCUUCUUCCAUUUCAUUGCACUGUUUUUGUUUGUAACAAUCUACUUAAAAUUAACUUUACUCUAGCUAGGAAAAAAGAGAAAGAACAAAAAUAUGAAAAUUCACUACUAUUUACUUAAUCUUUUUGCUGCGAAAGGAAAGUACUAUUCAAGUGUGUUAUACAAUAACGUCCUAAAAUUGAAUUAUGAUGGAUUUUCCAGUAUGAAGUUUUAAAGAAUAUAAAAGGAUAUAGAUGAAGAGAAAAAGGCUUUAUCCAAUUAUCCAAUUUUACCUAGAUUGGAAUUUAGGUUAGAAAAAUUUGAGAAUAUAAAAUUUGUUUGUAAUUAACUAAAAAAUUAUAAAAGUUUGGACUAUUUAGUUUUUUAAAUAAAAUUGACAAAUAGAUAGCACACCUUAUGAUUAAAUAAGGUUUGUCUUUAUCAUUUCUGCUUUGUUCUUUUGUUUAAUUUGUUUUUACAAAAUUUGUUAUCAUUUCCGUUGAAGAAUGAAUUGUUGAACCAAAAAGAAAAAGAAAAACGCAUCUAAACAAAAGCUCUGCUUCGGACUGGGAAUCAACUUGGGCCUUUCCUAAAUGGGCUAGACCUCCCUCCCCGGCCCAAUAAGUUUUGUUUAUGUUUUUUUUUUUUAAUAUAUAUAUAUAUAUAAAUGAGAAAAAUAAUUGAUAUAAAACAUAGACUUAAAUAUUGUUGUCUUUCUUUAUGAUUUUUCAAUUAGUCUGCAUCAUUCUAAAUUAAAAUAUUAAUUUGACUAAUGAUUAAUAAUUGGAAUGGCAUGAGGGAAAAAUAGUCCAUUAUAUAAAAUAAUGACAAGUAUAUGUCUAAAUAUAUAUAUAUUUAUUAAUAAAAUAGACAAUUAGAAUAUAAAGCAAAAUUCAUUACUGGUUAUUUAUUAAUAUUAUCCAAUUGGUAUCAUCUUGUUUGUUUGUUUGUCAAGACUAUAUUGUCUGACCUAAUAUAAUAAAUGUGCCAUUGUUGAUAUUAAUUUAAACAAUAUUAAAACUCGGGAAAGAAUUAAAAUCCCGCAAUCAGUUAUUAUUGUUUUGAAAAUUGAUUAAAGGAUACCCAUGAAAUGAUGAAGCAAGCUUUAUUGUGAAAGAAUCCAACUUUUAUGGCAUGCUAAGAAAUUACAUUCUAAUACGAUAAGGAAGGAUGUGCUUACGUAUAUAAACAUUAUGUCAUAUUAGUACGAUUAUCAUUGAAAUUUAGAAAUGUUUUCAAAGGUGGAGACAGUUGGCAAAGGAGAAUGAGGUUCUGAAUUGAUUUGGCAUUGUGAUUGAGAUGAGUGGACCAAAAGGCAUGGGUACAGCUGCAUUAAUGUGGUCCUUGAUGUAGGUGAUAAUUAGGGAGAAAUAUUAAUAUGAAAGGCAUAAAAGAAUAAAGGAGAGUUGGCCACUUAGCUUCAUACCAAUUGGCGCUCACAAAACCAAAAAUCGUCUCAUUUAAAAAAUGGGCAUUCACUAACUUGCAUAAGCGGGUCACCAUAUGGAGACACGUGGUGGAUGUGUAUAGGGACAUAGUGCUGAAACCAUUGGCUGAUCCGUGGCUGUCACCUUUGGCCCAGGGUUGUUUAAUAAUACACUUGGAAUCGUCCUCCCCAAUCCGAAAAUGACUGUCAACUAUUAUACCGACAACGACUCUUCCUAUAAACGCUUUUCCCAUACCAUACUAUACAUUUCACCAUGUGACAUAUUUCUCUUUUUCUUUCUCCUUCCUAAUUUUACUUCUUUUAAUCCAAAGUAUAUACUUCUAUCAAGUUAUUUGUAUAUUUACUUACACGGAUUUUAAAACCCAAUAUCACUCUUUCUUUAAUUUCUUGGUCAAUUGAGGUAUAUUUUAUGUUGGUUAGUUAAUUCCAAAUAAUUAUGUCUGUGUGUAUAUGGUGAAGUUGAAAGUAGUCAACUUUUUGUUCUUUUUGUAUUGUUUUUAGCAAUUCGUAGGAUGGAGUUUGGACUGUAAUUGUAAAGUUUACUUUGAGUUUGUCCAAUGAUAAGGCUGAAGAAUUUUCAUAUAAUGUUGAGAUGGAACACAAGCUACACUAAGUCACUCUCAUAAAAUAUUUUUUAUUCUUGAUGUGAUACAUAUAGAAUUUUAGGUUACGCAUUACAACUUUAGUCUAUCAAAUUUUAAAUUUGUGUCAAGCAUGUCAUGAAGUACUUUAAACAACUUUUUAAAUUAAUCUUUGAACUAUCAUGUAUCUAAAUAUAAAUUAUUCUUUUUUUUUAUAUAUAUAUAUCUUAGGUCUAAUAUAAAUAAGUUUUCUAAAAUUCAUGAAUCCUAAUUAACUAGACACCAUUCAUAAUAAUCUUUAAAAAAAACAACGAUAAUCUUUGUUAGAUAUUUUUGAAAAAAAGAAUUAUUAGACGCAAAAUUCAAUAUUAAUGUUCCCUUGUUUUAAAAAUAUUUGAAUGUGUUUGUAAAAUUUAGGAAUAUAUCUAUAUUAAACACAAACAUUAACGUUCAUAAAACAAAUUUAUAAUAUCUAAAGCUAAAAGAUAUAUAGAGAUACAUGUAUAUCAUGUCGCACUAUCCACGUUAUUAUCACGAACGAAUAUUACCAAUUGCACCAAGAGGGUUAGAGAUUCAAGUUCAAAUCUCCAUCUCCACCAAAGAAUACUAUAAAUUCAUUGGUAAGUUUUUUUUUAAUAGUUUAAUGAAGUGAAUGAUUGAAUAAGACUCAAAAGAGAAUCCUCCAAACUUAAAAAGCAAUUCUUUAAUUUUUGAAGAAGCAGCAACCACACAAGUGAAAGAAAAGAAUAGCACUUGGACAAGGACACCAAAUAUAUAGAAAUAUAUACAAUUAAUCAUUAAUUAAUGGAUUAAAUUAAUUAUAUAAGGUUGAACUUUUUAAUAUAUGUGUGUCUUUUAAUUUUUUCUUUUUUUUUUUUUUUUUGGUAAGAAAUAGAAAAAGUAUUUAAUAGAUUUUUAAACAUCUAAUUUUCUAACCAAAUAUACUGAGGUAUAUAUUUGUUCAAAAGAAAUUGAAAGACUAGAAACCUAUUAUAGUAAAAAAAGAAAAAGCAAAGAAAAAAAAAUACAAGGUGUGGUCUCUUUCAUUCACUUUCAUUUCCAUUAUAGUUUAUAUUAUAUAUAUAGUCAUGUGGUUCUUCUAACUUGUUCUACACAUAUAAGACUUCUCUUAGAAAAUGGCAAACUCAGAAGAUCAAGGUUGGGAGGACAUGAUUGUAGAUGAUGACGACGACGAUAACGACAACGAAGAAAUAGGGUUUGUAGAUAAUGAGAGGAGGAGGAGAUCUGGUUUAACCAGUGCUCGGGGUGGUGGCGGAGGGGGAAGGUCAACGGUGGCACGUUGCCAAGCCGAUGGCUGCAAUGCUGAUCUGACCGGUGCAAAACCGUACCACCGCCGCCACAAGGUCUGCGAGUUCCACUCCAGGGCGGCUGUGGUGAUUCUGGCCGGAUUGGAACAGCGAUUUUGCCAGCAGUGUAGUAGGUAAGAAAGAAAGCUUCCUCUUUUUUUUUUUUCUCUCAAAUAAUUUUUUUUAAGAAAACCCUAAUCUGGAUCUCUUAAAUUAGUAUUGUUUUUUUAAUCUUUAUCAAAAUGUUUCACUAUUUAUGGAAUAAAUCUAAUAUUCAAGUAUUCUAUUAAGGGGGAAGACAUUUUAAUUUCCAUUUAUACACUAAAGUGUUGAGUCAAUUCUUUUUUGAAUUUUCUAUUGAACAUGAAACAUGUAUAAUUUAAUAUUAUCUUUUUUGAAAAAAAAAAAGUUGUGUUUAAUGGUGAUUAUGUCACCCAAAUGGUUUUAUUACCUAUAGUAAUUACUUUUCAAUCAAGAUAGUAAAAUGCCCAUUAAUAUAAUAGUUAUUGACUAUCAAUUUUAUUUUUUUUAAAAAAGAUUGACCUUCAUUUUUAAGGUCUGAAGUUUUAACAAAGUACUGUUAUAUUAUAUAUUCUUAAUGGUUAAUUAAGUUUGUUUAAAUUAAAGUUGGUAAAUUUGGAUUUUUUUUUUCCCUCUUGAAUAGAGAUUGAAAGGUUUUACAUUAUUGUUAAGACUAAAUGAAUCAAUUUUAGUUGUAAUAACUUUUAAAUUCAAGUGGGUUUGAGUGAGUGAUACAAUUAAUGCUAUAUUCUCACAGUGAUUUUAAAGCUUUCGCUUUCUUAAAAUUAGAGAACAAUUGUGACAUAGGGUUUUGUGUGAUUGGUGAGGAACUAUUCAUUUUAGUGUUAACACUUUUAAUUAUGUUGGAUACUUAAAAUAGUUUGCUUCACAAUAGAGUUAAUUUAGUGGUCGAAAAUAUAUUUGUUGGAAAUUAUUAGAAUGUGAAUAGGGUAGUUUUAAUAUAGUGACAUUUUUUUUGAAAUUAUUAUAAAAAUAGAGGAAAAUCUAUUAAAAUUUAUUUUUGGCAAAUAGUUCUACUUUUUUAUUUUCUGUGAUGUGCAUAUGAAUUUCUCACUAGCUGUAGCCUAUAACAAUAAUGGUGGAAAAAUAAAUUAGAGGGAAGUAAAAUUGAAAAUAUGAAAGGGUGUGGAGGAUUAUAUUAAAUACGCAUUAAAUGUGAAUUAAAUAUAUUAGAUGGGAAUGGAAAAGGGAGAUGGUUUAGUUGUAUUAUGAUGACAGGUUUCAUGCAUUAUCGGAAUUCGAUGACACAAAGAGAAGCUGCCGGAUGCGUUUGGCUGGUCACAAUGAACGCCGCCGUAAAAUCUUACCGGAUUUUCAUGGCCAAUCCUCCACUAAUUGAACCACACACACUCUCACUGUGUCCACUAAUUACCUAAUUAAUAAUAAAUAACAAUAAUGAUACACUCAUUACUAAUGAAGAAUAAGAAGAAGAAGAAGAAGAAAAGAAGAAAGAGCUGCUCGUUAUUGGAGUUAAUUUUGUGUUGAGAGAGAGUCACAGGUCAUUCUGGUUAUUCUGGUCACCAGUCACCGGCGGCCACCGUGAUGAAAAAUGAAUUUUUAUGCUUUCUCUCUUCUGUCAUCAAAAGAAAACCCAAUUUAUAGCCCUCUUUGUAAUCAUAAUAAUAAUAAGUAAAUAGAUAACAAAGAGAUGAUCAGAUGGUUUAUGGUACUUUUUGCCUCAGUCACAUAUCACUAAAAUCUGUGUGGGAUAUCUUUCUUUCUUUUUCUUUAACAUUGUAGCUGUAGGUUAUGUAUGGAAGCCGGCCUAUGUGUUUAAUUUAAUUGUAGUUUGUUAUAUUAAUUAAUGAUGUUUUGUAAAAGAAAUUACCUAGGGCAACCAAAAAGUAUCAUGAUGUAUCAUCUUAUAUAUAUAUUUUUUACUCUUUUAACUUUGGAUUUUACUUAACUUUGGCCCAUGUGAAAUGAAAAAUUAGAAAAAAAAAGUUGUUUUAAUUCUUAUAAAUUAAUUAAGAGACUAUUUAGUAAAAAAAACAAAUAUUAAAAAGUGAAAAAUUUGAAAUUUAGAGGUAAAAUGGAAACAAAAACUUAAAACUAUAAAGUCAAAAUGUAACAUUAUUAUCUAACUUAUAUUUGUGAGACAUUGCUGUGAAAUUCAAACUUUAAUUAAAACCAACACUUUUGUUGAACUUUGUAUUUUGAAAUGAUGAUAUUAAAUUAUUGACGAUUCUGAGUGGGUAAAGCCCUAAUUUUGCAUUGAAAUAAUUAGGGCUCAGUUUUGGGAUAUGUUCAUCUAUUAUAUUAUAUAAUGAGUUAAAAUUAGUGGGUAAAUGUAGUGAAAAUGGUAAUGUAAAAUCCAAAAUCUUGUAUUCGAUUUAACGUGAAACUUCCAUCCAUUUUCUCUAAAUUUUUAAUUUCAUCACAGUUUCAUCUUAAACUUAGACAAGUGAUAACAAUUUUUUUUAACCUUUUAGCUUUAAAAUAUUUGUAAUCUUUACUGUUUCGUAAGUUUUUGUUUAAAGAAAAACUUUCUUUUUUCAGGUUUGAGAUGAAGUUAUUUGUUUUAAAAAAAUAUCUUCAUUUUGUUAAUGUAAAAGAAUCAACAAACUUGAGAACACCCAACUUGAGUAACUACAAUUCCAACAAGCCUCCAAUCUUCUAAACUAGAAGUGAUUAGAAGUCCAUAUUGUAUAACUCAACAAAACAAUUCAGUACAUUUUGAACCAUUCAAAUUAGAUAUGAAAACGAAGAAGUUACGAUCAAAAGAUGGUUUGAAAGAAAAAAUUUAUGUAACAAUGAUAGUGAUAUACAUUUUAGCAUUUAAAAAAAGCUAACAUUCAAUGGAUUAAUUUCUUUAUGUCUAAUUUAACAAUACGUAGAGAGAGUCAUGUAACCCAAUUGACAUAAAGAUGGAUAAAAAUGUUAAAAGUUUAAUCUCUACCCCACAUAUCAUAUGUGACGUCUUGGUUGAUAAAAUAGCCAAAGUAUAGGGGACUUAAUUUUUUUCUAAACCAUAAAUAGGUUAGUAGAGACUUAUUUUUAAACUUUGUAAUAAUUCAUAGAAGUUUUUGAUGAGUUAUAUUAAAAAAUAAGAGCAAAGUUAAAAUGAGUGUAUUUCAUCGAUAAUUUAUAUUUAUUUUUUCUUUUAAAGUUGAGAUUCGUUUGACACAUACUCCUCCUAAGGUUAAAAGUUCAAAUUCUCUUAUACUUACCUAAAGAAAUGAAGUAAUAGAGACAACUAAAUUGAAGUCGAGUUGGCAGCCUACUCAAAUGGUUAAACUCAUACAUAAAAUAUUGCAUGUGCGUUUAAUAGACUAUAAAUUUUGUAAUUUAAAUGCUACAAAUUCUGAAAAUAACAUCUUAAAAAUAUUUGUUACCUUUAGAUUUUGAAGUACAUAGCUAUACUGAAAGAAGAAUAUAUAAAAAGAUUAACAAAUAUAAUAUUUCAUCUUGAAACAAAAUUUUUAACACAUACUCGAUAAAUAUUAAAAAUUAUAAUUAGUUUCUUCAUUUCUAAAUAUAUUAUCAAAUGCAUUUUGAACGUUUAAUUUUAAUUUUCUAAUCUACAACACAAAUGUAUUAAAUCCUCUAUUUUCAAAUUUCUAAAUCAAAGUGGCCCUGUUAACCUCACUUUAUCAUAUGGUUGAUGUGUCAAAAAGUGUUAUCUGUUUUAGUUUGUUGUUAUGUAAUUUAUGGGCAAGCUUUAACAUUUAAUCCAAUAAAAGUUUAACAAAGUGUCAAUCCAAGAAAAAAAAAGAGAGAGAAGACAUAUUUCAAAUAUUUGAUUUGCCACAUUUCCUAUAUCAUUCGUCAUUGCUUUUUAGAUUAUAAAAAGAAAAAGAUAAUUAUAAUAGAUAGCAAUUUAAGAAAUAAUAAUGGAGUAUAUUGCAAUAAGUUUAAUUAUUAUAUUUGCAACUUUUUUUAAAAAAAAUUACAAAUGAGAUGUCCUCAUCUCUAAAGGGUAAUGUCACGGAACCAAUUCAUAUAAAGAUAAAGAAUAAAAUUAUACCAAACACCCGAAACCAAAAGCAACGCUGAACCAGUAGUUCCCAUUAAAAGAUUGAAAAAUGCACCUGUUUUAAUAAUGGUGUCAUAACUUGCUACGGACUAUAUCAGAUGGAAGCAGCCUUUCCCCCUCGUUAUGAAGAGUUGGCUUUCGGAGUACUUCACGCUGUUCGGCGAUGAACUUUGCAAAUCGAGAACCUUUCCCUUUUGAUUCAUGGUCUUCGCCUAGCAAUUGAGGGAGACCUGGUGGAGGAGAGGGCUUGGGAGAUCGCUGUGACAUCAAUGCCCAUAUAGAAGAAAGCUGCUCAUUUGGUUCAUCCAGAACUUUUACAACUGAGAGAUCCUCCAUGUCUGUAAGUGAAAAAACGAACCGCUAUAAAUUAGAAAUAGGACUCAUGCUGUGGUAAUUUAUGGUCAUAGAACGUAAAUGACAAAAGUUGGUCAAGCCACACAAUACGAUUAAAUUCAGCUGGGAAACCUUUGGAGAACCUAUGGAUGGGUUCCAAAGCUGCACAUGGUAUGCUGAAGUUCAAGUGUGGAAUAAUAACUCCUCGCCCAUGCCUUGCAUUGCUGUAUCAACAUUUCAAACAAAUUAUUAAUUUCCAGUAGAAAUCCUCUCCUCUUAUUGGUAUAUGGAUAAAGAGAUACCAAUCAAACAAUUGAAAGCAUCGGCCAAAUAAAACUGAACAAUAUACCUAAGAAUAGCUGCCCACAAACAAAACUAAAUUGGUCCUACACGCCUUGAGUAAUGAUGAGAGGCUAAGCAAAUUUGCACGUACAAGAACCAGAAGAAUCAUUAAAGGUUUCCCAGGUUUUAUGGCGGCUAAAAUUAAAAGGUCAGUAUUCAUUUAAAAGCAGUUAUUCACUUCCAUCCAUCAAGGAUAUUAUAUGUGGAGCAUGAUGCAAGAUAAAAAUCACAAAUAAAUACCUCGAUGAAAUAAGCAGAUAGCUAAAAAGAGAGACUAGAAAGGAAAAUAAAAUUAUAGCUCUAAUCUCCUAAAACUAGGAGGGCAAUUGAAAAAUGAAAAAUGAAGAAAGCUGAAGUCGAAACAGAGUCAGCUUCCAAACGGUUUCAUCCAGUUUAAUGAAUAGGUUUUCAUACAUUUUGCCAUUUCAAUUCUCAAGUCAAUAGCAAUUUAAAUGGAAAAAUGAUUCCUUGUUUCUAUUUCAAACACAAUGAAUAGUUCGUUUUUUUACCCUAAUAGACUGAAUACUUCAACAUAUCUGGAAAACUCUAUGACCCUAUAAGUUCACCAGUUCCAUUUUCAAUAGUAAGAGCAGCAUUUUAUAAGCUAACCUAAUAUGGACGGUUUGAUCUUUGUUUAUUGCACCGUACCUUGUAACAAGUCCAAUCAUAUGGCCUUCUGAAUUGACAACAGCACCCCCACUACCACCAGGGUGCACUGCAGCGGUUGUUUCAAGCAUCGCAGGAAAAUAUUCUAACGAAUCUCCUUUGUGAUAAGAUGAGGGAAUCUUUGCUUUCACCACAUUAGACACCACACCAGAGCAAACAGAAGGGGACAAGCCUAACAAAAUUCAAACUAGUGUCAGAUAAUGUAAAAUAUAAAUAUUUAUCAUAUGUUUCUCGAGACAUUAGUAAAUUAAUUUCUGUGUAAAAAGAAAAAGGAAAAUAUCAACUUGCAUAAUUUGUUUUAAAAAUAUCAUGUGAAACAUAUACUUCUAUCCAUAAACUCCAAAAGUUUUAGAAUGGCGCAUUAUUAAGAUUACCUAUGAAAAUCUUCAUUGUAUCAAUUCUUACACACAUGGACAAUAUUUGUUUUGUUACAUUUAGGAGUUUAGUUAAUAAUUUUAUGUUUGUCCAAAUGAAAUGUAAUGGAGGCUAUAAAUUGAUACACUUUACUUAAUAUUUAAAUAAGAGAAGUUCAGGAUUUUAAAUUAAUACAAUUAUUAGUUUUGAUUAAAUUGAUACAAGUUCUUGUUUAUGGGUAUAAAUUGAUAUUUUCCCAAUAGAAAAAACAGGAACGCUAGAAAAUUAGUUAUCCCAUCCAGAUGAAAAUGUAGACAGCCAUUAUUCAGUGGAACACCACUUCAUCUGUAUAAUUAGAAAUAACACGUUCUUUUUCUUUCAAGGAAUCCUUUUAGGCAAUCAAGUAACCCAUCAAAGAAUAAUGAUGAUGACUGCAGAAUGACUAUUAAAACUAUUUAAAUGGUCUAAACUGGAUAAGAAGAAAAGGCUCCUUCAUCCGGUUCAUCCCUAAUCCCGGAACAAAACUUUUUCCAACACCAACAUGAACCAUGGCAAACUAAAAGAUCACACAACAAUAAUAAUAGACCAAUAAAUUAGAUGAAAGAGAUACCAGAUUUCGGUCCCAACAGUCCAUGCCCAAUAACAUGUAUCUUUGACCCUGAGGUUGGGCAAGAACAAUCCAUUGUAAUAGGGGAGAGCUGCUCUGGUAUUUGCUCGAGCUGCAAGAGGGCAACAUCCCAAGAUCCCUUGCAGAUGUAUAACAAUUUAGCAUCACACCAUAUCCAAGGCUCUGCAUGACUCAAGCGAACAUGCAAGUUUCUACGGCCAUAGUUAGGAAAACUUAACUUAUUAUCCUCAAGUUGGUUGUGGAGAAGAAUAUUUCCAUUUUUAGAGGCAUUUGGUUCUAUAUUUCCAAUCUCUUGGCCGCCAAAAACACUGUUAUUCAUUGAACACGGAGAAUGCUCAGUGUGGGACUGCAGCAGCUUGGCAUUUUCGAUUGAUUUUUCUCCACCAACAUUUGUUUUCCCAAAUCUCCAUGGCUCUAUCAAGUGGGCAUUCGUGAGUAUUAGGCCUUGGCUGUUGAGCAAAACGCCAGAUGCCCAUAUUCCUUCGCCCAUUGUAACAAGACAAACAGAAGCCACUGCCUUCUCAAUUUUAAAUGGGAAAGGACGAGAACAGCCAGAACUUUCUUGAAUACUGCUGAAGCCUCCCUCAAGUUUUUGUUCCUUAUUCACUGCCAUAUUCCCCACAGCACCAAUACACCUGUUGUCGUUGUCAAUCCUUUCUCCAACAUUACAAGUACCUAGCAGUAGACCACUGCAAGCAGUUGCGAUGGCUCCCCAUGGAAUCAACAGCUGUUACCAAGCCUAGAGUCUCACACAAUGCAAUAACUCCGAGUGCAAUUAAAUUAAUAGCAUGUAAAGAGGCAAACAGAUUCAUUAUACCUGAAUCUCAGCACCAGUCAUAUAAUGCACAAGUGGCCUAAUCAGAACACCAAUGAGACGUGCUUUUUCAUCAAAAACUGGACAGCCCUCCAUUCCUACCAGAGAAAGUAUCAUAGUUGUAAGAAAGAAACCACCAGAAGAAAACAGAAUACAAUAGAACAGAAAGAUAAACAUACCAGGAAGACACCGCAUGUCAGCCAUCAGUAAUGACUUGCUCAAUGAGCUAGGAGGGUAGCAAUUGGAAAUUGAUCCGACCGAUAAGCUAAUUUGGUCAAAAAAUCAAAGACUACUAGUCACACAACAGACAGCAGAUGCAAUAACAGACUCAACCUGAAUUAUUUGACAGUAUAUUUACCCCUUGAAAGCAAUUAGGAUUGGCAAACAAAAAAUAGACAAGUAAAUUCAGAAACAUGUCACCAUUGUUAAAUAUGAAAGAAGAGAAAAUCUUCUACAGCCAUCUGCAGAAUUUGUAAUCAAUCAACUACUAACAUCUUCAGUGACAUUCCAGUAUUCCAUUUAAUCAUGCUGAAACCGAUACUAACUGAACUAGAAAAACAAGAGAGGAACGGGAGCAUCUAGGAUUUAACAAAAUUUAAGUGUGAAUAGAGUCCUAAAAGUUUGCUAGUCUGGAACUGUUUGAGAACUCAAGGGUAAAAUUGUAUGAACUAUGUAACAGAUAUACCUGUUAAGAAAAUGCACUGGUGAUAGAACACCAAAAGGAGAACCAACAGCAAGAAGAAAGGAUCCUCUCUGCCUUGAGGGAGAUAUACUUAUGUUUGGCAUGUCCUAGAAAGAACUCAAAUAUUAGUAACUAGCAGUAGACAUUACAAGUAAAAAAGACAAAGCUAACGCUAUAAACAUUCAUGAAAUGCCUAACCUAUCCUGCAAUCUAUAGAAUUGAAAUUUUCUAAUGAAUGACAGGUAAGGAGAGGUAGGAAUUCACCUUUGAGAGUGAGGGAACACCAAGAAUGGCGAUUCUUAUUGUUAAGUCAUUGUUCUUGCUAGAUCCCUCCAAAUCCAAAAAUUUCUGGCUACCAACAGAAGUUCUCUUUUCAUUUUCAAUCUGAAAAUGAACCAGAAACUACACUAAGGAGACUUAAAAUUGGGGGGGGGGGGGGGGGGGGGGGGGGGGAAGGCAUAAGUAUGGAAGCAAAACAAAAUAAGUGCAAUUAUAUUAAAUUUAUUGAUGGCUCUCUUUCUUUUUCUAUUGUUUCCCAAAUAGAGUUAAAACAACUUGGGACACUCUGCGAAGCAUAAUGGAACUCUCAGUUUUGAUCUAGGUGGGUGCCUCAUUUGAGCAUUAUAUUUGGCUUCAUCCUAACCCUGCUUUUGUUGCACUUUCCACCAAAUUAAUAAAAGGUUUUUUUUUUUUUUUUUUUGGUUAAAUGGGUAUCGAUUCAGUUAGUUGUUACAAGCAAAUUCAAUUUGACAAUGUGCAAAUGCUGUAGCUUCUUCUAGGUGGCGAUACAGAAUUCUACCUACAUUGCAAGUGAACCUUUUAUAGUUUUAUAUAACGAUUACCUGAGUUGUCUUGUGAUAUAUACUAUAUAGAUUACAAGAGAAAGGGAAAUAUGUAUGACAAUUAAACUAUUUUAUCAACCAAAGGACCACUCACCAUGCUAAACUCUUACAAAUGUGGUAUGAUAGCUCUUCCUAGAGAAAAUUUGUUUAAUAGAAUAUUAACUCGAACAACCUUCAAAUUUCAUUUAUCAAGCGUUAGGUUCAUUUCUUCAAAGAGUAUUGUUUUAGUUCAUAAAUAAAAGACAGCAGAUAUUAAAACCUGUCCCCGAAGAGAAUCCCUAAAAGAUGGAGAACCAUUUGUAUAUGAGGCCAAGGACCAGCCGACCUCCCAUCUCUGAUGUAAUGAAUCUAUGGAAGCAUCCAUGACUGAUUGAAGAGCAGUGGCAGAUGUAGGUAUAUCAUACUGCAAAAUACAGUUAGCUAAAUUGACAAAAAAAAACAAUUGCAUGCCAGCUAAAUAAAUUCAAACAAGCAAUAAAUUAUUAAAACAAAAUGUGCAAAUGUUUACUAUCAGAGGCAGAGCAGGUGAGUAAACAUGGUGUUAUUGGGAAGAACACAUACUCCUAAAUUUACUUAACGUUGUUUUAUACGGUAGUGGGAUCAGAAAACCUUAUAGCUUGAAAUAAAACUGACAUAAAAAAUAAAGGCUGAACCUUAUCCAUGAUUACAGAAAUUUACCCUGUGAGUUAAACUUCACCCCAUAAAAAUAGAAGUCUAAUUUGGAUUUCAUGAAACUGUUGGAAUCCCAACUAAAUAGUGAGAAAAAUGAAUGCCUACCAAAGCCAACAAGUGUGCAGCAUGCCAGUGAGGAGUUUUGCUAACAUCAGAAUCUCUCGAGAUACCCUGUGUCGCAAGGGAUUAUUCAUAUGUGAGUUUUGAAUGCUAAAUUAACCAUUCAAGAAAACUUAUGAAUUUAUCAAAUAUACAAUUACAAUUUACAAUCUUAUAAAUUAUACCUCAACCAUAAUGUCAAUCUGAACACCAGGAAUUAACUCAGGCUUUCCCUGCAGCUCGUAAAAAGGCUAAUCAAAUAAAUUGACCCAAUUAAUCACAUACAUAAGAAGUGGAAAAAAUAAUUUUAUAACUACAACAAAACCCAGAACAGUGACAAUUCCCCCCUUCUGCAGCAUUGUAAGUGAAGUUAACCUUAUGAAUCUUAUCUCUGUGUUGAAGUGGCAUAAAAGGCUCAAAAAUGGAGGAAACAGUAAGAACCAAUGUUGCAAAUUGAUCCUUAUAAUUACCAAGAUGCUUAGCGGCCCUGGUGUCAUAAAGGGUUUCAGGUAAUAUCAUUCCAGAUGCUGAAAGAGUUGUCCUCCCAGAACUUCACAUGCCAAAAAAGUAAAGGGAAUCCAUUAAUUAUUUUCCAAGUUAAAGACAUACAACCCCUAAAAAACAAUCUAUCAGAUAAGAAAUUCUCACUGAUACUGAUGGAAUGCAUGUUUUUGCAUCUUCAGGCCCUUCGGGUCCUAAAUCAUAAGGCUCGCUGAUUUUUCACCAUCUCAACGGAAAUUGAAGCAUGGGAACAUGGAAAAGGGGCAAGAAAGAUAGUGACUCACAGGGCCUUGGACUCUGACCAUGAUGGCAAAAUUUCUAGCAUGAUCCACAAUUUCACGUUUCGCCAUGACAGGAAGAUUGGCUGAUUUAGAGAAAGAGUACAAGUUCAAAAUAAAAAUAAGCUCAAUUGAAAAAACAAUUAUGCACUUUUUCCACCAUUCCUAUGAAAAUAAACUUAAAAUUCAAAGGCGAGAUAAUGAAAUGAUUCUGCUAUUGCCUUCAGGUAGAAGCUUACAAUUUGUGAAACCACACUAGCCCAGCCAGGCAUCCACAUUCUAAUACUUAUACCGAGUAAAUAAAAAGAUUCUCAACACAUUCCUUGAUGAAUUCACUGAUCUGAAUUGUCUGGUCUUAAUUUUGCAUUAAGAAAUGUGUUUUCUACAACUAGGAGUUUGCUCGUUUCUCCUACAACCUAAACUAAACCCCUCAAGCCACUAGCAUAUCAUGAGAGGAUUUCCUAUCCAUAACACAUAGGAUUGUCAAUUUAGAAGAAAAUGCAAAAAAGAUCCUUUACGCAUAGGAUUAUACUCUUUAUUUUUGUCAAAAAAAUCAACGUUCACAUAAUAAAAAAAACUAAAUUAAAGUCCUUGAUUGUUUAAAAUCUAAAUAAAAUUAUUAGUAUCAAUGUCUGUCAUUUAAAUCUGAAUAGAAUUACUAUUGCCGCUAUUUCAUAAAACCCCAACUUCCGUUAAAUAUCAAUUACAGAUACCUUAUUACUCUCCGUUCUUAUCGUAAAUACAGUGACAUUAAUUAAUAAUUAAAUUCAAAUGAGAAUAAAAACAUAAAACUACAUUAUUUACUAUACAGCUAAGAAUGGAUAAAAACAAAAAAUCAAAAGUUUUUUUCCCAAGCCAUUGUAUUAUAGACUAAAGGUUUCUUCCAAUCGUCUUCGUUCCGUAUUUAUCCUCGUUAGGUCAUGGUAUUACAUUCUGUGAAUUAUCCACAAAAACCAAAGUCAUCAAGCACUUACCUUACUAAACUUUCUACUUGUGUCCCUUCCGUCUUAAUUUGAACUUUAAUAUUUUUCACUAAAUACAGAUAAUAGAACGGAAUUUGAAGAUAGUUAAGUUAAUUACAUUGAUUGUAUGUGAAUAUCCAAUCCACAACCAAAGCACUUGAUUACUUGAUUUCUCAAGCAGGAAUCAAAUUGGGAAAAGUCGAAAAUCAUAAUCAAUCAAAAUAACUUCAAUGAUUAAUCUUGAUUGUACGUUGAAACACAUUGAAGAACUUAAUGACACACCAUAAAUUUACAGAUAUUUAUUAAACCCAAGAAAAACACGACCAACCGAAAGUAUCUUCUAUGUUCCUCUCAGAAAUAUAGUAAAUACUUUACUAGCAGAUACAUGAUUAUCCGCCAAACGUCCUUAUCUAUAAUAAUCGCCCGCAAUCAUCCAAGAAAUUCAAAUCAACUUCACAUGCGGUGAACGGAAGGAUAGAAGAUAACAGAAAGCGAAGACGAAGAAGAUAAAUAAUGAAAUAGAAAAUUAAAAAAAAAAAAAAAAAAAAAAAAAAAUUGAAGGUAAGUUCAUAGUAAAUCCAAAGAUAGUUAAAAGACGAUUGAAGAAAAAUUGUGGGGAAUGAGUUACCUGUGAAGUAGUGUGAGAAAGGAAGAUGAAGAGGCCGGUGUGGAGGAUAGCAGCUUCGGUUGAGGCAAUCAGCAGUAGACCUUCUUCUACAGGAGACGCGCGGGUAAGAUGCUGCACAAAAUCAGAAAUGUUAUCUUACGGCACGCCUAUUUAUAGUGUUACUAAUUUAAUAUUAUAUAUAAACUAUUUACCCUAAGGUUAUAAUUAAAUUUUGGAUGAUUGUCAAAAAUAGAAAAAGAAAGAAGAAAAUACUACAAGUUUAGUAUUCCACUUAAAAUUAAAAAUAGAAUAAUCUAAGCUUUGGUAAGUGCAUUUUAGAAUUUAAAUUUUGUAAUAUAUGAUUGAUUCUACUCAUUUUUUUUGAGGUUUAGAAUUUUGAAUUUUUAAAAUUUUGAUGGAUGUAAAUUUAUAUUUAGUAAAUUAAUUUUGUUGAUGAAAAAAGUUAAUUUAGUUUUGAUAAAACUCUCACCAUAUAGGUUUGAUAAAACAUUCAUAAGCUCAUAAAAUAGUAUUUUAAGGUUAAAUUCUAGCUCUAAUUUAUAUUAUUUUUUUAAUGGUAGGAGUUAGAUUAUAAUUUAAUUAAACUAAACUUGUAAUUUGGUUUAAACGUAUUAAUGUCUUAAAAAGAUUUGCUAAUAGUUAAUUAUGUGUUUAGUAGAAUUAACUUGUCAAAUCAUAGAGGACUAAUUAUAUAAAUAAAAAAUAAAGAAAAGUGUUAAUAGGUAUUCACAUUAAAAGGAACUAAAUGAAUUUCACCAUAGCCAAUCAAAUGUUGUCGCGUAUUCGUUUUUGUCCUUUUGAAGUGUAUAUAUCGUUGUUUACACAUUUUUUUUAAAUGGAAAACAAAGGGUGAGGUGAAGCAUUAUUCUGAUUUUAAUGCAACCAGUAAAUUGAAUCAAAUGGAGUUGGGUUUUUAAGUUAAAUGUUGGAUUUUCUAUCUUAUAAAUGUAAAAAAGAACAGAAAAAAUUAUACAACUGUUGUUAAUUAAUUUAUUGAUCUAUUAUCUUUUGAAGAAUUUUCUAAAAGUGUUGUUAAUGUUCAGUGCCAUGAUAUUCUAAAAUUGUCAACAAUAGCUGCGGGUACUAACCAAUAAUCUUGAGAAAGUCCUAGUGGGAAAAAGAAUCAAAACACUAUCCUGCAUAAAAAAUGAAAAAAUAAAGCAAUAUACAUCAAAAGAGAAAAAAAGAAAAAAGUAAUUCUAACUCUUCUGUUGUGACAAAAGUACUAAGCCCAUGUUGCCAACAAAGACAUGCCUCCAACUCCCAUCAAAACAGCAACAUAAGCCCAUAUAUGCAGCUUGAGAUUGGCUUGCAAUUUUGGCCCCUUGAAAUCAUGCGCCAAUAAAUUAACCAACGCCAUGUAAUUCAGCAACCCUGCCGAUAAAGCAUUCAAAAUCCCCACUACUAUUAGCGCCGUCGGACUAUUCUCACUGUACACGUUCGACAACACAAUCCCCAAUCCUAUUCCAAACGGCGUCGUAACCGAGAAGAAAAACACCAUUAUCGCCUUCAUCUUUAUCCUGUAUUGCGCCUGCAGAAUGCACCCUCCAAGCCCCAUCCCUUCAAACAGUUGAUGAAAGCACAGCGCAGCGAUGAGCGGUCUUAUGGUGCACGGAUUCUCCGAAGCCCCUAGUGAAAGCCCUAUCACUACCGAAUGCACUACAAUCCCAGCUUCUAGUAUUUGCGCGAUAACACGGUGUCGUAGCAAUUGCGACCCGAGUUUUUCUCCGGUUCCUUCUUCUUUCCCCAAAUUUUCACUCAUUUCCUUGCGGUCCUCAUUAUUGAUCUCCUCCUCCUCUUCUGAUAAUUGAUCCUGCAUCGACUGUUUAUUGAAGUGACUCAACGAAAACGAGUCCAACAUUAGAGUCAUGAUAGCGGAAAGCAUUGCUAUGAAUGUGGGGAAAGGGAAUUUCCGCCAUGGAUUCUCUGGCAAACAGGGGGAUGUUAAGAAAUCGUAGGAAUCAGGGAGAACGUGCAUAUAACCAGUUGCUAGAAUCACACCGGAGGCAAAUGCCUUGACGAUUGCAAAGGUUUGUCCGUCUGGAUGAAGAACUGGUAUGGCGCGGGAGAAGAGAGGAAGAGAAAUGCCGAUCAUGCUCGCGACUAAAAUGGUAGCAAUGGAGAUGAGCUUGAGUUUGAGGGACUCGGCUCUGUCAUGGCAGUCUUGUUGAAGCUGAGCUUCACAUUCGGAAUCGGGAGAUGGAAUUGAAUCUGAAAAUGAUAGGGAAAUGAAGGACAAGAGAAGGAGAAGGAAUAUGAGAUUACGAGCCAUGGCUGUGCUAAAACUAAUCCAAAAAUAUGUGAGUUCUUUACUGAUUUCUGUUGAGAUUUAACGGAUUCAAACUGCCAUUGAAAUGGCGGUAAUAGCCUCCAUUGGUCGAAAGAAAAAAAUGGAGUCAGAUUCUAAACUAGAGGUGAAAUGAAGGGUAUUUUGAUAAAUGGACAUGGAAUUGUAAAACUUGAGGUGGGCGUGUGGAAGUUGUGACGUGCACACAGGUAUGACUAGACUUUCGUCGAGGAGAUUUACUCUCUACAGCUGACGUGGCAUCGAUUAUUUACUUUUACCAUGCGUUACAAUGCCACGUAGAUUGUAUCUCCCUCUCUAUAAGGUAUUUUCAACUUAAUAAUUCAACCACUUUUAAUUCAUAUUUUCUCAAACGUGUUUAUAUCCUAUUUAAUUUAUAAAUGAAGUUUAUUUUCUUUCAUAGUUUAUAAAAUUUACCCAUUUGAUUAAUUUUCCAAAAAAAAAGCUAAUGAAUGCAUGAAUUUCGUUUCUCGUAGAAAAUCUCCACAAAGAGAUUAUACUGUCUAACUUCUUUUAAGUCCUAUAAUUUUUAGAAAAUAAGGGCACACUCAAUCAUAUAAUUUAAUAUUAAAUAAUAAUAUAGAACAAAAGUGAUAUAAUUAAAUUAUGCAACUAAUUAUACAAAACGAAAACGUUAAAAUAGUUUGGACUUAAGUAGUAGUGAAAUCACUUGGCCUUAACUCAACUCAGAUCCCUCUGCCAAAAGGUUAGCAGAGACCAUUGCAAACUUCAAUGUACAAGAAAUUAAUCAACCAAGGCAUCUUUCACAUUCAGCCACAAAUUAAAACAAUAUAAAUAUGACGUCCAAUGGCAUCUUAUCUAAACAUAAACUAUCAUUAUUAUAUGUUUCAUAUCAACAAAUUAAACUUUAUUUUUUAUUUUGUUGUCUUAAUCAAGACCUUACAGAACACUUAAACUGCAUACAUAAAAUCAUCAUUAACUAAACUCAUCCAAUAACUUGAAAUAACUUAAUUUUCUACUGGCAUUUAAGGAAUGAUAUAUUAUUAAAUUUAUAUUCUCUUGUAGAUUUAUCAACUUGAAGGAACGGACAUUUUUACAAAGCAUUUUAAAAUAAGAAAGGAGAAAAAUGAGUGGAUAAAACACAUUCAAUUCUAAGAUGGUUGAACUCAGGAAAUAAGAAAUGGGUAGGUGGGUAAAUAGGGAAGUGAUUGCAUUGGGAACAGCCAUGAAAAUGAUUGUAUGUAAAUGAAUUCUCUGUGCUGCUUAGAGGAUCUGAAAUCAAAGAUUAUUUCAUUGUAAUUACGAGAGGGAAAGAGUAUGUAGAUAAACGACCCAUUGACUUUUUCUUUCUAAAAUGUGGCCUUAUGGUCUCGUUCUAAAAAGAAAAGCAUAUUUGAAGCAUUAAGCUGCAAACAUUGUUAUUGUUAAAUUGGUAGAACAGAUUUACAAAUUACAAACAAAUAAGGAAAUAAUAAAAAGGAAGAGAUGAUUUGUAUACAAAAUGACUAAAAUACGGUAGAUUGAUUUAUUUGGUAGAGUAUGGAAAUUGGUAUAUUAUGUAAAUUGCAUUUUUGAUGAAAGAGCGUUCCAAAAUUCUUUGGUGUUGUGUGCUUUUUUUUCUUUUUAUUUGUUUAAUCAAAAUCUGAUGCCGUGGAAAUUUCGUAAAACCACGAAAACGAGGCUCCCUCCCUCUCGGCUCUGAUAUUUUGCUCCACCGCCCCCUUCCAUCGUGCUCUACGAACCUCAAUUUUUCUCAACUUACAACUUCUUUUCCUUCUUUCUUCAACUUAUUUUGCUUCAGACCGAAGCAAUGCCGGCUCGAAAGCGCGCUUACGACUCUCUCGAUGUUGAUCUUUUGCCGCCGCGACUCCAUAAUACCUUCAACAAUGAACGCUCUCAAGAUGAACAAUCUCAGGGUACGCUUCUACUUUCUCUUCACCAACCUUAAUUUUCACGAUGUACCCUAUUCUUUCAUCUUCCUGCAUUUCAUAUAUCUUAUUAUUUCUUCUUUUAAUUAUUUUCUUUGUGUUUGUACUGAGUUCGUGGUGUUCUUUCUCGUUCCUUCUUUUCCCAGAAUCCGAUCGAAGCUCUUCGUCCAGUCAAGGAGAUGAGGACGAGUAUGUUCCGUUUAUGAGCUCUGUUUUGCGUUUGCUUCUUUUUGUUCGUCUUCUUUUUCGUGUUGUUCCCUUUUACUCUAUUUACUCUUUUGAUUUAUUUCGUCUGGUUGGUUAUGGAGUUUCUUUGGUGGCUAACUGGCUGGGAUUGAUUUGGGAUCUGCAUGGUGUGCUUCGUGGUAUUGUUCAUUGAGGUCUUGCUGUGACCGUAUUCGAAGACCAGCUGUGUAGGCUUCACGUACUGAGGCACUCGUCGAUUUUUUUCCUGCACCGGAGUUUUCCUUACUUUCAAGUUUUGCGUUCCUUUUCCGAUUAUAGUUAGUAGAAUUGGGAGCUGGAUCUUGUGGGAGAAGUGGGUUCUCGAGGUUGUAUGUGCGAUCAAUCUGUUUUUACAUAUGCUAUGAGUUGCUGGGUGGGUAAUGACGAUGGAGCUCACAUGGUUUUAGCUUCUUUAUGAUGUUAAAGCUCACAUGAUUCGAGAUCAAUUAUUGACUCAACGUGGAAUCAAGCUUACUAUAACUGAAGCGUUCACGGGAAAAUUUUGGUGGUUCCCGCCAUUGAUUAUCGGAUCCAAUUUUACGCAAUUUCCAAUAGGUUAACGACUGGAAAUCCCGGCAUUUCAUUAGGAACGACUUUACCCAAAUUCUUGACAGCUUGAGCGGUGCCCUUUCGCUCACGCGAUGAACGAACUAUUUGGGUUUGGGUCGUGUCAUAGAAUAUUUGUGUUUGAGACUAUGAACAGAAAGUUGUUUAUCGGUUCUAUAGUUGCAUGGUGAACAGUAGAAUUCCUUGAACAAUUAACACGAUCUUAGGUGUUUUGCGAUUGUUCCGGCAUCCUAAAUUUCUGUCUGGUUUUCUUUUCCAGAUUUAUCGCCGUGAAACUGUCAGACAUUCGGAAAGAAGUUCAGUGUCCAAUCUGCUUAGGUAUGUUUGACUAAUUCCUUCUUGCUGAACAUAUUUAUCUCACGUAAGAAAAGAUUUCUAUUGAUUUGAACAUUUGGUUUGAAUACUUAUACAAUUUGCGGUCUCCAAGUGCAUAAACAUGCUUACUACUUGAAAACGAUCUAGCUGUUUAAUAUAGGUUUCAAUGUGUUAUCCAGGUCUUUACUGACUUUUACAAGAUUGUUGUUACAUACUGAAAAUCAAUCAUCAUAUAUAAUUAACUUACUUUUGUUAGUUUGUAAACUGACCUACCAAUAAGGCUAUUUCAAAUAAUUUAAUUCCGGGAUGAAAUGCUGUGGAGUAGAGGAUUAAUUUUUCCACCUCCGAGUGAGUGAAUUAUUUCACAUAUGAGGCUAUGGGAUUUGGUUUUCAUUUCUUUUGGUGUUCAACGUUCCUAUUGGAACCUUACCAUUUCAGGCUACAUAUAAGUUCAUUUGGAGCCACUGGUUUGUAAUGUUGUUACAUGUUUGCACACAACAAUUUGUAAAUUAAUGCCCGUAUUGUCAAGAUUCUUGUUCCUUGCUUUCAGUUUAUGCACUGACAGCUAACACGAAAAUAUCUUCCUUAUCAUAAGACAAUAACUAAAUUCCAAAUCAAAACAUUCCUAAAAUUUGACAUUUUUCAGUGGUUGUAUUAAGUACUAUGAGCCAUGACAUUCUAAGUCUUGGCAUGUUUGGAAAAUAUAUUUAGGUGAAUUUGGUGAGGUUACCUCAGAGUCAUUUUGGAUGUUUAUGCAUGAGUAGUUUUCUUAAGGUGGUCGUUAAGUGUUUUUCAAUUCAUAAUGUGCAGGAAUCAUAAAAAAAACCAGAACAGUUAUGGAAUGUCUGCACCGCUUCUGCAGGGAAUGUAUAGACAAAUCGAUGCGUCUAGGGUAUGUCCUUAUGUAAUUUUUAUUUUGAUUUUUCUAAUUGAUGUACAGCUCAAGAAAAUAAAUAAGUAUCGUCGCAAAGUUUCCCUCUACCUUCCAGUAAACUUGUACUAAAAUUUGCUGCAGUAACAAGGAGUGCCCUGCUUGCCGCACUCAUUGUGCCAGUCGACGCUCUCUGAGAGAUGAUCCAAACUAUGAUACCUUGAUUGCUGUGUUGUAUCCAGAUAUUGAAAAAUAUGAGGAAGAGGUGGGAAUAUUAUGUUUUAGCUUGCAAGCGUGGUGUUUGAUAAAUGAUAAUUGAUAUCGCCAUUUCUGCAUGCUCCAAUUUUGUUAAUUUAUCUCUUUUAUGGAUAGGAACUGGCUUUCCAAGAAGAAGAGAAAGCUCGUAAUAAGCAGGUGAGAAGGCUAAGUUCUGCGAAUUUGUUUGUUUCCAGAGUUAAUAAGUUCACUUUACAUUGUUCAAUAUACAUUAAACCACAUAUUUUGUUGUGCUAAAACCGACCAAGAGAGGGAGAGAGGAAUUAUUUAAGUCAUUAUUCGAUAUGCAAUGAAAAGUUGUGGGGGCAAUUGGGACAUGAAAUAGAGCAUGUUUUUCUUCGUUGUUGUGCUUUUCUAUUCCAUUUAACUUGGAAACAUCUCGGGCUGAACAUCAAAAUGGUUAUUAUAGAUUGUACUUGUAUUGGGUAUAUAUGAUCACGCUUACUUUUAUCUUCAUGUUUUGUUUAAAAUGUUACUUUUUGAUUAUUCUACAGAUCCAAACUUCCAUAGCUCAGACACUUCAACGACAAACUGAAUCUUUGGGUAGGAAACGUUCUAAACCUUCGAGGAGAUUAAGUUCUAGAGGACCCAAAAGCUUCCAAAAUCAUAUUGAAAGUCUAUGCUUUGAUGAGAAUGAGGACGAAAAUGAUUAUGAUGUCAGCAAAAAUUCAUCUUCUGCUGAUGAGCGCAUGGACACUAGACCUAAAAGACCCAGGAGAUGUGGUCCUGUUAGAUUUUCACAGUCUUCUUCAGCUACCGGAGCAGACGGAGCAGAUGGUGGUGGUAUUGAACAUGAAUAUGAAGUUAACAAAGAAAAAGUUGGUGCAUCUUUAGGGCUUGUUGGUAGCUCGGAAAAACUUUCUUGGGGCAAAGGUGGAAUAAGAAGUCACACUAGAUAUGGGGGUACAAAUGGGGGGGCUGGUAAAAUUUCCAGGAAUAACCGCAUCGCGAAGCUGUCAGAUUAUGUUCGAAACUCAGAAAAUGUCAGUGAGGAGGAGGUAAAAACAACUAUUUGAUGUGUUACUAAACUUCCUUAUGAAUAAACUGUGGACAUGUUAACGUGUAGAAAGGGCUCGCCUACUUAAUCACAUGCAUUUUGCUAUGCCUCUUUUAGAUGCUGCUUAAGAGCUCAACAAUCUUUUAUUGUUUCUAUUCAUCAAUGACUUUUGCCUACUCUUCCUGAUUUUAGUUGGACAUCCACGUUUUGCUCGUUUCCAUGGAUAGAACUAUACCUGCAUUGCAAAGACCAUAUAUUUGCUGCAGGCCUUCAGUGAUGAUUGGACACCUAAGUCAAGUAAUCAGUUAUUUAAUGGAGCUGCACUUUAUCUGUUUAAAGUCUUUAUUCAUUUAUUUAGUUAAUUCUUGAGCUUCCUUUCUUCCACAGUACGUUGCUCUUGAAACCUCACUUUCAGUGGACGUUGUUGAAAUAUGCGUGGCAAAAGAGCUUCAGGUGAAACUCGAUCCUUCCACCUCUGAAGCGACAAAGAACCCAUGUAAAGAAAGUGUACAGAUACUAAACGAGCAAGAGACACUAUCGACAGCAAAACUCAAAGCACACAGGCUAGCUUGUGGCUAUCUGGUAAAAGUUGCACACUACAUUUAUAACCAUUUGUACAAGCCUUUUGUACCACAUUUUAAGCUUGUUCCCUUGAUUCCAGCUUUUGGCAUAUAAGAAAAAGGGCUAGAGUUCUGCUGAUGAAGAGGAAUUUGUUUGGCUAAGAAGAAAAAGCACUUGUGCUUACUAGCAAUUCAUCCUUGAAGAUUUUGGCAAAUCUCCAUACGUAUAUAUCAACUCAAGAUACCAAGGGCUAUAAGAAGUUCCUGCUACAGGUCUUUUUCCCCCAUCUGAAUGUGUUGUUUAACAACUCCCUCGUUAGUUUCUUGCUACUGCUUUCUCCAUUUCUCCAUGUAUAUGUGCCAUUUUCAUCAACCUUGCAGUAUUUAACUGACUUUAAACAGAUAAAAGUUCUGAUAAGUGAAUAUAUAUACCAUGGAGUAUGGAUUACAAUCCAUUUUCAUGAUAGUUUAUUAUUGAAUGGUGGAGUUCUUAUGAUCUUCUUUUAACAAUUUAUGUACAAAUGCUCAUGUUGCUCUAAGACAAAUGAAUUCUAAACUUAAAUGAGUUAUAACUUCGCCUAGAGACGGUGCAAAAUUUUAGUCAAACUUAGUUAUGUGGUUGAUUCCCUCUCAGAAAACCAAUUGGAAUUGAUCUCUCAACUGCUAAUUAAAAUUGGCCCAAUAAUUAAGAUUGAUGUUAUGGAAUUAAAGUAAAAUCGAUGAUGUAAGAUUGAAUAAAAUAAACGUUGUAAUAAUUCUAACCUUCAACCUAGCUCAUUGAUUACGACUCUAUCCUUAUCCAUAAACCGCUUGUAUUGUUGUUUGUUAUUAUUCCUUUUGGAUUUUCCCAAACUUUUAAUACAUUUGUGGGGCCAAGGUGGAAAUAAGUAGGCCCCCACCGUAGAGGUUUUUAAAGCUUGGUGGGUCCAUUCCAUUACUAACAUUUCAAUACAAUUACACGCCAUCUAUGUAAUCAAGAUUGGAUAUUAUCACAAUUUAAUGCGCUAUCAGCAUCAUAAAAUAUCAACUUAUUCAAUGACAGAAAAAACACCAUCUUUAUUUAAACGGCAAUCAUGAGCCAAUUUUAUCACCGCCCUGCACGGCGGACUAUAUGAAGUAGUCGUCCCAUCAUUGGCUGUGUCAGCACACUUAACCCCUACUUAACUAUAGACUCACACAAAUUUAACACUACAAUUAUAAAAACUUGCUUGGGACAACUCGGAUGCGAAGAAACCUAGUUAGAAGAUGUAUCUCACAUACACAUCCAGAACCCACCGGCUCACGUCACCACACACGACACUAUUUACAUUCAACCGCCGUCGUAGCCACCGCUUAACGGUGCUGGCUCUUGGUGUCACCGCUGUAGAGCCUGAAACCGCAAAACAAAGAGUUUCAUGUCAGUUUGAUAUACGACAAAAAUAGAGGACUCAUCCAAGCCCUCAGAUGUCAGAACCAUGACCAAGUCAACAGAUCUGACGGCUUUGGAUUUCACUCGGGGGAAUCAGAACUUCGAAUCGUUUUUUUUAUCAUCCACCAACUGUUGGGAAUAUUAAGGACAAGAUACCCCAGAAUCUAAUUUUACUUCACCAUCACCAUAAUUAUAUUCCACUCGGCGGCGCGUGGAUUACAGUCGCCCCAGUGAAAAGUUGAUGUACGUACCAGUCAUAAACAGUUGGAGAAUUGGGUUGAGGUUUGUCGAAGACUUGAGCACCAAUAGUCUUGGUAGCAAAGUUUCUACCAGGGUUGAAGACGCUUCUCCAAACAUUAUCCUUACGCGCCGCUGUUAACGGCGUGACAGGUGUGACCGGAGUGGUGGGUGUUGCCGGACUGGCUGGCAUAGACGUGGAUCUUUGGUAUUUGCUUCCAUCUCCU
RNAcentral lists this long non-coding RNA (204614 nucleotides) under Cucumis sativus (cucumber). RNAcentral describes it as "long non-coding RNA (CSAT_LNC002543)". The stretch from base 57362 to 57434 matches the Rfam family "tRNA". The record is from RNAcentral. Lineage: Eukaryota; Viridiplantae; Streptophyta; Magnoliopsida; Cucurbitales; Cucurbitaceae.